CGCCAUGCGAAUCAGGGCUAAGAGAACUCGCUAUGCCUCUGCCUCCUCAGUCUUUGCCGCAUCCAGGCCGUGUGGAUGGGCAGAGCUCCCGGAAGAUUUUCUCCAAUCAUUAGUCGCUCGCCUCGGCUCCUUCCGCGACCUCCUCGCCUUCGGUGGCACCUGUCGUCCUUGGCGUGAUCUAUUGUCAGCACGCACGUCCUCUUUGCAGCCUCUCCUCCUACACCCGAGUACCAACAGCCAACGAUCUCCCUGGUACCACCAAUGGAUUGUUUUCCAGGAAUGCACAUGGAAAUUGUCUGAUGGAGAUUGGCUGAUUCUGCUGCGGCCUCAUCCUGGCACAGUUUGCUUUCCUUGAGUGACCUCAGAAGAAUGUUCUUUGUGCGCUGCUCCUACGGUCACCUCAUCUUCUGCGUCGAAGAUGGUUCUACAUUGUUAAUGCGUUCAGUGGCGCUAAGGUUGUGCCUCCUCGCCUCAAGUCAGGUAACUUCACUCGCGUUAGCUAUGUCACCUUGACUGCUCCUGUUGGAUCUGUGGACUCGCAUCUCCUUGUCAGCAGUGGAGUCUAUCUGUUCCAGUGGCGCAUUGGGGGCGAUUCUUGGUCAGAUCACUGUCCUAAAGUUCUUCUUCUUAAGAUUGAACAAAUCGUGGCCUUCAAGGGCAAAACAUACGCCCUAGGGUCUUUCGGGUCCUUCUGCAUCAUACACUUGUCACCUAGUCUCAUAAUUCAGAAGUUUAAAGUUGUGUUUGAGGAAGAUAGAACCGAAGAUCUCUAUUGGACAAAUAAAAAAACAUGGCUUGUGGCGUGUGGCGAUGCACUUCUCUUGAUCAAACUUGAGGCAGGAAGGAAGAUAUGCUCGGAGGUUGAGCCCAUCCAGUUCAAGGCCUACAAGCUCGAGUCACUGGACGCCGUGAACAAGAAGGCAAGGUGGGUGAAGUUGGACAGGUUGGAUAACUGGGCCAUCUUUGUCAGCGCGGACGUGCGAUGGGAGGCGUUGUCAUGCAUGAACCCGGAGAGAUGGGGAGGGAAAAGCAACCACAUAUACUUCCCAUGUUAUCAGUCUGACCAACCAUGGGCUGCAGUCAAACUAUGGAAAAAAUAUGAUGACCUUGCGAGAUGUUUGCAGCUCGUGAAUACUGGAAUCCAGUUCCAUAGAUUGGAGUCAACCAGGAUCCUUCCCGGCACAUUUUCUCGCUCCUUUCAGCAAUAAUCUUAGGGCAAUUGAGGGUGUGGCCGGUGAUUAGCUUCUGAUACAGCUUUCUUGGGGGAAUUCUACCAUGUUGCAGUUGCAGGAUGGGUAGUUUACUGAAUGUUCUUUUGGCUUGUCUCAGAACUUAAAAGUUUUCACUGUAAAGAUAACUGAUUCAGCACUCUCCUUUUUUUAGUGGCGAUUACAAGGGAGAUAUAUGUUUUAUUUCUCAUCUACUACAGAUAGUAGAGUUUUCUUGUACUUGGGCAACUUGAUAACAUGGUCUGGGCUGCAACUUCCUUUCAUACUAGAUACCUAAGGUGUUCUUACUGCGACAGAGUAUUUGUGUUGUGGUUGUUGAUUGUUCAUGUGAUGUGCUUGAGCAUAUAACAGUCUCACUGGGUAGAAAUGUGAAUAUUAAGAACAUAGCUUAAGGGUUGCUACAAAUUUUUAACUUACAAUUGCACACUAUUUUAGGUUGGAGAGUUGCAAGAAUCGGAGUGGGAUUGCAAGUCCAUAGCAUUACCUAUAAGCAGGUAUGACUUAGGGUUAAUAUAUUGUGCACAAUGUUAUGCAUUCGCACGCCAAGUUCAGCCAAGAAACAUAUAAGCAGCAUACGUGCAUUUAGCACAAAGUUCAGAAUUUGCACCAAGAAAAACUAGGCAGAUAGAUUGUUCAACAACCAAAUAGCUCUGCAUUUGUCCUUAGCUUCAGCAAACAGCUCUGCUUGCACUUUAUUACCUCUGUUUUUAAAAGGAGAUCAAGCUACAUAUAGAUGUAUGGAACAAAGAAAAGCACAUAGUUAAAUAAAAGCCCACACACAAUGCCGAAGAGUGAUACGAAGAACCUACGAAGGCAUUGUUUCAGGAUGUAAAAUGAAAGCAAUUAACAAGGUUCAGCAAAGACAACAACACGUCAACAUGUAGCACAAGUUUUUGCCUCCAGAAAUGUACACUGUAUAGCAAGCAGAUUAUUACAGAUCCUGAUGUAACUACCCUUGGCUUUUGACAUCUUUGAGCAGUAUAUUCAGGUGGAAGAACUCUUCCCCCGGCGAUUCCUCAAAAGAUAAGUCAGAGGAGCGGAAACUAGAACGAACAUAGAGACUGAACAUCAAGCAGUUCCCAAGUGCAGCCAGCGACAACGAUACAACUGCACGGUACGUGGCCACCCUUUAACUCCAUGCUCCUUUAAAUCCAUCCUCUCUCGGUUCACCAAGUGUCGUGGCUGGUCAUUAUCUUUCUCGGCGAAGAAGAAUGCCCACUUCUUUAGGCCUCCGUCUACCAGCUUCACAUACUUUGCAGAUUGAAAUGAUGAAGAAGGCUUCCUCAUUGCCACCAAGUAGGACAAGCAUGUCAUCACACGCCACUAACUCGCGGGAAAACUUGGAUUGGUCCAUAUUAUCACAGCAAACAACUCUUAGUGCCUCAAAGCAAAAUUGGGGUGCAAAAUGCAUGGUGUAAAUCUUUCUAGAUAUCUUCGCAAUGAUUCGGUCUUUGAUUGCCACCAUAUGCAUGAUCAUAUGCAGGACGUAGCCAGGCCCCAAGCAAAAGGGGCCAUGUCCCGGGGCAUGGCCGUGAAACACUUCCUUAAGGGUUGCUACUGUAGCGUAAUGUAACUACUUUAAUUGCUGUAGCUCUAUGGCUUGCCUGGGCGUGGGUGGAGGCUGGUUAGCAACUGAUCAUAUGCGCAUUUAGAAAAAAUCACAGAGCAACCAAGAAGGGCUCCCAAUUUGCCAAGUCCACAGGCACUGCAGGCUGCUGACACCUGUGAAGAUAUGAAGACUUUAUAGCAGAGCUGGGUCAAUGGGCUAGGUGAAGUUGAAACCCUAGUACUAAUGAGCACGCCCAUAAUGACAAGUGAUCUAUGGGAUGAGAAGAUAGCAUGACCAUAAGAGCAACUCUAGCAGAUUCGCCAUAUAUAUGAUCGUCAUUCGCCAUAUGGAGCGCACUCCAUGUGGACAUGGAGGGUGGGCAUGCGAUGUGCAAAUUCAGAGUUGCCAUAUCUGAGCCUUCAUAAUAAAAAUUGUUUUCCACAUUUAAACACUUCGAUUACCUCCUAAUUUAAACAUAUAGCACAUCAAGCAAAAAUGCACAUAGUUUUUGACAAGUUGCAUGAACAAAAGCAUUUUACCGGCGACAGAUACAAACCAUGUAUUCCCGCCAUGCCCUCUUUUGAGCUUCCUGUUUCGAAUGAUCAAGUCUCGCUGCGACGUACAGAAAUCUCACACCUCUGGAUCCAUUAGAUUCAGAUCCAACAUGAUGAAAUGAUUCCGCUGGGCUAUGCAAUGAUCUCUCGCACGAUCCUCUUUGAUUUAGGGCCUAUGUGCAUUCAUCUCCUGCCGCAUUUUGAGCCUACGCUUUUCCCAAAUUGUCUUUUUCUUCGAUGAGCCAGAGGCUUCGAAUCGAUCAAAUUACGUAUCUUGGACGGAGUCAUGUUUAAAAAGUGACAAUAACGUAUCUUGUCUCGGUGUAUUAAGAAAUGUUUCAUCAUGGAGGGCCGAUCCCCCAAAAUUAAAAAAAAUAAUCACUAAAUCAUAAACAUUGCACAUGUACCACAAUUUCCAUGGCCAUCUCGCAUUCAAUCAAACAAAAAUGAAUACAAGGUAUAGAAUGGCCUUUUUGACCACGUCGUUGUUGCUGAUCCAAUGUGUGACCAAAAAGUUUCGCUGGCCGCCAGGAUGAAUCGAGGUGGGUGAGGGCUACGGGCAUCUAGUUUCCCCAUCUUCUUCUUAUGUCCAUGUGGCACUGGCUGGGGGAGACCACCGCCUUUAUGUGGUGUUGUAGACCUUGCCACCUCUGCGUAGGGAUCUUCAGCGACAAUGUGGACGAGGUGUUGGCCUAGGUGGUGGUGGUCGGUAGUCGAAGGCGCGGGAGGCGUGUUAGCCACUGGAGCUGCAAGAGUUAUGGAAGGUGUAGGAGCCUCCGGAGGCGCGGGAUCAGAUUCCAAAACGACAGAAUCAGACGCGAGGGUCAAGGCACCGUCCAGACCGUCGUAGGUGGGGGACUGGGACGUCCGGAAGAGGUGAAAGACGGCCCUAAGGCAAGGAAGGUGAGCCGGUGGCGCGGGCGAGAAGAGCGGCGGGACGGGGGAAUGCCGCUCGCGCCAAAUACCCCCUCUCCCUGUCAAAUAUGGAGGCUUGCGAGGUGUAUCCGAGGCACACUGCAAUAAUGAUGGCGCUCGAGGGCGGGGUAGCAAUUCUAGUAUGACAAUUGGAGGUGUUUUUUCUUUUUACAGAGAUCGGACCGAUGUUUUUUUCCCGACAAAUAUCGGAGAGAUAUUCGAUAUUCCCCUAAAAACAUCUUACACAAGCUAUUGUGUUCAAAAUAGUGUUUUUUUGAGAAACUUGUGUUCAAAAUAGUUUUUUUAGGGGAAAGCCAAAUUUUAUUCAUCAUAGUCCACAAUGGGUGGGAUACAACUCGGAUCAUGGGGUUGGCCCAACCAUAGGUGGCGCCCCGGACCGAGACGAAGUGGAUAUUUGGCUAAUCUAUGUGCUUCGACAUUAUUAGCAUGACCUUCGAAAGAAAAAUUACACUGAAAUAAAGUUGCUCUAAUAUUAAUAUCCUGGACGAUUGAACCACUUUUGCCUCUUCCUCCACAUGAAAUGUCAGCCACCGUUUGCUUGGAAUCAGAAGCGACGAUGAAAGUAUGCAGGUUGAGUUCUUCCGCGACACUACUAGAAGAAGGGCUAUAGAUGGGAUUGACACUAAUGGCGCACCAGACAAGCGGUGCGCCAUUAGUAUAUACUAAUGGCGCACCACCUUCUGAUACGCCAUUAGAGUUGAAACUACUAAUGGCGCACCAGCCCAGGAUGCGUCAUUAGUAUCAAUUUUUUUUGAACUAGUGCGCCUGUCCAAACAUACUAAUGGCCCAUCCAGACACAGUGCGCCAUUACUAGUUGUAAACUAGUAAUGGCGCACCUGUCGGAAAGUGCGCCACUAAUGUUGUUUUUUAUUAUAUUUUUUAUUCCUUUUUUUGCAAAACUACUAAUGGCGCACUGUUCCACCGUGCGCCAUUACUAGUUUAAACUAGUAAUGGCGCACUGCGGGACAGUGCGCCAUUAGUAUGUUUUUUUUGCAAAACUACUAAUGGCGCACCACCAGAAGGUGCGCCAUUAGUAACCUGGAUUACUAAUGGCGCAUUUAGAGUUGGUGCGCCAUUAGUAAGUGGGCAGCAACAAGAUAUUUUGGACAGCCUCUCCUACCCACACUCACUUUCUCCCCACUUCAUUCUCUUCACCUCCUCCUUGUCUUGGGUGCCUCCUCUUUUUCACCUCAUUUCCACCAUAUAUUCAUUCAAUUUAAGUGGUUAAAUUACCUUGUUUUGAUAGGUAAAUAAGGGGGAAGCUAUAUUUAUGUUGUUCUCCCUACAACAAUAUGCACAUGCACUUUUUAUGGCCUAACUAGAUCUAUGUAUGUUCGUGGUGUUGCAUAUGUUUGUGUUAUUGCAUAUGUGUUUGUGUUUGGAGGUGUACCGGUAUUUGAAACGCGAUAGUUGCCAAUAUUUUGCCGGAAUGUUGAUUCAUUUCCGUUUCGGCGAGAAUUUUGGCAUUAAGCAUUCUUUUUGGUCCUAUUUUUAGGGAAAGUCAUGCCAAAUUUUUUCUUGGUUCUAAAAUAUCGUUUUGCUCUACCCCGCAGGAGACCAUGGUCCGCACGAUGACCGAAGGCAUCGUGAAUAGGUUUUUGAGGUCCGCGAAGGCCGAGAUGCUUCAAAAGAACGAGACGGAGAUAAGAUGUCCAUGUCGAAGAUGCAAGCUGAAGAGCCUUAUCGCGGACCCGGAAUCCGGGCAGGUGCGGGACCACCUGCUCUUGCGUGGUUUCAUGGAUGGCUAUCGGUGGCAAGGUGAUGAAGAUGACUACGAAGUCGUCCAUGGGGGCCGGGCAAGAAAUGAGGAAGGGCAGCAAGACAACCACCGCGGCUCGGGCGGGUGGGAAGACGAAGAAUCCCCAGGAGAUGAUCACGACGGUGAUGCUGUACACAGUCAUCAUGUAGAAGAUGCAGGACAUGAUGAUGAGGAAGAUGCCGGAGCAGACGACGGGCAUGAUCAUGAAGAUGAUGAUGCCGGCGGAGCAAACGACGCUGGACCAUCGAUGGGCUGGGUGCAGGACCCUCAUAUUCAAGAGCUGCUUCUCAAGCAGACGGAUAACGCAAGAGCUGCCGCCCGAGAGAAAGCCAAGAUGGAUCAACUUGAGUUAGACGCGGUUACUCCAUUGUAUGAAGGAUGCAGGCCCGAGGAUACGCGCCUGAAAGUAACAUUCAUGGCUCUGGAGAUGAAGGUAAAACACAAAAUGACCGACGCAUGCUUCGACGAGAACAUGUCAUUCUGGCACGAACGUCUUCCCAAGGGGAACAAGUGCCCGACCAGUUUGGAGGAGGCGAAGAAAAUCGUGUGUCCUCUGGAUUUACCGCACGUGAAAUACCAUGUGUGCAUGAACAAUUGCAUCAUUUAUCGGGACGAGCACGCGGAGUCUAUCAUAUGUCCGGUGUGCGGCGUCACUCGAUACAAGAAGAGGAAGAAAGCUCCUCGAAAAGUGGUGUGGUACUUUCCGAUCACUCCUCGUCUGCAGCGGUAUUUCGCGGACCCUAAGGUAGCAAAGCUCCUGCGUUGGCACGUGGAUAGGGAGGAGAAGAAGCGAGAAGAUGACGCAAAUGAUCCGGAGAUAGAUAAAAAAGACAAGAUGCUGAGUCACCCUAAGGAUGCGAGCCAGUGGCAAGCGUUGAACUUUGAAGACCCAGAAUUUGGGAACGGUCCAAGGAACAUCAUGCUGGGCGCGAGCACCGAUGGAGUCAAUCCGUUUGGCAGCCAGAGAAGCACACAUAGCACCUGACCUGUGUUUGUGUGGAUGUACAACCUUCCGCCCUGGUUGUGCAUGAAGAGGAAGUACAUUCACAUGAGUAUGCUAACUGAAGGACCGAAACAACCAGGGAACGACAUCAGUCUGUAUCUGGGGCUGCUGAAACAGGAGCUUGACACGCUGUGGAAAACGCCAGCCAAUACGUGGGACGCCGCAGAGAAAGAAUAUUUCCCUAUGAGAGCCGCGCUGCUCACGAUGGUGCACGACUAUCUCGGUUACGGAUAUGUCGCGGGGCAGGUGGUCCACGGAUUUUCUGGAUGCGUCAGGUGCAUGGAUGACACAACGUAUCGCCAUCUAGAUAGAGAUCCCGGGUCUUCGAAAACCGUGUUCAUGGGACAUUGAAGGUGGCUUCGCGACGAUGACCCGUGGAGAAAACGCAAGGAUCUGUUCGAUGGUGAAACCGAACCCCGAGGACGCCCGCGUACGAGGAGCGGUGAGGAAAUAGACAAGCUGUUGAAAAAUUGGAAAGACUGCCCACUGCCGGGAAAGAAGCAAAAGGCGCCAGAGCCGGGAAAGAAGCGAAAGGCGCCAGAGCCGCUGCUGAAGGUAUGGAAAACGAGGUCUGUUUUCUGGGACUUGCCGUACUGGAAGAUCCACUGUGUGCCUCACAACCUUGAUGUCAUGCAUAUCACGAAGAACGUGUGCGAGAGUCUGCUUGGUACCCUGCUCAACAUGCCAGAGAGGACCAAAGAUGGGCCAAAAGCAAGGGCAGACUUGAAAUCAAUGGGCAUCAGGCAGGAGCUUCAAGCUAUAUAUGAUGAUGAUGAUGAUGAUGAUGAUGAGGCGAAGCAGGACACGGAAAGUCGUCGCAAAGGCAAAAAGGCCAAGAAGACCGGAAAUGACUACCCUCCCGCGUGCUUCACUCUAAGUCAGGAGGAGAUCGAGCAGUUUUUCACCUACCUCGUAGGAGUAAAACUUCCUUACGGUUACGCGGGGAAGAUAAGCAGAUACCUAGACCCAGCGAAGCUGAAGUUCAGCGGGAUGAAGUCUCACGACUGUCACGUGCUGAUGACGCAGAUACUUCCAGUUGCAAUCCGUGGGAUCAUGGACGCGCACGUCCGUGAAACCCUAUUUGGCCUAUGCAACUUUUUCAACGUCAUCUCUCGGAAGUCUGUUGGCGUGAGGCAACUAAGAAGGCUACAGGAAGAGAUCGUGGUGAUACUAUGCGAGCUUGAGAUGUACUUCUCGCCCGCAUUCUUCGACGUUAUGGUGCAUCUGCUGGUCCAUAUCGUGGACGAUAUCAUCCAACUCGGGCCGACGUUCCUGCACAGCAUGAUGCCGUUCGAAAGGAUGAAUGGUGUCAUCAAAGGAUACGUUCGCAACAUGUCACGUCCAGAGGGAAGCAUAGCCAGGGGCUUUCUGACCGGAGAGUGCAUCUCCUACUGCACGAAUUAUUUAGGCAUCGAGAACCACGUUGGUCUGCCCGUCAACAGGCACCUCGGCAGGCUCGUUGGAUGGGGUCACCGUGAGGGUCGCCGCGAAAUGCAUGUCGACUUCGAGGGUCGACUCGCCAACUUUGAAAGAGCAAACCUAGUCGCGCUACAACACAUAGACGUGGUCGAUCCUUGGGUGGUAGAGCACAAAACCUUUAUUAAGAAGACGUACAAUGACCGAGGCCAACAGAGGACGGACGGAGAUAUACUCAAAGAGCACAACUCAUGUUUCACGCGUUGGUUCAAGCAGAAGCUUCUGUCGUACCCUUUACAUGAGGAUUCUUCCGCGGAAGAACAACUCAUAUUCGCCUUGUCACAGGGCGCCGAGCACAACCUAAUGACCUAUGAGGCGUACGAUAUCAACAGCUACACAUUAUACACCGAUGCCAAGGACUUGAAGAGCGAUGGUUAUCAGAACUCCGGGGUAACGAUGGAAUCCUACACCGGUAACGACAAGGACAGAUACUACGGAAGGAUCGAGGAGAUCUGGGAGCUGAGCUACGCUGGAGAGAAGGUCCCGACGUUUCGUGUCAGAUGGGCCAAGAGCGUCCUAAAAGAAGACCGGUAUUUCACCACCAUGGUUAUACCCGAAGCCAAAUCCAAGACCGCGGGCGCAAACGUCACCGCGAAAAAUGAGCCAUGGGUACUGGCUUCCCAAGUGGACCAAUGCUUCUUCAUUACCGACCCGUCAAAGCCCAGUCGGGUUGUCGUGAGGAGAGGCAAAAGGAAGAUCAUCGGAAUGGAUGGAGUAGCCAAUGAGCAAGACUUCGACAAGUACGGCGACCCGAGGAUCGAACAUGACGACGAUGAUGAAGUAGCAGCAUACACCACAAGAAGAAGCAGGACCACCCUACCUAAAGGACGUCCGUUCCACAGAAGAACUCCAUUUGCGAAAAAGAAGGGCAAGAAGAUUGUGAACAGAUAGCUAGCUAAGAUCGAUUGUAUUUAAAUUGUAGCCUUCAUUUCUCGAUUGUAUUUCAUGGGCACUUUUUGAACUAUCAUGAAUAUUUUUAAAUUUCAUGGACACUCGAUCUCGAUCCCCCUCCAUCUCGAUCGCUAUCCCACCUCGCCAGAUCCGGUCCCCCUCGCCGCCGAGCACCCCCCGGUCCANNNNNNNNNNNNNNNNNNNNNNNNNNNNNNNNNNNNNNNNNNNNNNNNNNNNNNNNNNNNNNNNNNNNNNNNNNNNNNNNNNNNNNNNNNNNNNNNNNNNNNNNNNNNNNNNNNNNNNNNNNNNNNNNNNNNNNNNNNNNNNNNNNNNNNNNNNNNNNNNNNNNNNNNNNNNNNNNNNNNNNNNNNNNNNNNNNNNNNNNNNNNNNNNNNNNNNNNNNNNNNNNNNNNNNNNNNNNNNNNNNNNNNNNNNNNNNNNNNNNNNNNNNNNNNNNNNNNNNNNNNNNNNNNNNNNNNNNNNNNNNNNNNNNNNNNNNNNNNNNNNNNNNNNNNNNNNNNNNNNNNNNNNNNNNNNNNNNNNNNNNNNNNNNNNNNNNNNNNNNNNNNNNNNNNNNNNNNNNNNNNNNNNNNNNNNNNNNNNNNNNNNNNNNNNNNNNNNNNNNNNNGGCAUUACAGUUUGAUGAUAUUUUUAAAAAAAUUAUUACUGUCUUAUAAAAAAAUAUUACUGUUAUGAUUUAAACAAGUUUGAACAUAUUUAAACACAAAUAAGUAUCAAACAACAUUUUAAAUGCAUAAAAAAGAUUUGUGGAGCCUAGGAAUCGAACCCAGGACCUCCUGGUGUGAGAACUGGCUGCUGACCAGUCGAGCUAGUAGAGGGAACUUGGUGUGGAUCAGGUCAGGUGGAAGAUAACCUGUUGGCUCGAGAAGAAAUAAAAAAAAAACAAAUGGCGCACCACGGUGAGGUGCGCCAUUAGUAUGGAUGUACUUAUGGCGCACCUAAGGGUGGUGCGCCAUUAGUAUUGUGCUAUUAGUAUUCGCCCGAUCCCCCCUUCCCUCUCCCCCUCGCCAGUUCCCUCUCCCUCGAUCCACCGCGCCGCUCCUUCCCUCGUCCCUCCCUCCACCGCGCCGCCGCCGCCGCUGCCCCGACCCACUGCGCCGCAGCCGCCCACGCGCCCCCGCCGCCUCCCNNNNNNNNNNNNNNNNNNNNNNNNNNNNNNNNNNNNNNNNNNNNNNNNNNNNNNNNNNNNNNNNNNNNNNNNNNNNNNNNNNNNNNNNNNNNNNNNNNNNNNNNNNNNNNNNNNNNNNNNNNNNNNNNNNNNNNNNNNNNNNNNNNNNNNNNNNNNNNNNNNNNNNNNNNNNNNNNNNNNNNNNNNNNNNNNNNNNNNNNNNNNNNNNNNNNNNNNNNNNNNNNNNNNNNNNNNNNNNNNNNNNNNNNNNNNNNNNNNNNNNNNNNNNNNNNNNNNNNNNNNNNNNNNNNNNNNNNNNNNNNNNNNNNNNNNNNNNNNNNNNNNNNNNNNNNNNNNNNNNNNNNNNNNNNNNNNNNNNNNNNNNNNNNNNNNNNNNNNNCUCCCCGUGACCGCUCUCCACCGCCGCUGCCGACCCCCGCGCCCGCUCCACACCCGCUCCGGCUCCCCCGCGCCCGCUCCACACCUCCGCACCUCCCCACUUCCCCUCCCCUCGCGCUGCUUCACCCGACUAGGUCGUCCCCGUCGACACCGCAUCGUCCCCGCGACCACCGGCCCUCCUCCGCCGCGACGACCAGGCGCCGCCGUCCGCGGACUGCCUCGAGCUCUGUCCCCGUCCGCGCGAAGAUCCCCUCCACUCCGCGGGCAGGGGUUCUUCUCCUGCCGCUGCAGCUACAAGAGGAGAGGAGCACCAGCCAGCCACCACCGACGGACGCCUUAGUUUGGUACGACCUCGACCCCUUCACUGUUUUCUGUUUCAAAAGUAAGUUUGUAGAGCCAACAGGCAUAGUAUCCACUAACUGGAAUUGAGAUAAUUUUAAUGGUAUAUUCGAAGUUAAUAUUUCGCUUAAUCUAGUCUACGUGUUUGGUUUUUCUAACUGAUAUGAAUGCCAUGAUUUCCAAGAACAAGAUAGGAUUGAUGGGCCCCUGAAGCGGUUGCCAUUAACCUUGCAGUGCAUAUUUGCAACAAGGUAUUUUAGCAUUUACACAUUUAGUAUAAUUUUAGAAUUGUUUCUCAGUUUGGCACACUACACAUUAUAGCAAAGAUUCUCUAUCUGGCACACUACACAUUUUAGCAUACUACACAUUUUAGCACUGUUUUGGCAAUGCACUGAUUUGGAGUGAUAUCAUUGGCUCAUUGCUGCCUUUGUGCAAUGCAGAACUAUUAGGAGUGAUCUGGAGCAGGAGGGCGACGCUGAGCUCAGUUGGGGCCUCCUCGGCGACCGCUGCGGCGAGGUCUGUGCACUCAGUCUCUGAGUCCCCGCCGCGGAGAGUUGUACAUACGCCAAGACCUUCUACGGUGAGCCCCUCACUCACUCAGCACCGAGUACUCUGCAAUCUGGUCCUCUAUCAGUAGCUUUUGUAGUAGUUCUUGCAGCGAAUAUGUCUUCCUGUUCAAAUACAGAAGCAACACCCGGCGAAUAUAGAAGCAACACCUGGCGAGUACACCCGGCGAGAAUCAUGAAGCACUUUUCUUUUAAUUAAACACCUGCAGUAGUAUACUUGACUGAAUUUAAACACUUGCAGUAGUACUUUGAUGAGUCUGCUUGAUCAACUAAAUUUAAACACUUACAUUCUUUCUACUGCUGCUUGAUCAACUGGAGUACUCUGGUACUUGAUCAGUAGCUGUUUUGGUGUAGCAAGUGCAGAAUCUGUAGUACUCCAUUUGGUACUCCAUCUGGAGACUUUAACUGGAUCAGAUUAGGUACUCCAUUUGCUGUAGUACUCUAGUUAACUGAAACUAGUGACAUCACUUGAAGCAACUUAAGUCUGAAUAAUCAAAUUCAUCAUACACUAUUACUUGAAUAAAAGAUUAUGUGCUUGCAGUGGAGUGCAUGCGUUUUGGAGUAGCAUCAGUAGCUACUGUUACUUUUCCACAUGAAGUACAGUAAUGGAGUAGCAAGUGUACCAGUAUUAUUGGAGUAAAAAAUUCAGUUAAGUUGUGCAGUAGUGUGCUCCUUCUUGUUCUUCUAUGAAUCUUUUAAGUUAAAUGAAACCUUUUUACUCCAGUAGAAUUAGAUGAAUUUUGUCAGUACUGUGUAUUUAAAUGAAUCUUUUGCUGUGUAUUUAAAUGAAAGGGGAGUAUAAAUACUGUUUGGUUAAAACCAAGAUUCAGUAUCUUGAACUACUCCAGUUGUUUAAAUUUGACUUGGUGUAGUAAUCCAAUACUCCAAACUGUUGAUGGACAGAUGGCCAUUAGUUGGUGUAGUACUGCUUGGAGUAGCUUGCUGUAGAGAUUUGUGUAUUCUGCAGUUGAGUGCCAAAAUAAACCUUGCUAGGUGAAUCUUGUUUGCAUUAGGAGUAAUCGCUGGAAAUUUACUGAAUUUUGUUUCCAUUAGAUGCACUAUUGGAGUAUUGGAUUACUGCCUCUGUUUUUAAUUAACCACUACUAGAAAAAGGGCUAUAGAUGGGAGCUCUGUCAGUAGCUAACUGCCUCAUGUUCUGCUCUGUGAACUGCUAUGUGGUGCUGCUCAUGGAUGAUGGUAGGAAUUUAUGCAAACUCAGUGAUUGUUGCAGCCAAGAAAUGCCUAACAACUAUUCUGCUCAUGAUCUUAUUUUUAUUUCUUUGAUGAAAGUUGGUUCUUUUCUUCCCAAGUUCACAAAAAAUCUUUUACAUUUCUAGUGGUUGCCAAAAGCAUAAUAUGACCAGGACAAACAUAAACUUUGAGGCUGAAAGGAAAUCAAGUAAUGAACCACAUAGGAAUAGAAGGUAAACAAACUAUGCUAGUUGAGAAUGUACUUCAGGAGUCGAUCAGAAGUGCGAUGUCUCAAUAUUUCCUGAAAACCCAUAUUGGCUAGGAUAAUUUGCUUUUAUUACCUUAUUUACACCAAGUUUUAGUUAAACAAUGAUACUUGAAUAAUUUUGUGCUAUUUCUGUUAUGGUUUUGUGGACAGUAUUUGACCUUAUGGUAACUAGUUGGGGUCAGGUUUUGGGGUUUUGAUUAUUGGUAUGAAGUACUGAGGAUCUUAUUCACACCAAGUUUUAGUUAAACACUGGUACUAGAAUGAUUUUGUGCUACUUCUGUUGACAGAGAAUGGCAUGUUAAUACCAUAUAGGUACCCAAUGUAUUUUCCAUGUUGUGAUGGAGGCCUUUUUUGCCUUGUCCACCCGAGAGGCCCUUGAGUUUGCUGGAAUGUCGAUUAACUUCCGUUCCGGCAAAUUCGGGUACUCCAUAUGUCCUAUUUUCAGCAAAGGUCAUGCUGAAAUUUUCCGUGAAUUUUAGCAUGACUUUGCUAAAAAUAGGACAUAUGGGGUACUUGUGACUAAUGCAUGGGCCGGGGUAUCUUAGUAGUUAAUUAAGUAGGAUCAAGUGCCCCGGCGUACUUGUGACUAAUGCAUGGCUUUUAGGGUGCCUCGGUGUCGAUAAAAACCGAAAUGAUGAAAGCUUAGGCUUUUAGGGUGCCUCGGCGUCGAAAAACCCUCAAUGAUAAAAGCUUAGGUUUUAGGAUGCCUCGGUGUCGACAAACCCUAAAUGAUGAGACCAUGAUCUUGUUCCUUGACAAUAACCAACUUUUUAACCAAACUUUGUUCCUAUUUAGAGAGAAAUAUGGCCAACAACAAUGAGGCCGGGGGUUCGGGCGUCAAGGCAUUCUGGAAGCUAUCCCAGGAGAUGGAGGAACAACCUCACUUGUAUGAGGACGCCGCCUUCCCCACCGAUCCUGAGACCACUGAUGGUACCGCCGAGGAUGACCCCAUUGAUGCCACCACUAAUGGUGCCGCCGAGGAUGCCACCACUGAUGAUGGCGGCGCACGCACAGAUGGCAGCCAACCGAAGAGGCAACAAAAGAUCCAGCGCCCGACCAUGCUCCGCACCCUCAAGGAGGAAGUUACUGAAGUGGACUCCGACGGGAAUCCAACGGCGCCCGAAAGAAUAGUCAAGGGGUACUCGCUUCAGCUCGGGUGCAUUCUCCGGAGCACCGUCUCGAUCAACACCAAGAACCUGAGGCAUCCUGACCGAGGGAAUUUGCGCAACCUCCUCUUCACGAAGCUGCACGAACGAUACAAGUUCCCCGCUGAAUUUUAAAACACAAGCCUCAAAGGGAAUAAAGUGAACAAUGCUGCCCUCACGAAGAUGAGCAAGGCCCUGUCUACUUGGAAAAGCAAUGUGAAGAGAAUGAUCAAGAAAGGUGAGAGUUAUGAGAAGAUCAAGGAGAAAAAUCCUUCGAUCACCGAAGAUGACUACAAUGACUUCAAGAUCAAUUGCUCGAGCACCGCAAACUCCGAAUCAAGUAAGUGGGGGAAAGAAAUGCGGGAGCUGAACUUAGGGGAACACACACUCGGUCCCGACGGUUACAGAGUGGCGGAGCCUAUAUGGGACAAGGAGGAGGCGGACCGUGCCGAGCAAGGCCUACCGCCCCUCUUCGAUAAAUACGGUGACAAGCAGACCAGGAACUUUGUCAGGGCCCGGUACAAGAAGGACCCGAAAACAAAGGAGCUUACCACGGAUCCGAAGACCAGGGCGCUUGAGCUUGUUCUGGUAAGGAAUACACCCCCGUGUAAUUAGCUCCAUAUGGUUGCAUUCUAAUUAAUGAAGCCAAAUUUCUAAAUGGUUCACAUUCCUUCCGCAGGCGACUGAAAGCAGUAGCGCGGGGUCGACUAAGAGCAACCCUUGGGACACCACUCUAAAUAGGGCAUUGAAUGUAAUGAAGAACAAGGAUAAGCUCAGUAAGCCGACGUCAGCUGGUCGUGUGGCCGGCAAAGGCUUGUCGACAAAAUGGUCGUCAUACUAUAACACUAGUGGGCGAAAGGAGAAAAAGACCAGCUUGGAAAGCCAGGCACGCGAGGUUCAAGAACUCAGGGCACAGGUGGCGCGGAUUCCGGAGAUUGUCCAAGAGCAAGUGGAACAACAACUCGGAAGGAAGAUCACCACCAUUGUGCCUACCUUGAUCCAGGGGAUUAGUGCGUGGAUUGCGGGCGGCCAACAGGGGCCGCCCCCGAUUCCUAGCUUCACGGCCAGCAACUCGCAGAACGCGAUGGCAGGGCCAUUGGUGUCUCCGACGCCGGCACGGGAGCUUAAUGCACCCGGGUGUACGCCGGCCGGUACCUCUGCAGCAAGCGGCCCCUCCGUCAACUGCACACCCGCCGUUGGCGGUGCCUCGACAUUAGCCGAGCUCGACGCCAUCAUCACGGUAACUAAUUAAGCCUCUCUCGACCGAGGACUUCAUCUCCUUUCCUUUGACUGGGCAUCCCUGACGCCCUACAUGUUUUCGCAGGGCGCCGCCGAUGUUCCGUGCACUCUCCGGCACUUCGUGAACAACGAAUUGGUCGAUGUAGCCAAGGGAAAAAUCGUUCAACCGGGAAACCCCUUGUUCCACGGUACCCAGAUGCCACCCAACUUGUUUAGGGUUCAACUGGUUCGGGUGCUGCCAGGCUGCGACGAGUUGUUACCUCCGAUUCGACCCAUCAGGGCCGACGAUGAUGACGUGAUGACCCUCAGCGCCUGCCUGAGCCGGCCCCUGCUUUGGCCGAAGAGCCAGAUUCGUUUGGGGGCGGGGGACACCACCCCAAAGACAACACCGCCAGUCGUGCCGGCGCCAAGUCGGCCCCAUGGGAAGACCGCCGCAACGGUGCCGGACAUCCCUAUGCCACUGGAUCCAAACAUGCAUAUGGCACAGGAUCAGAACGACGACGACGACGAUACAUUUGCCAACGUCGAUCAGUACUUUGCCGAUCAUGGGUACGGUGGCGACUUCAUGGGGCCUCCUUCUCAAGAACCCAACCCAACAAAAGACGUGCACGAUCUAGCUGAUACCGCGGAGAAGCCAAGUUGCAACAGGCGUCGUCUGCAGUUCAGCUCUCAGGAGACGCCUCCAGCUACCGACUUCACCGAGCCUCAGAUAGGCGAGGUGCGAAAUAUUAUCAGCCCCAACACACUCAAGAAGGCGGUCUGUGAGCAGAACUCGGUCCCAUUACAGGAGAAGAAGAAGGCACGCAAAAGAAAGACUAACAAGGGUGCGGGCCAGCCGGCACCGAGUACGAUCCGUGCUCAGGACGGGCCACCUUCACAUGAGGAUUUAAUGAGGAGGCUGCAUGUGGCGGGUAGGCCGAUGCUACCGAGAAAUAUGCUCGAUGCGGCAACCUGUGCUAUGCGGAGUCUGCAUGACAGUGUUCUUUCUUUGGAGAAGCGGUGUCUCAGAGAGAAGGAUGUGGCAUACCCGGUUUUCGCGGCCAAGGUGCCAGAGGGCAAGGGCUUUGUGGAUAACUCCAUCGGGGGUACGAUCGUCCUGCGGUUUGAUGACAUCCACGCUAUGUUGAACCUUCAUCCGCUGCACUACACCUUCGUUCGGCUAUUUUCGCUAAGUAUGGAGAUGCGGAUCAUUCGCGAGAAGACCCCGGACAUCGUGAUAGUCGACCCCUUCUACAUGCGUGCCAAGAUCUUGGGCAGCGCUGGGGACCGGCAAGUCGCGAGUUCUUACCUCGAAGGCGUCAUUCUGGCAAACCAAGAUAAGGAUAACUUCCCCGUGCCUUACUUUCCCGAGUAAGUCCUCCCCUCAACCGCCCCGUAACAUAUGAAUUCUUAGAUUUUGAUCGUUUUUCUUUUAACAUUCCGUGUUUUCUGCAGUGACACACAUUGCACGCUCAUCCUCCUAAGCCCCAAAUAUUCCAUGGCCACGUAUUUCGAGCCGGACCGUCAUUCGAACGUAGACUACACAAAUGUCAAGAAGGUUCUUGAUGAUGUUCUCCCCGGCGACGCCAAAUCUGGAGGCACCUUCACCAGGCCUAUUCGUAAGUACGGCAAGCACGUGUUCUCCCACUAUACGAUGUUCUGCUGCGUCAAGCAGCCGCCUGGCGGUCAGAAGAGUGCCUACUACGCCAUCCAUCACAUGCGGGCGAUCGGACGGGACCAGCAUCAACUUCUGCUACCGAGUAAACUCAAAGAUUGGGCCACGAGCAUGUCGGCAAUCCAGGACGCGGACAUCAGACAAGAAUUCUUUCGCAUCCAGUCGGAGUUUGCGGAAAUCAUCUAUCAAGAUGUCCUUCGUACCUCGGGGCAGUUCUACCUCAGAAAUCAACCAUCCAACAGUGACAUCGACACAACGCUACAAAUGCAGGCUGACAACGACCGUUAUUUCAUGACUCCCACGAUUGACGGCGGCUUCAUCCACGCUCCGGUCCCUUGAGUCGAGUCGAAAGCAGUGAUGCUGUGUCUAGUUCGGAAACAUCGAUUGGCUCAUGUUGUAAUUAAACUUUAAUGAACUUGUAGUAUGUCUCUUUGGUUUCGAGAGUCGUUCAACUUAGAUGUAAUCGAUGCUAUUAAUGUCUUGCUUUUCUCUUCCGAUCGUUCUGUUGCAUACUUAUAUAUUGCUUAUGUAUUGUCUGUGAAUUGGUACUAACGUUUCGUUUGGCUACUGCAUAGCGAUGCCGUCGUAUGUCGUGUACAAGGGUAAGGUUCCCGGAGUCUACGACGACUGGGAGGAGUGUCGGAGACAGGUUCACCGAUUCAGCGGUAAUAGUUACAAAGGGUACACCACUAGGGCCGAGGCCGAAUCUAGAUACGCCCGCUAUCUAGCGGGAGAGGGGAGGGAGCGCUAGAGGAACCGGAUAAAGACGAGUUUCAUCGUGAUGAUGCUCAUCGUGAUGACCGCAACUCUCUUCUAUGUGAUGGUAGUUUAGAUGAUCGAUAUCGACUUGUAAUAUGAAGACAAACUCGCUACUCGCGGUCUCGAGACUUGUAAUAUAAUGUUCUAUCUUUGUUCGGUCUUUUCAAUUCGGAGACUAAUAUGAUGAAUUGUAUUCGGAGACUAAUAUGAUGAAUUGUAUUCAGAGACUAAUCUUCUAUUGUAUUCGAUGAAUCUAUUGUUGAUGUGUGCUGUCUAUAUUUUGUCCAAUUAUACAUUUUGUAACCUGUGCAAAAAACAGAAAAUAAAAAAAUAAAAAAACCUAAUAUUCAUACUAAUGGCGUAUCACAUCAUAGUGCGCCAUUAGUAUGCCAAAGGAUACUAAUGGCGCAUCAUUAAACAGUGCGCCAUUAGUAUGCCGAAGUUACUAAUGGCACAUCUUGUUGUUGUGCGCCAUUAGUAUGCCAAAGCACCUGGGUAUACAUGGCCCCCUGGGAGGCAUACUAAUGGCGCACUGUUGUAUAUACUAAUGGCGCAUCUGAGGUGCGCCAUUAGUAUACCAAAUACUAAUGGCGCACCAGUGGUGCGCCAUUAGUAAAAUAUACUAAUGGCGUGGCAUUAAUGGCGCACCUCUAAUGCGCCAUUAAUGGCCAAAUUAGGUGCGCCAUUAGUAGGCCUUUUCCUUGAGAAUGCACCCGAGCUGAAGCGAGAAUUCCACUUCAGUAACUUCCUCCUUGAGGGUGCGGAGCACGGUCGGGCGCCGGUCCUUCCGUUGCCUCUUCGGUUGGCUGCCAUCUGUGCGUGCGCCGCCAUCAUCAGUGGUGGCAUCCUCGGCGGCACCAUCAGUGGUGGCAUCAAUGGGGUCAUCCUCGGCGGUACCAUCAAUGGUCUCAGGAUCGGUGGGGAAGGCGGCGUCCUCAUACAAGUGAGGUUGUUCCUCCAUCUCCUGGGACAGCUUCUAGAAUGCCUUGAUGCCCGAACCCCCGGCUUCAUCGUUGUUGGCCAUGUUUCUCUCUAAAUAGGAACAAAGUUUGGUCAAAAAGUUGGUUAUUGUCAAGGAACAAGAUCAUGGCCUCAUCAUUUAGGGUUUGUCGACACCGAGGCAUCCUAAAAGCUAAGCUUUUAUCAUUGAGGGUUUUUCGAUGCCGAGGCACCCUAAAAGCCUAAGCUUUCAUCAUUUCGGUUUUUAUCGACACCGAGGCACCCUAAAAGCCAUGCAUUAGUCACAAGUACGCCAGGGCACUUGCUCCUACUUAAUUAACUACUAAGAUACCCCGGCCCAUGCAUUAGUCACAAGUAUCCCAUAUGUCCUAUUUUUAGCAAAGUCAUGCUAAAAUUCACGGAAAAUUUCAGCAUGACCCUUGCUGAAAAUAGGACAUAUGGAGUACCCGAAUUUGCCAGAACGGAAGUUAAUCGACAUUCCAGCAAACUCAAGGGCCUCUGGGGUGGACAAGGCAAAAAAGGCCUCCAUCACAACAUGGAAAAUACAUUGGGUACCUAUAUGGUAUUAACAUGCCAUUCUCUGUCAACAGAAGUAGCACAAAAUCAUUCUAGUACCAGUGUUUAACUAAAACAUGGUGUGAGUAAGAUCCUCUGUCAGUACUUCAUACCAAUAAUCAAAACCCCAAAACCUGACCCCAACUAGUUACCAUAAGGUCAAAUACUGUCCACAAAACCAUAACAGAAAUAGCACAAAAUUAUUCAAGUAUCAUUGUUUAACUAAAACUUGGUGUAAGUAAGGUAAUAAAAGCAAAUUAUCCUAGCAAAUAUGGGUUUUCAGGAAAUAUUGAGACGUCGCACUUCUGAUCGACUCCUGAGGUACAUUCUCAACUAGCAUAGUUUGUUUACCUUCUAUUCCUAUGUGGUUCAUUACUUGAUUUCCUUUCAGCCUCAAAGUUUAUGUUUGUCCUGGUCAUAUUAUGCUUUUGGCAACCACUAGAAAUGUAAAAGAUUUUUUGUGAACAUGGGAAGAAAAGAACCAACUUUCAUCAAAGAAAUAAAAAUAAGAUCAUGAGCAGAAUAGUUGUUAGGCAUUUCUUGGCUGCAACAAUCACUGAGUUUGCAUAAAUUCCUACCAUCAUCCAUGAGCAGCACCACAUAGCAGUUCACAGAGCAGAACAUGAGGCAGUUAGCUACUGACAGAGCUCCCAUCUAUAGCCCUUUUUCUAGUAGUGGUUAAUUAAAAACAGAGGCAGUAAUCCAAUACUCCAAUAGUGCAUCUAAUGGAAACAAAAUUCAGUAAAUUUCCAGCGAUUACUCCUAAUGCAAACAAGAUUCACCUAGCAAGGUUUAUUUUGGCACUCAACUGCAGAAUACACAAAUCUCUACAGCAAGCUACUCCAAGCAGUACUACACCAACUAAUGGCCAUCUGUCCAUCAACAGUUUGGAGUAUUGGAUUACUACACCAAGUCAAAUUUAAACAACUGGAGUAGUUCAAGAUACUGAAUCUUGGUUUUAACCAAACAGUAUUUAUACUCCCCUUUCUUUUAAAUACACAGCAAAAGAUUCAUUUAAAUACACAGUACUGACAAAAUUCAUCUAAUUCUACUGGAGUAAAAAGGUUUCAUUUAACUUAAAAGAUUCAUAGAAGAACAAGAAGGAGCACACUACUGCACAACUUAACUGAAUUUUUUACUCCAAUAAUACUGGUACACUUGCUACUCCAUUACUGUACUUCAUGUGGAAAAGUAACAGUAGCUACUGAUGCUACUCCAAAACGCAUGCACUCCACUGCAAGCACAUAAUCUUUUAUUCAAGUAAUAGUGUAUGAUGAAUUUGAUUAUUCAGACUUAAGUUGCUUCAAGUGAUGUCACUAGUUUCAGUUAACUAGAGUACUACAGCAAAUGGAGUACCUAAUCUGAUCCAGUUAAAGUCUCCAGAUGGAGUACCAAAUGGAGUACUACAGAUUCUGCACUUGCUACACCAAAACAGCUACUGAUCAAGUACCAGAGUACUCCAGUUGAUCAAGCAGCAGUAGAAAGAAUGUAAGUGUUUAAAUUUAGUUGAUCAAGCAGACUCAUCAAAGUACUACUGCAAGUGUUUAAAUUCAGUCAAGUAUACUACUGCAGGUGUUUAAUUAAAAGAAAAGUGCUUCAUGAUUCUCGCCGGGUGUACUCGCCAGGUGUUGCUUCUAUAUUCGCCGGGUGUUGCUUCUGUAUUUGAACAGGAAGACAUAUUCGCUGCAAGAACUACUACAAAAGCUACUGAUAGAGGACCAGAUUGCAGAGUACUCGGUGCUGAGUGAGUGAGGGGCUCACCGUAGAAGGUCUUGGCGUAUGUACAACUCUCCGCGGCGGGGACUCAGAGACUGAGUGCACAGACCUCGCCGCAGCGGUCGCCGAGGAGGCCCCAACUGAGCUCAGCGUCGCCCUCCUGCUCCAGAUCACUCCUAAUAGUUCUGCAUUGCACAAAGGCAGCAAUGAGCCAAUGAUAUCACUCCAAAUCAGUGCAUUGCCAAAACAGUGCUAAAAUGUGUAGUAUGCUAAAAUGUGUAGUGUGCCAGAUAGAGAAUCUUUGCUAUAAUGUGUAGUGUGCCAAACUGAGAAACAAUUCUAAAAUUAUACUAAAUGUGUAAAUGCUAAAAUACCUUGUUGCAAAUAUGCACUGCAAGGUUAAUGGCAACCGCUUCAGGGGCCCAUCAAUCCUAUCUUGUUCUUGGAAAUCAUGGCAUUCAUAUCAGUUAGAAAAACCAANNNNNNNNNNAACCAAUAGCGGAACCUGGAUGCUCAUAUUGGCUCCUACAUAUUCUACGAAGAUCUUUUAUCGGUCAGACCGCAUAACAACAUAAGUUGUUCCCUUUGUCAUCGGCAGGUGACAAUGAAUGCAAGAAGGUCACGAGUUGAACCCAACAGGACAAUGAUGGAGUGCAAUAAUCCAUGUGGUAGGUCCGCCCAGCCUUCGGGUCCAAACAUGACACAGUGCACGGAGAUGGGGGUGUUGGAGCUCUGGUUGAUGUUUUGCAUGAUAUCAGCUCCAAAUUCUGCAUUAAGGAUCAUGAAAGGACAACAAUUUUAGCAAUGGACUUGAGUUAACUAUAUAAUAUAAAUUGUUGUCACUAUUUUAAUUCACUUGGUACUAAUACAACUAUGAUAAUUAUACAAACACAAUAAAAAUGUUUGUAGAAACUGUAAACAUAAUACACAAUAGAGUAAAGAUUAGGGUAUUGCCAUCCAAACGUGCAUGUGCCUCAAGAAAAUUCGAUCAUGACAAAAUUCAUCAACAUUUGAAAAUAAAAUGCAAGUUCUGUAUUUUUCUUUCCAUCGAAUGUUAUUUAUAUGUGUUGCACAACAGGUUUGGCUCUUGUAUCCACCUCGAUCUCGGGCCCGCACAUACGCGAUAAAUUUCAUCAACAUUUGAAAUUAAAAGGUGCAAGCAAUAUUGAAAUACUAAGAUUGUUCUACACUGAUAGUGGUAAACCCUUGAACUAUUUCAUAGUUUUCAUAUAGUAUAAACACAACAGGAUCACACAUCCACCAACAACACAUACACUCAAAUCCCCAAAUCAUCCGGUCAGGCUAACAAGAACAAAAGUGCGAUGAGCGCGUCAGAGGAGGUCACCCCCAAUGGGGGUGAUGGCGGGACAAGGAAGAUGAUCCUGGGCAGCCUUGUGCGGUGGAGAACUCUGUUUGACCGUGGACGGUGGCACCGGUCAGUGAAUAUAUAUACUCGGCCAACCCACGAGACCAUGUCCUACACAUAAAUUGACUUAACCUAGAUCACAUCGUAUCCUACAUAUUUGGGACUCAAGCUUGACUCAAACACGUGAACUCCUACUAGUAAAUCUACAUGACUUUGGUUAGUCCCCAAAGAACUAAAGCCACGUGACAUGCAAGCACCAACUACGUCAUGUUCCAAACAAAACAAUCAAGAUUAUGCUAACACUAGCGCCGGCCCCCUGCACCACCAAUGGUUGUCAUGGGUUCUCAACUCCAACAUGAGGUGGGGAAGGUCUCGUUCACGAUACCGGCAAUCACUCCAAAGCUGCGUGUAGGUACAAAUCAGAGCAAGGGGGCAGAACUCGACAUCAACUUGGUUCCUUCAUGAGUCCGGCAGCCAGCAAGGAAAAUGAAGUGGGCAAAGUCAACCUCAACCAGGCUCAUCCCCUACCCCCUGGAGCCGGUAACACGAAAGCCAAGCACCACAAAGAUAAGAAUAGCCUCAAGGGUAAGCCAAGGAAGGAGGUAGAUCAAUCCUUGGUGAACACCAGGGCGGUGUUGGGUAAAUGCAUGGGACGUGAAAAGUGAGUCUGGUAGUGAGUUUGUGACGACACCUAGUUACACGGGUCCUGGUCUGAACAAGAAGGCAUGAGGUGAGGGUAAUGGAGGUGGCAUGAGCAACAUAGGUCUGUUAGGUGGUAAGGAAGCUAUCGGCCCAUGGGUUGUCGAUGAAUGACAUGUGAUAAGGAAGGCACCUGUCAGGAGAAAUGAGUUGCCUGAUCUAGAACUGUUGGGGCCUCAGGCAGUCCCAGAUAGUUGAAGAGCUAGUUUUCCUCGUGCGCACAUACACCACUCGAUGAUUAUUUUACUUCUAAAACUCGACAAUGUGAAAUAGUUUCAAUAAUCUUAGGUGGAUGCUAGGCCGCAGGAAUUAUAUUACGCAUGAUGGUAAGGGCAAUGGUGCCAACAUUGCGUUGUUCUGAGAUGAAAGAACUAAAAUAAAAAAGACUGCCAUAUAUGACCUGAGGUACAUUGAUGUCUUUAUUCAAGAUGAUUCCCAUGGCCCGAAGUGUCGGGCUACAUGGUGAACCAAGGAGCCAGGAAGACGUUACAUCUGGAGUUUACUCAAAAGAAUAAAGCCAAAUGCUCAUGAACACUUGUUGAUGAUAGGUGAUUUUUAUGAGACGAUGUGGCAACAUGAGCACUUCUUAGUAGCUUGGAUAUCCGACAGAAAAAUACCAAUUUUAGAGAAGCCUUGUUCUAGUGUGAUAUUCAUAAUUGGGGCUAUAAGGGGCCAUCUUGGACAUGCGAUAAUAAACAGUAUGGCAAAAGCAAUGUGACCGUCGGGUUGAAAGUGCAGUUGCAUCGUCGGGUUGGUGUGAUUUAUUCAAAGUGAACAGUGGUACACACAUAUGCUCCAACCACUUUCCUCUAUGGCUGCAAUACGGGAGACAGACCAAGGUGCAUAGCAACGUGAAAUCCUUUCGGUAUGAGUAGAUAUGGGAAAGAGUACCGUCGAUGGAGAUUGAAGUCCCUGGACGAUGACUGCACUAAGUUGGGAGUGCUGCAACAGGAUGUUUGGUCCUGGACAUGAAAGAUUUUGGGCCAUGAUAAGGAGUACUCAUUGGCUGAGAAGGAAUAUUAUAGUCACAUACUAUAUGCACCAUCUUAUUGGUUGCGAACUGUUGAAAUAUAUUGCCUGCCUCCCUCCAUCAGUUCGGACUUUUGGAUGAGUUGGCUGGAGCAUGAAUUCAAUAUGGUAUCCGAGCCAAGAGGUCUUGAGUUCAAGACCCUACCGACGCAGUAUUAAAUAAAAUGAUUUUGCGGCCUACAUCGACCCCACGUCUAAGGACUAAAAUAACCUAGACGUGAGGGGGAGUGUUGAAAUAUAUUGCCCGCCUCUCUCCAUCAGUUCAGACUUUUGGAUGAGCUGGCUAGAGCAUGAAUUCAAUACGGAUGGUCUGGAAAGCAUCUUAAGAAAGCAAGUCUUGGAAGGGAGGUUAAUUGCUAGGGGAGACUCGGUGUCUCUAAACUAAUGUUUGUUGAUGGAAGCCUUUUGUUCUUCAAGGCCAUAGGAAGAGAGGCGAGGGUAGUGAAGGACACUCCAAAUCUAUUUCAAAGGUGUACAUGAUAGCUUCUUAGCCCAGCUAAAUGCUCUUUAUUAUUUAGUGAACACUGCCCGCAUGUCCAGUAAGAGAUAAAGGUAACCCUUGGUGUUGUAACUUCCACUUUUGAGAGUAAAUAUUUGGGUUUACCAACCCCAGAAGGUAGGAUGUUUGACUCGAAUUUCAAUCGAUCAUGGAAAGGUUCACAAAAAUGUGCAACGACUGGAUUAAAAAGUAUAUGACCCAUGCAACUAAAGAGAUCUUGAUCAAGUAAGUGGUUCAAGCGCUUCUCACUUACUUGUUUGGAUUGUUCAAAUAUCCUUGGGCUUUUUUGAAAAGUUGGGCUUUUUGUGGUAAGUAUGAAAAACUUAUCUGGGACUUUAGGUGGGGCGGUGAGUAAGGACAUCACAAGUCCAUUGGCUCUCCUGGUACCAACCGGUAAAACAAAAGAGAGGAGAUGUUCUAGGAUUAUGGGAUAGGUAUAUGUUUAACCAAGCUCUCUUGGAAUGGCAAGGGUGGAUACUCAUUCACAAGCCGGAUAGUUUAUGUUCUAGAAUCUUGAAAUGAGAAUAUUAUCCUCGUGUGAAUAUUCUAGACAUGGUCAUUUCCUAUUAUGCAUCGCCGGCUUGGCGUUAAGAUACUCAAGCAAAUACAUCAUCUGGCGUAUAGAGAAUGGAUGAAAAAUUCAGAUUCAGAGAGACAACUGGAUUCUAAGAUAGUAUGGCCUCAGGUUACCAAAUUCGCUAGAAACUCGAGGUUGAGGUAGGUUAACCAGUUGAUUGUCUCAAUAAAAAUGAAUGGAAUAUUAACCUUGUCCAUAGGCUAUUUUCUGACGUCAAUGCAGAGGAGAUAUUUCGCAUAAAUCACCCUUCUACGUGAUGGAUAACUUGCUUAUAAACUUGCCACCCAACUCACAUUCAGGUACAAUUCCCCUGCUUCUAGCUCUUCAAGUGCGACAUAUAAUUGGAGUAUUUGGGGUGUGUUUUGGAGAGCUAAGGUUCCAAAGAAGGUUAAGGUCUUUGGCUGGAGGUUGCUACUGGCUCACUGGCUACACAAUUUUGUAAAUUUAUAAAGGUGCUGAGUGUAACACCAUUUAUGCUAUUUCUGGUAACAAUGUGGAGCUUGAAUUCCAAUCCACGAUGGCUUUGUGGUGUUGGCUAGUGUCCCAUCAAUACUUCUUUUUCCCACCUGUCUAAUGAUUGCAAUCAGUCUAUAGUAAUAUACAAGUCUAGUGUUUUCCUCCAAUAAAAUAAAAUAAACACAACUCGAAGAUGAACUAAAUUUUUACAUUAAUUUUCCUAGAAAAAAAUAGGGUGAGUUCUUCUCCUACCUUCUUUGGUGUUGACAGCGGAGGGCGAAGUGGAGGCAACAACUACAUUCUCCGAUGCCAGUCGUGGUAAGACGAGGCCAUCGGAUUCAGUAUGCUGCUUUCGUCCAUCGCCAAUCAUCAUGUUUCCUCCAGAUCUGGGGAAAACGGACGCCUUCGACCGCGGUGACUCCAGAUCUGGAUGUGACUGGUCGCCCGCACCUAGGAUUCCAGAUCUGGAUGCGACUGGUCGCCCGCACCUAGGAUUCCAGAUCUGGAUGGAAACACAUUAGUAGCCCACACGGUUCUCUCAACGCAUCAUCCACCACUCAACUGUGGGGCGGUUCUAGCGCAGUUGGUGUGGAUGUCAAGGGGGAGGGGAACGUGUGUGACGAGAAAGAGAGAGCGGGGGGAGGGGAGAAAGAGAGGAGAGGGAGAGAGUCGUGUGUGGGUUUGUUCGUUAUAUAAAAGGCUUUAUCGGAGUACCAAGGGGAACCUUGUCAAACUCCGAGUGAUUUUUCUUGCUUUUGGCAACUUUAUACCUUGAACAAGCUCUAUUACUAAGAAAAGAGGGAGGCUAGAUUGUGCAUGCUUGUGAAUCGUGCACUCGCGUUUCGAUAAGUUUUAUUUUCCAUUUGGGAAAGGGUGCAACACCUCCUUGUUCCCAUUAGAAGAUUAGGUGAAGGCUUAAUAAGAAAUUAGGGAAGGCCCACCCUGAAAUUCAAUAGGAGAAGAGAUUAGGUGGAGGCUUAAUAGGAAAUUAAGGAGCUCCCAUCAGGAAAUUUUGGUGCAGGUAGAUUAGGUGGAGGCUUAAUAGGAGGUUAGCAAGGGCCUACCCUACUAAUUCAAGGGGGGGGGGAGUUACAUGUACAUUAUAUGUGGGCCUGCAUACCACAACAAGACCUCCCGUCCUCACGUUUAAAUUGCCCCGCCCUCUCCCACUUGGUGGGCCCACUUCUCUCCUUGCCGCUCCCAAAAAAGCGUGUCGGCUGAGAGUUGUGCGUGUUGGUCAAUUUGCUCGCUGGAGCGAGCAAAUACCAGUGAGUCAAUGUGAGGUGCUCCCAACCGGCAAGAACACGAAUGACACCAUGCAACAUGCAUCGACCGACCAUGAUUCCUGCAUACAAAUAGUGAACAUCAGACACCAAUGCCCUUACCUCGCUGACCGGACACCCACGGCUCCACUCCCAAACACAGGAAUUGGCGUGAAGUACUCGAUGUCCUCCUAGAAUUCUUGUAGCUCUUCACCCCAUAUUUUUAUUCCUGUUUCUCCCUGUCAAUUAAGACCCCUCUAUUGGAUUUCCCUUUGGCUUGAGAAUGACGGUUGUGACCUCCAUAACAAUGCAACACUCGUCACCCGACUUCUCCUCUUUCUCCUAUGUGUCUUCCUUGCCGAUGAUAGCAAAGUGGACGACCCCAACGACGGUGAUAUCCGCUCGAUGCCAAGGACAUGCGCCGCAUGCGAGGGAAUAUAUGUGAUCCGACAUCCACAACACAAUCCGUAAGGACGAGUUUUCUUCCCAACGAAACCUUCUCUCCUAGCCAAAGAUGACAUCCCUCCUCGAUCUUCUCGUCGGCAUCCGCAGAAGCAACUAUCCUAAUGGUCUAUCGGGAUUGAGGACACCGGAGCGCCAUUCAGAUAUGCCACCAAGAAAGGCGAUGGAGAAGCUCGUUGACCAUUGCACAUGCAGGGAAGGGGGCAACCCAGUUUAGUAAAUUGUAAUAACGAGUUGUAGUGUGCAUCACAAUUAUUGCAUAAACAUCCUUUGAUUAAUUAUAAAAAGAGGAUAAUUCAAAACCUCAUAUAAAAUGCUAUAAAACACACUCAAAUAAUCAAUGCACUGGUAUAAUCCCGCUAAAAAAAUACUAAAAUAUUUACCAUAGUUUCCUUAGGGGGCAGUCCUCUCAUUUAACUAGGCAGGCAAACCCAAGAAGCAAACACUCAUGAGAGACAUAAGCAUUUUCUAGUGAAAAGAAAUAGUGUUGCCAACUAAAGAAAAAAGAAGCAUGCAUAUACUCCCUCCGUUCCUAAAUAUUUGUUUUUUUAGAGAUUCUAAAUGGACUACCACAUACAGAUGUAUAUGGACAUAUUUUAGAGUGUAGAUUCACUCAUUUUGCUUUGUAUGUAGUCAUUUGUUGAAAUCUCUAGAAAGACAAAUACUCCUUCCGUCCCAAAAUUCUUGUCUUAGAUACAUCCGUAAUAUAAGAAUUUUGGGACGGAGGGAGUAUUUAGGAACGGAGGGAGUAGAACACAUGGGCAAUGAUGUACAUCUGAUCUUUUCAAAGGUAUAUGGAGGGACACAAAUAUCAACAUAGAAUAUGGAAUGAGUGGAUCAAAGUUGACUGGGAGUAGAAUCAAUAUGCGCAACAUCGCAUCUUUGAAAGGUUCCAAAUACUCGCAGGCGUCAUUAGUAACAAGUGCAUUUGAAUUAUCACAUGGAAACAACAAAAUAUAUCCAACAAUUCGUUUUCUGGCAGUAUAACAGUGUUGGAUUCAUUGAGAAAUACUGAAUCAUGUUCAUCUAGAGCGUUCUCGUCCUCCUGCGACAUGGUGACAUCUAGGUUUUGCAGGACAAAGCAGGACGCCGAGCUAGUACUUAACCCCAGGAACAUGAGACCAUGCCGUGAAACUCGAAUAUUGUCCUCCGAAGGCUGCAACAGUCAGCUUGAGCCUUGAGGCCACACCGAGGAAUGUUCUUCUUUCUAGGGCCGAAGAUCCUCGCUCUGCUUGUUUCCGGAACCAUUGCUUCUCCAUGUUUGAUCAAAAUUAUGUGAGUGUCGCCUCUUCCUGAGCACUGUCCCUCUCGCUCAUUGCGCCCAAGAUAGACGAUUUACCCCGGAACAUGCAACCACCGUGAUGUGGAGCACGCACAAAAACUGAACCACAGAAAUGGACAACGUUUUAUGGGUAGUCAGCGCAUCUAAGUAAGCUAAGUUGAGACGUGUUAGCAUCGGAGUCGUUGUAGUAUAGUGGUAAGUAUUCCCGCCUGUCACGCGGGUGACCCGGGUUCGAUCCCCGGCAACGGCGAAUUUUUUGUUUCGCGGCCCAUGACAGGCCAGGCCGAUUCUUUUCGGCCUGCUGAGAGCUCGCCUGGCCCGUCCGGGCCUAUUUAUCGUAUGCACCCUCGAAAAGUAUCCCGUUCGCUCUAGAGCCCUGCCAAAACAUUUUCUGUCAUGCUACAAAUUUGUUGUUGCAAUGGCAAAGCAUGCGCGUGCAUAAGGACUACUCCCUCCGUUCGGUGAAGAGUGUACAUUUGGUUUUAGAAUUUGUCAACAAAAAAGUGUACGUCUAUCUUCCUAACACACUUUAAAGUAGAAAAAAUAAUUUUCUUUUAUCACAUGGCAAUCAAGACCAAUAGCAUUCUACAUAUGGUCUCCUUAAUUUCUACAUGCAUUUAGUUUAUUGGGGGUUGGGUAAUUAAAAAGAAGAGAGAUGGUAGCUUGCAUCUUCCCAAUGUAUUUUUACUCGCCUCCAUAAGUUGCCCUAAAAUUUAUAUAUGUACGCUUUUCGCCGGACGGAGAGAGUACUACUACAUUCUAGACAUUGUCUAAAAUGGUUAUAAUGAAUACCAUCGAUUUUGAUAAAAGAAACACUAGUUUUUAGUUCGUGUGUGUUACCCCUGGUUUGUUGGUUUUGCAGCUAUAUUGCUAGCUCAAAUUUAAAUGAACCAGUGUUAUAUUUGUAGAUCAAAUGAGUUAGUAUUGUAUGUUAUGCGUUUAUGUCGGUCUUUUUCUCCGAUUUAACCGGAAGAAAUUCUUAGAUUUUCGAAUUUGGCUCAGUCGAUUUCGUUGGGAAGGAAGAAGGAAGCGCGGGGCAGGGCAAAAUGCCGUCAAGGCCUCAGCUAGGAACAAAUGUAGGCGGAGGCGAGUUCAAAGGUUAACGGUUCGGGGUGCAGACUUGCAGAGAAAUUUUAGUGGUUCGCCGGUUUAGAGGGAUGGCCAUGAUGGCUGGCGCCAACAUGAUGAUGAGGAGUGGGGUGGCGGAGGCAAGCAAUUUGGCCGGUGGUCAUGGACGGUUUGGCAAAGAAGAUGAAUAGGGGAGGACAGUAGGUGGAAGAUGACCAUCUGGUCGUUGGCUGGACGGUUCAGAAAAAUCAACCAACCCAAUCUUUUUUUUAUCGGCCAACCUUUGGUCAUCCUUUUUUUUUUCUCAUGAGUAACUGUGUCAAGGUGAUUCUUAAACCCCAAUCAAGGUUGGAAUAUGUUUUUGUUUGUUUUAUUCUCUUAAUUGCAUAAGUAGAAUAGAAAUAGAAUUUAAGCUAGACUCGUCUUCACUAGAAUCAUAAUCCUAAUCUAUGCUCAUGCAUAUUGUUAAUGUACUACAUUCUCCUAUCUGUCUGAUCAAAAUUAUGUGAGUGCCGCAUCUUCCUGAGCACUGUCCCUCUCGCUUAUUGGGGCCAAUAGAGACGAUUUACUCCGGAACAUGCAACCACCAUUAUGUGGAGCACGCAUGAAAAGAGAUCUAGAGGAAUGGAGAACGCUACGUCUAAGUAAGCUAAGUUGAGUAGCAUUAGCAUGUACUCCCCUUGUUUCUAAAUAUUUGUUUUUUUAGAUAUUUUAAAUGGACUGUCAUAUACAGAUGUAUAUGGACAUAUUUUAAAGUGUUGACAUGGUGUUUUCCACCCAACCCUGCACCUUGCUCCAUAAACGAUCUUUGAGGUAUUUAAAGGCCCCAUUCUUCGAACUCCCAAUAUCUUAUGGCAUCCCUAGAUACUUCUCAUUUAAAGUUUCAUUGGGUAUAUUGAGUAAAUCCUUUAUUUCAGUUCUGGUAGCCUCCGGCACCCCCUUGCUAAAAAAUAUUGAAGAUUUUGCAAAGUUCACUCACUGACCUGAUGCUUGACAAUAUGUAUUCAGUACUAGGUUCACCUCAUUAGCUCCUGCACUAUUUGCCUUGCAGAACAGCAGGUUGUCAUCAGCGAAUAACAGAUGGCUAAUUGGUGGCGCCGUAGGAGCCACUUGUACACCACCCAGAUUGGAUGACUCACUCUUUGAUUUUAACAGGCACGACAGGCCCUCUGCUGCUAGCAAGAACAAGUACGCAGAUAUUGGGUCCCCUUGUCUGAUUCCUCUUGAAGGUUGGAAUUCCUCCAGUCUCUUCCCAUUAAACAUGACAGAAAACUGUACAGUAGUGACCAGUCCCAUAACUAUGUCCACCCAUCUCUCAGUGAACCCCAGCUUUACCAUGAUUGCUCUCAAAUAUGGCCACUCCACCCUAUCAUAGGCCUUCAUCAUGUCUAGCUUCAGGGCAAAAGACUGGUGUUUUUUGGCUUUAUUUCUCUUCAUAAAAUGUAGGCACUCGUAAGCAGUGAUGAUGUUAUCAGUGAUUAGUCUGCCAAGGACAAAAGCAGACUGUUCCUCAGAAAUAAUGUUAGGUAGUACCACCUUAAGGCGAUUGGAGAUAACUUUGGAAGCAAUUUUGUAGAAAACAUUACACAAACUAAUGGGACGAAACUGGUUCAGUAGGGUUGGAUUUUUGACCUUGGGAAUCAACACCAAUACAGUCUCAUUGAUGCAUGUUGCCGAUUCUGUGCCCUCAACAAUUUUAAGCACGACUUUGGUGAUCUCGUCUCCCCAUGUCUCCCGGUGCUGCUGAAAGAAGUGAGCAGGAAAGCCGUCUGGUCCUGGUGCCUUAGUAGGAAACAUUUGAAAAAGAGUCGUCUUAACUUCUUCUGCACUGUACGGAGCAUUCCACAGCGCAUUCAUCGCUUGCGUCACUAGUAGAAAACAUGGCUUUGGUCACGGGGCAAUAUUCACAUUAGUCCCGGUUCAGUCAUGAACCGGGACUAAUGUGAGCAUUGGUCCCGGUUCGUGCGGCUAAGGCAUUAGUCCCGGUUCACUUGAGCCCUUUUAGUCCCGGUUUGAGACACGAAAUGAGACUAAAGGGUGCGAUGCCCUUUAGUUCCGGUUUGUGUCUCAGACUGGGACUAAAGGUCCCAUUUUCAAACUCUACCCCCCUGGAUCGCCUUUCUUGUUUUGAAAAAACCAAAAGAAAAUGAUAAAAACUUCAAAAAAUAAAAUCCUUCGAGAGGUAGUUAUAUUACUACAUCUACUAGUUAGGAAAAUUUAAAAACUGAAAUUUGGACAUGUUUUGCAAAAAAUGUAGGGAAAAUGUAAAACGGCUAUAACUUUUGCAUACGAUGUCGAAAAAAAACGUAUAAUAUAUCAAAAUGUUCAGAACAAAAAUCCGCUUCCGAUUUUGACCGCCUACGGCCUGUUUGCAAAUUUUUAGAAUCCUCAAAUUCUAAAAGGAAAAAAGUUAUGCUCAAAUUUCAGUUUUUUUUGUAUUUUCGUUAAAUCUGGUCAAAGUAUGGUCAAACUACUUAUUCAAGAAAUAUUAGUGUUAUUAAAUAAUUAUUCAAGAAUAUUAGUGUUACUAAAUAAUUAUUUUGGUUUUUCUGAAUUUUUGUCAAAUCUGGUCAAAUUGUGGUGUAACAAUGGUCAAACUAUGGUCAAACUAUUUAUUUAAGAAAUAUUAGUGUUACUAAAUAAUUGUUUCGUUUUUUUUUGAAUUUUGGUCAAAUCUGGUCAAACUUUGGUAAAACUAUUGUCAAACUAUUUAUUCAAGAAAUAUUAGUGUUACUAAAUAAUUAUUGGUUUGUACAAUAAUAGUUUCAAACUCAAACAGUGAAAUGUGUGACUUCAUGCUCAAGCUAAACUCUGAAGGGCUAAUAGGAUUGGCAUCUUACUAUUAUCAGGAAAACAACAAGUGCAGACUUGGAAACGAAGGAGAAUAGAACCCGAAAGUUAAGUGUGCUCGGGCUGGAGUAGUGAGAGGGAUGGGUGACCGGACGGGAAGUUAGAUGAUUCGGAAUGAUGAGGGGUGAUUAGAGAUUAGAGGUUAAAUUGAGCAAUGAUGAGGGGUGGGUGAUUAGAGAUUAAAUUAUAAAAUAAUUCGGAAAUUUGAAAAUCGAGAAAAAAAUUCAAUUUUUUUUUAAAAAAAAUUACCUUUAGUCCCGGUUGAUGUUACCAACCGAGACUAAAGGUGGAGCUGGUGGAGCUCUAGCCAGCGGCCACGUGGGUUCCUGAUUGAACCGGGACUAAAGGGUCAGGGCAUUAGUAACGAUCCUUUAGUCCCUGUUCACAAAACCGGGACAAAAGGCCCUUCCCAACCGGGACUAAUGACCCUUUUUCUACUAGUGCGUUACCUUGCAUGGUACUGUUUCGAGGACCCGUUCCAUGUCACCACCCCUUCUGUCGUGUACAAAUCUUUGUAGAAAGCAGUUGUCAUAUUUUCCAUCUCCACCACGUUUUCAGUAACCUGACCGUCAGCAAGCUGCAGCGAUUUGAUCUGGUUUUUGUGUCGCCUCCUGCUCGCUCUCAUGUGGAAGAAAUAGGUGUUUUUGUCGCCAUGCAUGAGCCAGUCAACCCUGGCUCGUUGCCUCCGCAAGAUCUCCUCACGGUGAAAAAGUUCAAUCAAGCGGUCACAUAUUUUUGUCUCCUGCCGUGAGGGGCCGGAGCUUCCUGGGAGUUCGUGCAUCACCUGUAUCCUUUUUUAAUUCAGCUAUCUCUCUAUGAACGCUGCCAAAAUGUUGCCGAUCCCAGGUAGCUAGGUCACCCGACAGCGCUUGUAGCUUUGUCUUCACCUGCACCACCGAAUCCCCCUGCACCUGGUUCCAACCCGCAUGCACCACUGUUUCCAGCAUCGGGUUGCGCUCCCAGCAUACUUCGUAUUUAAACGGUCGUGGCCCCCUUCUGCAUGCAUGCAUUGCUUGGAGCCUAAGCAUCAUAGGUACGUGGUCAGAUGUAGCAGCAGUAAGGUGCUCCAGAGAAGCAUCUGGGAAGGCCAGAACCCAAGCGGGAUUAGCCACGCCCUUGUCCAACCGCACCCUUGUGUACGUUACCUUUUUCUACUAGUGCGUUACCUUGCAUGGUACUGUUUCGAGGACCUGUACCAUGUCACCACCCCUUCUGUCGUGUACAAAUCUUUGUAGAAAGCAGUCAUCAUAUUUUCCAUCUCCACCACGUUUUCAGUAACCUGACCGUCAGCAAGCUGCAGCGAUUUGAUCUGGUUUUUGUGUCGCCUCCUGCUCGCUCUCAUGUGGAAGAAAUAGGUGUUUUUGUCGCCAUGCAUGAGCCAGUCAACCCUGGCUCGUUGCCUCCACAAGAUCUCCUCACGGUGAAAAAUUUCAAUCAAGCGGUCACAUAUUUUUGUCUCCUGCCGUGAGGGGCCGGAUCUUCCUGGGAGUUUGUGCAUCACCUGUAGUUCCUUUUUUAAUUCAGCUAUCUCUCUACGAACGCUGCCAAAAUGUUGUCGAUCCCAGGUAGCCAGGUCACCCGACUGCGCUUGUAGCUUUGUCUUCACCUGCUCCACCGAAUCCCCCUGCACCUAGUUCCAACCCGCAUGCACCACUGUUUCCAGCAUCGGGUCGCGCUCCCAGCAUACUUCGUAUUUAAACGGUCGUGGCCCCCUUCUGCAUGCAUGCAUUGCUUGGAGCCUAAGCAUCAUAGGUACGUGGUCAGAUGUAGCAGCAGUAAGGUGUUCCAGAGAAGCAUCUGGGAAGGCCAGAACCCAAGCGGGAUUAGCCACGCCCCUGUCCAACCGCACCCUUGUGUAUGUGCCGCCCACCACCUUCUUCUCAAAGGUCCAGCUCUGUCCCUUAUAACCAAUGUCAGAUAAACCGCACGUGUCAAUAGCGUCUCGGAAUACGUGCAUCUGUUCUUGGCUUCGCUGGCCAAUUCCAUCGUGCUCAUGGGCAUGAAGUACUUCGUUAAAGUCCCCAAUGACUAUCCAUGGAUCGUUGCUCAUUCCUGCAAUUCCACGCAACAUGUCCCAAGUUUUGUACCGCUCGCUUGUUUGGGCCUCACCAUACACAAAGGUGAUUUUGGUUUUGAUAUCUACCAUCUGUUCAACCAAAACGUCUAUGUGAUACUCAGAAUAACUGAUAACCUCGAGCUUUAUUUCCUCAUUCCAAAAAAUGCCUAGUCCACCACUCCUGCCGGAGCUGUUUACAACAAAGCUUUUAUUAUAACCUAGAGUUCCUACCAGAUUCUCAACUCGUGAGCCCUCUAACUGAGUUUCAAGGAUGCAUACAAUAGAGGGGGCAAGUUGCUUCGAAAGAUCUCGAAGCUCUCGAACUGUCCCGGGUCUGCCAGCCCCACGACAGUUCCAAACUAGGCACCUCAUUGCGCCAGGCGCGACCCGUUGAUAGGGCCCGCCGAUUGCGCGCUGUUUUGGGUGUUUGAGGGUUUGUUCUUCACUUGGUUCUUCUUCAACUGAGGUGGGUUGGUCUUCGUUCUUUUGGUUUCUUGCUUCGACGAAGGGCUCUGUGGAACAGUUUCUGUGGCAAGUGUUUGAGGUUCCAUCGAAGAUGAUGGGUUGGCUCCUGGAGCAGUAAGCAAGAGCGCAUUUGCAAGGGCACCUCUGUUGCGAUUCACUUCUCCUUCUUCCAUCUCUGUAUCCGGAUCAGUAGCAGGGUCAUAUUUAUCUGGAUGUGUUUGACCGAAACCACGCCCUCCGUGUCCUGCACGGCCAUUGCCUCGCCCUCGUCCACCUUCCGAGCCUCUUGCCUCUCCUGGUUCGCGACCUGGUCCCCUGAACCAAUCUGCUUUCAGGUUUUUGAACACUAGCGCUGAUGGGGGGUGAACCCCAUCGCCGCAUUCUUUGAACGGAUGGCCUAGCAAUCCACAUAUAGCACACCAAUCUAGGAGCCUUUCAUAUUUCACUCUGUAAAUCUCUCUCUUCUUCCUGAUCACCAGCGAGACAGCGUUCUUGAGCGGCUUUGUGACGUCCACCUUCACCCGAACCCUAAAAAAGUUACCCUCAAAGUCCUGGGAUUUGGGCUCAGCAAAUAUGAAAUCACCCACCGUAGCAGCUAGCGAUUUAAUCAGGUGGAAGAACAAUUCAGGGAGAUCAUGAAUCGGAAUCCACAUCUCAAUUUUAUCAAGAACAAUGGACGAUAGCCUAGUGAAACCAUCAUAGGGCUCGAUCACGACCGCUUUCCCUUUGAAGGUCCAAGGGCCAUCGCCCAUGACUCUCUCCCAAUCUCCCGGGCAGGAGAAUUGCAAGGUAUAGAGGUUUUCUUCUAGCGGACGGAACUUGACCUCUUGCGCUAGAUCCCAUGCCACCCGCAUGUUGUGAAAGAACCAGUACUGGCUGUACGGCUUGUCCGUGUGAACCCGCGCGAUCGCCAUCCAACGCGCUACUUCCUCUGGAAUAUCACCGUCCUGAACCAUGAUGUCCUCCAGAUCAUCUUCUUUCAGGCCUAGUUCCUUCAUCAUAGCCUCCAUCUCGCUCAUCGCUGCGGCCGAAGCCGACGUUGAGCCUUCCAUCAGAUCUCUUGCCCGAGAAGACGGUUUCCGCGGGCGGGAGGACCCAAGCCAGGUCACCCAGCACUCACGCACGCCAGCAAGCCUAAGCCGCUGGCGAUCGGUGGUCUGAGAGACGCAGGGGAUCGCGAUCUCCACGUCAAUGCCUAGGCGCCGCCGGGAGGAGAGAAAAACCCUAACUAGAGGGGAAUAUUUUCAGGUCUGUGUUCAAAAUAGUUGUUUUUAAGCGAUGAGAAGGUGUACCAUGGGCCAUGGCUAGACUAGGCCUGGCCGGCGUUAUAACCGGGAGAAGGAAAUAUCCAGGUGAAAAGAGAAAAAACGGAGCCCGCUAGGGUUUCCCUCCGCCGCCGCCGCCCUCCCCCGCUCCCGCCGCCGCCGCCCUCCCCCGCUNNNNNNNNNNNNNNNNNNNNNNNNNNNNNNNNNNNNNNNNNNNNNNNNNNNNNNNNNNNNNNNNNNNNNNNNNNNNNNNNNNNNNNNNNNNNNNNNNNNNNNNNNNNNNNNNNNNNNNNNNNNNNNNNNNNNNNNNNNNNNNNNNNNNNNNNNNNNNNNNNNNNNNNNNNNNNNNNNNNNNNNNNNNNNNNNNNNNNNNNNNNNNNNNNNNNNNNNNNNNNNNNNNNNNNNNNNNNNNNNNNNNNNNNNNNNNNNNNNNNNNNNNNNNNNNNNNNNNNNNNNNNNNNNNNNNNNNNNNNNNNNNNNNNNNNNNNNNNNNNNNNNNNNNNNNNNNNNNNNNNNNNNNNNNNNNNNNNNNNNNNNNNNNNNNNNNNNNNNNNNNNNNNNNNNNNNNNNNNNNNNNNNNNNNNNNNNNNNNNNNNNNNNNNNNNNNNNNNNNNNNNNNNNNNNNNNNNNNNNNNNNNNNNNNNNNNNNNNNNNNNNNNNNNNNNNNNNNNNNNNNNNNNNNNNNNNNNNNNNNNNNNNNNNNNNNNNNNNNNNNNNNNNNNNNNNNNNNNNNNNNNNNNNNNNNNNNNNNNNNNNNNNNNNNNNNNNNNNNNNNNNNNNNNNNNNNNNNNNNNNNNNNNNNNNNNNNNNNNNNNNNNNNNNNNNNNNNNNNNNNNNNNNNNNNNNNNNNNNNNNNNNNNNNNNNNNNNNNNNNNNNNNNNNNNNNNNNNNNNNNNNNNNNNNNNNNNNNNNNNNNNNNNNNNNNNNNNNNNNNNNNNNNNNNNNNNNNNNNNNNNNNNNNNNNNNNNNNNNNNNNNNNNNNNNNNNNNNNNNNNNNNNNNNNNNNNNNNNNNNNNNNNNNNNNNNNNNNNNNNNNNNNNNNNNNNNNNNNNNNNNNNNNNNNNNNNNNNNNNNNNNNNNNNNNNNNNNNNNNNNNNNNNNNNNNNNNNNNNNNNNNNNNNNNNNNNNNNNNNNNNNNNNNNNNNNNNNNNNNNNNNNNNNNNNNNNNNNNNNNNNNNNNNNNNNNNNNNNNNNNNGCGGCCCUGUUCUCUUCCUCCCCGCGCGGCGCUGUAGCUCGGGCGUUGGCGCCGGCGGCGGUGCACCCAGGUCGGCUUCGGAUCCGGUGGCGGCUCGUCUUCGCAGGCGGCGCAGCUCCGGGUGGCAUGGUGGCGGUGGUGUGGCUGCUUGGCUGCGGGGCGGCGCGGUGGCUGGCGGCGGUGCCCUUCCGGCCCAGAUCUGGGCCCUUUUGGGCCCCAUCUGGGUCUGGGUGGGCCUGGCGUGUGCUUUCCGGCGUCAUCUCCGGCGGACGGAGGUGUGGCUUGGGCUGGGGGUGGCGGAGACGGUGGCGCGUGUACUGCAGCGCAGCGACGGGAGCUUCACGAGCCCGCUUCGGGCUCGGCCGGGCAGGGGUGCCUGGUUUGCUCCUGAGCUACGUCCGGUCGGUCACCGCCGAAGGUGGUGGAGGUUGUCCCCUCCCACGUGGCCGCUGACCCUGCUGCUCCUCGUUUUCGGCUGGUUCCUCUCGAUCCCGCCGGUCUCGCUUCGCUUGUCACGGUGAGACGGCGAUGGUGACUGCGUGUCCGUGGUGGCGCAUAUUGGUGGACGGCAAGUAUGGUGGAUCGCGAUGGAUCGUCUGGGGUCGUGGUUGGUAGGAGGUUGGGAGAAAUCCUUGUCGGCUUGUUCGGCACCGACGCGGUGACGCCCGUGGGCGUCGCCGUGCCUUCCUGAAGGGCGUCGGAUAUCCCCCUUCCUCCCACGGCCCUUCGCGUACCGGGGGAAACCCUAGGCCAUGUCCGGUAGCAGCGUCGUUGUCGUCGCGUUCCUUCUUGAAGGUGUUACUUGGUAUGCGGCGUUUCGUGGUGCUAGGAGCGUGGUGGAACUCUCCGGCGGGCGCAGCGAUGGUGAGUCAUCUUCGUUUUUGUUGAUCCGCCGUUGUCGGCAUUUUUUUUUCCUUUUGUGUUUUCUCUUUUUUUUCUUUUGGGCGUGCCUGUGCUGCUUCCGCCCCAGCACCUAUCGUGGGUUGUAUCGAUGUUGUUGCUUUGUAAUACAAAGCGGGGGGAAACCCUUUCUCGGCAAAAGAGAAAAAACUGAUCUGUAGUUCUGUACCGUACUGCUUUACAGGCCGCGCUGCCCAUCGGAGACGCGCAUGGAGAUCGACGCGCAUCCUUCUUCCUCAGCCUCGGCUGCUGCUGCGUCCUCGUCCUCGUCGCCUACGUAAUACCCCCAACCCCUAUCUCGUCCUGUACUCCUCCAUAUCUCUCUCUCCCUCUUGUUCUGCAUCCCGUUUCCGUUCACCUGCGGAUGUUGAAUCAGAUCCGCCUACAUCUGCAAGAUUAAUCACACCUCAAUAUAUGGAACUAAAUUGGGUAGAUAUAGUUACAGUUUUGCUAAAGCACAUCUAGAUGUGCCAUAAAUAUUGCACAUCUAGGUCCUAAAGUCAUUGAUCUUACACGGAGAUUCCUGUGGAUAAUUUCUUUUUUCUUUUUCUUUUUCUUCUUAUGGCUUGAUUGAGUCAUUUAGAUGUGCAAUAACUAGGGCACAUCUAGUUAAGUCGUAGAUGGAUUCUGCUUAUUCUCGAAGAAGAAAAACAAUCCAGAUUGAGACUUUCCCUGCUUUAGGUGUCCAACAUUGCAGCUAAUAACGGAGGGAGAACCAUAUGUGCUCUGCUUUCCUUUUUCAGGCAGAAUCAACACUUGCCAGAUACAGUAUUAAUUUGAGAAAUAGGCGAUUUGUGGUUUGUAUUGUUCAGUAGACGCGAAGAAUUAUAUGAAACUUUAACAGGCCGUCUAUCUACCGCGUAGCUUCUACAUAGUUGUUAAUUUUAUUCUCAGGAGCGACAACGUCAGUAUUUUUUGUUAAUUUUAGUGUAUGAUGCAAGUGUAGUGACGUGUUGAUGUUGGAACGAUACACACAAGUCGUGUUUUCUGAAUCUUGGUAGCUCCUGUUUCUUUUUGUACAACUACACCUUGCUGCGCAUGUCUAACCUUUUGUCCUGAAUUUUAUGUGUCGCCAGGGAGAGCGCUGUCAUGCAAAUCAGGGCGAAGAGAACCUGCUAUGCCGCUGCCUCAUCUGAGGCACGAGGAUGGGCCGAGCUCCCGGACGACUUGCUCCGACCCAUCGUUGCUCUCCUCAGCUCGUCGUUCCGCGACCUCCUCGCCUUUGGUUCCACCUGUCAUCCCUGGCGUGAUUUCUCAGCGCACACGUCCUCUUUGUACCCUCUCCUCCUCCACCCGAGUACCGACCGCCAACAGUAUCCCUGGUAUGACUAUGACUACUGGACCCUUUUCCACGAAUGCACGUGGAGAUUGGCUGAUCCUGCUGCCGCCUCAUCCUAUCCCAGUUUGCUUUCCUUGAGUGAUCUCAGGGGAAUGUUCUUUCUGCGCUGCUCCUACGGUCACCUCAUCUUCUUCGACAAUAAGGGGUUCUACAUUGUUAAUGCGUUCAGUGGCGCUAAGGUUGUGCCUCCUUGCCUCAAGUCAGACAACUUCAUUCACAUUAGCUAUGCCACCUUGACUGCCCCUGUUGCAUCCGCUGACUCGCAUCUCCUUGUCGGCAGCGGAGGCUAUCUGUUUCAGUGGCGCGUCGGGAGCGACUCUUGGUUGGAACACUAUCCUAAAGUUCCUUUUCUUACGAUUGAACAAAUUGUGGCCUUCAAAGGCAAAACAUACACCCUAGGGUCUUUUGGGUCCUUCUGCAUCGUACAAUUUUCGCCCUGUCUCUUAGUUCAGAAGUUUGAAAUUAUGUUUGAGGAAGAUAGAACUGAAGAUCGCUAUUGGACAAAUCAAAAAACAUGGCUUGUGGUGUGCGACGUGCUUCUCUUAAUCAAACUUGAGGCAGUAAAAAGGAUAAGCUCUGAGGCUUUCCAGUUCAAGGCCUUCAAGCUCAAGUCGUUGGACGCCAAGAACAAGAAAGCAAGGUGGGCGAAGGUGGACAGGUUGAAUAACUGGGCCAUCUUUGUCAGCGCCGACGGGCGAUGCGAGGCGUUGUCGUUCAUGAACCCGGAGAGAUGGGGAGGGAGGAGCAACCACAUAUACUUCCCAAGUUAUGAGUCUGAACGACCUUGGGCUGCAGUGCAACUAUGGCAAAAAGCUAACAACCAUUCGACAAGUUCGUGGCUCUCGAAAACUGGAAGCCAGUACCACAGAUUGGUGCCAACCUGGGUCCUCCCUAGCGCAUAUCCUCGCUCUGGUCAGCAAUGAUCUUACGGCCAUCGCAGGCGUGGUUGGUGAUUGUCCUCUGAUACAGCUUCCCUGGGAGAGUUCUACCUUGUUUGGAGCAGUUACAUGAUGAGUAGUUUUACUGAAUGUUCUUAACUUUUUUUCUAAACUUGCAUUGCAAACAGAAGCUUUCACUGUAGAGUUAUCUGAUUCUGCUUUUUUUUGUGGGAUUAUAAGGGACCUUAUGUUUUAUUGCUCAUCUACUACAAAUUACGGAGAUUACUUGUACUUGCGCCACUUGAUAACUUUGGGUUAGGCCUGCAACUUACUUUUAUACUACACACCUAAGGUGUUCAUCUAGGAGACUAGGACUGAGCCCAAAAAGCAAUUUCCUAAUAAACUCGCUAGUAUCUGUGCAGUGCUCAUUAUUCAUCAAGUUAUAAGCUUACUGCUGUUCUUCAUCUUUUCAUGUUGAACAAACUUGUGAUGUCUUUUAUUUAGUGCCAUGGCAGCUGUUUUGCUUCGAAUAAGUGUGCCAUGGCAAAGGUUUGCAUACUCACUGCACAUGUGCCAUGGCAGGCGUCUUUCCCAUCGGGUUAGCCAGGUUUACAUGUUGCUUUUUUCGCCAAAGCUUGUUAAUUACUCCCAUUUUGUUAAUUAAGAAGCUUUGGCGAAAAAAGCAACAUGUAGAACAGGUUUUUGCCUCCAAGAACGUACAUUGGAUAGCAAACAAAGAUUAUUACAAAUCUUGAUGCACUACAUCAGAGAAGCGAAAAGAAUAAGGGAGUGUUUAGUUCGGUACUUCAGCCUGCCACUCCAACCUGCGACAAGCCGCAAGUGAGGCGGACGAUCCGUCCGCCACACGUUAGGCACGAAAAAGUGCAACACGGUAGUUUGUUUUGCUAUCACAUACUACAGCGUGUCAGGAAGCAAACAGUUGCCGGAGAUUGUCUGGCACGCCGCGCAUGUGGCACGGCAACCAAAGGCGUGAUCCAAACACGCCCUAAGUACCAUAACAAUGGAACACAAACAGCCCCCAAGUGCAGCCAGUGGCAACAAGACAACUACAUGGUGCAACGACACGAUCUCAUACCCAAGCAGUAAAAGAUGUAGGAUUGCGAGGAAGUUGAGCAUUUAUCGUCGUAAAACAAGGUUCUGGCACCCACUUCUUAUUUCGGUUGCCAUCUUCUGGUUAUAAAAAUGCUCGAGCAUUUUUAUCCAACUCGUAGACAUGGCCAUCCCUUAACCCCAUCCCCUCUUGGUUCACUAAGUUUCAUGGCUGUUUUUGGCCAAAGAAGAAUGCACACUUGUUCAUGCCUCCAUCUAUCCCCUCGCAUACUUUGCAGUUUCAGUCGAAAAAUCGUUGGAGAAGGCAUCCCCGUUACAGCCAAGUAGGAGAAGCGUAUCUUCUCAAGCUACCAAAUUUCCCGAAAGCAUCUACCGGUCCAUAUAAUUGCUGCAAGAAACUCUUAGUACCUCACCAUGAAAACUAGGGUGCCAAAUGCACGGUGUACAACUUUUGAUGUAUCCUCAUAAUGAUCCGGCCUUUGAAGGCCACCAUCUCUUGGAUCAAAUGUACACUUACAAAAUCACAGCCCAAUCAAGUGGGGCUCCCAACCUCUCUUGUAGUCCAUGUGAUGUCAUGAGAUAGUUGGAGCCGAUGGUGGUUGUUCUACAUUGCCAAUCAAUGUUUUUAGAGAUAAUAAUAGAGGGUGUGGAUCACUGAUUCUCAAUUUGCUAGGAAAAUCAUAUGUGAUCUGCUUUUAUUUUUCUGUCAGUAUCGACACUUGCCAGAUACAGUAUUAGUUUGAGAAAUACUAGGCGCAAAGAUUUAUUUUCUAUCUAGCGCAUAUAUAUAAGUUCCCCAAAGAAUUGAUAUCCAGUGCCUGCAUCAUUGUUGAUCUUAUUUUGGGCUUCUAGGGAGCCACAACGCAAUGCGAUUAGUACCUUUGUUCAGCAGUGUAUGAUGUUUUUUAGAAUCUUGGUAACUCCUGUUCUUUUGUAUACAGUCGUUAUACCUUGUUUCGCAUGCCUAACCUUUUUCUUGAAUUUGCUGUGUCGAACAGGGAGAGCGCCAUCAUGCAAAUAAUGGACAACAGGACAUCUUCUGCUUCUGUCUACUCACUCAAGGAUGGGCAGAGCUCCCGGACGACCUGCUCCAACCCGUUGCCGCUCUACUACGCUCGUUCCGCGACCUCCUCGCCUUCGGUACCACUUGCCGUCAUUGGUGUGAUCUCUUCUCAGCGCACAGGUCCUCUGUCCAGCCUCUGCUCCUCCACCCCAAUCUCCGUACAGAGGGUGGACAGUCUCUCUCACAUAACUGCUGGACCUUGUUCCACAAAUGCACAUGGAGAUUGGCUGACCCUGCUGCCACCUCAUCCUCUCGCAGUUUUCUUUCCUUGAGUGACCUCAGAAACAUGACCUUUCUGCGCUACUCCCAUGGCCAGCUCAUCUUCUACGACAACAAUGGGUUCCAUAUUGUUAAUCCAUUCAGUGGCACUAAGGUUGGUCCUCCUUCCCUCCGGUCAGUUCACUUCACUUGCAUCAGCUAUGUCACCUUAACUGCCCCUGUUGCAUCUGCUGAUUCGCAUCUCAUUGUCAAUGCUGUAGCCUAUCUAUUCCUGUGGCGCAUCGGGAGCGACUCUUGGACAAAACACAGUCCUAAAGUUGGUCGUUUUUUUAUUGAACAAAAUGUUGCCUUCAAGGGCAAGACAUAUGCCCUAGGGUCUUUCGGGUGGUUCUACAUAAUUCACUUGUCACCCAGUCUCAUUAUUCAGAAGUUUAAAGUUGUGUUUGAGGAAGAUAUAACCGAAGAUCUCUAUUCGGAAAAUGAAAAAGCAUGGCUAGUGGUGUGUGCUGACUGCUGAUGCAUUUGAUUAUCUCUGUUUAAAAGGAGAUCAAGCUACAAGUAGAUGUAUGGACCAAACAAAGCACAUAACUCAAAUAAAAGCCCAGGCACAUCUGACAUGGUGCACACAAAAAAUGUUGAAGAGAGAUAUGAAGGCGCAAGAAGCUAGUAUUGUUUCAGGAUGCAAGCCCUUAUCUUUUGUAUGCAAAACGGGAGUAAUUAACAAGGUUCAGCGGAAACAGCAACAUGUAGCACAAGUUUUGCCUCCAAGAACAUACACUGGGUAGCAAACAGAGAUUAUUACAAAUCUUGAUGUACUCCAUCAGAGGAGCGGAAACUAGAAAGAACAUAGCGACCGAAUACAAAAAGUUCCCAAGUGCAUCCAACGACAACAAGACAACUGCACGGUACAACGACAUGAUCUCAUACCCAAGCUGCAAAGGAUGUAGGAUUAUGAGCAAGAUGAGCAUUGAUCGUCGCAAAACAAGGUUCUGGCUCCAACUCCUCAUUUUGGUUGCCAUCUACUGGGUAUGAAAAUACUCGAGCGUUUUCAUCCAACUGGUAGACAAGGCCACCCCUUAAACCCAUCCUCUCUGGGUUCACUAAGUGUCGUGGAUGUCCAAUGUGUUUCUGGCCAUAGAAGAACGCCCACUUCUUCAAGCCUCCCUCUUCUAAUCUCACAAACUUUGCAGGUUCAGUUGAGAAAUCAAUGGAGAAGGCUUCCCCGUUACGACCAAGUAGGAGAAGUGUGUCUUCACAAGCCACCAAAUUUCCGGAAAGCACGUAUGGGUCCAUAUAAUCUCUGCAAUCAACUCUUAGUAGCUCAACAUGAAACUGAGGUGUCAAAUACACGGUGUAUAGUUUUUGACGCAUCUUCAAAAUGAACCGGCCUUUGAAGGACACCAUCUCCUUGAUCAAAUGUGCAUUUAGAAAAUCGCAGUUCAACCAAGAGGGGCUCCCAACUCGCCAAACGUACAGGCAGUGUGGGCUGCUGACAAAUAGAUAUGAAUCCGGUGACGCUUCUGGAGAUAUGAAGGUUCUGUAGCAGAGUUGAUUCAACGGGAAAGGUGGAGCUGCAACCGUAGUGCCAAUGAGCACGUCCAUAAUGAUAAGGGAUCUGUCGUAGCAGAAAAUUGCAUGAUCAUAAGAACAUUUGAUGACUACCACUUUGUCCAAAAUACUUGGAGGGGUCAAGCGACACAACGGAGUACUUGGAUAUACAGGAUCAAUGAGCUCCCAUGUGUUUCCAAUGUUCGAGCCAGCUGAGCUUGUCUCGUCGGCACAGUUCCGAAAAAUAACAGGUGGGAAGAGCUUGCCUAAGGUAGAUCUGAUUGACAUGAAUGCGGCAUACCAGCUAGGGCAGGUGGCAAUGAAUGCAAGAAGGUCACGAGUUGAACCCAACAGGACAAUGAUGGAGUGCAAUAAUCCAUAUGGUAGGUCCGCCCAGCCUUCGGGUCCAAACAUGACACAGUGCACAGAGAUGGGGGUGUUGGAGCUCUGGUUGAUGUUUUGCAUGAUAUCAGCUCCAAAUUCUGCAUUAAGGAUCAUGAAAGGACAACAAUUUUAGCAAUGGACUUGAGUUAACUAUAUAAUAUAAAUUGUUGUCACUAUUUUAAUUCACUUGGUACUAAUACAACUAUGAUAAUUAUACAAACACAAUAAAAAUGUUUGUAGAAACUGUAAACAUAAUACACAAUAGAGUAAAGAUUAGGGUAUUGCCAUCCAAACGUGCAUGUGCCUCAAGAAAAUUCGAUCAUGACAAAAUUCAUCAACAUUUGAAAAUAAAAUGCAAGUUCUGUAUUUUUCUUUCCAUCGAAUGUUAUUUAUAUGUGUUGCCCUUCCUCAUUUCUUGCCCGGCCCCCAUGGACGACUUCAUAGUCAUCUUCAUCACCUUGCCACCGAUAGCCAUCCAUGAAACCACGCAAGAGCAGGCGGUCCCACACCUGCCCGGAUUCCGGGUCCGCAAUAAGGCUCUUCAGCUUGCAUCUUCGACACGGACAUCUUAUCUCUGUCUCGUUCUUUUGAAGCAUCUCGGCCUUCGCGGACCUCAAAAACCUAUUCACGAUGCCUUCAGUCAUCGUGCGGACCAUGGUCGCCUGCGGGGUAGAGCAAAACGAUAUUUUAGAACCAAGAAAAAAUUUGGCAUGACUUUCCCUAAAAAUAGGACCAAAAAGAAUGCUUAAUGCCAAAAUUCUCGCCGAAACAGAAAUGAAUCAACAUUCCGGCAAAACAUUGGCAACUAUCGCAUUUCAAAUACAGGUACACCUCCAAAUACAAACACAUAUGCAACACCACAAACAUAUGCAACACCACGAACAUGCAUAGAUCUAGCUAGGCCAUAAAAAGUGCAUGUGCACAUUUUUGUAGGGAGAACAACAUAAAUAUAGCUUCCCCCUUACUUACCUAUCAAAACAAGGUAAUUUAACCACGUAAAUUGAAUGAACCUAUGGUGGAAAUGAGGUGAAAAAGAGGAGGCACCCGAGACAAGGAGGAGGUGGAGAGAAUGAAGUGGGGAGAAAGUGAGUGUGGGUAGGAGAGGCUGUCCAAAAUAUCUUGUUGCUGCCCACUUACUAAUGGCGCACCAACUCUAAAUGCGCCAUUAGUAAUCCAGGUUACUAAUGGCGCACCUUCUGGUGGUGCGCCAUUAGUAGUUUUGCAAAAAAAAACAUACUAAUGGCGCACUGUCCCGCAGUGCGCCAUUACUAGUUUAAACUAGUAAUGGCGCACGGUGGAACAGUGCGCCAUUAGUAGUUUUGCAAAAAAGGAAUAAAAAAUAUAAUUAAAAAAACAACAUUAGUGGCGCACUUUCCGACAGGUGCGCCAUUACUAGUUACAACUAGUAAUGGCGCACUGUGUCUGGAUGCACCAUUAGUAUGUUUGGACAGGCGCACUAGUUCAAAUUUUUUUUGAUACUAAUGGCGCACCCUCGGCCUGGUGCGCCAUUAGUAGUUUCAACUCUAAUGGCGUAUCAGAAGGUGGUGCGCCAUUAGUAUAUACUAAUGGCGCACCGCUUGUCUGGUGCGCCAUUAGUGUCAAUCCCAUCUAUAGCCCUUCUUCUAGUAGUGAAUUGCCUUGCGCCGGGCUGUCCAGAUUGCCCAGAGUGUGACCGAGAGCAAUACGAACGAUCAUGCGUGAGCGACUGCAUGAAGGUGAAGAGCCACUGCUUGGCAUUGGGUUCUGUGUUGGAUACCAGAUUUUGAGCCAACUCCUCAUCAACAAGAGCCCAUACACAUCUCGAGCUAGUACAGUUUACCAAGGAGUGUCUCCAUGAAUCAGGAGAGCCACAUAAAUUGCAAUAAGCAUUAUCUGCCAUGUGCCGAUGAGCCCUAAUGUCCUCCGUAGGAAGGGAUUGCUUUGACAAAUGCCAGAGGAACAUCCUAACCUUUCCCAGGACCUGGGUCUUCCACAAAGAUUUCCAUGCUCCUUCCUCCCGCGCAUUAUUUGAUGUGCCAGCCGUUCCCUCAAGCCAUGCCUCACGACGCUGUCUUGUUGCUACAAGCAUGCGGUAAGCAGAUCUGACAGAGAAGUUUCCGCUUGAUUCAAAAUUCCAUCCCCAAAAAUCUUGGAGAUUGCGGGUGCACACCAGAAUCCCCAAUAUGAUCUGAGCAUCCAUGGGCAUAAAAACUUGGUUGACUAGCUGGAUAUUGCAUGAAGCACUCGUCUGGUCGAUCAGUUCCGAGACCAGGUUUGGCGGAUUUGGGUGAAUACUCCCAUACGGGCGUAACAUCUCAUCCCUUGGUAGCCACUGGUCUUCCCAGAUGCGAGUUGAUUGACCAUUGCCAAUUCUAUGAAUGAGCCCUUGUUUCAAUGUGUCCCUGCCUUCGAUAAUGGCUUGCCAUAUCUAACUUGGAUGGUUGCCCAAGGUUGCCUCCAAAAUGGAUGAGUCAGGGAAAUAUAUGCUCUUCAACACACGCGCACUAAGGGAAUCUGGUGUUUGGAGUAAUCUCCAUGCUUGUCGUGCUAACAUCACCAUAUUGAACAGUUCAAAGUCUUUAAACCCUAGGCCUCCCAUUCUCUUUGGCUGCGUCAUGCUUUUCCAAGAUACCCAGUGAGGUUUUCUUUUGCCAUCUUUGCUCCCCACCAGAACUUCCUAAUAAGCAUAUUAAGAUGCUCACAUAAACCCCUUAGGAGUUUGAAGCAUGACAUUGAGAAAACUGGUAUGGAUUGGGCAACUGAUUUGACUAGAACCUCCUUGCCUGCCGUUGACAUGGUGUUUUCCACCCAACCCUGCACCUUGCUCCAUAAACGAUCUUUGAGGUAUUUAAAGGCCCCAUUCUUCGAACUCCCAAUAUCUGAUGGCAUCCCUAGAUACUUCUCAUUUAAAGUUUCAUUGGGUAUAUUGAGUAAAUCCUUUAUUUCAGUUCUGGUAGCCUCCAGCACCCCCUUGCUAAAAAAUAUUGAAGAUUUUGCAAAGUUCACUCGCUGACCUGAUGCUUGACAAUAUGUAUUCAGUACUAGGUUCACCUCAUUAGCUCCUGCACUAUUUGCCUUGCAGAACAGCAGGCUGUCAUCAGCGAAUAACAGAUGGCUAAUUGGUGGCGCCGUAGGAGCCACUUGUACACCACCCAGAUUGGAUGACUCACUCUUUGAUUUUAACAGGCACGACAGGCCCUCUGCUGCUAGCAAGAACAAGUACGCAGAUAUUGGGUCCCCUUGUCUGAUUCCUCUUGAAGGUUGGAAUUCCUCCAGUCUCUUCCCAUUAAACAUGACAGAAAACUGUAUAGUAGUGACCAGUCCCAUAACUAUGUCCACCCAUCUCUCAGUGAACCCCAGCUUUACCAUGAUUGCUCUCAAAUAUGGCCACUCCACCCUAUCAUAGGCCUUCAUCAUGUCUAGCUUCAGGGCAAAAGACUGGUGUUCUUUGGCUUUAUUUCUCUACAUAAAAUGUAGGCACUCGUAAGCAGUGAUGAUGUUAUCAGUGACUAGUCUGCCAAGGACAAAAGCAGAUUGUUCCUCAGAAAUAAUGUCAGGUAGUACCACCUUAAGGCGAUUGGAGAUAACUUUGGGAGCAAUUUUGUAGAGAACAUUACACAAACUAAUGGGACGAAACUGGUUCAGUAGGGUUGGAUUUUUGACCUUGGGAAUCAACACCAAUACAGUCUCAUUGAUGCAUGUUGCCGAUUCUGUGCCCUCAACAAUUUUAAGCACGACUUUGGUGAUCUCGUCUCUGUAGGGUUUCGUAGUAAUUUCAAAAAAAUUCCUACGCUCACGCAAGAUCAUGGUGAUGCAUAGCAACGAGAGGGGAGAGUAUGAUCUAAGUACCCUUGUAGAUCGACAACGGAAGCGUUUGGUUGAUGUAGUCGUACGUCUUCACGGCCCGACCGAUCAAGCACCGAAACUACGGCACCUUCGAGUUCUAGCACACGUUCAGCUCGAUGACGAUCCCCGGACUCCGAUCCAGCAAAGUGUCGGGGAAGAGUUCCGUCAGCACGACGGCGUGGUGACGAUCUUGAUGUACUACUGCAGCAGGGCUUCGCCUAAACACCGCUACAAUAUUAUCGAGGACUAUGGUGGAAGGGGGCACCACACACGGCUAAGAAUAUGAUCACGUGGAUCAACUUGUGUUUGUCUGGGGUGCCCCUGCCUCUCUAUAUAAAGGCUCAAGGGGGGUGCGGCCGGCCUAGGAGAGGCGCGCUAGGAGGAGUCCUACUCCCUCUGGGAGUAGGAUCCCCCCCCCCAAUCCUAGUUGGAAUAGGAUUCGCGGAGGGGGGAAAGAGAGAGAAGGGGGCCGCCCCCCUCAUCUUGUCCUAUUCGGACCAAGGGAGGGGAGGGGCGCGCGGCCCAUCUUGGGCUGCCCCUUCUCUUUUCCACUAAGGCCCACUUAGGCCCAUAUAGCUCCCCAGGGGUUCCGGUAACCUCCCGGUACUCCGGUAAAAUCCUGAUUUCACCCAGAACACUUCCGAUAUCCAAACAUAAGCUUCCAAUAUAUCAAUCUUUAUGUCUCGACCAUUUCGAGACUCCUCGUCAUGUCCGUGAUCACAUCCGGGACUCCGAACAACCUUCGGUACAUCAAAAUGCAUAAACUCAUAAUAUAACUGUCAUCGUAACCUUAAGCGUGCGGACCCUACGGGUUCGAGAACAAUGUAGACAUGACCGAGACACGUCUCAGGUCAAUAACCAAUAGCGGAACCUGGAUGCUCAUAUUGGCUCCUACAUAUUCUACGAAGAUCUUUUAUCGGUCAGACCGCAUAACAACAUAAGUUGUUCCCUUUGUCAUCGGCAGGUGACAAUGAAUGCAAGAAGGUCACGAGUUGAACCCAACAGGACAAUGAUGGAGUGCAAUAAUCCAUGUGGUAGGUCCGCCCAGCCUUCGGGUCCAAACAUGACACAGUGCACGGAGAUGGGGGUGUUGGAGCUCUGGUUGAUGUUUUGCAUGAUAUCAGCUCCAAAUUCUGCAUUAAGGAUCAUGAAAGGACAACAAUUUUAGCAAUGGACUUGAGUUAACUAUAUAAUAUAAAUUGUUGUCACUAUUUUAAUUCACUUGGUACUAAUACAACUAUGAUAAUUAUACAAACACAAUAAAAAUGUUUGUAGAAACUGUAAACAUAAUACACAAUAGAGUAAAGAUUAGGGUAUUGCCAUCCAAACGUGCAUGUGCCUCAAGAAAAUUCGAUCAUGACAAAAUUCAUCAACAUUUGAAAAUAAAAUGCAAGUUCUGUAUUUUUCUUUCCAUCGAAUGUUAUUUAUAUGUGUUGCACAACAGGUUUGGCUCUUGUAUCCACCUCGAUCUCGGGCCCGCACAUACGCGAUAAAUUUCAUCAACAUUUGAAAUUAAAAGGUGCAAGCAAUAUUGAAAUACUAAGAUUGUUCUACACUGAUAGUGGUAAACCCUUGAACUAUUUCAUAGUUUUCAUAUAGUAUAAACACAACAGGAUCACACAUCCACCAACAACACAUACACUCAAAUCCCCAAAUCAUCCGGUCAGGCUAACAAGAACAAAAGUGCGAUGAGCGCGUCAGAGGAGGUCACCCCCAAUGGGGGUGAUGGCGGGACAAGGAAGAUGAUCCUGGGCAGCCUUGUGCGGUGGAGAACUCUGUUUGACCGUGGACGGUGGCACCGGUCAGUGAAUAUAUAUACUCGGCCAACCCACGAGACCAUGUCCUACACAUAAAUUGACUUAACCUAGAUCACAUCGUAUCCUACAUAUUUGGGACUCAAGCUUGACUCAAACACGUGAACUCCUACUAGUAAAUCUACAUGACUUUGGUUAGUCCCCAAAGAACUAAAGCCACGUGACAUGCAAGCACCAACUACGUCAUGUUCCAAACAAAACAAUCAAGAUUAUGCUAACACUAGCGCCGGCCCCCUGCACCACCAAUGGUUGUCAUGGGUUCUCAACUCCAACAUGAGGUGGGGAAGGUCUCGUUCACGAUACCGGCAAUCACUCCAAAGCUGCGUGUAGGUACAAAUCAGAGCAAGGGGGCAGAACUCGACAUCAACUUGGUUCCUUCAUGAGUCCGGCAGCCAGCAAGGAAAAUGAAGUGGGCAAAGUCAACCUCAACCAGGCUCAUCCCCUACCCCCUGGAGCCGGUAACACGAAAGCCAAGCACCACAAAGAUAAGAAUAGCCUCAAGGGUAAGCCAAGGAAGGAGGUAGAUCAAUCCUUGGUGAACACCAGGGCGGUGUUGGGUAAAUGCAUGGGACGUGAAAAGUGAGUCUGGUAGUGAGUUUGUGACGACACCUAGUUACACGGGUCCUGGUCUGAACAAGAAGGCAUGAGGUGAGGGUAAUGGAGGUGGCAUGAGCAACAUAGGUCUGUUAGGUGGUAAGGAAGCUAUCGGCCCAUGGGUUGUCGAUGAAUGACAUGUGAUAAGGAAGGCACCUGUCAGGAGAAAUGAGUUGCCUGAUCUAGAACUGUUGGGGCCUCAGGCAGUCCCAGAUAGUUGAAGAGCUAGUUUUCCUCGUGCGCACAUACACCACUCGAUGAUUAUUUUACUUCUAAAACUCGACAAUGUGAAAUAGUUUCAAUAAUCUUAGGUGGAUGCUAGGCCGCAGGAAUUAUAUUACGCAUGAUGGUAAGGGCAAUGGUGCCAACAUUGCGUUGUUCUGAGAUGAAAGAACUAAAAUAAAAAAGACUGCCAUAUAUGACCUGAGGUACAUUGAUGUCUUUAUUCAAGAUGAUUCCCAUGGCCCGAAGUGUCGGGCUACAUGGUGAACCAAGGAGCCAGGAAGACGUUACAUCUGGAGUUUACUCAAAAGAAUAAAGCCAAAUGCUCAUGAACACUUGUUGAUGAUAGGUGAUUUUUAUGAGACGAUGUGGCAACAUGAGCACUUCUUAGUAGCUUGGAUAUCCGACAGAAAAAUACCAAUUUUAGAGAAGCCUUGUUCUAGUGUGAUAUUCAUAAUUGGGGCUAUAAGGGGCCAUCUUGGACAUGCGAUAAUAAACAGUAUGGCAAAAGCAAUGUGACCGUCGGGUUGAAAGUGCAGUUGCAUCGUCGGGUUGGUGUGAUUUAUUCAAAGUGAACAGUGGUACACACAUAUGCUCCAACCACUUUCCUCUAUGGCUGCAAUACGGGAGACAGACCAAGGUGCAUAGCAACGUGAAAUCCUUUCGGUAUGAGUAGAUAUGGGAAAGAGUACCGUCGAUGGAGAUUGAAGUCCCUGGACGAUGACUGCACUAAGUUGGGAGUGCUGCAACAGGAUGUUUGGUCCUGGACAUGAAAGAUUUUGGGCCAUGAUAAGGAGUACUCAUUGGCUGAGAAGGAAUAUUAUAGUCACAUACUAUAUGCACCAUCUUAUUGGUUGCGAACUGUUGAAAUAUAUUGCCUGCCUCCCUCCAUCAGUUCGGACUUUUGGAUGAGUUGGCUGGAGCAUGAAUUCAAUAUGGUAUCCGAGCCAAGAGGUCUUGAGUUCAAGACCCUACCGACGCAGUAUUAAAUAAAAUGAUUUUGCGGCCUACAUCGACCCCACGUCUAAGGACUAAAAUAACCUAGACGUGAGGGGGAGUGUUGAAAUAUAUUGCCCGCCUCUCUCCAUCAGUUCAGACUUUUGGAUGAGCUGGCUAGAGCAUGAAUUCAAUACGGAUGGUCUGGAAAGCAUCUUAAGAAAGCAAGUCUUGGAAGGGAGGUUAAUUGCUAGGGGAGACUCGGUGUCUCUAAACUAAUGUUUGUUGAUGGAAGCCUUUUGUUCUUCAAGGCCAUAGGAAGAGAGGCGAGGGUAGUGAAGGACACUCCAAAUCUAUUUCAAAGGUGUACAUGAUAGCUUCUUAGCCCAGCUAAAUGCUCUUUAUUAUUUAGUGAACACUGCCCGCAUGUCCAGUAAGAGAUAAAGGUAACCCUUGGUGUUGUAACUUCCACUUUUGAGAGUAAAUAUUUGGGUUUACCAACCCCAGAAGGUAGGAUGUUUGACUCGAAUUUCAAUCGAUCAUGGAAAGGUUCACAAAAAUGUGCAACGACUGGAUUAAAAAGUAUAUGACCCAUGCAGCUAAAGAGAUCUUGAUCAAGUAAGUGGUUCAAGCGCUUCUCACUUACUUGUUUGGAUUGUUCAAAUAUCCUUGGGCUUUUUUGAAAAGUUGGGCUUUUUGUGGUAAGUAUGAAAAACUUAUCUGGGACUUUAGGUGGGGCGGUGAGUAAGGACAUCACAAGUCCAUUGGCUCUCCUGGUACCAACCGGUAAAACAAAAGAGAGGAGAUGUUCUAGGAUUAUGGGAUAGGUAUAUGUUUAACCAAGCUCUCUUGGAAUGGCAAGGGUGGAUACUCAUUCACAAGCCGGAUAGUUUAUGUUCUAGAAUCUUGAAAUGAGAAUAUUAUCCUCGUGUGAAUAUUCUAGACAUGGUCAUUUCCUAUUAUGCAUCGCCGGCUUGGCGUUAAGAUACUCAAGCAAAUACAUCAUCUGGCGUAUAGAGAAUGGAUGAAAAAUUCAGAUUCAAAGAGACAACUGGAUUCUAAGAUAGUAUGGCCUCAGGUCACCAAAUUCGCUAGAAACUCGAGGUUGAGGUAGGUUAACCAGUUGAUUGUCUCAAUAAAAAUGAAUGGAAUAUUAACCUUGUCCAUAGGCUAUUUUCUGACGUCAAUGCAGAGGAGAUAUUUCGCAUAAAUCACCCUUCUACGUGAUGGAUAACUUGCUUAUAAACUUGCCACCCAACUCACAUUCAGGUACAAUUCCCCUGCUUCUAGCUCUUCAAGUGCGACAUAUAAUUGGAGUAUUUGGGGUGUGUUUUGGAGAGCUAAGGUUCCAAAGAAGGUUAAGGUCUUUGGCUGGAGGUUGCUACUGGCUCACUGGCUACACAAUUUUGUAAAUUUAUAAAGGUGCUGAGUGUAACACCAUUUAUGCUAUUUCUGGUAACAAUGUGGAGCUUGAAUUCCAAUCCACGAUGGCUUUGUGGUGUUGGCUAGUGUCCCAUCAAUACUUCUUUUUCCCACCUGUCUAAUGAUUGCAAUCAGUCUAUAGUAAUAUACAAGUCUAGUGUUUUCCUCCAAUAAAAUAAAAUAAACACAACUCGAAGAUGAACUAAAUUUUUACAUUAAUUUUCCUAGAAAAAAAUAGGGCGAGUUCUUCUCCUACCUUCUUUGGUGUUGACAGCGGAGGGCGAAGUGGAGGCAACAACUACAUUCUCCGAUGCCAGUCGUGGUAAGACGAGGCCAUCGGAUUCAGUAUGCUGCUUUCGUCCAUCGCCAAUCAUCAUGUUUCCUCCAGAUCUGGGGAAAACGGACGCCUUCGACCGCGGUGACUCCAGAUCUGGAUGUGACUAGUCGCCCGCACCUAGGAUUCCAGAUCUGGAUGCGACUGGUCGCCCGCACCUAGGAUUCCAGAUCUGGAUGGAAACACAUUAGUAGCCCACACGGUUCUCUCAACGCAUCAUCCACCACUCAACUGUGGGGCGGUUCUAGCGCAGUUGGUGUGGAUGUCAAGGGGGAGGGGAACGUGUGUGACGAGAAAGAGAGAGCGGGGGGAGGGGAGAAAGAGAGGAGAGGGAGAGAGUCGUGUGUGGGUUUGUUCGUUAUAUAAAAGGCUUUAUCGGAGUACCAAGGGGAACCUUGUCAAACUCCGAGUGAUUUUUCUUGCUUUUGGCAACUUUAUACCUUGAACAAGCUCUAUUACUAAGAAAAGAGGGAGGCUAGAUUGUGCAUGCUUGUGAAUCGUGCACUCGCGUUUCGAUAAGUUUUAUUUUCCAUUUGGGAAAGGGUGCAACACCUCCUUGUUCCCAUUAGAAGAUUAGGUGAAGGCUUAAUAAGAAAUUAGGGAAGGCCCACCCUGAAAUUCAAUAGGAGAAGAGAUUAGGUGGAGGCUUAAUAGGAAAUUAAGGAGCUCCCAUCAGGAAAUUUUGGUGCAGGUAGAUUAGGUGGAGGCUUAAUAGGAGGUUAGCAAGGGCCUACCCUACUAAUUCAAGGGGGGGGGGAGUUACAUGUACAUUAUAUGUGGGCCUGCAUACCACAACAAGACCUCCCGUCCUCACGUUUAAAUUGCCCCGCCCUCUCCCACUUGGUGGGCCCACUUCUCUCCUUGCCGCUCCCAAAAAAGCGUGUCGGCUGAGAGUUGUGCGUGUUGGUCAAUUUGCUCGCUGGAGCGAGCAAAUACCAGUGAGUCAAUGUGAGGUGCUCCCAACCGGCAAGAACACGAAUGACACCAUGCAACAUGCAUCGACCGACCAUGAUUCCUGCAUACAAAUAGUGAACAUCAGACACCAAUGCCCUUACCUCGCUGACCGGACACCCACGGCUCCACUCCCAAACACAGGAAUUGGCGUGAAGUACUCGAUGUCCUCCUAGAAUUCUUGUAGCUCUUCACCCCAUAUUUUUAUUCCUGUUUCUCCCUGUCAAUUAAGACCCCUCUAUUGGAUUUCCCUUUGGCUUGAGAAUGACGGUUGUGACCUCCAUAACAAUGCAACACUCGUCACCCGACUUCUCCUCUUUCUCCUAUGUGUCUUCCUUGCCGAUGAUAGCAAAGUGGACGACCCCAACGACGGUGAUAUCCGCUCGAUGCCAAGGACAUGCGCCGCAUGCGAGGGAAUAUAUGUGAUCCGACAUCCACAACACAAUCCGUAAGGACGAGUUUUCUUCCCAACGAAACCUUCUCUCCUAGCCAAAGAUGACAUCCCUCCUCGAUCUUCUCGUCGGCAUCCGCAGAAGCAACUAUCCUAAUGGUCUAUCGGGAUUGAGGACACCGGAGCGCCAUUCAGAUAUGCCACCAAGAAAGGCGAUGGAGAAGCUCGUUGACCAUUGCACAUGCAGGGAAGGGGGCAACCCAGUUUAGUAAAUUGUAAUAACGAGUUGUAGUGUGCAUCACAAUUAUUGCAUAAACAUCCUUUGAUUAAUUAUAAAAAGAGGAUAAUUCAAAACCUCAUAUAAAAUGCUAUAAAACACACUCAAAUAAUCAAUGCACUGGUAUAAUCCCGCUAAAAAAAUACUAAAAUAUUUACCAUAGUUUCCUUAGGGGGCAGUCCUCUCAUUUAACUAGGCAGGCAAACCCAAGAAGCAAACACUCAUGAGAGACAUAAGCAUUUUCUAGUGAAAAGAAAUAGUGUUGCCAACUAAAGAAAAAAGAAGCAUGCAUAUACUCCCUCCGUUCCUAAAUAUUUGUUUUUUUAGAGAUUCUAAAUGGACUACCACAUACAGAUGUAUAUGGACAUAUUUUAGAGUGUAGAUUCACUCAUUUUGCUUUGUAUGUAGUCAUUUGUUGAAAUCUCUAGAAAGACAAAUACUCCUUCCGUCCCAAAAUUCUUGUCUUAGAUACAUCCGUAAUAUAAAAAUUUUGGGACGGAGGGAGUAUUUAGGAACGGAGGGAGUAGAACACAUGGGCAAUGAUGUACAUCUGAUCUUUUCAAAGGUAUAUGGAGGGACACAAAUAUCAACAUAGAAUAUGGAAUGAGUGGAUCAAAGUUGACUGGGAGUAGAAUCAAUAUGCGCAACAUCGCAUCUUUGAAAGGUUCCAAAUACUCGCAGGCGUCAUUAGUAACAAGUGCAUUUGAAUUAUCACAUGGAAACAACAAAAUAUAUCCAACAAUUCGUUUUCUGGCAGUAUAACAGUGUUGGAUUCAUUGAGAAAUACUGAAUCAUGUUCAUCUAGAGCGUUCUCGUCCUCCUGCGACAUGGUGACAUCUAGGUUUUGCAGGACAAAGCAGGACGCCGAGCUAGUACUUAACCCCAGGAACAUGAGACCAUGCCGUGAAACUCGAAUAUUGUCCUCCGAAGGCUGCAACAGUCAGCUUGAGCCUUGAGGCCACACCGAGGAAUGUUCUUCUUUCUAGGGCCGAAGAUCCUCGCUCUGCUUGUUUCCGGAACCAUUGCUUCUCCAUGUUUGAUCAAAAUUAUGUGAGUGUCGCCUCUUCCUGAGCACUGUCCCUCUCGCUCAUUGCGCCCAAGAUAGACGAUUUACCCCGGAACAUGCAACCACCGUGAUGUGGAGCACGCACAAAAACUGAACCACAGAAAUGGACAACGUUUUAUGGGUAGUCAGCGCAUCUAAGUAAGCUAAGUUGAGACGUGUUAGCAUCGGAGUCGUUGUAGUAUAGUGGUAAGUAUUCCCGCCUGUCACGCGGGUGACCCGGGUUCGAUCCCCGGCAACGGCGAAUUUUUUGUUUCGCGGCCCAUGACAGGCCAGGCCGAUUCUUUUCGGCCUGCUGAGAGCUCGCCUGGCCCGUCCGGGCCUAUUUAUCGUAUGCACCCUCGAAAAGUAUCCCGUUCGCUCUAGAGCCCUGCCAAAACAUUUUCUGUCAUGCUACAAAUUUGUUGUUGCAAUGGCAAAGCAUGCGCGUGCAUAAGGACUACUCCCUCCGUUCGGUGAAGAGUGUACAUUUGGUUUUAGAAUUUGUCAACAAAAAAGUGUACGUCUAUCUUCCUAACACACUUUAAAGUAGAAAAAAUAAUUUUCUUUUAUCACAUGGCAAUCAAGACCAUUAGCAUUCUACAUAUGGUCUCCUUAAUUUCUACAUGCAUUUAGUUUAUUGGGGGUUGGGUAAUUAAAAAGAAGAGAGAUGGUAGUUUGCAUCUUCCCAAUGUAUUUUUACUCGCCUCCAUAAGUUGCCCUAAAAUUUAUAUAUGUACGCUUUUCGCCGGACGGAGAGAGUACUACUACAUUCUAGACAUUGUCUAAAAUGGUUAUAAUGAAUACCAUCGAUUUUGAUAAAAGAAACACUAGUUUUUAGUUCGUGUGUGUUACCCCUGGUUUGUUGGUUUUGCAGCUAUAUUGCUAGCUCAAAUUUAAAUGAACCAGUGUUAUAUUUGUAGAUCAAAUGAGUUAGUAUUGUAUGUUAUGCGUUUAUGUCGGUCUUUUUCUCCGAUUUAACCGGAAGAAAUUCUUAGAUUUUCGAAUUUGGCUCAGUCGAUUUCGUUGGGAAGGAAGAAGGAAGCGCGGGGCAGGGCAAAACGCCGUCAAGGCCUCAGCUAGGAACAAAUGUAGGCGGAGGCGAGUUCAAAGGUUAACGGUUCGGGGUGCAGACUUGCAGAGAAAUUUUAGUGGUUCGCCGGUUUAGAGGGAUGGCCAUGAUGGCUGGCGCCAACAUGAUGAUGAGGAGAGUGGGGUGGCGGAGGCAAGCAAUUUGGCCGGUGGUCAUGGACGGUUUGGCAAAGAAGAUGAAUAGGGGAGGACAGUAGGUGGAAGAUGACCAUCUGGUCGUUGGCUGGACGGUUCAGAAAAAUCAACCAACCCAAUCUUUUUUUUAUCGGCCAACCUUUGGUCAUCCUUUUUUUUUUCUCAUGAGUAACUGUGUCAAGGUGAUUCUUAAACCCCAAUCAAGGUUGGAAUAUGUUUUUGUUUGUUUUAUUCUCUUAAUUGCAUAAGUAGAAUAGAAAUAGAAUUUAAGCUAGACUCGUCUUCACUAGAAUCAUAAUCCUAAUCUAUGCUCAUGCAUAUUGUUAAUGUACUACAUUCUCCUAUCUGUCUGAUCGAAAUUAUGUGAGUGCCGCAUCUUCCUGAGCACUGUCCCUCUCGCUUAUUGGGGCCAAUAGAGACGAUUUACUCCGGAACAUGCAACCACCAUUAUGUGGAGCACGCAUGAAAAGAGAUCUAGAGGAAUGGAGAACGCUACGUCUAAGUAAGCUAAGUUGAGUAGCAUUAGCAUGUACUCCCCUUGUUUCUAAAUAUUUGUCUUUUUAGAUAUUUUAAAUGGACUGUCAUAUACAGAUGUAUAUGGACAUAUUUUAAAGUGUUGACAUGGUGUUUUCCACCCAACCCUGCACCUUGCUCCAUAAACGAUCUUUGAGGUAUUUAAAGGCCCCAUUCUUCGAACUCCCAAUAUCUUAUGGCAUCCCUAGAUACUUCUCAUUUAAAGUUUCAUUGGGUAUAUUGAGUAAAUCCUUUAUUUCAGUUCUGGUAGCCUCCGGCACCCCCUUGCUAAAAAAUAUUGAAGAUUUUGCAAAGUUCACUCACUGACCUGAUGCUUGACAAUAUGUAUUCAGUACUAGGUUCACCUCAUUAGCUCCUGCACUAUUUGCCUUGCAGAACAGCAGGUUGUCAUCAGCGAAUAACAGAUGGCUAAUUGGUGGCGCCGUAGGAGCCACUUGUACACCACCCAGAUUGGAUGACUCACUCUUUGAUUUUAACAGGCACGACAGGCCCUCUGCUGCUAGCAAGAACAAGUACGCAGAUAUUGGGUCCCCUUGUCUGAUUCCUCUUGAAGGUUGGAAUUCCUCCAGUCUCUUCCCAUUAAACAUGACAGAAAACUGUACAGUAGUGACCAGUCCCAUAACUAUGUCCACCCAUCUCUCAGUGAACCCCAGCUUUACCAUGAUUGCUCUCAAAUAUGGCCACUCCACCCUAUCAUAGGCCUUCAUCAUGUCUAGCUUCAGGGCAAAAGACUGGUGUUUUUUGGCUUUAUUUCUCUUCAUAAAAUGUAGGCACUCGUAAGCAGUGAUGAUGUUAUCAGUGAUUAGUCUGCCAAGGACAAAAGCAGACUGUUCCUCAGAAAUAAUGUUAGGUAGUACCACCUUAAGGCGAUUGGAGAUAACUUUGGAAGCAAUUUUGUAGAAAACAUUACACAAACUAAUGGGACGAAACUGGUUCAGUAGGGUUGGAUUUUUGACCUUGGGAAUCAACACCAAUACAGUCUCAUUGAUGCAUGUUGCCGAUUCUGUGCCCUCAACAAUUUUAAGCACGACUUUGGUGAUCUCGUCUCCCCAUGUCUCCCGGUGCUGCUGAAAGAAGUGAGCAGGAAAGCCGUCUGGUCCUGGUGCCUUAGUAGGAAACAUUUGAAAAAGAGUCGUCUUAACUUCUUCUGCACUGUACGGAGCAUUCCACAGCGCAUUCAUCGCUUGCGUCACUAGUAGAAAACAUGGCUUUGGUCACGGGGCAAUAUUCACAUUAGUCCCGGUUCAGUCAUGAACCGGGACUAAUGUGAGCAUUGGUCCCGGUUCGUGCGGCUAAGGCAUUAGUCCCGGUUCACUUGAGCCCUUUUAGUCCCGGUUUGAGACACGAAAUGAGACUAAAGGGUGCGAUGCCCUUUAGUNNNNNNNNNNGGUUUGUGUCUCAAACCGGGACUAAAGAUUAGACCUCUAGUCCCGGUUUGAGACACGAACCGGGACUAAAGGGUGCGAUGCCCUUUAGUUCCGGUUUGUGUCUCAGACUGGGACUAAAGGUCCCAUUUUCAAACUCUACCCCCCUGGAUCGCCUUUCUUGUUUUGAAAAAACCAAAAGAAAAUGAUAAAAACUUCAAAAAAUAAAAUCCUUCGAGAGGUAGUUAUAUUACUACAUCUACUAGUUAGGAAAAUUUAAAAACUGAAAUUUGGACAUGUUUUGCAAAAAAUGUAGGGAAAAUGUAAAACGGCUAUAACUUUUGCAUACGAUGUCGAAAAAAAACGUAUAAUAUAUCAAAAUGUUCAGAACAAAAAUCCGCUUCCGAUUUUGACCGCCUACGGCCUGUUUGCAAAUUUUUAGAAUCCUCAAAUUCUAAAAGGAAAAAAGUUAUGCUCAAAUUUCAGUUUUUUUUGUAUUUUCGUUAAAUCUGGUCAAAGUAUGGUCAAACUACUUAUUCAAGAAAUAUUAGUGUUAUUAAAUAAUUAUUCAAGAAUAUUAGUGUUACUAAAUAAUUAUUUUGGUUUUUCUGAAUUUUUGUCAAAUCUGGUCAAAUUGUGGUGUAACAAUGGUCAAACUAUGGUCAAACUAUUUAUUUAAGAAAUAUUAGUGUUACUAAAUAAUUGUUUCGUUUUUUUUUGAAUUUUGGUCAAAUCUGGUCAAACUUUGGUAAAACUAUUGUCAAACUAUUUAUUCAAGAAAUAUUAGUGUUACUAAAUAAUUAUUGGUUUGUACAAUAAUAGUUUCAAACUCAAACAGUGAAAUGUGUGACUUCAUGCUCAAGCUAAACUCUGAAGGGCUAAUAGGAUUGGCAUCUUACUAUUAUCAGGAAAACAACAAGUGCAGACUUGGAAACGAAGGAGAAUAGAACCUGAAAGUUAAGUGUGCUCGGGCUGGAGUAGUGAGAGGGAUGGGUGACCGGACGGGAAGUUAGAUGAUUCGGAAUGAUGAGGGGUGAUUAGAGAUUAGAGGUUAAAUUGAGCAAUGAUGAGGGGUGGGUGAUUAGAGAUUAAAUUAUAAAAUAAUUCGGAAAUUUGAAAAUCGAGAAAAAAAUUCAAUUUUUUUUUAAAAAAAAUUACCUUUAGUCCCGGUUGAUGUUACCAACCGGGACUAAAGGUGGAGCUGGUGGAGCUCUAGCCAGCGGCCACGUGGGUUCCUGAUUGAACCGGGACUAAAGGGUCAGGGCAUUAGUAACGAUCCUUUAGUCCCUGUUCACAAAACCGGGACAAAAGGCCCUUCCCAACCGGGACUAAUGACCCUUUUUCUACUAGUGCGUUACCUUGCAUGGUACUGUUUCGAGGACCCGUUCCAUGUCACCACCCCUUCUGUCGUGUACAAAUCUUUGUAGAAAGCAGUUGUCAUAUUUUCCAUCUCCACCACGUUUUCAGUAACCUGACCGUCAGCAAGCUGCAGCGAUUUGAUCUAGUUUUUGUGUCGCCUCCUGCUCGCUCUCAUGUGGAAGAAAUAGGUGUUUUUGUCGCCAUGCAUGAGCCAGUCAACCCUGGCUCGUUGCCUCCGCAAGAUCUCCUCACGGUGAAAAAGUUCAAUCAAGCGGUCACAUAUUUUUGUCUCCUGCCGUGAGGGGCCGGAGCUUCCUGGGAGUUCGUGCAUCACCUGUAUCCUUUUUUAAUUCAGCUAUCUCUCUAUGAACGCUGCCAAAAUGUUGCCGAUCCCAGGUAGCUAGGUCACCCGACAGCGCUUGUAGCUUUGUCUUCACCUGCACCACCGAAUCCCCCUGCACCUGGUUCCAACCCGCAUGCACCACUGUUUCCAGCAUCGGGUUGCGCUCCCAGCAUACUUCGUAUCUAAACGGUCGUGGCCCCCUUCUGCAUGCAUGCAUUGCUUGGAGCCUAAGCAUCAUAGGUACGUGGUCAGAUGUAGCAGCAGUAAGGUGCUCCAGAGAAGCAUCUGGGAAGGCCAGAACCCAAGCGGGAUUAGCCACGCCCUUGUCCAACCGCACCCUUGUGUACGUUACCUUUUUCUACUAGUGCGUUACCUUGCAUGGUACUGUUUCGAGGACCUGUACCAUGUCACCACCCCUUCUGUCGUGUACAAAUCUUUGUAGAAAGCAGUCAUCAUAUUUUCCAUCUCCACCACGUUUUCAGUAACCUGACCGUCAGCAAGCUGCAGCGAUUUGAUCUGGUUUUUGUGUCGCCUCCUGCUCGCUCUCAUGUGGAAGAAAUAGGUGUUUUUGUCGCCAUGCAUGAGCCAGUCAACCCUGGCUCGUUGCCUCCACAAGAUCUCCUCACGGUGAAAAAUUUCAAUCAAGCGGUCACAUAUUUUUGUCUCCUGCCGUGAGGGGCCGGAUCUUCCUGGGAGUUUGUGCAUCACCUGUAGUUCCUUUUUUAAUUCAGCUAUCUCUCUACGAACGCUGCCAAAAUGUUGUCGAUCCCAGGUAGCCAGGUCACCCGACUGCGCUUGUAGCUUUGUCUUCACCUGCUCCACCGAAUCCCCCUGCACCUAGUUCCAACCCGCAUGCACCACUGUUUCCAGCAUCGGGUCGCGCUCCCAGCAUACUUCGUAUUUAAACGGUCGUGGCCCCCUUCUGCAUGCAUGCAUUGCUUGGAGCCUAAGCAUCAUAGGUACGUGGUCAGAUGUAGCAGCAGUAAGGUGUUCCAGAGAAGCAUCUGGGAAGGCCAGAACCCAAGCGGGAUUAGCCACGCCCCUGUCCAACCGCACCCUUGUGUAUGUGCCGCCCACCACCUUCUUCUCAAAGGUCCAGCUCUGUCCCUUAUAACCAAUGUCAGAUAAACCGCACGUGUCAAUAGCGUCUCGGAAUACGUGCAUCUGUUCUUGGCUUCGCUGGCCAAUUCCAUCGUGCUCAUGGGCAUGAAGUACUUCGUUAAAGUCCCCAAUGACUAUCCAUGGAUCGUUGCUCAUUCCUGCAAUUCCACGCAACAUGUCCCAAGUUUUGUACCGCUCGCUUGUUUGGGCCUCACCAUACACAAAGGUGAUUUUGGUUUUGAUAUCUACCAUCUGUUCAACCAAAACGUCUAUGUGAUACUCAGAAUAACUGAUAACCUCGAGCUUUAUUUCCUCAUUCCAAAAAAUGCCUAGUCCACCACUCCUGCCGGAGCUGUUUACAACAAAGCUUUUAUUAUAACCUAGAGUUCCUACCAGAUUCUCAACUCGUGAGCCCUCUAACUGAGUUUCAAGGAUGCAUACAAUAGAGGGGGCAAGUUGCUUCGAAAGAUCUCGAAGCUCUCGAACUGUCCCGGGUCUGCCAGCCCCACGACAGUUCCAAACUAGGCAACUCAUUGCGCCAGGCGCGACCCGUUGAUAGGGCCCGCCGAUUGCGCGCUGUUUUGGGUGUUUGAGGGUUUGUUCUUCACUUGGUUCUUCUUCAACUGAGGUGGGUUGGUCUUCGUUCUUUUGGUUUCUUGCUUCGACGAAGGGCUCUGUGGAACAGUUUCUGUGGCAAGUGUUUGAGGUUCCAUCGAAGAUGAUGGGUUGGCUCCUGGAGCAGUAAGCAAGAGCGCAUUUGCAAGGGCACCUCUGUUGCGAUUCACUUCUCCUUCUUCCAUCUCUGUAUCCGGAUCAGUAGCAGGGUCAUAUUUAUCUAGAUGUGUUUGACCGAAACCACGCCCUACGUGUCCUGCACGGCCAUUGCCUCGCCCUCGUCCACCUUCCGAGCCUCUUGCCUCUCCUGGUUCGCGACCUGGUCCCCUAAACCAAUCUGCUUUCAGGUUUUUGAACACUAGCGCUGAUGGGGGGUGAACCCCAUCGCCGCAUUCUUUGAACGGAUGGCCUAGCAAUCCACAUAUAGCACACCAAUCUAGGAGCCUUUCAUAUUUCACUCUGUAAAUCUCUCUCUUCUUCCUGAUCACCAGCGAGACAGCGUUCUUGAGCGGCUUUGUGACGUCCACCUUCACCCGAACCCUAAAAAAGUUACCCUCAAAGUCCUGGGAUUUGGGCUCAGCAAAUAUGAAAUCACCCACCGUAGCAGCUAGCAAUUUAAUCAGGUGGAAGAACAAUUCAGGGAGAUCAUGAAUCGGAAUCCACAUCUCAAUUUUAUCAAGAACAAUGGACGAUAGCCUAGUGAAACCAUCAUAGGGCUCGAUCACGACCGCUUUCCCUUUGAAGGUCCAAGGGCCAUCGCCCAUGACUCUCUCCCAAUCUCCCGGGCAGGAGAAUUGCAAGGUAUAGAGGUUUUCUUCUAGCGGACGGAACUUGACCUCUUGCGCUAGAUCCCAUGCCACCCACAUGUUGUGAAAGAACCAGUACUGGCUGUACGGCUUGUCCGUGUGAACCCGCGCGAUCGCCAUCCAACGCGCUACUUCCUCUGGAAUAUCACCGUCCUGAACCAUGAUGUCCUCCAGAUCAUCUUCUUUCAGGCCUAGUUCCUUCAUCAUAGCCUCCAUCUCGCUCAUCGCUGCGGCUGAAGCCGACGUUGAGCCUUCCAUCAGAUCUCUUGCCCGAGAAGACGGUUUCCGCGGGCGGGAGGACCCAAGCCAGGUCACCCAGCACUCACGCACGCCAGCAAGCCUAAGCCGCCGGCGAUCGGUGGUCUGAGAGACGCAGGGGAUCGCGAUCUCCACGUCAAUGCCUAGGCGCCGCCGGGAGGAGAGAAAAACCCUAACUAGAGGGGAAUAUUUUCAGGUCUGUGUUCAAAAUAGUUGUUUUUAAGCGAUGCGAAGGUGUACCAUGGGCCAUGGCUAGACUAGGCCUGGCCGGCGUUAUAACCGGGAGAAGGAAAUAUCCAGGUGAAAAGAGAAAAAACGGAGCCCGCUAGGGUUUCCCUCCGCCGCCGCCGCCCUCCCCCGCUCCCGCCGCCGCCGCCCUCCCCCGCUCCCGCCGCNNNNNNNNNNNNNNNNNNNNNNNNNNNNNNNNNNNNNNNNNNNNNNNNNNNNNNNNNNNNNNNNNNNNNNNNNNNNNNNNNNNNNNNNNNNNNNNNNNNNNNNNNNNNNNNNNNNNNNNNNNNNNNNNNNNNNNNNNNNNNNNNNNNNNNNNNNNNNNNNNNNNNNNNNNNNNNNNNNNNNNNNNNNNNNNNNNNNNNNNNNNNNNNNNNNNNNNNNNNNNNNNNNNNNNNNNNNNNNNNNNNNNNNNNNNNNNNNNNNNNNNNNNNNNNNNNNNNNNNNNNNNNNNNNNNNNNNNNNNNNNNNNNNNNNNNNNNNNNNNNNNNNNNNNNNNNNNNNNNNNNNNNNNNNNNNNNNNNNNNNNNNNNNNNNNNNNNNNNNNNNNNNNNNNNNNNNNNNNNNNNNNNNNNNNNNNNNNNNNNNNNNNNNNNNNNNNNNNNNNNNNNNNNNNNNNNNNNNNNNNNNNNNNNNNNNNNNNNNNNNNNNNNNCGGCGGGCGCGCCCCGGCUCCUCCUCCCCCUCCCCUCCUCCCCCGUACCCCCCGCGUCGCCUCCCCGAGCGAGGCGGCCGGGGGCUCCCCUUCCCUGCCCCUCCCAGCGCCCCCCUCCUCCUUUCCCCUCCCGCCGCCGCCGGCGUAGGCCACUGGGCCUGGCUCGCGUGAUGCCGCCGGCGGCGGCCCUGUUCUCUUCCUCCCCGCGCGGCGCUGUAGCUCGGGCGUUGGCGCCGGCGGCGGUGCACCCAGGUCGGCUUCGGAUCCGGUGGCGGCUCGUCUUCGCAGGCGGCGCAGCUCCGGGUGGCAUGGUGGCGGUGGCGUGGCUGCUUGGCUGCGGGGCGGCGCGGUGGCUGGCGGCGGUGCCCUUCCGGCCCAGAUCUGGGCCCUUUUGGGCCCCAUCUGGGUCUGGGUGGGCCUGGCGUGUGCUUUCCGGCGUCAUCUCCGGCGGACGGAGGUGUGGCUUGGGCUGGGGGUGGCGGAGACGGUGGCGCGUGUACUGCAGCGCAGCGACGGGAGCUUCACGAGCCCGCUUCGGGCUCGGCCGGGCAGGGGUGCCUGGUUUGCUCCUAAGCUACGUCCGGUCGGUCACCGCCGAAGGUGGUGGAGGUUGUCCCCUCCCACGUGGCCGCUGACCCUGCUGCUCCUCGUUUUCGGCUGGUUCCUCUCGAUCCCGCCGGUCUCGCUUCGCUUGUCACGGUGAGACGGCGAUGGUGACUGCGUGUCCGUGGUGGCGCAUAUUGGUGGACGGCAAGUAUGGUGGAUCGCGAUGGAUCGUCUGGGGUCGUGGUUGGUAGGAGGUUGGGAGAAAUCCUUGUCGGCUUGUUCGGCACCGACGCGGUGACGCCCGUGGGCGUCGCCGUGCCUUCCUGAAGGGCGUCGGAUAUCCCCCUUCCUCCCACGGCCCUUCGCGUACCGGGGGAAACCCUAGGCCAUGUCCGGUAGCAGCGUCGUUGUCGUCGCGUUCCUUCUUGAAGGUGUUACUUGGUAUGCGGCGUUUCGUGGUGCUAGGAGCGUGGUGGAACUCUCCGGCGGGCGCAGCGGUGGUGAGUCAUCUUCGUUUUUGUUGAUCCGCCGUUGUCGGCAUUUUUUUUUCCUUUUGUGUUUUCUCUUUUUUUUUUCUUUUGGGCGUGCCUGUGCUGCUUCCGCCCCAGCACCUAUCGUGGGUUGUAUCGAUGUUGUUGCUUUGUAAUACAAAGCGGGGGGAAACCCUUUCUCGGCAAAAGAGAAAAAACUGAUCUGUAGUUCUGUACCGUACUGCUUUACAGGCCGCGCUGCCCAUCGGAGACGCGCAUGGAGAUCGACGCGCAUCCUUCUUCCUCAGCCUCGGCUGCUGCUGCGUCCUCGUCCUCGUCGCCUACGUAAUACCCCCAACCCCUAUCUCGUCCUGUACUCCUCCAUAUCUCUCUCUCCCUCUUGUUCUGCAUCCCGUUUCCGUUCACCUGCGGAUGUUGAAUCAGAUCCGCCUACAUCUGCAAGAUUAAUCACACCUCAAUAUAUGGAACUAAAUUGGGUAGAUAUAGUUACAGUUUUGCUAAAGCACAUCUAGAUGUGCCAUAAAUAUUGCACAUCUAGGUCCUAAAGUCAUUGAUCUUACACGGAGAUUCCUGUGGAUAAUUUCUUUUUUCUUUUUCUUUUUCUUCUUAUGGCUUGAUUGAGUCAUUUAGAUGUGCAAUAACUAGGGCACAUCUAGUUAAGUCGUAGAUGGAUUCUGCUUAUUCUCGAAGAAGAAAAACAAUCCAGAUUGAGACUUUCCCUGCUUUAGGUGUCCAACAUUGCAGCUAAUAACGGAGGGAGAACCAUAUGUGCUCUGCUUUCCUUUUUCAGGCAGAAUCAACACUUGCCAGAUACAGUAUUAAUUUGAGAAAUAGGCGAUUUGUGGUUUGUAUUGUUCAGUAGACGCGAAGAAUUAUAUGAAACUUUAACAGGCCGUCUAUCUACCGCGUAGCUUCUACAUAGUUGUUAAUUUUAUUCUCAGGAGCGACAACGUCAGUAUUUUUUGUUAAUUUUAGUGUAUGAUGCAAGUGUAGUGACGUGUUGAUGUUGGAACGAUACACACAAGUCGUGUUUUCUGAAUCUUGGUAGCUCCUGUUUCUUUUUGUACAACUACACCUUGCUGCGCAUGUCUAACCUUUUGUCCUGAAUUUUAUGUGUCGCCAGGGAGAGCGCUGUCAUGCAAAUCAGGGCGAAGAGAACCUGCUAUGCCGCUGCCUCAUCUGAGGCACGAGGAUGGGCCGAGCUCCCGGACGACUUGCUCCGACCCAUCGUUGCUCUCCUCAGCUCGUCGUUCCGCGACCUCCUCGCCUUUGGUUCCACCUGUCAUCCCUGGCGUGAUUUCUCAGCGCACACGUCCUCUUUGUACCCUCUCCUCCUCCACCCGAGUACCGACCGCCAACAGUAUCCCUGGUAUGACUAUGACUACUGGACCCUUUUCCACGAAUGCACGUGGAGAUUGGCUGAUCCUGCUGCCGCCUCAUCCUAUCCCAGUUUGCUUUCCUUGAGUGAUCUCAGGGGAAUGUUCUUUCUGCGCUGCUCCUACGGUCACCUCAUCUUCUUCGACAAUAAGGGGUUCUACAUUGUUAAUGCGUUCAGUGGCGCUAAGGUUGUGCCUCCUUGCCUCAAGUCAGACAACUUCAUUCACAUUAGCUAUGCCACCUUGACUGCCCCUGUUGCAUCCGCUGACUCGCAUCUCCUUGUCGGCAGCGGAGGCUAUCUGUUUCAGUGGCGCGUCGGGAGCGACUCUUGGUUGGAACACUAUCCUAAAGUUCCUUUUCUUACGAUUGAACAAAUUGUGGCCUUCAAAGGCAAAACAUACACCCUAGGGUCUUUUGGGUCCUUCUGCAUCGUACAAUUUUCGCCCUGUCUCUUAGUUCAGAAGUUUGAAAUUAUGUUUGAGGAAGAUAGAACUGAAGAUCGCUAUUGGACAAAUCAAAAAACAUGGCUUGUGGUGUGCGACGUGCUUCUCUUAAUCAAACUUGAGGCAGUAAAAAGGAUAAGCUCUGAGGCUUUCCAGUUCAAGGCCUUCAAGCUCAAGUCGUUGGACGCCAAGAACAAGAAAGCAAGGUGGGCGAAGGUGGACAGGUUGAAUAACUGGGCCAUCUUUGUCAGCGCCGACGGGCGAUGCGAGGCGUUGUCGUUCAUGAACCCGGAGAGAUGGGGAGGGAGGAGCAACCACAUAUACUUCCCAAGUUAUGAGUCUGAACGACCUUGGGCUGCAGUGCAACUAUGGCAAAAAGCUAACAACCAUUCGACAAGUUCGUGGCUCUCGAAAACUGGAAGCCAGUACCACAGAUUGGUGCCAACCUGGGUCCUCCCUAGCGCAUAUCCUCGCUCUGGUCAGCAAUGAUCUUACGGCCAUCGCAGGCGUGGUUGGUGAUUGUCCUCUGAUACAGCUUCCCUGGGAGAGUUCUACCUUGUUUGGAGCAGUUACAUGAUGAGUAGUUUUACUGAAUGUUCUUAACUUUUUUUCUAAACUUGCAUUGCAAACAGAAGCUUUCACUGUAGAGUUAUCUGAUUCUGCUUUUUUUUUGUGGGAUUAUAAGGGACCUUAUGUUUUAUUGCUCAUCUACUACAAAUUACGGAGAUUACUUGUACUUGCGCCACUUGAUAACUUUGGGUUAGGCCUGCAACUUACUUUUAUACUACACACAUAAGGUGUUCAUCUAGGAGACUAGGACUGAGCCCAAAAAGCAAUUUCCUAAUAAACUCGCUAGUAUCUGUGCAGUGCUCAUUAUUCAUCAAGUUAUAAGCUUACUGCUGUUCUUCAUCUUUUCAUGUUGAACAAACUUGUGAUGUCUUUUAUUUAGUGCCAUGGCAGCUGUUUUGCUUCGAAUAAGUGUGCCAUGGCAAAGGUUUGCAUACUCACUGCGCAUGUGCCAUGGCAGGCGUCUUUCCCAUCGGGUUAGCCAGGUUUACAUGUUGCUUUUUUCGCCAAAGCUUGUUAAUUACUCCCAUUUUGUUAAUUAAGAAGCUUUGGCGAAAAAAGCAACAUGUAGAACAGGUUUUUGCCUCCAAGAACGUACAUUGGAUAGCAAACAAAGAUUAUUACAAAUCUUGAUGCACUACAUCAGAGAAGCGAAAAGAAUAAGGGAGUGUUUAGUUCGGUACUUCAGCCUGCCACUCCAACCUGCGGCAAGCCGCAAGUGAGGCGGACGAUCCGUCCGCCACACGCAGUGGCGGAGCUAUGUUGGGGCCAGGGGGAGCCGCUGCCCCCCCAGCCUUUUACCAAUUUCUGAAGAAAUUCUUUUUAGGGAGACUUAGAUUAGAACAUUUUUAGCAUUUGGCCCCCCCAGACACUGAUGAUUUGUGUUUCGCCCCCCCAGAGUUUUUCGGCUAGCUCCGCCACUGGCCACACGUUAGGCACGAAAAAGUGCAACACGGUAGUUUGUUUUGCUAUCACAUACUACAGCGUGUCAGGAAGCAAACAGUUGCCGGAGAUUGUCUGGCACGCCGCGCAUGUGGCACGGCAACCAAAGGCGUGAUCCAAACACACCCUAAGUACCAUAACAAUGGAACACAAACAGCCCCCAAGUGCAGCCAGUGGCAACAAGCCAACUACAUGGUGCAACGACACGAUCUCAUACCCAAGCAGCAAAAGAUGUAGGAUUGCGAACAAGUUGAGCAUUUAUCGUCGUAAAACAAGGUUCUGGCACCCACUUCUUAUUUCGGUUGCCAUCUUCUGGUUAUGAAAAUACUCGAGCAUUUUUAUCCAACUCGUAGACAUGGCCAUCCCUUAACCCCAUCCCCUCUUGGUUCACUAAGUUUCAUGGCUGUUUUUGGCCAAAGAAGCAUGCACACUUGUUCAUGCCUCCAUCUAUCCCCUCGCAUACUUUACAGUUUCAGUCGAAAAAUCGAUGGAGAAGGCAUCCCCGUUACAGCCAAGUAGGAGAAGCGUAUCUUCUCAAGCUACCAAAUUUCCCGAAAGCAUCUACCGGUCCAUAUAAUUGCUGCAAGAAACUCUUAGUACCUCACCAUGAAAACUAGGGUGCCAAAUGCACGGUGUACAACCUUUGAUGUAUCCUCAUAAUGAUCCGGCCUUUGAAGGCCACCAUCUCUUGGAUCAAAUGUACACUUACAAAAUCACAGCCCAAUCAAGUGGGGCUCCCAACCUCUCUUGUAGUCCAUGUGAUGUCAUGAGAUAGUUGGAGCCGAUGGUGGUUGUUCUACAUUGCCAAUCAAUGUUUUUAGAGAUAAUAAUAGAGGGUGUGGAUCACUGAUUCUCAAUUUGCUAGGAAAAUCAUAUGUGAUCUGCUUUUAUUUUUCUGUCAGUAUCGACACUUGCCAGAUACAGUAUUAAUUUGAGAAAUACUAGGCGCAAAGAUUUAUUUUCUAUCUAGCGCAUAUAUAUAAGUUCCCCAAAGAAUUGAUAUCCAGUGCCUGCAUCAUUGUUUAUCCAUGGCCAGCUCAUCUUCUACGACAACAAUGGGUUCCAUAUUGUUAAUCCAUUCGGUGGCACUAAGGUUGGUCCUCCUUCCCUCCGGUCAGUUCACUUCACUUGCAUCAGCUAUGUCACCUUAACUGCCCCUGUUGCAUCCGCUGAUUCGCAUCUCAUUGUCAGUGUUGUAGCCUAUCUGUUCCUGUGGCGCAUCGGGAGCGACUCUUGGACAAAACACAGUCCUAAAGUUGGUCGUUUUUUUAUUGAACAAAAUGUUGCCUUCAAGGGCAAGACAUAUGCCCUAGGGUCUUUCGGGUGGUUCUACAUCAUUCACUUGUCACCCAGUCUCAUUAUUCAGAAGUUUAGUUGUGUUUGAGGAAGAUAUAACCGAAGAUCUCUAUUCGGCAAAUGAAAAAGCAUGGCUAGUGGUGUGUGCUGAUGCACUUCUCUUGGUCAAGCUUGUGGAGGCGGGAAGAAGGAUGCGCUCAGAGGCCUUCCAGUUCAUAGCCUUCAAGCUUGAGUCGUUGGACACCAUGACCAAGAAGGCAAGGUGGGUCAAGGUGAACAAGUUAGAUAACCGGGCCAUCUUUAUCAGCAUUGACGAGUGGUGCGAGGCGUUGCCGUGCAUGAACCUGGAGGGAUGGGGAGGGAGGAGCAACCACAUAUGCUUCCCAAGUUAUCGGUCUGAACAACCUUGGGCUGAAGUCCAACUAUGGAAAAUGUGUUAUUACCAUUCGACAUGUUCGCAGCUCUUCAACACUAGAAGACAGUACCUGAAAUUGGAGUCAACCUGGGUCUUCCCCGUGCAUUUCCUUGUUCCGGCCAGCGAUGAUCUUACGGCCGUGGGUGCGGUUGGUGAUUAGCUUAUGAUACUGCUUUGGUGGGAGGAUUCUACCAUGUUGCAGUUGCAGGAUGAGUAGUUCACUGAAUGUUCUUGACGUUUUUCGAAACUUGCAUUACAAACAGAAGUUUAGAUUAAGUUAUCAGAUUAUAUGUACUCUCCUUUUUUUUCUGCGGCGAUUACAAGGGAACCAUAUGUUUUAUUUCUCAUCUAUUACAGAUUGUGGAGUUUUCUUGUACUUGGGCACUUGAUAACAUGGCCAGGCCUGUAACUUCCCAUUCAUACAUACAUAGAUACCUAUAAGGUGUUGGUAUUGCAACAGAGUAAUUGUACUAUGGUUGUUGAUUAUUCACGUGAUGUGCUUGAGCAUAUGACAGUCUCAUUUGGUGGAAAUGUGAAUAUUGAGAAAAUAGCUUGGGCAGAGCUAAAAAAAAUUAACAGAACAUGGUACGCCAUUUUGGGCUGGAGAGUUGCAAGGUCACCAAGAAUUGGAGUGAGGAUGCAAGUCCAUAGACAUCAGGUUAAUAUAAACUACAAGUUCAGCCAGCAAACAUAUAAGCAGCAUAUGUGCAUUCAUCACAAAGUUUGUGUUUGACAACCAAACAACUCUGCAUUUGCAGGUAGCUUCAGCAAACAGCUCUGCGUGCAUUUGAUUAUCUCUGUAUAAAAGGAGAUCAAGCUACAAGUAGAUGUAUGGACCAAACAAAGCACAUAACUCAAAUAAAAGCCCAGGCACAUCUGACAUGGUGCACACAAAAAAUGUUGAAGAGUGAUAUGAAGACGCAAGAAGCUAGUAUUGUUUCAGGAUGCAAGCCCUUAUCUCUUGUAUGCAAAACGGGAGUAAUUAACAAGGUUCAGCGAAAACAGCAACAUGUAGCACAAGUUUUGCCUCCAGGAACGUACACUGGGUAGCAAACAGAGAUUAUUACAAAUCUUGAUGUACUCCAUCAGAGGAGCGGAAACUAGAAGGAACAUAGCGACCGAAUACAAAAAGUCCCCAAGUGCAUCCAACGACAACAAGACAACUGCACGGUACAACCCACAUGAUCUCAUACCCAAGCUGCAUAGGAUGUAGGAUUGCGAGCAAUAUGAGCAUUGAUCGUUGCAAAACAAGGUUCUGGCUCCAACUCCUCAUUUUGGUUGCCAUCUACUGGUAUGAAAAUACUCGAGCGUUUUCAUCCAACUGGUAGACAACACCACCCCUUAAACCCAUCCUCUCUGGGUUCACUAAGUGUCGUGGAUGUCCAAUGUGUUUCUGGCCAAAGAAGAACGCCCAGUUCUUCAAGCCUCCCUCUUCUACUCUCACAAACUUUGCGGGUUCAGUUGAGAAAUCAAUGGAGAAGGCUUCCCCAUUACGACCAAGUAGGAGAAGUGUGUCUUCACAAGCCACCAAAUUUCGGAAAGCACAUACGGGUCCAUAUAAUCUCUGCAAUCAACUCUUAGUACCUCAACAUGAAACUGAGGUGCCAAAUGCACGGUGUAUAGUUUUUGACGUAUCUUCAAAAUGAACUGGCCUUUGAAGGACACCAUCUCCUUGACCAAAUGUGCAUUUAGAAAAUCGCAGUGCAACCAAGAGGGGCUCCCAACUCGCCAAGCGUACAGGCAGUGUGGGCUGCUGACAAAUAGAUAUGAAUCUGGUGAUGCUUCUGGAGAUAUGAAGGUUCUAGAGCAGAGUUGAUUCAACGGGAAAGGUGGAGCUGCAACCGUAGUGCCAGUGAGCACGUCCAUAAUGAUAAGGGAUCUGUCGUAGAAGAAAAUCGCAUAAUCAUAGGAACAUUUGAUGACUGCCACUUUGUCCAAAAUACUUGGAGGGGUCAAGCGACACAACGGAGUACUUGGAUAUACAGGAUCAAUGAGCUCCCAUGUGUUUCCAAUGUUCGAGCCAGCUGAGCUUGUCUGGUCGGCACAGUUCCGAAAAAUAACAGGUGGGAAGAGCUUGCCUAAGGUAGAUCUGAUUGACAUAAAUGCGGCAUACCAGCUAGGGCAGGUGGCGAUGAAUGCAAGAAGGUCACGAGUUGAACCCAACAGGACAAUGAUGGAGUGCAAUAAUCCAUGUGGUAGGUCCGCCCAGCCUUCGGGUCCAAACAUGACACGGUGCACGGAGAUGGGGUGUUGGAGCUCUGGUUGAUGUUUUGCAUGAUAUCAGCUCCAAAUUCUGCAUUAAGGAUCAUGAAAGGACAACAAUUUUAGCAAUGGACUUGAGUUAACUAUAUAAUAUAAAUUGAUGUCCACUAUUUUAAUUCACUUGGUUCUACUACAACUAUGAUAAUUAUACAAACACAAUAAAAAUGUUUGUAGAAACUAUAAACAUAAUACACAAUAGAGUAAAGAUUAGUGUAUUGCCAUCCAAAUGUGCAUGUGCCUCAAGAUAAUUCGAUCAUGAUAAAAUUCAUCAACAUUUGAAAAUAAAAUGCAAGUUCUGUAUUUUUCUUUCCAUCGAAUGUUAUUUAUAUGUGUUGCACAACAGGUUUGCCUCUUGUAUCCACCUCGAUCUCGGGCCCGCACAUACGCGAUAAAUUUCAUCAACAUUUGAAAUUAAAAAGUGCAAGCAAUAUUGAAAUACUAAGAUUGUUCUACAUUGAUAGUGGUAAACCCUUGAACUAUUUCAUAGUUUUCGUAUAGUAUAAACAUUACAGGGUCGCACAUUCAUGAACAACACAUACACCCAAAUCCCCAAAUCAUCCAUGGCAGAGUCAGGCUAACAAGAACAAAAGUGCGAUGAGCGCGUCAGAGGAGGUCACCCCCAAUGGGGGUGAUGGCGGGCCAAGGAAGAUGAUCCUAGGCAGCCUUGUGCGGUGGAGAACUCUGUCUGACCGUGGACCGUGGCACCGGUCAGCGAAAAUAUAUACUCGGCCAACCCACGAGACCAUGUCCUACACAGAAAUUGACUUAACCUAGAUCACAUCAUAUACUACAUAUUUCGACUCAAGCUUGACUCAAACACGUGAACUCCUACUAGUACGUGUACAUGACUUCGGUUAGUCCCCAAAGAACUAAAGCCUGUUGGAAAUAUGCCCUAGAGGCAAUGAUAAAAGGAUUAUUAUUAUAUUUCCUUGUUCAUGAUUGUCUUUUAUUCAUGCUAUAAUUGUGUUAUCCGGAAAUCGUAAUACAUGUGUGAAUACAUAGACACCAACAUGUCCCUAGUAAGCCUCUAGUUGACUAGCUCGUUGAUCAACAGAUAGUCAUGGUUUCCUGACUAUGGACAUUGGAUGUCAUUGAUAACGAGAUCACAUCAUUAGGAGAAUGAUGUGAUGGACAAGACCCAAUCCUAAACAUAGCAUAAGAUCGUAUAGUUCGUUUGCUAGAGUUUUUCCAAUGUCAAGUAUCUUUUUCUUAGACCAUGAGAUCGUCUAACUCCCGGAUACCGUAGGAGUGCUUUGGGUGUACCAAAUGUCACAACGUAACUGGGUGACUAUAAAGGUAUACUACAGGUAUCUCCGAAAGUGUCUGUUGGGUUGACACGGAUCAAGACUGGGAUUUGUCACUCCGUAUGACGGAGAGGUAUCUCUGGGCCCACUCGGUAAUGCAUCAUCAUAAUGAGCUCAAAGUGACCAAGUGUCUGGUCACGGGAUCAUGCAUUAUGGUACGAGUAAAGUGACUUGCCGGUAACGAGAUUGAACGAGGUAUUGGGAUACCGACGAUCGAAUCUCGGUCAAGUAACGUACCGAUUGACAAAGGGAAUUGUAUAUGGGGUUGCUUGAAUCCUCGACAUCGUGGUUCAUCUGAUGAGAUCAUCGAGGAGCAUGUGGGAGCCAACAUGGGUAUCCAGAUCCCGUUGUUGGUUAUUGACCGGAGAGCCAUCUCGGUCAUGUCUACAUGUCUCCCGAACCCGUAGGGUCUACACACUUAAGGUUCGGUGACGCUAGGGUUGUAGAGAUAUGAAUAUGCAGUAACCCGAAAGUUGUUCGGAGUCCCGGAUGAGAUCCCGGAUGUCACGAGGAGUUCCGGAAUGGUCCGGAGGUGAAGAAUUAUAUAUAGGAAGUGCAGUUUCGGCCAUUGGGAGAGUUUCGGGGGUCACCGGUAUUGUACCGGGACCACCGGAUGGGUCCCGGGGGUCCACCGGGUGGGACCACCCAUCCCGGAGGGCCCCAUGGGCUAAAGUGGGGAGGGGAACGAGCCCAUAGAGGGCUGGUGCACCCCCCUUGGCCCACCCCCUGCGCCUAGGGUUGGAAACCCUAGGGUGGGGGGGGGGGGCGCCCCACUUGCCUUAGGGGCCACUCCGCCCUUGGCCGCCACCCCCUAGGAGAUCCCAUCUCCUAGGGCCGGCGUCCUCCCUUGGGGAGCCUAUAUAAAGGGGGGGAGGGAGGGGCAGCCGCACCCUUGACUCUUGGCGCCUCCCUCUCCCCUGCUACACCUCUCCCUCUCGCAGAAGAAUGGCGAAGCCCUGCUGCGGUGACUGCUGCAUCCACCACCACGCCAUCGUGCUGCUGGAUCUUCAUCAACCUCUCCUCCCCCUUGCUGGAUCAAGAAGGAGGAGACGUCACGCUGACUGUACGUGUGUUGAACACGGAGAUGCCGUCCGUUCGGCGCUAGGAUCUUCGGUGAUUUGGAUCACGUCGAGUACGACUUCCUCAUCCCGUUCUUUGAACGCUUCCGCGCGUGAUCUACAAACGUAUGUAGAUGCAAUCCGAUCACUCGUUGCUAGAUGAACUCAUAGAUGGAUCUUGGUGAAACCGUAGGAAAAUUUUUGUUUUCUGCAACGUUCCCCAACAGUGGCAUCAUGAGCUAGGUCUAUGCGUAGUUCUUUUUGCACGAGUAGAACACAAUUUGUUGUGGGCGUAGAUGUUGUCAACUUUCUUGCCGCUACUAGUAUUAUUUUGCUUCAGCGGUAUUGUGGGAUGAAGCGGCCCGGACGAACCUUACACGUACGCUUACGUGAGACCGGUUCCACCGACUGACAUGCACUAGUUGCAUAAGGUGGCUGGCGGGUGUCUGUCUCUCCCACUUUAGUUGGAGCGGAUUUGAUGAAAAGGGUCCUUAUGAAGGGUAAAUAGAAGUUGACAAAUCACGUUGUGGCUUUAACGUAAGUAAGAAAACGUUCUUGCUAGAACCCUCUUGCAGCCACGUAAAACUUGUAACAACAAUUAGAGGACGUCUAACUUGUUUUUGCAGCAAGUGUUCUGUGAUGUGAUAUGGCCAAAGUUGUGAUGAAUGAUGAAUGAUAUAUAUGUGAUGUAUGAGAUCAUGUUCUUGUAAUAGGAAUCACGACUUGCAUGUCGAUGAGUAUGACAACCGGCAGGAGCCAUAGGAGUUGUCUUUAUUUUUUUGUAUGACCUGUGUGUCAUUGAGAAACGCCAUGUAAAUUACUUUACUUUAUUGCUAAACGUGUUAGCCAUAGUAGUAGAAGUAAUAGUUGGCGAGCAACUUCAUGGAGACACGAUGAUGGAGAUCAUGAUGAUGGAGAUCAUGGUGUCAUGCCGAUGACAAGAUGAUCAUGGAGCCCCAAGAUGGAGAUCACAGGAGCUAUAUGAUACUGGUCAUAUCAUGUCACUAUUAUUCGAUUGCAUGUGAUGUUUAUCAUGUUUUUGAAUCUUGUUUACUUAGAACGACGGUAGUAAAUAAGAUGAUCCCUCAUAAUAAUUUCAAGAAAGUGUUCCCCCUAACUGUGCACCGUUGCGACAGUUCAUUGUUUUGAAGCACCACGUGAUGAUCGGGUGUGACAGAUUCCAACGUUCACAUACAACAGGUGUAAGACAUAUUUACACAUGCAAACACUUAGGUUGACUUGACGAGCCUAGCAUGUACAGACAUGGCCUCGGAACACAGAAGACCAAAAGGUCGAGCAUGAGUCGUAUAGAAGAUACGAUCAACAUGAAGAUGUUCACCGAUGUUGACUAGUCCGUCUCACGUGAUGAUCGGACACGGCCUAGUUAACUCGGAUCAUGUUAUACUUAGAUGACUGGAGGGAUGUCUAUCUAAGUGGGAGUUCAUUAAAUGAUUUGAUUAGAUGAACUUAGUCUAAAAUCUUUACAACAUGUAUUGUAGAUCAAAUGGCCAACGUUGUCCUCAACUUCAACGCGUUCCUAGAGAAAACCAAGAUGAAAGACGAUGGCAGCAACUAUACGGACUGGGUCCGGAACCUGAGGAUCAUCCUCAUAGCUGCCAAGAAAGAUUAUGUCCUACAAGCACCGCUAGGUGAAGCACCUGUUCUCCCUGCAGAACAAGACGUUAUGAACGCUUGGCAGACACGUAUCGAUGAUUACUCCCUCGUUCAGUGCGGCAUGCUUUACAGCUUAGAGCCGGGGCUCCAAAAGCGUUUUGAAAGACACGGAGCAUAUGAGAUGUUCGAAGAGCUGAAAAUGGUUUUUCAAGCUCAUGCCCGGGUCGAGAGAUAUGAAGUCUCCGACAAGUUCUUCAGCUGUCAGAUGGAGGAAAACAGUUCUGUCAGUGAGCACAUACUCACUAUGUCUGGGUUACAUAACCUCUUGACUCAGCUGGGAGUUAAUCUCCCGGAUGAUGCGGUCAUUGACAGAAUCGUUCAGUCGCUUCCACCGAGCUACAAGAGCUUUGUGAUGAACUUCAAUAUGCAGGGGAUGGAAAAGACCAUUCCUGAAGUAUUUGCAAUGCUGAAAUCAGCAGAGGUAGAAGUCAAAAAGGAACAUCAAGUGUUGAUGGUGAAUAAAACCACUAAGUUCAAGAAAGGCAAGGGUAAGAAGAACUUCAAGAAGGACGGAAAGGGAGUUGCCGCGCCCGGCAAGCAAGCUGCCGGGAAGAAGCCAAAGAAUGGACCCAAGCGUGAGACUGAGUGUUUUUAUUGCAAGGGAAGUGGUCACUGGAAGCGGAACUGCCCCAAAUACUUAGCGGACAAGAAGGCCGGCAUCAUGAAAGGUAUAUGUGAUAUACAUGUAAUUGAUGUGUACCUUACCAGUACUCGUAGUAGCUCCUGGGUAUUUGAUACCGGUGCGGUUGCUCACAUUUGUAACUCAAAGCAGGAGCUGCGGAAUAAGCGGAGACUGGCGAAGGACGAGGUGACGAUGCGCGUCGGGAAUGGUUCCAAGGUCGAUGUGAUUGCCGUCGGCAUGCUACCUCUACAUUUACCUACGGGAUUAGUUUUAAACCUCAAUAAUUGUUAUUUAGUGCCAGCUUUGAGCAUGAACAUUGUAUCAGGAUCUCGUUUAAUUCGAGAUGGCUACUCAUUUAAAUCCGAGAAUAAUGGUUGUUCUAUUUAUAUGAGAGAUAUGUUUUAUGGUCAUGCUCCGAUGGUGAAUGGUUUAUUCUUAAUGAAUCUCGAACGUAAUGCUACACAUAUUCAUAGUGUGAAUACCAAAAGAUGUAAGGUUGAUAAUGAUAGUCCCACAUACUUGUGGCACUGCCGCCUUGGUCACAUAGGUGUCAAACGCAUGAAGAAGCUCCAUGCUGAUGGACUUUUAGAGUCUCUUGAUUACGAAUCAUUUGACACGUGCGAACCAUGCCUCAUGGGUAAAAUGACCAAGACUCCGUUCUUGGGAACAAUGGAGCGAGCAACCAACUUAUUGGAAAUCAUACAUACUAAUGUGUGCGGUCCAGUGAGUGUUGAGGCUUGCGGUGGCUAUCGUUAUGUUCUCACCCUCACUGAUGACUUGAGUAGAUAUGGGUAUGUCUAUUUAAUGAAACACAAGUCCGAGACCUUUGAAAAGUUCAAGGAAUUUCAGAGUGAGGUUGAGAAUCAACGUGACAGGAAAAUCAAGUUCUUGCGAUCAGAUCGUGGAGGAGAAUACUUGAGUCACGAGUUUGGCACACACUUAAGAAAAUGUGGAAUAGUUUCACAACAGACGCCGCCUGGAACACCUCAGCGUAAUGGUGUGUCCGAACGUCGUAAUCGCACUCUAUUAGAUAUGGUGCGAUCUAUGAUGUCUCUUACCGAUUUACCGCUAUCAUUUUGGGGCUAUGCUUUAGAGACUGCCGCACUCACUUUAAAUAUGGCUCCGUCGAAAUCCGUUGAGACGACACCUUAUGAAUUAUGGUUUGGGAAGAAACCUAAGCUGUCAUUUCUAAAAGUUUGGGGAUGCGAUGCUUAUGUCAGGAAACUUCAACCUGACAAGCUCGAACCCAAGUCGGAAAAAUGCGUCUUCAUAGGAUACCCUAAAGAAACUAUUGGGUAUACCUUCUACCUCAGAUCAGAAGGCAAGAUCUUUGUUGCCAAGAAUGGGUCCUUUCUAGAGAAAGAGUUUCUCUCGAAAGAAGUAAGUGGGAGGAAAGUAGAACUUGAUGAAGUACUACCUCUUGAACCGGAAAAUGGCGCAACUCAAGAAAAUGUUCCUGAGGUGCCUGCACCGACUAGAGAGGAAGUUAAUGAUGAUGAUCAAGAUACUUCUGAUCAAGCUCCUACUGAAAUUCGAAGGUCCAUAAGGACACGUUCCGCACCAGAGUGGUACGGCAACCCUGUCUUGGAAAUCAUGUUGUUAGACAACGGUGAACCUUCGAACUAUGAAGAAGCGAUGGCGAGCCCGGAUUCCGACAAAUGGCUAGAAGCCAUGAAAUCCGAGAUAGGAUCCAUGUAUGAAAACGAAGUAUGGACUUUGACUGACUUGCCCGUUGAGCGGCGAGCCAUAGAAAAUAAAUGGAUCUUUAAGAAGAAGACAGACGCGGAUGGUAAUAUGACCAUCUAUAAAGCUCGGCUUGUCGCUAAGGGUUAUCGACAAGUUCAAGGGGUUGACUACGAUGAGACUUUCUCACCGGUAGCGAAGCUGAAGUCCGUCCGAAUCAUGUUAGCGAUUGCCGCAUUCUAUGAUUAUGAAAUAUGGCAAAUGGACAUCAAAACAGCAUUCCUUAAUGGUUUCCUUAAGGAAGAAUUGUACAUGAUGCAGAAGGAAGGUUUUGUCGACCCUAAGAAUGCUGACAAGGUGUGCAAGCUCCAACGCUCGAUUUAUGGGCUGGUGCAAGCAUCUCGGAGUUGGAACAUUCGCUUUGAUGAGAUGAUCAAAGCGUUUGGGUUUACACAGACUUAUGGAGAAGCCUGUGUUUACAAGAAAGUGAGUGGGAGCUCUGUAGCAUUUCUCAUAUUAUAUGUAGAUGACAUACUUUUGAUGGGAAAUGAUAUAGAACUCUUGGACAACAUUAAGGCCUACUUGAAUAAAAGUUUUUCAAUGAAGGACCUUGGAGAAGCUGCUUAUAUAUUAGGCAUCAAGAUCUAUAGAGAUAGAUCAAGACGCCUCAUAGGUCUUUCACAAAGCACAUACCUUGAUAAGAUAUUGAAGAAAUUCAAUAUGGAUCAUUCUAAGAAGGGGUUCUUGCCUGUGUUACAAGGUGUGAAAUUGAGCUCGGCUCAAUGUCCGACCACGGCAGAAGAUAUAAAAGAGAUGAGUGUCAUCCCCUAUGCCUCAGCCAUAGGUUCUAUUAUGUAUGCCAUGCUGUGUACCAGACCUGAUGUAAAACUUGCCAUAAGUUUGGUAGGAAGGUACCAAAGUAAUCCCGACAAGGAACACUGGAUAGCAGUCAAGAAUAUCCUGAAGUACCUGAAAAGGACUAAGGAAAUGUUUCUCGUUUAUGGAGGUGACGAAGAGCUCGUCGUAAAGGGUUACGUCGACGCUAGCUUCGACACAGAUCUGGACGACUCUAAGUCACAAACCGGAUACGUGUAUAUUUUGAAUGGUGGGGCAGUAAGCUGGUGCAGUUGCAAGCAGAGCGUCGUGGCGGGAUCUACAUCUGAAGCGGAGUACAUGGCAGCCUCGGAGGCAGCGCAUGAAGCAAUUUGGGUGAAGGAGUUCAUCACCGACCUAGGAGUCAUACCCAAUGCGUCAGGGCCGAUCAAGCUCUUCUGUGACAACACUGGAGCUAUUGCUCUUGCCAAGGAGCCCAGGUUUCACAAGAAGACAAGGCACAUCAAGCGUCGCUUCAACUCCAUUCGUGAAAAUGUUCAAGAUGGAGACAUAGAUAUUUGUAAAGUACACACGGACCUGAAUGUAGCAGAUCCGUUGACUAAACCUCUCCCUAGAGCAAAACAUGAUCAACACCAGAAUUCCAUGGGUGUUCGAUUCAUCACAAUGUAACUAGAUUAUUGACUCUAGUGCAAGUGGGAGACUGUUGGAAAUAUGCCCUAGAGGCAAUAAUAAAAGCAUUAUUAUAUUUCCUUGUUCAUGAUAAUUGUCUUUAUUCAUGCUAUAAUUGUAUUAUCCGGAAAUCGUAAUACAUGUGUGAAUAAUAGACACCAACAUGUCCCUAGUAAGCCUCUAGUUGACUAGCUCGUUGUUCAACAGAUAGUCAUGGUUUCCUGACUAUGGACAUUGGAUGUCAUUGAUAAUGAGAUCACAUCAUUAGGAGAAUGAUGUGAUGGACAAGACCCAAUCCUAAACAUAGCAUAAGAUCGUAUAGUUCGUGUGCUAUAUUUCCAAUGUCAAGUAUCUUUUCCUUAGACCAUGAGAUCGUGUAACUCCCGGAUACCGUAGGAGUGCUUUGGGUGUGCCAAACGUCACAACAUAACUGGGUGACUAUAAAGCUAUAUUACAGGUAUCUCGGAAAGUGUCUGUUGGUUUGACACGGAUCAAGACUGGGAUUUGUCACUCCGUAUGACGGAGAGGUAUCACUGGGCCCACUCGGUAAUGCAUCAUCAUAAUGAGCUCAAAGUGACCAAGUGUCUGGUCACGGGAUCAUGCAUUACGGUACGAGUAAAGUGACUUGCCGGUAACGAGAUUGAACGAGGUAUUGGGAUACGGACGAUCGAAUCUCGGGCAAGUAACAUACCGAUUGACAAAGGGAAUUGCAUACGGGGUUGCUUGAAUCCUCGACAUCGUGGUUCAUCCGAUGAGAUCAUCGAGGAGCCUGUGGGAGCCAACAUGGGUAUCCAGAUCCCGCUGUUGGUUAUUAAUCGGAGAGCAAUCUCGGUCAUGUCUACAUGUCUCCCGAACCCGUAGGGUCUACACACUUAAGGUUCGGUGAUGCUAGGGUUGUAGGGAUAUGUAUAUGCAGUAACCCGAAUGUUGUUCGGAGUCCCGGAUGAGAUCCCGAACGUCACGAGGAGUUCCGGAAUGGUCCGGAGGUAAAGAUUUAUAUAUGGGAAGUCCUGUUUCGGCCAUCGGGACAAGUUUCGGGGUCAUCGGUAUUGUACCGGGACCACCGAAAGGGUCCCGGGGGUCCACCGGGUGGGGCCACCUGUCCCGGGGGGGCACAUGGGCUGUAGGGGGUGCGCCUUGGCCUACAUGGGCCAAGGGCACCAGCCACAAGAGGCCCAUGCGCCUAGGGUUUCAAGGAGGAACAGUCCUAGGAGGGGAAGGCACCUCCUAGGUGCCUUGGGGAGGAGGGAUUCCUCCCCUUGGCCGCACCACCCUAGGAGAUUAGAUCUCCUAGGGCCGGCGCCCCCCCUGGCCCUCCUAUAUAUAGUGGGGAGAUGGAGGACUUCUCACCUUGAUCUUUGGUGCCUCCCUCUCCCUCUCCAACACCUCCUCCUCCUCCAUAGUGCUUGGCAAAGCCCUGCCGGAGUACUGCAGCUCCAUCACCACCACGCCGUUGUGCUGCUGCUGGAGCCAUCUUCCUCAACCUCUCCUUCCCUCUUGCUGGAUCGAGAAGAAGGAUACGUCACACUGACCGUACGUGUGUUGAACGCGGAGGUGCCAUCCGUUCGGCGCUAGGAUCUCCGGUGAUUUGGAUCACGUCGAGUACGCCUUCCUCAUCCCCGUUCUUUGAACGCUUCCGCGCGUGAUCUACAAAGGUAUGUAGAUGCAAUCCAAUCACUCGUUGCUAGAUGAACUCCUAGAUGGAUCUUGGUGAAACCGUAGGAAUUUUGUUUUGUUUUCUGCAACGUUCCCCAACAGAGAUCACAUCAUUAGGAGAAUGAUGUGAUGGACAAGACCCAAUCCUAAACAUAGCACAAGAUCGUAUAGUUCGUUUGCUAGAGUUUUUCCAAUGUCAAGUAUCUUUUCCUUAGACCAUGAGAUCGUGUAACUCCCGGAUACCAUAGGAGUUCUUUGGGUGUACCAAACGUCACAACGUAACUAGGUGACUAUAAAGGUAUACUACAGGUAUCUCCGAAAGUGCCUGUUGGGUUGACACGGAUCAAGACUGGGAUUUGUCACUCCGUAUGACGGAGAGGUAUCUCUGGGCCCACUCGGUAAUGCAUCAUCAUCAUGAGCUCAAAGUGACCAAGUGUCUGGUCACGGGAUCAUGCAUUACGGUACGAGUAAGGUGACUUGCCAGUAACGAGAUUGAACGAGGUAUUGGGAUACCGACGAUCGAAUCUCGGGCAAGUAAUGUACCGAUUGACAAAGGGAAUUGUAUACGGGGUUGCUUGAAUCCUCGACAUCGUGGUUCAUCCGAUGAGAUCAUCGAGGAGCAUGUGGGAGCCAACAUGGGUAUCCAUAUCCUGCUGUUGGUUAUUGACCGGAGAGCCAUCUCGGUCAUGUCUACAUGUCUCCCGAACCCGUAGGGUCUACACACUUAAGGUUCGGUGAUGGUAGGGUUGUAAAUAUAUGAAUAUGCAGUAACCCGAAAGUUGUUCGGACUCCCGGAUGAGAUCCCGGACGUCACGAGGAGUUCCGGAAUGGUCCGGAGGUGAAGAAUUAUAUAUAGGAAGUGCAGUUUCGGCCAUCGGGAGAGUUUCGGGGGUCACCGGUAUUGUACCGGGACCACCGGAUGGGUCCCGGGGGUCCACCGGGUGGGACCACCCAUCCCGGAGGGCCCCAUGGGCUGAAGUGCGGAGGGGAACCAGCCCAUAGUGGGCUGGUGCACCCCCCUUGGCCCACCCCCUGCGCCUAGGGUUGGAAACCCUAGGGUGGGGGGGGGGGGCGCCCCACUUGCCUUGGGGGCCACUCCACCCUUGGCCGCCGCCCCCCCUAGGAGAUCCCAAUUCCUAGGGCCGGCGCCCCCCCCCUGGGGAGCCUAUAUAAAGGGGGGAGGGAGGGGCAGCUGCACCCUUGACUCUUAGCGCCUCCCUCUCCCCUGCUACACCUCUCCCUCUCGCAGAAGAACGGCGAAGCCCUGCUGCGGUGACUGCUGCAUCCACCACCACGCCGUCGUGCUUCUGGAUCUUCAUCAACCUCUCCUUCCCCCUUUCUGGAUCAAGAAGGAGGAGACGUCAGGCUGACCGUACGUGUGUUGAACACGGAGGUGCCGUCCGUUCGGCGCUAGGAUCUCCGGUGAUUUGGAUCACGUCGAGUAUGACUUCCUCAUCCUCGUUCUUUGUACGCUUCCGCGCGUGAUCUACAAAGGUAUGUAGAUGCAAUCCGAUCACUCAUUGCUAGAUGAACUCAUAGAUGGAUCUUGGUGAAACCGUAGGAAAAUUUUUGUUUUCUGCAAUGUUCCCCAACAAAGCCAUGUGACAUGCAAGCACCAACUACAUCAUGUUCCAAACAAAACACUCAAGAUUAUGCUAACACUAGCGCCGGCCCCUGCGCCACCAAUGGUUGUCAUGAGUUCUCAACUCCAGCAUGAGGUGGGGAAUGUCUCGUUCAUGAUACCGGCAAUCACUCCAAAGCUGCUUGUAGGUACAAAUCAGAGUAAGGGGUCAGAACUCGACAUCAACUUGGUUCCUUCCCCCGCCGGGGCUGACCCCGGAGGGCAGAGGUGAUUCAAGGACAGGCCUCCUCCAUGAGUCCGGCAGCCAGCAAGGAAAAUGAAGCGGGUAAAGUCAGCCUCAACAAGGCUCAUCCCCUACCCCCUGGAGCUGGUAACACGAAAGCCACGCACCACAAAGAUAAGAAUAGCUUCAAGGGUAAGCCAAGGAAGGAGGUCGAUCAAUCCCUGGUGAACACCAGGGCGGUGUUGGGUAAAUGCAUGGGACGUGAAAGUGAGUCUGGUAGUGAGUUUGUGAUGACACCUAGUUACAAGGGUCUUGGUCUGAACAACAAGGCAUGAGGUGAGGGUAAUGGAGGUGGCAUGAGCAACAUAGGUCUGUUAGGUGGUAAGGAAGCUAUCGGCCCAUGGGUUGUCGUUGAAUGACAUGUGAUAAGGAAGGCACCUGUCAGGAGAAAUGAGUCGCCUGAUCUAGAACUGUUGGGGCCUCAGGCAGUCCCGGAUAGUUGAAGAGCUAGUUUGCCUCGUGCGCACAUACACCCCUUGAUGAUUGUUUUACUUAUAAAACUCGACGGUGUGAAAUAGUUUGAAUAAUCUUAGGUGGAUGCUAGGCCGCAAGAAUUAUAUUACGCAUGAUGGUAAGGGCAAUGGUGCCAACAUUGCGUUGUUCUGAGAUGAAAGAACUAAAAUAAAAAAGACUACCAUAUGACCUGAGGUACAUUGAUGUCUUUAUUCAAGACGAUUCCCAUGGCCCGAAGUAUCAGGCUACAUGGUUAACCAAGGAGUCAAGAAGACGUCACAUCUGGAGUUUACUCAAAAGAAUAAAGCCAAAUGCUCAUGAACACUUGUUGAUGAUAGGUGAUUUUUAUGAGACGAUGUGGCAACAUGAGCACUUCUUAGUAGCUUGGAUAUCCAAGAGAAAAAUACCAAUUUCAGAGAAGCCUUGUUCUAGUGUGAUAUUCAUAAUUGGGGCUAUAAGGGGCCAUCCUGCACAUACAAUAAUAAACAGUAUGGCAAAAGCAAUGUGACUGUCGGGUUGAAAGUGCAGUUGCAUCGUCGAGUUGGUGUGAUUUAUUCAGAGUGAACAGUGGUACACACAUAUGCUCCAACCACUUUCCUCUAUGGCUGCAAUACGGGAGACAGACCAAGGUGCAUAGCAACGUGAAAUCCUUUCGGUAUGAGUAGAUAUGGGAAAGAGUACCAUCGAUGGAGGGAACUAUUGAAGUCCCUGGCCGAUGACUGCACUAAGUUGGCAGUGCUACAACGGGAUGUUUGGUCCUGGACAUGAAAGAUUUUGGACCAUGAUAAGGAGUACUCAUUGGUUGAGAAGGAAUAUUAUAGUCACAUACUAAAUGCACCAUCUUAUUGGUUGCGAACUGUUGAAAUAUAUUGCCUGCCUCCCUUCAUCAGUUCAGACUUUUGGAUGAGUUGGCUGGAGCAUGAAUUCAAUAUGGUAUCCGAGCUAAGAGGUCUUGAGUUCAAGACCCUACCGACGCAGUAUUAAAUAAAAUGAUUCUGUGGCCCACAUCGACCCCACGUCUAAGGAAUAAAAUAACCUAGACGUGAGGGGGAGUGUUGAAAUAUAUUGCCCGCCUCUCUCCAUAAGUUCAGACUUUUGGAUGAGCUGGCUGGAGCAUGAAUUCAAUACGGAUGGUCUGGAAAGCAUCUUAAGAAAGUAAGUUUUGGAAGGGAGGUUAAUUGCUGGGGGAGACUCGGUGUCUCUAAACUAAUGUUUGUUGAUGGAAGCCUUUUGUUCUUCAAGGCCAUAGGAAGAGAGGCGAGGAUAGUGAAGGACACUCCAAAUCUAUUUCAAAGGUGUACAUGAUAGCUUCUUAGCCCAGCUAAAUGCUCUUUAUUAUUUAGUGAACACUGCCCGCCCCAUGUCCAGUAAUAGAUAAAGGUAACCAUUGGUGUUGUAGCUUCCACUUUUGAGAGUAAAUAUUUGGGUUUACCAACCCCAGAAGGUAGGAUGUUUGACUCGAAUUUCAAUCGAUCAUGGAAAGGUUCACAAAAAUGUGCAACGACUGGAUUAAAAAGUAUAUGGCCCAUGCAGCUAAAGAGAUCUUGAUCAAGUAAGUGGUUCAAGCGCUUCCCACUUACUUGUUUGGAUUGUUCAAAUAUCCUUGGGCUUUUUUGAAAAGUUGGGCUUUUUGUGAUAAGUAUGAAAAACUUAUCUGGGACUUUAGGUGGGGCAGUGAGUAAGGACAUCACAAGUCCAUUGGCUCUCCUGGUACCAACCGGUAAAACAAAAGAGAGGAGGUGUUCUAGGAUUAUGGGAUAGGCAUAUGUUUAACCAAGCUCUCUUGGAAUGGCAAGGGUGGAGACUCAUUCACAAGUCGGAUAGUUUAUGUUCUAGAAUCUUGAAACGAGAAUAUUAUCCUCGUGUGGAUAUUCUAGACAUGGUCAUUUCCUAGUAUGCAUCGCCGGCUUGGCGUUAAGAUACUCAAGGAAUACAUCAUCUGGUGUAUAGAGAAUGGAUGAAAAAUUCAGAUUCGGAGAGACAACUGGAUUCUGAGACAGUAUGGCCUCAGGUUACCAAAUUCACCAGAAACUCGAGGUUGAGGUAGGUUAACCAGUUGAUUGUCUCAAUAAAAAUGAAUGGAAUAUUAACCUUGUCCAUAGGCUAUUUUCUGACAUCAAUGCAGAGGAGAUAUUUCGCAUAAAUCACCCUUCUACGUGAAGGAUAACUUGCUUAUAAACUUGCCACCCAACUAAAAUUCAGGUACAAUUCCCCUGCUUCUAGCUCUUCAAGUGCGACAUAUAAUUGGAGUAUUUGGGGUGUGUUUUGGAGAGCUAAGGUUCCAAAAAAGGUUAAGGUCUUUGGCUGGAGGUUGCUACUGGCUCACUGGCUACACAAUUUUGUAAAUUUAUAAAGGUGCUGAGUGUAACACCAUUUAUGCUAUUUCUGGUAACAGUGUGGAGAGUGAAUUCCAAUCCACGAUGGCUUUGUGGUGUUGGCUAGUGUCCCAUCAAUACUUCUUUUCCCUCCUGUCUAAUGAUUGCAAUCAGUCUAUAGUAAUAUACAAGUCUAGUGUUUUCCCCCAAUUAAAUAAAAUAAACACAACUUGAAGAUCAACUAAAUUUUUACCUUAAUUUUCCUAGAAAAAACAGGGCGAGUUCUUCUCCUACCUUCUUCGGUGUUGACAGCGGAGGGCGAAGUGGAGGCAACAACUACAUUCUCCGAUGCCAGUCGUGGUAAGACGAGGCCAUCGGAUCCAGUAUGCUGCUUUCGUCCAUCGCCAAUCAUCAUGUUUGCUCCAGAUCUGGGGAAAACGGACACCUUCGACUGCGGUGACUCCAGAUCUGGAUGCGACUGGUCGCCCGCACCUAGGAUUCCAGAUCUGGAUGCGACUGGUCGCCCGCACCUAGGAUUCCAGAUCUGGAUGGAAACACAUUAGUAGUCCAUGCGGUUCUCUCAAUGGAUCAUCCACCACUCAACUGUGGGGCGGUUCUAGCGCAGUUGGUGUGGAUGUCAAGGAGGAGAGGAACGUGUGUGACGAGAGAGAGAGAGAGAGCGGGGGGAGGGGGAGAAAGAGAGGUGAGGGGGAGAGUCGUGUGUGGGUUUGUUCGUUAUAUAAAAGGCUUUAUCGGAGUACCAAGGGGAACCUUGUCAAACUUCGAGUGAUUUUUCUUGCUUUUGGCAACUUUAUACCUUGAACAAGCUCUAUUACUAAGAAAAGAGGGAGCCUAGUUUGUGCAUGCUUGUGAAUCGUGCACUCGCGUUUCGAUAAGUUUUAUUUUCCAUUUUGGAAAGGGUGCAGCACCUCCUUGUUCCCAUUACAAGAUUAGGUGAAGGCUUAAUAAGAAAUUAGGGAAGGACCCCCCUGAAAUUCAAUAGGAGAAGAGAUUAGGUGGAGGCUUAAUAGGAAAUUAAGGAGUUCCCAUCAAGAAAUUCUGGUGCUGGUAGAUUAGGUGGAGGCUUAAUAGGAGGUUACAUGUAUAUUAUAUGUGGGCCUGCAUACCACAACAAGACCUCCCGUCCUCACGUUUAAAUUGCCCCGCCCUCUCCCACUUGGUGGGCCCACUUCCCACCCUGCCGCUCCCAAAAAAGCGUGUCGGCUGAGAGUUGUGUGUUGGUCAGUUUGCUCGCUGGAGCGAGCAAAUGCCAGGGAGUCAAUGUGAGGUGCUCCCAACCAGCAAGGACACGAAUGACACCAUGCAACAUGCUCCGACCGACCAUGAUUCCUGCAUACAAAUAGUGAACAUCAGACACCAAUGCCCUUACCUUGCUGACCGGACACCUGCGGCUCCACUCCCAGACACAGGAUGUCGGCGUGAAGUACUCGAUGUCCUCCUAGAAUUCUUGUAGCUCUUCACCCAUAUUUUUAUUCCUGUUUCUCCCUGUCAAUUAAGACCCCUCUAUUGAAUUUCCAUUUGGCUUGAGAAUGACGGUUGUGACCUCCAUAACAAUGCAACACUUGUCACCCGACCUCUCCUCUUUAUCCUAUGUGUCUUCCUUGCCGAUGAUAGCAAAGUGGACGACCCCAACGAUGGUGGUAUCAGCUCGAUGCCAAGGACAGGCACCGCAUGCGAGGGAAUAUAUGUGAUCCGACACCCACAACACAAUCCGUAAGGACGAGUUCUCUUCCCAACGAAACCUUCUCUCCUAGCCAAAGAUGACAUCCCUCCUCGAUCUUCUUGUCGGCAUCCGUAGAAGCAACUAUCCUAAUGGUCUAUCGGGACUGAGGACACUGGAGCACCAUUCAGAUAUGCUGCCAAGAAAGGCGAUGGAGAAGCUCGUUGACCAUUGCACAUGGAGGGAAGGGGGCAACCCAGUUUAGUAAACUGUAAUAACGAGUUGUAGUGUGCAUUACAAAUAUUGCAUAAACACCCUUUGGUUAAUUUAGAAAACAUGAUAGUUCAGAACCUCAUAUAAAAUGAUAUAAAACACACUCAAAUAAACAAUGCAUUGGUAUAAUCCUGCUAAAAAAUACUGAAAUAUUUACCAUAUUUUCCUUAGGGGUGAAGGGGAGCCUUGGCGCAGUGGUAAAGCUGCUGCCUUGUGACCAUGAGGUCAUGGGUUCAAGUCCUGGAAACAGCCUCUUACAGAAAUGUAGGGAAAGGCUGCGUACUAUAGACCCAAAGUGGUCGGACCCUUCCCUGGACCCUGCGCAAGCGGGAGCUACAUGCACCAGGUUGCCCUUUUUUUUUAUUUUCCUUAGGGGUGGCCCUCUCAUUUAACUAGGCAGGCAACCCCAAGAAGCAUACACUCAUGAGAGAUAUAAGCAUUUUCUAGUGGAAAAAUAGUGUUACCAACUAAAGAAAAAAUAUGUAUGCAUAUAGGACACAUGAGCGAUGUACAUCUGAUUUUUUUAAGAGGUAAACGAAGGGGCCACAAAUAUCAACAUAGAAUAUGGAGUGAGUGGAUUAAAGUUGAGUGGUAGUAGAAUCAAUAUCCAUGACAUCAAAGGUUCCAAAUACUCACCGGCUUCGUUAGUAACAAGUGUAUCUGAAUUAUCAUACGGAAACAACAAAAAUUAUCCAAAUAUUCGUUUUCUGGCGGUAUAGCAGUGUCGGGUUCAUCAAGAGAUACUGAAUUAUGUUCAUCUAGAGCGUUCUGGUCCUCCUGCGACAUGCCGACAUCUAGGUUUUGCGGGACAAAGCUAGAAGUUAACGCCGGGAACACGAGAUCAUGCCGUCAAACUUGAAUAUUGUCUGCCAAAGGCUGGAACAGUCAGCUUGAGCUUGAGACCGCACUCAGCGAUGUUUUUCUGGGGCCAAAGAUCCAUGCUCUCAUUGCUUCCAGAACCAUUGCUUCUCCAUGUUUGAUCGAAAUUAUGUGAGUGUCGCCUCUUUCCUGAGCACGCAUGAAAACUGAACCACAGCAAUGUGAAACGUGUUGUACCCUAUCAGCACUUCUAAGUAAGCUAAGUUGAGUAUAAAAUACCAGCUAGGUCAUUGUAGUAUAGUGGUGAGUAUUCCCGCCUGUCACGCGGGUGACCCGGGUUCGAUCCCUGGCAACGGCCCUCCUUCCUGGCCUGAACAACGGUGGAGGCCUGCUGAGAGCUCGCCUGGCCCGUCCGGGUCUAUUUACCGUAUGCACCCUGGAAAAGUAACAUGUUCGCUCUAGAGCCCUGCCCGAACCAACCAAUCCUCUUUGUAAAACCCUGGCGUGUAUGCAGGAACAGGAGGAUUAGACCGUUUCUUGAGAGAACAGCCUUAGUUUGUACCUAGUGGUUUUGGUGUGGGUGCCCGAACAAGCCUAUGUAUGCAUUGCGCUUGAUCCUCUUGUAAAUCUCCUUUUGCUCUUCUAUCAAAAUAUGAUACAUCAUUGCCGUACUCUAAAAAAAAACUGGCGUGUAUUUAAGACCUACAUGUAUGCAAUUAUUGAUUAGAGAAGAAGAAGGGCACCCGUUUUGUGGCAUCUUGAAAAGCAACAGCAGCCAUGGUGCCUAGAAACAUUCUCACUCCUACCCUAAAACCAUUUUAGAGCAUUAAAAAUUUACAUCAUCUGUUGGAAGAUUCUCUUAUGCACAGUCAGAUAUCUAUCGGCGCUGCAGUGUGCCGCUAGUUGCUGGCGGACAUGGCGUGCACGGCGGUUGUUAUGUCAUAAAACAAAUUUCACCUUUAGGUUUCUCUGGAUUUUUCUUGAGAUUUAUCUUUUUUCUGUUUUCUUCUCUGGAUUUAAUUCUAGAAAAAAAUUCACCUUUUUUUCUUGGCCCAAUGUUGUCAAAGUUAAAUCUGGCAUAUCUCUCGGUAGGGUAUCCUAGAUAUACGACAAGUUCAAGGGCUCAAGGCUUUGUACAUGACAGUUACAAUUAGGCUGAUCUGAUGAAUCUAAAGUACAGCGUCAUAAAAGUAAUAUGAUCACUGAAAAUUUGUGGACGAUUCAGACAAGCCUUGAGCCCUUGUCUAUACUUGCUAUCAUCACUAACUGUACCAGCAUGAUUACUCCCUAAUUAUUACUCUCUCCGUCCCAUGACGCUUUUAUAUUAUGUUCAGUGCUCAACACUAAGUGGGAUUUUAGCCUUGUUAUUACAAGGGUGGCUCCUAAUUACGCGCUACAACCUGACGAAGACCAGUUGUUUUCCCUUAGACAUGCAGCUCCUGACUGAGCUGGCCAUUGUAGAGAUCUUGCCACGAGUCGGCUUAUUGUAGUGACUCGAUACUGCAACGGUUUGGUACUGUAGUGCUUACUAGGUUUUUUUACUUUCUCUUUUAAUUCUUUUUAGAAAAAACAAGAAAUGAACAUUUUUUUGGAACUUUCAAACAUUUUUUGAAACGUGAUGAUCUUCCUUAAAAUUUCAAACAUUUUUUGAAUUUUCAAAUAUUUAAAAAACAAACUUGUUUUUAAUUUGAAACAUCUUAAAAAAAUUGAACAAUAUUGAAAUUGCAAACAAAUUUCUAAAGUUUUUGAACAUUUUUUAAAAUUCCAAAUAAUAAAAAAUCUAAACGUACUUGAAAAUAAAAACCAGGAAACAUGUAAAGAAAAAAGGGGCCGGACUAUAUUUGCUGGCCAAAAACCUCCUAGAAAGUUCUGAAAACUAGAUAGUACAAUAUAUUUGCUCUUAGAUGGGCCGGCCGAAUAGAUAUCACGAUGUUAAUCUUCAUGUGCGUUUGAGCGACAAUUUGAGAACCCCUCGAAAAAAAGACAAUCCGAGAGAGAGAGAGACUGUCAAAUGGGAAAUCACNNNNNNNNNNNNNNNNNNNNNNNNNNNNNNNNNNNNNNNNNNNNNNNNNNNNNNNNNNNNNNNNNNNNNNNNNNNNNNNNNNNNNNNNNNNNNNNNNNNNNNNNNNNNNNNNNNNNNNNNNNNNNNNNNNNNNNNNNNNNNNNNNNNNNNNNNNNNNNNNNNNNNNNNNNNNNNNNNNNNNNNNNNNNNNNNNNNNNNNNNNNNNNNNNNNNNNNNNNNNNNNNNNNNGACUCCCGAGGGCACUUUUCAUAGCCACGAGAGCCCUUCAGACUUUAGUGCUCCAGAUGACGCGCUCCACUAUUGUUACUUAUAUAUCACGCACCACAUUGCUUCCACACGAGAACAAAUUCCUUUUGUUUCUCCUGGAUUUUUUUUCUGUUUUCUUGGGUUUUCUUUUAUGUUUCCCUCGGGUUUUUACCCGGUUCCUCAACGGAGGUUUUCAUGCAUACUUGUGCCCUCGCGUGGAGCAUAUUGCUUCACGCAAGAGCACAGUUUGUACAUCACAUCUUAGAGCACGGGGUUAGUACUAGGUGAAACCAUGGGUUAGUUUACAUCAAAAGCAUGAAGUGUGCUUCACACAGGAGUACUGUUGUGCUUCAUGUUCUAAGCACAGGUGUGCUUCUCAUGUGCUUCACGUGAAGCACAACUUACUUCACUUGGGAAGCAUAGGUGCGUAUCCACGGGAGUAUAUGUGUGAUUUCUCGCAAGAGUAUAGUUGUGCUUCAGCUCUUGUAAAAAGCACAUGUUAUUUCUAAAGAAGUUAUCAGAACUUAUCAAAGAGAUAUUUCAUUUUAACUCUUCUAAAAAGAACCCCNNNNNNNNNNNNNNNNNNNNNNNNNNNNNNNNNNNNNNNNNNNNNNNNNNNNNNNNNNNNNNNNNNNNNNNNNNNNNNNNNNNNNNNNNNNNNNNNNNNNNNNNNNNNNNNNNNNNNNNNNNNNNNNNNNNNNNNNNNNNNNNNNNNNNNNNNNNNNNNNNNNNNNNNNNNNNNNNNNNNNNNNNNNNNNNNNNNNNNNNNNNNNNNNNNNNNNNNNNNNNNNNNNNNNNNNNNNNNNNNNNNNNNNNNNNNNNNNNNNNNNNNNNNNNNNNNNNNNNNCAGACAAGUUUGGGAAUUGGGAUGACUCAUGCAAAAGGUACCUCUAAUUAGUUUUUUAGCUAUAUAGGUAACUCUAAUUAGUGAUUCCGCAUAAGCAUAAGAACAUCUUACAAACGGCAUUGUGUCUGGACUGGGCCGGCCCGGCCUUUUAACCGGAAGAAGGGUGGGGAAAAAACUGAUAUGUACCGUACUGCUGCUGUACAUGCCGCGCUGCUCAUCGAAGAGCUGAAGAAACGGCGGCGCGCAUGGAGGCGCAGCCGCGGGAGAUCGGCGCGCAUCCUUCUUCCUCGGCGCCGGCGGCCGCUGAGUCCUCGUCCUCGUUACUGACGUAACCCCCAUACCCUUCCUCGUCCUCUACUCAUCCAUCGCUCUCUGUUUUCCUCGUCAAAUUCGUUCGCGGAAAGAGUAGACAGAUUUCAGGGCGGUUAGUUAUUUCUGCGUCCCAUCCCCUUUUCCGUUCAUCUGUGAAUCUUGCAUCAGAUCCACCUACGUCAGUAAGAUUAAUUAGGUAGAUUGAUUCUGCUUAUUCUGGAGAAGAAAAACAAUCCAGAUUGAGACGGCCCCUGCUAAGUCUAGAUCUUCAAUGUUGAUUUUGCUGAUUCCAAUGCAGAUUUUUGUUUUCCCUGCUCUACAUCUACAGCAUUGCAGUUAAGAAUGUGCCACUGAUUUGCCAGGCCUGUAUCAGUGUGCUGGGAGAAUCAUAUUUGUUUUGCCUGUCAUUUUUUUGGCCUGAUUCAGUGUGCAGAAAGUUCCCAUGUAGUUCAGUUUGAUAACUAGGCGCUGUCAAUGAGUAUCUAGCACUCGGCACUUGCCACGUAUUAGUUUGAGAAACAGGCGAUUGUGGUGUGUAGUUCAGUGGGCACAAAGAUUUAUAUGAAACUUCAGCAACCCGUCUAUCUACCACGUAUAGCUCCCCCGUAGAACUGAAAUUUGGUGCCCGCGUAGUUGUUAAUCUUAUUCUGAACUUCUCAGGGCCAACACCUCAGUAUAAUAUGUACCUUUGUUUAGCUCAGGUCAUGUUUUCUAGAAUCUUGGUAGCUCCUAUUCUUUUUCAUACAAUUAUAUCUUGCUUUGCAUGCCUAAUCUUUUGUCCUGACUUUGUUACAUCCAACAGGGAGAGCUCUGCCAUGCGAAUCAGGGCUAAGAGAACCUGCCAUGCCCCUGCCUCCUCCGUCUUGGCCACAUCCGGGCCACGAGGAUGGGCAGAGCUCCAGGAAGAUCUGCUUCAAUGUGUAGUCGCUCUCCUCGGCUCCUCCCGCGACCUCCUCGCCUUCGGUGCCACCUGUCGUCCUUGGCGUGAUCUGUUCUCAGCGCACACGUCCUCUUUGCAGCCUCUCCUCCUCUACCCAAGUACCGACAGGCAACAAUCUCUGUGUACUUGGAAAUUGGCUGAUCCUGCUGCCACCCCAUCCUAUCCCAGUUUGCUUUCCUUGAGUGACCUCAGAGGCAUGCUCUUUCUUUGCUGCUCCUACGGUCACCUCAUCUUCUGCGACCGCGACCGGUUCUGCAUUGUUAAUGCGUUCAGUGGCGCUAAGGUUGUGCCUCCUUGCCUCAAGUCAGAUCACUUCACUCGCAUUAGCUUUGCCACCUUGACUGCCCCGGUUGCAUCUACUGACUCACAUCUCCUUGUCGGCAGUGGAGCCUAUCUGUUCCAGUGGCGCAUCGGGGGCGACUCUUGGUUGGAACACUAUUCUAAAGUUCUUUUUCUUAAGAGUGAACAAAUUGUGGCACGGAAGGGGAAAACAUACGCCCUAGGGUCUUUCGGGUCCUUCUGCAUCAUACAAUUAUCACCCAGGCUCUUAAUUCAGAAAUUUGAAGUUGUACUUGAGAAAGAUAGAACCGAAGAUCACUAUUGGACAAAUCAAAAAACAUGGCUUGUGGUGUGUGGUGUUGCGCUUCUCUUGAUCAAACUUGAGGCAGGAGGAAAGAUAUCCUCGGACGCCAUCCAGUUCAUGGCCUUCAAGCUAGAGUCAUUGGACGCCAUGACCAAGAAGGCAACAUGGGUGAAGGUGUACAGGCUGGAUCACUGGGCCAUCUUUGUUAGCCCUGACAUGCGAUGUGAGGCAUUGCCAUGCAUGAACCCGGAGAGAUGGGGAGGGAGGAGUAACCACAUAUACUUCCCAAGUUAUCAGUCUGAAAAACCUUGGGCUGCAGUCCAACUAUGGCAACAAUGUAACGACUAUUGGACACGUUUGCAGCUCAGGAACACCGGAAGCUGGGACCGCAGAUUGGAGUCAACCUGGGUCGUUCCCAGCACGUUUCCUCGCUCUGGUCAGCGAUGAUCUUAGGGGCAAUCGUGCGUGCAGCUGGUGAUUGGCUUCUGAUAUAACUUACGUGGGAGAAUUCUACUCCCUCUGAACGUCCUAUAUUACUUUAGAGAUGGAGUACCAUUUUGCAAUUGCAAGGCGAAUAGUUGACUAAAUGUUCUUGAAUGCUUCCUAAGUUACUCGUCUUGCACUUUUUUUGUGUGGCAAUAACAAGGGACUCUUAAUUAUGGUUUAUUUCUCAUUUACUACUACCUCUGUUCCUAAAUAUAAGUCUUUCUAGAGAUUCCAAUAGGGAUUAGAUACGGAACAAAAUGAGUGGAUCGACACUCUAAAAUAUGUAUAUAUACAUCCGUCUGUAGUCCGUGUUGAAAUCUCUAAAAAGACUUAUAUUUAGAAACGGAGGGAGUAGAAAUUAUGGCGUUACUUUUUUGUACAUGGGCCACUUGAUAUAUAACAUGGGCUAGGCCUGCAACUUUCUUCAUACUAGAUACCUUCUUUUUAGACAAUCUUCAUAUUAGAUACCUAAAGGUGGUCAUCUAGCCUGGGGCUGGGCCCAAAAUGCAAAUUCAUACUGCCUACCAAGGUGGGCUGGGCCCAAAAUGUAAAUUCAUACUGCCUGCUAAGGUGUUUAUCUACUCAUUAUUUCAUCCAGAAAGCUAUAAGCCUACUCCCAUUCUUCAUCUUUUCAUACUAGUACUAGAAACCUAUGGUGUUUAUCCUUAUGUCAGUAAGAUUUUCUAUAACCAUUUGAUCCUAAUUCGCCGUCGGAUAUCAGCUGUUGAAUAACUGAUCAGAUCUUAUCAUCUUUAAAGAAAUGGAUCACAAACACACACACACACACACACACGCACACGCGCGCACACACAUGACAGGAAUAAAGACUGGUCUAGCUCAUCACCAUCAUCUUUUUGUGCUUUCACGUGAAUGAAUUGUGCACUCUCUCGCACACAUAGACAAACCUCUCUUACUCCAUGAGCAUCUCCAUCACACAUACGCACUCCAUCUAUUUCUCGUCCUCUCUCUAGGUUAGAAUUGUCUCUCUACCUCGCCCUCUAAGUCUCUCACAAAAACAUACACGCUCUCUCCGUCAAACACACGCACCCCUUUCCCCUCCUCUCUCUAGGUUAGAAUCAUCUCUCUACCUCGCCGUGUAAGUCUCUCUCACAAAAACACACACGCUCUCUCCGUUAAACACACGCACCCCUCGCCCCCCCACCUCAUGUCUCUAAGUAUAACUCUGUCUUGCACACAUUCCUGAGGUUAACUGGAUUCCCCGGAACCACAAGAAUCCUUAGAAUGGGAUUCACACGACAGGAAUAAGAACUGUCUAGCUCAUCACCAUCAUCUUUUUGUGCUUACGAACCUCUUGCUUUCCCUCUAUAGCAUGCCCUCAAGGCCUCAACAUCUCGAUGGCAUCAAGGAAGACAAAAAGACACAACAACACCACAGGCAUGGCGGGCACGGCGUCUAUAUGAAACUCAUGUUUGACUCGGCAGGUGCAGCACCCAUGUCGCCAUAGAUUGGACAAGUUUCAUAAACACCUUGAUGAAAAAGGUCUAGCAAAUAACAAUUUUCUGAGUUUCUUGCACCAACUAGUAUCUUGAAAUAUUGACCUGUUUGUGGAGGGUGAGCAAUUUACUUGUAUUUCAAUAGUAUGUAGAUAUGUAUAUAGCUUCUCAUCGUCAUUCGGCCCCUGUAAAUUUCUCUUCUUAAUUUCUCUUGUGGUGGUACAUAAAAAGUUUUAGCUACCAGCAUAUGACAUACACUCAACUUCUCUUCCUUUAUGUAAAUGUAAAGUAAAUAAAAGAGCUACUUAUCCUAAUGAAAAACUAUUUUAGGGUCACAUCUGGUGAGAAAAAAAUUCUUCCUACAUGGCAACAAGACAGACUUCACAACCAAAUGGGUGCAAAUCUCCAAAAGGCCAUAGAAUUUGUGCAGUCUCCACAUAUGAAAAGGAUAUAUAUGAUCAGAUGAACAUGGAUUGAAAUUUGGCACACAAUAAUAGUUUUGGCUUUAUACAGCCUUGUCACCCCAGUAUUUUAAAAUUUUCCUGUGUUGCUUUUCUUAUCUACAAAAGAUAAGGCUGCUGCAUGUGCUUGCAUAAUCUAUCUGUACAUGACGACACCGUUGAUCAGAUAAAUGGACUUUUGUUGUGGAUGUCCUUGCUUCCUUUCUGUGCAUGACGACACCGUUGGCACUUGCACUUCUAGAAAAGAUAUCAUGUGUACUUUCCCCUACUAUUCAGAUUGAAAGCAUACAGGUUGUACAACAAGCCAACAAAUUUCAACCAUAUUCUUUUACUCCAUUACUACUCAUACUGCAAAAGAAAACUUCGUGCACAACAGUCCCACAGCUAGUAACUAUCUGGAGAGGAAAAGAAGAACAUGAUACUAGUAUAUUAUAUGUUUACAUAUAUUGGUACUCAAUUAGUCACUUGGAGGUUGAAGUUACUACCUCGAUUUUCUUUUCAGUCAUCAUUUUUGGAAUGAUUCAGGUAUACAGUUAUGACCACUAUUUUUUGCACUUACAUGUUUUUGAAAAUUAUUAUAGACAUAAUGAGAUGGAAUUAUUCAUCACGAUAACUCCAAUACCAGACCUGUCAAUUCCUGCUUUUAUAUUAUUCAGUUAGCCACUAGGUUUUGUAACUCCCAUGGUUUCUUGGCUUUGCAAAUGUAUUAUGUACAAGAAUAUUUAUCUAUAUUAUCUCCAGGAAGCGAUCAUCCUGCACUAGCUCUACGGGGAUUAGUCGACUUCUUAUGUAGCAGCUUGGUUGACAUUAAUUCUGUGACUGGACAGGAAAGCACAUUCUGAAUAUGUCAACAUUGUUUCAAAUCCGGCAACUCUUUAUAUUGCUCAUACAUGUUUGUGGUUUUGUCCUCUUUGAUCUGGUCUCUCUUCAUAUGUUCCUUGGGCCGCUCUUUAUUUCUCCUUUCAUGUUCUGAAUUUUUUUGUUUUCAUGGAGGGCAUACAAUAGAGUGCUGGUUCAUUCCAGUAAGAUGCUGCUGAGAUUUCAUCUAUCGUGUAAAACAUGCAAUUUUAUUUCGAGGACAGCUUUAUUCAGGAGCAGAUGUUUGUUAUUUCCAAGUUGCAAUAGUACUGGCAACACACGAUGAUGCAUGGGCCUUGUAUUACCGCUUCACCGAUCAACUGAACACUGACCGAUCUUGCUAGCGCAUCACAGAUUUUGGCAGCCACCACUAGCACAGGUAGUGGCCACAGGCAUCCUGUAGGGGGUGGAGUGAUGUGAUGACCCACAAGUAUAGGGGAUCUAUCGUAAUCCUUUCGAUAAAUAAGAGUGUCGAAUCCAACAAGGAGCAGAAGGAAAUGACAAACAUUUUUCAGUAAGGUAUUCUCUGCAAGCACUGAAAUUAUCGGUAACAGAUAGUUUUGUGAUAAGGUAAUUCGUAACAGGUAACAAGUAACAAAAGUAAACAGGGUGCAGCAAGGUGGCCCAAUCCUUUUCGUAGCAAAGGACAAGCCUGGACAAACUCUUAUAUAAAGGAAAGUGCUCCCGAGGACACAUGGGAAUUAUCGUCAAGCUAGUUUUUAUCACACACAUAUGAUUCGCAUUCGUUACUUUGAUAAUUUGAUAUGUGGUUAGACCGGUGCUUGGGUACUGCCCUUCCUUGGACAAGCAUCCCACUUAUGAUUAACCCCUCUUGUAAGCAUACGCAACUACAAAAGAAGUAUUAAGGUAAAUCUAACCAUAGUAUGAAACAUGUGGAUCCAAAUCAGCCCCUUACGAAGCAACGCAUAAACUAGGGUUUAAACUUCUGUUACUCUAGCAACCCAUCAUCUACUUAUUAUUUCUCAAUACCUUCCCCUAGGCCCAAAUAAUGGUGAAGUAUCAUGUAGUCAACGUUCACAUAACACCACCAGAGGAAAGACAACAUACAUCUCAUGAAAAUAUCGAACGAAUACCAAAUUCACAUGACUACUUAUAGCAAGACUUCUCACAUGUCCUCAGGAACAAACGUAACUACUCACAAAUCAUAUUCAUGUUCAUAAUCAGAGGGGUAUUAAUAUGCAUAAAGGAUCUGAAUAUAUAAUCUUCCACCGAAUAAACCAACUAGCAUCAACUACAAGGAGUAAUCAACACUACUAGCAACCCACAUGUACCAAUCUGAGGUUUUGAGACAAAGAUCGGAUACAAGAGAUGAACUAGGGUUUGAGAGAAGAUGGUGCUGGUGAAGAUGUUGAUGGAGAUUGACCCCCUCCCGAUGAGAGGAUCGAUGGUGAUGGUUUCCCCCUUCCGGAGGGAUGUUUCCCCGGCAGAACAGCUCCGCCGGAGCCCUAGAUUGGUUCCGCCAAGGUUCCGCCUCGAGACGGCGGCGCUUCGUCCCAAGAGCUUCCUUCUUAUUUUUUCCAGGGCGAAAGACUUCAUAUAUUAAAAGAUGGGCACCGUAGGCCUGCCAGGGGGCCCACGAGGCAGGGGGCGUCCCCCACCCUCGUGGAUGGUGGGUGGCCCCCUCUGGUGCUUUCUUCGCGCAAUAUUUUUUAUAUAUUCCAAAACUGACUUCCAUGGAGUUUCAGGAUUUUUGGAGUUGUGCAGAAUAUGUCUCUAAUAUUUUCUCCUUUUCUAGCCCAGAAUUCCAGCUGCCGGCAUUCUCCUCUUCGUGCAAACCUUAUAAAAUAAGAGAGAAAAUGAAUAAGUAUUGUGACAUAAUGUGUAAUAAUAGUCCAUAAUGCAAUAAAUAUCGAUAUAAAAGCAUGAUGCAAAAUGGACGUAUCAACUCCCGCAAGCUUAGACCUCGCUUGUCCUCAAGCGGAAGCCGAUAUCGAAAAGUAUGCCCACAUGUUUAGAGAUAGAUGUGUUGAUAAAAUAAAAUACGGACAUGAGGGCAUCAUGGUCAUUCUUAGAACAACAACAUACAUAUAUAUAUAUAUAUAUAUAUAUAUAUAUACGGUCGCGCUAUUCGUCACCCUGGGUGAGGAAUAGUUAUUCUUCACCCCUUUCUAUUUUACCAUCUAUGCACCGUAAUUUUACGUUUCGUAAGUUUUGUCUUAUUUCCGACAUAAAAAGAGAACGUAAGAAAAUAUAUAAUCGUCGUAAAAAAUAUUUUAUAUUAUGUAAAAUUACAAACGUAAAAACAUAGUGUAAAAUACACAUAAAUUGCAAAUUUUCUUGUCUUAUGACCUAUAUUUUUUUUCUUGUGCCAAAUUUUACGUAGUAAAUCAAUAUGAAUGUAACUAUUUGAAUUCCNNNNNNNNNNNNNNNNNNNNNNNNNNNNNNNNNNNNNNNNNNNNNNNNNNNNNNNNNNNNNNNNNNNNNNNNNNNNNNNNNNNNNNNNNNNNNNNNNNNNNNNNNNNNNNNNNNNNNNNNNNNNNNNNNNNNNNNNNNNNNNNNNNNNNNNNNNNNNNNNNNNNNNNNNNNNNNNNNNNNNNNNNNNNNNNNNNNNNNNNNNNNNNNNNNNNNNNNNNNNNNNNNNNNNNNNNNNNNNNNNNNNNNNNNNNNNNNNNNNNNNNNNNNNNNNNNNNNNNNNNNNNNNNNNNNNNNNNNNNNNNNNNNNNNNNNNNNNNNNNNNNNNNNNNNNNNNNNNNNNNNNNNNNNNNNNNNNNNNNNNNNNNNNNNNNNNNNNNNNNNNNNNNNNNNNNNNNNNNNNNNNNNNNNNNNNNNNNNNNNNNNNNNNNNNNNNNNNNNNNNNNNNNNNNNNNNNNNNNNNNNNNNNNNNNNNNNNNNNNNNNNNNNNNNNNNNNNNNNNNNNNNNNNNNNNNNNNNNNNNNNNNNNNNNNNNNNNNNNNNNNNNNNNNNNNNNNNNNNNNNNNNNNNNNNNNNNNNNNNNNNNNNNNNNNNNNNNNNNNNNNNNNNNNNNNNNNNNNNNNNNNNNNNNNNNNNNNNNNNNNNNNNNNNNNNNNNNNNNNNNNNNNNNNNNNNNNNNNNNNNNNNNNNNNNNNNNNNNNNNNNNNNNNNNNNNNNNNNNNNNNNNNNNNNNNNNNNNNNNNUCUUUCCAACACAAUGUUCUUGCCGAAGGAUAAAAUGUAAAAAGAAAAGGUGAAGAUCACCAUGACUCUUGUAUAAGAUAUGAGACAAAAAUAAAAGGCAGGCCCUUCGCAGAGGGAAGCAGAGGUUGUCAUGUGCUUUUAUGGUUGGAUGCACAAAAUCUUAAUGCGAAAGAAUUUCACUUUAUAUUGCCACUUGUGAUAGGGACCUUUAUUAUGCAGUCUGUCGCUUUUAUUUCUUUCAUAUGACAAGAUCGUAUAAAGCUUGUUUUCUCCACACUAAUAGAUCAUACAUAUUUUUUCGUGGAAUUGUCACGGCAGAUGUCCUAGCGAAAGGACUUAGUCGUAGGGUCAUCGCAACUAGGAAGCUUAAAGGGGUUAAUCGGGACAAAGGACACGAGAGGUUUUAUACUAGUUUGGCCCCUUACGAUGAAGGUAAAAGCCUACGUCUAGUUGUGUUUAGAAUUGCUAGGGUUUCGAAGACCAGGGAGCGAAUAUGCUUGUCCUGGCUUCGAGUUGUUGUAUCUUGCCCUAAGCUGCCGCCAGGUCGUCCCCUUAUAUACAUGGGUUGACGUCUGGCGGCCUACAGAGUCCCGGCCGACUCAUAAAACGUGUCCGGCUCGGUGACUUUUUUUACAUGCCUUUCUUUACAAGUCUUUCCUUACAUACGGCGGUUUACAAUAUUGGGCCUUAAGCCGCCUCUGGGCUUAGGCCUUCUAUAAGUCCUAAUAAACUAUCGCCUUGAAUGUUACUGGGCUUCUUUUGUAACCCGCCAUUGGGGCUGACUCGGCCCCUCCUGGGCGGGUAUCACCUGGUAGCUAUAUUCCCAACAUUAGGCCCCAGGUUGACUUUGAACUUUGUUCUUUGUCAAUCUUCAAUACGAUAAAAUCCAUCUCUGUAAAAAUUCCGUAACUCGCCGUGACGUCAUCUUCUGAAAACACAAAAAUUGUUAUGACGCCAUCCUCAACGGAUCUUUAUCUUUUAAUGUCUUCCAAGAAUCGAGACGUCCGUUUAGUUGGAUAGUCAUUAUUUGGGUCUUCCUCGAUUUCCGCGCCCGCCUGUUUGCUUACCCCCUUAUAAAUAGGCACGCCUCGGUCUUUCUCAUUCUGCUCUCUUCUUCGUCUUCUUCCUCUCACAACUCUCCCGCUGCUCGAGCUCCGCCGCCGUCGCGCUUCACCUCUGUCUCCAUAGACCUUGGCCGCUGCAUCAACCCGAAUCGGUCCAGAGAACGGCGGCGACCUCCGCGGAAGAUCCGUGGUUGUAAGUGCUCACCUUCCUGCUCCUCAGAUCCGCAUUAGGGUUUCUGGGUGUCUGCGUGUUCUUCAUAGUUCAUCACGGUUUCCUUGUAGUUCUUCCACUACAGUUUCUUCUUGAUCCAAAGGGAACAUGUGUUCAUGCGGUAAUUGUUUUGUGCCCAUCCUCAAUACCAACAAAUCCCUUUCUCUGGUUCAAAGGCCUCAUUAGAGCUCAUGAACUCAUUUGUGCUAGAUUUUUAGGUCUAGAAUAUUUUCCAUUUUGAACGACCCUUUGAUCCAGAAUAAUAUCAAGAAAUUAGGAAACUUGUUUGCUUCAACACUUAGCCAAUUCUGUCUCUGAUUUCCUCCAAAUGUCUAUAGUCAUGGUGGCUUACGACGCCGGCUUACUUUUCCCUUAUAUGACAUUAGCCCUUACUUAAGCCGCCAUUACCUAUUUGCACCAUCAUCAUUUAACUGUAAUUUCACCAUUGAAUUGAACCGGUACGUUACUUUCUUUUCAGUUCGUCUUUUGAUCAUCAUGCCGUCAAAAGCACCGACCUUCUGCAACUAGGUCCCUUCCACAGUAACUGAGGACAAUUUGCACCAUAGGUUUUUUGCCAGGGAAGAAUGUUAUGUCUUACCGUGCACCUGAUCGGACGAGGAACGGCCCAAUCCCAAAGAUUGUGAAGUCAUUGUCUUUUCUGACCACAUGNNNNNNNNNNNNNNNNNNNNNNNNNNNNNNNNNNNNNNNNNNNNNNNNNNNNNNNNNNNNNNNNNNNNNNNNNNNNNNNNNNNNNNNNNNNNNNNNNNNNNNNNNNNNNNNNNNNNNNNNNNNNNNNNNNNNNNNNNNNNNNNNNNNNNNNNNNNNNNNNNNNNNNNNNNNNNNNNNNNNNNNNNNNNNNNNNNNNNNNNNNNNNNNNNNNNNNNNNNNNNNNNNNNNNNNNNNNNNNNNNNNNNNNNNNNNNNNNNNNNNNNNNNNNNNNNNNNNNNNNNNNNNNNNNNNNNNNNNNNNNNNNNNNNNNNNNNUAGAGACGUCCUUCACCUUUUCAAACUUCACCCUCAAGAUCUUGGGCCCAAUUCCAUAUCCAAUAUCUGCAAUUUCCAAGUUCUCUGUGAGGUGUAUCUUCAAGAAGAACUGAUUGUGGAGCUCUUUAGAGAGUAUUUUUAUCUGAACCGCCAGAAUGAGUGUACCAAUGGCCCUAGCUUAGAACUUGGAGGCAUCUCAAUUCAACGCCGACAGGGCGUGGUCUUCCCCCUAAUAGUCUUGCCAAGUCAUCCCAAAGACUGGAAUCAGACCUAGUUCUACUGUCAAGACACUUCACCAGCCAAUGAGAAACCACUGUCGGGUUAUCGCGCGGAUUGUCUAGAUUCCAAAUUUUCGCUCCCUGACAAGCUUACUGCUGAUGAAUGAAAGGAGCUUAUUCCAUCAAUUAAAAGGAUUAACACCUUACUGGGGAACGGCUUAACUGGAGUUGAUUUGACUCAUUGCUGGGUCGCGUUGCGGGUCAUCCCUCUAAGCCGCCGAUCCAAAUUGAUGUAUGAAUAUGGUGGAGGCCUAGAUGACUCUCUUCGUCACAGCUCCGUUCAACUAACUGAAGAGGAUAUUGUUUCAAUGUCGACCCUUCUGGUGAACGGCAAAUAUGAAGACUGCAGUAAAGUCGGGUUAAACCCCUUCUGCAAACUUAACCCGGCGCCAGAAGUAAAGAACCCCUGACCACUUCCUCUUUGUAUUUUCGUCAGCAGUUUUAAAUACUUGCCUGACCUUCCAUCUUGUUUUACUUGUUUACAGGCUAAAUCUGACUUCUGGAAAGCCAAGUAUGAUCAUGAAGCCGCCAAGAAGGCCAGAGCCGCCACCAUAGCUGCCAAGAAGACGACCCGGAGGUCCAAGAAGAAAAAGAGCACUGCUGAGGACCUGUUGAAACUUGACGAUGAUUCUGAGUUGGAGGUAGCCCUUGACUCCCUUGGCUAGUUUUUUAAUAACCUUAUUAACACUAGCUAUUGCCAGGAUGACACGGGGGCCAGUCAGGCUGUAGAAGAAGAGGUAACUAUUUCCUCCCACUCAGCCCAUUUGCUAAGACAGAAAGUUCGACUGGUAACCCGGAAAGUAAGGUUUUCACACCCUUUGGCUUAUUUAGACCCUCAUUUUCUUUUGAAAAAGCAGCAACAUGAAAGUCGUCGUCAGGCCUGGAACGACGAUGAACCGCCUUCCAUUCCUCAACAAACUCCUAAAAAACGCCAAAAUGAGGUCUCUUUUAUCUUCAUCUUUUACUUUCCAUUAACGGAUCUGCUCCCUUGCAUUACUAACUUUAUUUUAUCUUUGAAGGAGGUGUCUCGCUCUUCUGGCGAUUCGUCUCAGACUCAAUUUCCGGCUUUCAAGACUACCCCUGGGUAAGGAAAAAAAUCAUCUUUCCUCUGUGUCUUUCAAACUGCAUCAUUGUACUAACUGUCUCAUAACAUCUUUCUUAGUGAUCAAGCCAAGUCCAAGAAGGCCAUGGUGACUAAACCGGCGGAAGACCCGUCAGUCCUUGCUCCUGAACCGGCCAUGCCAACUUCUCCCCCUCGAACUGAAGCACCAGAAGACCCGGCUGCUGACACUCAAUUAGACCCUCCUGAGCCGUCAGCUGAUGACACCAUUGUUAACCCCUCUACUACCGGACCAUCCAGCUCGGCUAACCCGCCAUCAUCUUCUGAUCAUGACGUUCUGAUCACUAGAAGCUGUUUUGUUGAGCCGGGGACUCCCACCGUGUUAGCUCGACACACCGCUAAACAAUAAGCCCUGGAAAGACAGAAAGUGCAUUUUGAUAUCUCCCACUACAGUCAUCUGAAUGCUAAUGACAUACUAUCCAGCUAUCUCAGCCAUGUUCAUUCCAGUCGUGAGUCAGAGAUUGAGAUGGUCAAGCAACUUCAGCUGAAAUAUGAGGUAUGUAUGUUCUCCGGUUUACUUAUACUCUGACAGCCCCCAAGUCUUCAGAUGAUGAUUCUGAAUGAUUUGGAGACUUUAUGAUAUAGAUGGAUACUUUAUCUCUAAGUCUUUAAAAAAGUCCAACAGAAUAGUGCAAACUUCACAUGUAGUCCCCAAGGGCCGGUUCACUUGAUCAUAAAUGAGCCGGUACUUACUUUCAUAAUUGUCUUGUGUCAGUCCCAAUAAAUAUUUUAAUCCGGUUUAAUCUUGAAAGACUUUCUAAAUGUCAUACAUUAGCCCCCAAGUGGCAAGUGCAGUUACUUUGUAAGGUACUUGGGACUUGAAAUAUAUAAAAUUCAUAAGAAAUUGUUUUAACAGACAUUAGCCCCAAGUGUCAAGUGGUAUUGCAGUGCAAAGUACUUGAGACUUGAAUCUUUAUAACUUUUAGUUUAAGCCUUGACACACCUGUUUAUGUUUUGUAGAACGCCCUAUCUGAAUUGGGCUCCCAAUUAACUGAUGCAAAGACCCGGCUGGCGGAUCAAGAGGCAGAAAUCAAGUCUGCUGAUUCUAAACUUCAAUUGAGUCUUGCUGAGACGGCAAAAUUGAAAACCAGCUUGACGGCCAAAAAGAAAUCCUGGGCCGAAGAAAAGACACUGCUGACACAACACGCUGAAAAAGCUGAAGCGGCUCUUGAGGAGGUUACCACGGAGCUUACCGGCUUAAAGAACCGGGUGUCUCAAAUGGUUUCCGCCAUCUUUGGUGCCAUCUGUACUGAUCUUUUGUACCUUCUUUUGACCCAGAAUAUAAACCGCCUGCUGACCCCUUGUUUAAAAAAUAUGUGCAGGCCCGCGAAGCAAAAAUCUGAGCCAAGAUAAUGUGACUAAACUAAAGGCGGUCUAUACCUUAGUGGAACAGUUGUACACUGGCGCUCAACGAGCACUUGCUGCUAUCUCUCCUGCCAACCAAGGACCCAACCGGCUCAGUGAUGUCUUGAAAAAAUUGUCAAUCUUACCCGCCAGGUUUCAAGAAUUCAAACGAUCCUGUGCCAAAGCCGGAGCCUUGACUGCCCUGAGCCGCUCCAAAGCCUGGGUGCCAGAUCUAGACCCGGCGGAUGUAGCCAGGGGGUACCCUACCGUGAAGGAAGACGGGUCUCUAUUUGAGCAGGAUGACUUUGUUACUUGCGUGAGGGGAGUUCUACCUCAGGCUACCAUUCUUGGAGAUGAGACCAACAUUGACAAAUAUCAGCCGGGUUUUGAUUUGGAGAAUAAGAAGAUGGCGACUCCCUCUUACAAGGUGACAGACCUUAUCCCGCCGGUUCGUCAACAUAUGUUUGCUCCAGAAGUUGAUCCGGCUAGCCUGAUUGAUGAUGAAGCAGAGUUCAUUGCCGUGAACGGCUUUGACUGGUCCAAUCCCAGCUUUCGAUUAACAGAAGGAGGUGAACCGGCGAGGGAAGAGUGAGAACCAUCUUUGUGGGCUCUUUAAAGCCUUGUAAUAGAUUUAGCUUGAAACAACUGCAUAUUUCGCCUAUGCCAUCGUGCAUAAGAUGCCGUGUGUGACUCUUUGCUUCCUGAUGUCAAUAUAUGUGUCGGUGUCAAAACCGGUGGAUCUUGGGUAGGUGGUCCCGAACUGUGCGUCUAGGCCGGAUGGUAACAGGAGACAAGGGACACGAAGUUUUACCCAGGUUCGGGCCCUCUCGAUGGAGGUAAAACCCUACGUCCUGCUUGAUUAAUAUUGAUGAUAUGGGUAGUACAAGAGUAGAUCUACCACGAGAUCGAGGAGGCUAAACCCUAGAAGCUAGCCUAUGGUAUGAUUGUUGAUGUGUAUGUUGUCCUACGGACUAAAACCCUCCUGUUUAUAUAGACACCGGGUAGGGUUAGGGUUACAUAGAGUCGGUUACAAUGGUAGGAGAUCUGCAUAUCCGUAUCGCCAAGCUUGCCUUCUACGCCAAGGAAAGUCCCUUCCGGACGCGGGACGAAGUCUUCAAUCUUGUAUCUUCAUAGUCCAGGAGUCCGGCUGAAGGUAUAGUCCGGCCAUCCGGACACCCCCUAAUCCAGGACUCCCUUAGUAGCCCCUGAACCAGGCUUCAAUGAAGACGAGUCCGGCGCGCAUAUUGUCUUCGGCAUUGCAAGGCGGGUUCCUCCUCCAAGUACUUCAUAGAAGAUUUUGAACACAAAGAUAGUGUCCGGCUCUGCAAAAUAAGUUUCCACAUAUUGCCAUAGAGAGAAUAAUAUUUACACAAAUCUAAUCUGCUGACGUAUUCCAUAGUGUGUCAUCACACUAUGGCCAAGCUUUUAUUCGAACCGUUUUACUAUCCCAUCUCAGUGCGUUAUGCGAGGCGGUUUCCUUGGCACGUCUUGUUAAAGCAGAGAUCGUGUCCCCUUAUUCUGGGAUUCUCAUCAAUACGGGCGUGGGUAACCCAACCGCGCCAUCAAUUACGGCGCUUGGAGAUAAGCGAGUUUUACUAGGCUGGUGGGGACAUAUAGUUGUGUUCACCCAUAUAAGGGGAUAAGAAUCCACCUUUUCACCUACACCUUCUUCCUCCUUCGCCUAUCCAUUCUUGUGCACUCGAGCUCCAGCGCCCAAGUCCGCACUCCCCACCUCAACCUUCUCCAGCCAUGUCCGGAGCGGGAGGCAAGUGGAUGGUCUCCUCCGUCACGGAGGGACAUAUCAAAAAGCUGAGGAAGGCCGGAUACCUGUCUAACGACAUCACGUACCGGCUCCCCAAGAAGGGGCAGCUCAUCCCCACCCCUAGGCCCCAUGAGAGGGUGGUGUUUCUCCCCCAUUUCCUCCGCGGACUGGGCUUCCCUCUCCACCCAUUUGUCCGGGGGCUCAUGUUCUACUACGGCCUGGAUUUCCACGAUCUGGCCCCGAACUUCGUCCUCAACAUCUCGGAGUUUAUCGUCGUGUGCGAGGCCUUCCUCCGCAUCCGCCCCCAUUUCGUCCUAUGGCUCAAGACCUUCAACGUCAAGCCGAAGGUGGUGAGCGGCAGCCAAGCGGAGUGCGGAGGCGCCAUGGUGGGCAAGAUGGCCAACGUCCUCUGGCUCGAGGGCUCCUUUGUGGAGACCCUGAAGGGGUGGCAAUCGGGGUGGUUUUACAUCACCGAGCCGCGCGACGCUGAAUGGGUCGCACCCCCCGAAUUCCGGUCCGGACCCCCAACGCGGCUCACGUCCUGGAAAGAUACGGGCCUGUCAUGGGGUAAAAAAGGAGAGCUAACCGGACUCUAGACAUGCGUCAAAACCCUGGUGGACAAGAAGCUCAAACUUGUCAACGUAGUCCAGGUUAUGCUCAUCCGCUUGAUCCUCCCGUGCCAACAACGGGCUUUCAACCUGUGGGAGUUCGACCCGGCGCGGCACCAAAAUCUGAACAGGCUCUUCGACACGACGUACGAAGAUGCCUGGAAGGUGCUUUUCAAGGGCGCUGAGGCUCCCGCAUCUGCUGCUGAGGAUCGCGGAUUCAGUGCGCAGUGUCACGCUCUCGCGGUAAGCUAUUUUUUCCUUUUACAGGGCAUCAGUUUUUCAUAGUUUGACUCCAUGCGGGAUCUAAACUCCCUUACCUUUGACAGGAUUGGCAGGUGACCUUCGGACAGAUCAACUGUGCGGCUCCUUUGCCCGAAGGCCCAGCGGAUGCUCGCUUGACGAAGCUGCUAGUUCCGGCACCCUAUGUGGUGCCGCAGAAGAAGGUCAAGAAGAAGGCCACGGGGACUCGAAAGAGUGCCCGAAGCCCGGAGGUGUCGGAUUCAUCAUCCGAUGAAUCCAAGACGCUCUCCUGCCGUGAAGACGAGGAGGAGGAAGAAGAGACCCCUCCCGCUCCAGCGGGGGAAGGGAAGAAAAGGAAGGCUGCCCCAACUGGGGAGGCCGAAGGGUCCAAGAAGGGGAAAACCCUUCCUCCGGACUGCUCUACCGACGCCGACAGCGGCGGAGAGGAGUGGGCGCCUAGGGCCAAGCCCCUGGCCAAAUCGUAAGCAUCUAGAUACCAGAGUAAUUUAUAGUAUUCGUUUAUUGCACAACUUUUCCUCAUGUCAAAUAUGUUUAUGCAGCCCACCCAAAGACCGGCUCGACGCGUCGUCGAGCGGCUCACUAGACUCGUAGGACGUGAACUCANNNNNNNNNNNNNNNNNNNNNNNNNNNNNNNNNNNNNNNNNNNNNNNNNNNNNNNNNNNNNNNNNNNNNNNNNNNNNNNNNNNNNNNNNNNNNNNNNNNNNNNNNNNNNNNNNNNNNNNNNNNNNNNNNNNNNNNNNNNNNNNNNNNNNNNNNNNNNNNNNNNNNNNNNNNNNNNNNNNNNNNNNNNNNNNNNNNNNNNNNNNNNNNNNNNNNNNNNNNNNNNNNNNNNNNNNNNNNNNNNNNNNNNNNNNNNNNNNNNNNCGACACCAAAGUGUUGUCCCAACAGGUUCCAAGCCGGGAGGAGGUGGUCCUGGAGGCGCCGCAAGGCGACCUCCCGGACUCCAGGAGCAAAGGGGAUGAAAGCCCCCAGGGCUCCAAGUCCGGCUCUAGGCCGGACACCGCUCCAGAACCUUUAGAGGUUCCAGAGUCCGGCGGGGGACCUGCUUCCAAGAGGAGCAAGUCCGCCGUGCCGGUGGCCCCCGUCCAACCGGAGGCGCUGGAAAAUAUGUUGGAGGCGCUCCAAGGCGCCUCCAUCUAUGAGGAGCACCGCGCUAUUAUGAGUGCGGUGGUCCAGAAGGUUUAGUCCGCCAAGAGCGGACUGACUGAAGCUUGUACUAGCCUUUUAACAGGCUUUGAGGUAAGUAUAGAAUGUGUAAAUAAUAGUAUCACAUAGACAGUAGCCCCUGAUGCUCUGUUUGGUGUUCGGGAAGAAAAGCCGAAUAGAGGAUCAAAUAGAAUUCGCAUGAGUCUAUCAAAAAUGAGUCAAUAUGCAUAUGCAGGCUUCCCUGCUUGCGUCCGCCGCACUGACUGCGGAAGUGGACAUGCUAAAGCAGAACCUCGACCGGUCUGAGCAAUAGCUCGAACGUGCCAAGAAGCAGCUUGAGGACAAUGAAGGUAAUAAAUACCUUGUUAAAAAAAUAUAUAUAAAGGUGCAAUUGCAAAGAAUGACAGGAUUAUCGUGGCUAUUGUAGGGGCCACGUCUGAAGUGGCGACUCUUAAGCAAGCGCUGGUCGAGGCCGAGAGGAGGGCGGCCUCGGAGCGCACCGAGUGGGAGAAGUAUGAGGCCGAAGUUGGCAAGGUGCGGCAAGAGCUCCAGGCUCUCAUGGAAAAGCAUGAGAGUUUGGAGCUUGACUCAAAGACGUGAGCGUCCGAGCUCGCGGUGGCUAUUGAAUAUGCCAAGUCUGCCAAGGCCGAAUCCCAGAAGACCCUCCAGGAGUUGGAUGAGGUGAAGAAGAUAGCGGCGGGUAAGGCAUUCUUUAUGCAAAGCAAACACAUAAACGUGAGUUACUUGUUACUUACCUGAAUCCGGAGCUCUCCAGGAGCGUUCGCAGAUCUUCCCCGAAGUGUAUCCGAUGCCGCCGCAUUCUAUGGAGCCGAGGAGGGCAGCUCGACGGGGAUGGUGUUCUGGUCUCAGUACGCUGAGGCCGGACACCCCGUGCCCCUGAGCGACCAGCUGAAGCAACUGGUCAAGCUCCACAAGGCGGCCGAACAGGCCAUGAAGGGCCUCAUUGUUCGGCUGUGGCCUGGAGGGGCCCUGCCUAGGAGCUAUUUCGGGCUGGUGCGGCGGUUGGUGGAGGCCUGUCCAAGGCUUGAAGUCAUCAAGCGCUCCGUCUGCAUUGAAGGUGCCCGUAGGGCCCUUGCCCAUGCUAAGGUGCACUGGGGUAAGCUGGAUGCUGAGAAGCUAGUGAAGGACGGGCCACCGCUGGGGAAAGAGCAUCGCAAGCCCGAGGAUUACUAUAAGGAUGUUCUGAAGGGUGCCCGCCUUGUGGCGGUUGAAUGUUCUAGGGAUGUAAUUUUUGAGUGAAACUUGAUCGUUUUGUCCUGUGCGCUGAAAACUUGUUUAUAUGCGCUAAGCAAUGAUGUUAGAAUUUAAAAUAUUACCUUUUGUGUGGCUGUUUAUCAAUUCUGAGAGAUGGCGAGUCGUCGGCUUCUGCCCCCGUGCCGCUACUGCUGGGGUGUUCGGGGAUAAACCUGAGCGCUCUUUUUCCCAUCUUUGGGUCCUUCGAGGGAGGCGCUCAGCCCAACGAACAAGGCAAUCGGACUAUAAUGCGUGAACACUCUCACUUAGCCAUAGAAUUCUAUAAUUUUAAAUUUCGGCGAAGCCCCUGGUAUUCUGAAGACCGAGUUCGGGGCGCUAUCCAUGCCUUGGUCGGACAGAGCCGGCUCCUCGUCCUAAGCGGCAUAAGUCUUUAGGGACUCGAAAAAACCUCUCGAACAGCGACCAGCUCUUGCUUCAUCAUGACAGUCAGUUUUAGCUUUCUCCACUGAGGUGCUCGACCCAGCUCAACCGGGGCACAAUCGCAGUGGUUCUCCUAGUGCUACCUUAGCCGAUAUAGCGGAAUGUAAGGCACCAAAACAUAGGAGCCGGGCAAACCCAACUAUUGACCCAAGACAUGAUUCGGAGCCGAUGCAUAUAGUGCUAUAAGUUUGGGGUGCCGUACUUUUUUAAAGUGUUCGGACUUCUCACACCAUAUUGAGGGGUACUAAAGCCCCUGGCAUCUUUUGGCCGUACCAACGUGUACGGGUGCAACAUGUCGUUAAGGAACAUAUAGAAAGAAAAAAGGUAAUGCAAAAAUAGACGAAAGCUAUGCAUUGUUUAUUAAAAAGGGCUGCGAUCAAAGCAAAAUGAUACAAAUAAUGCGAUAAGUGGAAGGUUGGACUAGUUAACAUGUCCGUUCUAGGGGCAAGCUGCGGAAUAGUAUGUGGAACGGGUAUACUGCUCGUGAUAGAGACCACCUGGGAGUUCUGUAGUGCGGCGUGGCUUGUCUGCUUCCCUGGUUCUUGCAUCGUUUGUGCGGCAAUUGAACUGCCGAAAAGGCCUUCCGAAGGAUGAAGUCCAGAAAGUAAGAGAAAAUUAAAAAACCGGCAGCCCCUGGUACGGUUUAAGCUGUGUUUUGGGCGUGCCGUGAUGGUGCCCCUCCCCCUGUGCCCAUGGUAUCUCUAGAGCAUAGUUAUGUAAGCGAAGUACCGGCGUCGCCUUUUUGCGAGGGUUGGGGCCGCAUUGCUACGCCUGCUCGGAUCGUGCCAGGCGGUCUUGUUGUAGGUUACUCCAGGCGCACUUGAUGAUGUCCGGUCGUUUAGUGGCUGGACUGGAGAACUGCCUGGAGAGGCUGCUUUGAACUUCCGCUGUAAGGGCUGCCGUGUGCUCCUCCGUUCGGAGGGAGCGUUCGGUGUUUCCAUUGACUGUAAUUACUCCUCGAGGGCCUGGCAUCUUGAGCUUAAGGUAUGCGUAGUGUGGUACCGCAUUGAACUUAGCGAAUGCGGUUCGCCCGAGCAGUGCGUGAUAACCACUGCGAAAUAGGACUAUGUCGAAGAUUAAUUCCGCGCUUCAGAAAUUAUCCGGAGAUCCGAAGACCACUUCAACUGUGACUAAGCCUGUACAAUUGGCCUCUACACCUGGUAUUACGCCUUUAAAGGUCGUUUUGGUGGGCUUAAUCCUCGAGGGAUCUAUGCCCAUUUUCCGCACUGUAUCCUGGUAAAGCAGGUUCAGGCUGCUGCCGCCGUCCAUGAGGACUCUAGUGAGAUGAAAUCCGUCAAUAAUUGGGUCUAGAACCAAUGCGGCGAAUCCGCCAUGACGGAUGCUAGUGGGAUGGUCCCUUCGAUCAAAGGUGAUCGGGCAGGAGGACCAUGGGUUGAACUUUGGGGCGACUGGCUCUACCGCGUAUACGUCCCUUAACGCACGCUUCCGCUCCCUUUUGGGGACAUGGGUUGCGUAUAUCAUGUUCACAGUCCGCACUUGUGGGGGAAAACCCUUCUGUCCAUUGUUGUUCGGCGGCCGGGGCUCCUCGUCGUCAUUGCUAUGCAGCCCCUUGUCUUCGUUUUUGGCGUUUAUUUUGCCUGCCUGCUUGAACACCCAACAAUCCCUGUUGGUGUGAUUGGCCGGCUUUUCAGGGGUGCCAUGUAUCUGGCACAAGUGGUCAAGGAUUUGGUCCAAACUGGACGGGCCCCUAGGAUUCCUUUUGAAUGGCUUUUUCCGCUGUCCGGAUUUAGAGCCUCUGAAUCCGGCAUUAACUGUCGUAUCCUCAGCAUUGUUGCCGUUAAUGUGGCGCUUCUGCUUGUUGUGACGCGACCUUCCACUACUGUCCCUGGUGUCCGAAUUACCAGGGCUCUUGGUCAUAUUGUUGCUACGAGCAAGCCAGCUGUCUUCUCCUGCGCAAAAGCGGUUGAUGAGUGUCGUGAGUGCUGCCAUAGAUUUCGGCUUUUCCUGUCCAAGGUGCCGGGCCAGCCACUCGUCAUGGAUAUUGUGUUUGAAGUCUACUAGGGCCUCAGCGUCCGGACAGUCGACUAUUUGAUUUUUCUUUGUUAGGAACCGUGUCUAUAAUUGCCUGGCCGAUUCCUCUGGCUGUUGAAUGACGUGACUUAGGUCAUCGGCGUCUGGGGGUCGCACAUAAGUGCCCUGGAAAUUGUUGAGGAAUGUGGCUUCCAGGUCCUCCCAACAACUGAUUGAUCCUGUUGGCAAGUUGUUAAGCCAAUGCCGAGCUGGUCCUUUAAGCUUGAGUGGGAGGUAUUUGAUGGCGUGGAAAUCAUCGCCGCGGGCCAUGUGGAUAUGAAGGAGAUAAUCCUCGAUCCAUACCGCAGGAUCUGUUGUGCCAUCAUAUGAUUCGAUGUUUACGGGUUUGAAACCCUCGGGGAUUUGAUGAUCCAUUAUUUUGUCUGUAAAGCAGAGUGGGUGUGCGGCGCCUCUGUAGUGGGAUAUAUCGUGACGUAGCUCCAAUGAGCCUUGUCUACUGUGUUUGGCCCCACCGAAUUUGUGGCCGGCGUGACGGUUAUCGUCUCGAGCCGUGGGGCGCCCACGCGAUUCGUAGAUCGAUCUUUUUUGCCUUGCCUUGUCCUCCAACAUGUCUCGAAAGUCCGGCGCAUAUUCCCGUGCCUUGGUACGAGGUGCGGCUUGUGUGGAGGGCCGAAAGGCCUCUCUGUCGCGACCACGAGGUGGUCGGUCGGCCGCAUCAAGUGCUUCCUCCUCUAAUUGGGGUAGCAACCUACGCUUUGGGUAGCUCUUGGAGGGGCGUUCGAGUUUAUGCUCUUCGGCCGCAAGGACUUCAGUCCAUCUGUCGACUAGCAAAUCUUGAUCAGCUCUAAGUUGUUGCUGUUUUUUCUUGAGGCUUCUUGCCGUGGCCAUAAGCCUGCGUUGAAAAUGCUUUUUCUCAACGGGAUCCUCUGGCACGACGAAUUCGUCGUCGUCGAGGCUUGCCUCGUCUUCGGAGGGAGGCAUAUAAUUAUCGUCCUCGACCUCUCAGCCUGCCGCUCUCUCAUGAGGGCUGGUUUCUCCAUCCUCCUGUGCUAAAUCUUGCUGGAGGGGGUUUUCUUCGGCGCUUUCCGGAGUAUUAUUAUCUCCCGUGCUGGAAUCACCGUGUUUGUUUUGGCGGGAUAUUGAGCGGCCCCGCUGACGCCGGCGCUUAGGCUGUUUCUUGGACGGGUCAUCCUCCGCUGUUCCAUCGCAAUCUCCCUCUUUUGGGGUGUCCACCAUGUAUAUGUCAUAUGACGAGGUGGCUUUCCUGGGCCUAGUAGGCGCUGGUUCUUCAUCAUCUCCUUCAUCGGCGUCCAUACCGUCGAUAUCUUCGGAGUCGAAGUCGAGCAUGUCGGUUAAGUCGUCGACAGUGGCUACAAAGUGGGUGGUGGGUGGGCUUUGAAUUUCUUCAUCGUCCGUACCCCAACCUUGCUGACCAUAGUCCGGCCAGGGCUCUCCUGAUAAAGAGAGAGACUUCAGUGACUUCAGGAUAUCGCCAAAAGGCGAGUGCUGAGUCCGGAGAGGAGUCCGGCUCCUUGGAGUCACGGGUCUCGCAGAGUACGGGGCUGGUGAUUGGCUCAAUCGCCGUUGGGGUUGCAGCCCCCGAGGUGGCGUCCAACCGCCCAUCCUCGAUCGGCGCAGUUGGCUCUGAAUUAAGGGUCGGAGCCAAUGCGGGUGCGGCCUCCAGGGCACUAUUCGGCGGCAGAGCUAGACCAUGCUUGUCGUGACAGUGCGGUGCUCUCGGUAGUGGCUCGAAUCCGUCGAAGAUCAAGUCCCCGCGGAUGUCAGCCGUGUAGUUUAAACUUCCAAAUCUGACCUGACUGCCAGGGGCGUAGCUUUCGAUCUGCUCCAGAUGGCCAAGUGAAUUGGCCCACAGUGGGAAGCCGCCGAAGAUGAAGAUCUGUCCGGGGAGGAAGGUCUCACCCUAGACUGCAUCGCUAUCGAUGAUCGUAGGAGCCAUCGAGCCUGACAGCGACGACACAGAGGAACUCUCAAUGAAGGCACCAAUGUCGGUGUCAAAACCGGUGGAUCUCGGGUAGGGGGUCCCGAACUGUGCGUCUAGGCCAGAUGGUAACAGGAGACAAGGGACACGAAGUUUUACCCAGGUUCAGGCCCUCUCGAUGGAGGUAAAACCCUACGUCCUGCUUGAUUAAUAUUGAUGAUAUGGGUAGUAGAAGAGUAGAUCUACCACGAGAUCGAGGAGGCUAAACCCUAGAAGCUAGCCUAUGGUAUGAUUGUUGAUGUGUAUGUUGUCCUAUGGACUAAAACCCUCCGGUUUAUAUAGACACCAGGAAGGGUUAGGGUUACAUAGAGUCGGUUACAAUGGUAGGAGAUCUGCAUAUCUGUAUCGCCAAGCUUGCCUUCUACGCCAAGGAAAGUCCCUUUCGGACGCGGGAUGAAUUCUUCAAUCUUGUAUCUUCAUAGUCCAGGAGUCCGGCUGAAGGUAUAGUCCGGCCGUCCGGACACCCCCUAAUCCUGGACUCCCUCAAUAUGCGUCACAUUUAUGGUUAUCUCUGUAAUAUUUCGCCUUUGUUCCUGUAGAAAAGGAAAAACUCGCUUGGCGAUUUAGCACUGAACGGGUCGGAAUACCCGGUACAUGACCAAUGGGUUUAUCAUAGUAGAAAAACAGAACCAGACGUGAAAAUAAACAAGGUUGAAACAACCUUUGAUUAACACAGAAAGAAACGGUUCUUAAAUAACAGUCAUACCUGUAUCUUUUGUAUUUGGACCACUGGUUUACAUGACCCAGUCCUCUUUUUUUUGAGAAGUCGAUGCUUCUUCAUGCCCGAUGAUCAUCAUGCCUUGGCGUCUUAUUGUCAAAUAGUUAAGCCGGUGAAAAGACCGUGCUGAUCAUUGAAAUUUGAGACAAUAAAAGACCAAUAAGGCAAAUAACAGUUUGCAAACAAUAUAAACUAACCUUGUAACUGAAAGUUGGGGGUUGCUGAUUCAAAUACGAUCAGUAAACCGGACCAAAGGGGUUAAGCUAAGAUUCGAAUACGAUCAUAUGGCCCCCAGUGGCUUUGGCGUUGCGCCGAUCAAGAGGGUACCGACAGCUAUGUUCUCUUUGGUUCGAAUAUGACCUAAGUUUGAACAGGAAGCCCCCAAAUGACCUUGAGAGAUUUUUAACGACCCUGAUUCAAAUACGAUCCAAGUCAAACCUAAAAGGGGUUAAGCUAUGAUUUGGAUAUGAUCAAGAAGCCCCCUAGUGAGUUUGGCUUUGAGCCGAUCAAGAGGGUUACGACAGCUAUGUUCUCUUUGGUUCGAAUACGACCUACGUUUGAACAAGAAGCCCCCAAGUGAUCAUGAGGUUUACAGCUAGAUUCGAAUACGAUCAUAAGCCGGACCAAAAAGGUUAAACUUGAUUCAGAUAUGAUCAGCUCCUUAAAAGUCAUUUAAAUAGUGAAAAAGAGUACAGAUAUAUAAUCUUUGAAAAGGAAAAGGACAGAGGUCCUGCUUUAUUACUUAUCAUAGUAUAUACAACGUCAAAGUAUGUACAUGACGAGAGCCGAUGGCUCAGGUGUAGUAUGGCCGAAGUUGAGCAAUGUUCCACGGUCGGCGGGUCUCCUCCUCCGAUUGACGUGAGUCUUUGUGUUCUCAGAUGUCGAUGCGGUAAUCUGACCCGUUUUAAAUUCUUGCUGACCACAAAGGGUCCUUCCCAAGGCGGGGAUAGCUUGUGUGCAUCUGACAGAUCCUGGAUGAGCCGGAGCACCAGGUAACCUUCUUGAAAAGUCCUGGACUUAACCCGGCGGCUGUGAUAACGGUGCAGGUCCUGUUGAUAAAUUGUUGAUCGAGCCGCUGCUAAGUCUCUCUCCUCAGCUAACAAGUUAAGUGCAUCCUGUCAGGCUUGUUCGUUAUUGGCUUCAACGUAAGCCGCCACACAAGGCGAGUCAUGGCAGAUGUCACUAGGUAGCACCGCUUCCACUCCAUAAACCAUGAAGAAAGGUGUAUAACAUGUAGACCUGUUAGGAGUGGUGUUGAUACUCCACAGCACCGAGGGUAACUCCUCUACCCAACAACCCAGCGUCCGCUAUAAGGGAACCAUAAGCCGGGGCUUGAGACCUUUUAAGAUUUCAUAAUUUGCUCUCUCAGCCUGACCAUUGGAUUGAGGGUGAGCUACAGAAAAAAACAUCAAGCCGGAUAUGCUCACGUUGACAAAAAUCCUCCAUAGCCCCUUGGGACAAAUUAGUGCCAUUGUCAGUGAUAAUGCUGUGUGGAAAACCAAAGUGAAAAAUCACCUUUUUCAUGAAUUGAACCGCCGUGGCUGCAUCACACUUACUCAUUGGCUCUGCCUCAACCCACUUCGUGAAUUUGUCAACUGCCACUAAAAUAUGUGUCUUUUUAUCCUUGGACCUUUUGAAAUGUCCAACCAUGUCAAGCCCCCAGACUGCAAACGGCCAAGUGAUUGGAAUCAUCCGCAAUUCCUGAGCCGACACAUGCACUCGUCAUGCCAAUUUUUGAUAUCCAUCACAUCUACUGACCAGAUCCUCUGCAUCAGCGUGAGCCGUCAACCAGUAAAAACCAUGACGAAAAGCUUUGGCCACAAGAGAUUUUGACCCGGCGUGAUGACCACAAUCCCCUUCAUGGAUCUCACGAAGUAUUUCUUGGCCUUCUUCAGGAGAAACACACCGCUGAAACGCUCCAAUGACGCUGCGAUGGUAUAACUCUCCGUCAGAAAUCGUCAUUGACUUGGACCGCCGGGUUAUCUGUCGGGCCAGGGUCUCAUCCUCUGGCAACUCGCCCCGGGUCAUGUAAGCCAAUAACGAUACUGUCCAAUCUUGGAUGACAUGAAGAGCCUCCACCAACUGUGCCUCCGGGUCUGGAACGACCAAAUCUUCCUCUGUAGGUGACUUAACAGACGGGUUAUGCAAAACAUCCAAAAAGGUGUUAGGUGGCACCGGCUUACGCUGAUAUCCCAACCAGCUUAAGGCAUCGGCCGCUUCAUUUUUUCUAUGGUCAAUGUGUUCCAUUUGAUAACCCUUAAAAUGUCCUGCAACAACAUCGACUUCACGACGAUAAGCCGCCAUGAGAGGAUCCUUGGAAUCCCACUUGCCUGACACCUGUUGAGCCACCAAAUCUGAAUCGCCAAGGCACCGGACCUGGCUCAGACUCAUUUCUUUAGCCAUUCGAAGACCAUGGAGCAAGGCUUCAUAUUCUGCUGCGUUGUUGGUACAAGGAAACAUCAAUCGCAACACAUAACAAAACUUGUCACCUCGAGGGGAAGUUAAAACAACUCCAGCCCCCGAGCCUUCCAACUGUCUGGACCCAUCAAAGUGAAUCGUCCAAUAUGUGUUGUCUGGUUUCUCCUCUGGCAUCUGCAUUUCUGUCCAGUCAUUAAUAAAAUCAACCAGCGCUUGAGAUUUGAUCGCAGUGCGUGGCACAUACUUCAAACCAUGAGAUCCAAGUUCAAUGGCCCACUUGGCGACUCGUCCAGUAGCUUCUCUAUUUUGAAUGAUGUCUCCCAAAGGGGCAGAGCUAACCAUAAUGAUCGGGUGAUCCUGAAAGUAAUGUUUGAGUUUCCGGCUUGCCAUGAACACCCCAUACAUGAGCUUCUACCAAUGUGGAUAUCUUUGUUUAGAUUCAAUCAGCACCUCACUGACGUAGUAAACCGGCCGUUGGACCGGAUGUUCCUUGCCGGCCUCCUUGUGUUCCAACACAAUGGCCACACUAACAGCUUGUGAGUUAGCAGCUACAUGUAAUAACAACGGCUCUUUCUCAACUGGAGCAGCAAGAACCGGGGGUUCAGCGAGCUGUUUCUUCAAAUCCUCAAAAGCAGAGUUAGCAGCAUCACUCCAGACGAAGUCAUCCGCCUUUUUCAUCAUUUGAUACAAAGGCAUCGCCUUCUCCGCUAACCGGCUUAUGAACCGGCUUAAGGCCGCUAUGCGACCCGCCAGCCGCUGAACGUCAUUGAUGCACACCGGUUUAGCCAGGGAUGCGAUUGCCUUGAUCUUCUCCGGGUUAGCUUCAAUACCUCUGUUAGACACCAGAAAACCCAAAAGUUUGCCAGCUGGGAAUCCAAAAACACACUUGGCCGGGUUAAGCAUCAUCUUGUAGACCCGGAGGUUAUCAAAGGUCUCCUUCAGAUCUGUUACCAAGGUUUCCUCCUUUCUGGACUUCCCCACUAUAUCGUCCACAUAAGCAUGAACAUUACGUCCAAUCUGAUUGUGAAGGCAAGUCUGCACACACCGUUGAUAAGUUGCAUGGGCACUUUUGAGCCCAAAAGGCAUAGACACAUAGCAGAAGGCUCCAAACGGAGUGAUGAAAGUUGUUUUCUCCUGGUCCUUAACUGCCAUCUUGAUCUGAUGAUAACCUGAGUAUGCAUCUAAAACACUCAAACGCUCGCAACCCGCCAUAGCAUCAAUGAUCUGAUCAAUACGAGGGAGAGCAAAAGGGUCAGCCAGACAAGCCAUGUUCAAAUCGGUGUAAUCCACACACAUACACCAGGUGCCGUUCUUCUUGAGUACAAGCACCGGGUUAGCCAACAACUCUGGGUGAAAGACUUCAAUGCUGAACCCGGCCGCCAAGAGCCGGGCCACCUCUUCUCCAAUGGCCUUGCGCCUUUUCUCGUUAAACCAUCGGAGAAACUGCCUGACCAGCUUAAACUUUGGAUCAAUAUUAAAAGUGUGCUCAGCGAGUUCUCUCGGGACACCCGGCAUGUCAGAAGGUUUCCAUGCAAAGAUGUCCCGGUUCUCAUGGAUGAACUCAAUGAGUGCGCUUUCCUAUUUUGGAUCCAAGUUUGCACUGAUGAUGAACUACUUGGAUGAGUCGCCAGGCACAAAAUCAACCGUUUUAGUGUCAUCAGCUGACUUGAAUUUCAACACCGGUUCAUGCUCUGUAGUUGGCUUUUUUAAAGACGUCAUGUCUGCCGGGUCAACAUUAUCUUUAUAAAACUUUAACUCCUCUGUUGCACAAACAGACUCAGCAUAAGCGGCAUCUCCUUCUACACACUCCAGGGCAAUUUUCCGGCUUCCAUGUACUGUAAUGGUGCCUUUAUAACCCGGCAUAUUGAGCUGCAGAUAUACAUAACAUGGCCGAGCCAUGAACUUGGCGUAAGCCGGCCGUCCAAACAGAGCAUGAUAUGGGCUUUUGAUCUUAACCACCUCAAAAGUUAACUUCUCAGCCCUGGAAUCAUAUUCAUCCCCAAAGGCUACUUCCAGUUCAAUCUUACCAACUGGGUAUGCCGACUUUCCAGGCACAACACCGUGAAAAACAGUGUUGGAUUGCUCAAGACUCUUAUCAGUCAACCCCAUCCGACGGAACGUCUCAUAGUAGAGGAUGUUGAUGCUACUGCCUCCAUCCAUGAGCACUUUAGUGAAUUUAUACCCACCAACCUGAGGUGCCACUACCAAGGCUAAGUGACCCGGAUUAUCAACCCGCGGAGGAUGAUCUUCUCUGCUCCACACAAUAGGCUGUUCUGACCACCUCAAAUAACAUGGAAUCACUGGCUCAAUGGCAUUGACAACCCUCUUAUGAAGCUUCUGGUCCCUCUUGCAUAAACUAGUGGUAAAUACAUGGUACUGCCCACUAUUCAACUGUUUUGGGUUGCUCUGAUAUCCGGACUGUUGCUGCUGAUUACCUUGGUCGGGUUGUGGAUUAUAACCUCCCUGGUUACCCGUAUGGCCAUGACCGUGAAAACCGCCUCCACCUGAACCGGCGCCCGGGCCAUGAAAGCCGCCUCCGCCUGAACCGCCGUCAGGCCCGUGACUUCCAUCAAAGGUGUUUGAAUUUUUAAAUGCCUUCAUGAUUGUACAGUCCUUCCACAGAUGGGUGGCUGGCUUCUCCCGGGUGCCGUGUCUUGGACAAGGUUCAUUCAAUAGUUGCUCGAGGGUAGGACCUGACCCGCUUGACCGAGGGGGUUGCCUACCCUUGCGCCGUUCAUUGUUGCCCUGUGCAUUAGUAUUAGCCACAAAUUCGUCAGCCUUAUGUUUAUUACCUCCUUGAUUUUCCGGGUUAUGCUGGUGACCCUUGCCGUUGCCGUUCUUCUUUCACUUCCUUGUUUUUUCUUCAUCAAACACGGGAUCCUUGGUACUAUCAGAAUCAGCGUACUUGACCAGAGCCGCCAUCAACUGGCCCAUGUUAUUUCAGUGACGCUUGAGCCGCCCCAGCUUCUGCUUUAGAGGUUCAAAACGGUAAUUUUUCUCCAACAUUAAGACUGCCGACCCGGCAUCCAUCUUAUCAGAUGAAUGUAUUAUCUCCUUGACCUGACGCACCCAAUGGGUUGUGGACUCACCUUCCUCUUGCUUACAAUUAGUCAGGUCCACGAUUGACAUAGGUUGUUUGCAUGUAUCCUUGAAGUUCUGAAUGAACCGGGCUUUUAAUUCCUCCCAUGCGUCGAUGGAAUUGGGGGGCAAUCCUUUCAACCAAGUGCGAGCCGUUCCAUCCAACAUCACAGUGAAAUACUUAGCCAUCGCUGCAUCGCUGACUUCCAACAGCUCCAUUUCCAUCUCAUAACUUUCAAUCCAUGCCCAGGCUGCAAGUUAGCCAUGUAAUUAGGCACUUUACGAGGGCCCUUAAAGUCUUUAGGUAAGCGCUCAUUACGUAUAGCCGGCACCAAGCAAGGAACACCUCUGUUCUUGUGGCUACUCCUGCCUCCACAGAGGUUGCUGGAUAAGCCGGAAAAGUUUGAUGAGCCGCCUGCUUAGCUGCCAGUUGAACCGCCCGCUCAGCCUCUUGACGGAUCCUCUCCUGAUCCGCUAAGUUAAGGGCUCCAGCCUGCAACGGCUCAUGCCUGCGCGGUUGGUUACGGCGUUGAGCGUUGCUUGACAUAUCAGCUGAGUCCAUAUGCCUGCUAUAGCUCGGGCUCCGGCUCGGGCGAGGGGUUGAAUGGAUUCUGUCUCGACUGUAAGAGUAGGCAUCCUGUUGCGCCAGAGCCGUCUGAAGAAGUUCUCUCACCCUUCAUGUUUCGAUUGCUGUCGGAGAGUCGCCCUCCAUCGGGAGAGCUGCCAAACGAGCCGACGCAACAAUGAGGUUUUCCAAAGGAUUGGAGAAGUGACCCGGUGGUGUUGGCGCAUAAUGAGGCAGAGCGGUACUCAUACGAGGUGGUUCCAUGGCCCGCGGCUGAACCAGCGCUCCGGGUGUCGUGAUCCAAUUUGCCUCCAGUGGGUUACUUGGACCGGCCCCGAGUGUGUGGAAAAGGUUCCUAGGAUCGAGCGUCAGAGGUAGACGUGACUGGGUUUUCUGAUGCCUUCUCCUCAUGAUCUUGUUUGACGCGUUCAGAUCCGCUGGGAGCCGGAAAGUCUCCGCUUGAAGCUGCUGAGCACGAGCAUCCAAAGUCGCCCGUUCCACGACCAUCCUAACCUCUUCUGCUGCUAAACUUUCCUUGGCCUGUGCCAUCUCUUCUCGUCAUGCUGAGCUUUAUAUGCCGGCUCUACCACGACAGUCAACAAAGCUGUCAGCUUAUCCAUGAGGUCCAUUAGCAUCUGAGCCGGGGGGCGUGCGGGGUCUCCUGACCCGGCCACUGCCGACCUGGUGGUUGUUGUUGCUGCUGCCGUGGAGUUCUGCCCGGGCUGAGUGCCUGCCAUGAAGACUCCAGCUUGAUUCGGCGGCUCAAAGGGGUCCGGAAUACUGUUGCCAUCGGAACAGCCCCCAAGCAUGCCAUCCUGCAGCUGAUACAAAGAAUUUGUCUCGCCUAUUGAUGACAUAGCGUCAGAACAGAUGGCCGUCUCACCGCCAUCCACUCAUCCUUCCGAGUAUUCACCUCCAUGGAUGCAACCCACAAAGGCAUGCUUUACGGCGGGUCGGGCACGGGCGGGUCUCGCGCGCUGAGCCGUCUCGAUGAUGUUGGUGCAGACGUCUGGCUCAGGGCCUGAUUUGCCGAUCCGGCCGAUGAAGACAUGAAUCCCGCCGAAGGGGACCUGGUACCCAUACUCAAUUGAGCCGGCCUCGGGGCCCUAGCCUUCGUCGUCGAUGUAGAGCUUGCUGCGACGACUCUUGGUCAUCUUGCCCACAACGUAUCCCUUGAGCCCUUCGAAGUUGCCCUUCAAGAACUCAAAUCCACCAUGCGCUGGCCCCACGGUGGGCGCCAACUGUCGUGGAAUUAUCACGACAGAUGUCCUAGCGAAAGGACUUAGUCAUAGGGUCGUCGCAACUAGGAAGCUUAAAGGGGUUAAUUGGGACAAAGGACACGAGAGGUUUUAUACUAGUUCGGCCCCUUACGAUGAAGGUAAAAGCCUACGUCUAGUUGUGUUUGGAAUUGCUAGGGUUUCGAAGACCAGGGAGCGAAUAUGCUUGUCCUGGCUUCGAGUUGUUGUCUCUUGCCCUAAGACGCCGCCGGGUCAUCCCAUUAUAUACACAGGUUGACGCCUGGCGGCCUACAGAGUCCCGGCCGUCUCACAAAAUGUGUCCGGCUCGGUGACUUCUUUUACAUGCCUUUCUUUACAAGUCUUUCCUUACAUACGGCAGUUUACAAUAUUGGGCCUUAAGCCGCCUCUGGGCUUAGGCCUUCUAUAAGUCUUAAUAAACUAUCGCCUUGAAUGUUACUGGGCUUCUUUUGUAACCCACAAUUGGGCCGACCCGGCCCCUCCUGGGCGGGUCUUACCUGGUAUCUAUAUUCCCAACAUAUUUAGAGAGCAAUUUUUAUUGCAUGCAACAAUGGCAACUUACUUGAAGGAUCUUAGUCAAUCCAUAGGUAGGUAUGAUGGACACUCAUGGCAACAAUGGGUUUAAGGAUAUUAGGAAGCACAAGUAGUAUCUCUACUUGGUGCAAGGAAUUUGGCUAGCAUGAGGGGGAAAGGCAAGCUGAACAUGUUGGAUGAUCCAUGACAAUAUACUUUAUUUCAGAUAUAAGAAAGCAUAACUCAUUACGUUGUCUUCCUUGUCCAACAUCAACUUUUUAGCAUGUCAUAUUUAAUGAGUGCUCAUAAUCAUAAAAGAUGUCCAAAUAGUAUUUUUAUAUGUGAAAACCUCUCUUUCUUUAUUACUUCCUAUUAAUUACAACGAUGACCAAAACUAUGUUUUUCAACUCUCAAAAAAUUUUAUUCAUCAUACUCUUUACAUGUGAAGUCAUUACUCUCCAUAAGAUAAAUAUGAUCUCUUUAUUUCUUUUUAUUCUUUCUUUUAUUCCCUCAAGAACAUUGUGAGAUAAUCAACUCCUUGACUCAAAACUAAUCUUUAUUAUAUAUAUCUCACGGACUCGAUUACAUAGAAGGAUCAUAAAGCAAAACCCAAAACUAGAUCAUACUAAACUUUAUUCUACUAGAUCAAGAUAUAACCAAAAGGAUCGAACUAAGAAAAACGGUAAAGAUAGAAGUGUGAUGGUGAUACGGUACCGGGGCACCUCCCCAAGCUUGGCAGUUGCCAAGGGCAGUGCCCAUACCCAUGUGUUUAUGCCUCUUUCUUCGGAGGUGGUGAUGAUGGAGUUGUUGAUGACGUAGGCUUGUCAUCGAACAUUGAGCGUAGGAGGUGCUCCAAUUUAUGAAUGAUGUCCUUGAGUGCGGUGAUAUGCUCUAGCAACAUAAUAUUUUCAUGAGUUAGAUACUUGUUCUGCACCCGAACUAUUUCAAUCAUCUUGAAAGCUUCAAUUUCAGUAGGGGUAAGAAGAUUGUAAUGAGGUUGAAGGAUAUCUUCUUCUUCUGCUGCCGGAGCUUGAUCUUCCAUGGCCUUCUUGAUCCUAUCAUCCAUGUUGAUAUCCCCAGGUUCUUCUCUCUUCAGAUCUAUCUUCAUUAGCCAAGCAUCGUCGCCCUCAUUGUUGGAGGAGGGGUACGACAUGAUGCCUGGCCUUGACAACUCUGGCAGAAAACAACUCGAAACAAAAACAGUGGAUAUUUGUGUGGUACCGUGGUCAAAACCUUCGAGAGAAUAUAUAAUGGAUUUUUAGCGACCAAAAGAAGUAUCGUGCAAGAAAAUGGAGUCUGGAGGGCACACAAGGUGCCCACGAGGCAGGUGUCCGUGUCAAAACCGGUGGAUCUCGGGUAGGGGGUCCCGAACUGUGCGUCUAAGGUCGAUGGUAACAGGAGGCAAGGGACACAAUGAUUACUCAGGUUCGGGCCCUCUCUAUGGAGGCAACACCCUACUUCCUGCUUGAUUGAUCUUGAUGAAUAUGAGUAUUACAAGAGUUGAUCUACCAUGAGCUCGUAAUGGCUAAACCCUAAAAGUCUAGCCUGUCUGACUAUGAUUAUGAGGAUAUCUGUCUACCGACCUAGCCCUCCGGUUUAUAUAGACAUCGGAGGGAUCUAGGGUUACAUAAGGUCGCUUACAGAGAAAGGAAUCUUCAUAUUUGGUCACCAAGCUUGCCUUCCACGCCAAGGAGAGUCCCAUCCGGACACGGGUAGAUUCUUCGGUCUUUGUAUCUUCACGGCCCCUCACUCCGGCCCAUGUCUAAUAGGUCGGAUGCCCAAGGACCCCUUAGUCCAGGACUCCCUCAGUAGCCCCUGAACCAGGCUUCAAUGACGAGGUGUCCGACGCGCAGAUUGUUAUCGGCAUUGCAAGGCGGGUUCCCCUUUACGAAUACUCCAAUAUAGUCUUCGAACGCAAUGAACGUGUCCAGAUCUGCAACACAAGUACCACACACAACCACAGAGAAUAUAAUAUUGCAUGAGUCCAAUCCGCUGAUAACUUUUUGUAAUGUGACAUCACGUCUACUUGGUCAUCAUUUUGAACCGUUUUCCGUCUGUCGUUCCAUGUUUCGAGACGCGGUUUUCAUAGGCACGUCUUGUCGAAGCAGAGAUCGUGUCCCCUUAUUGCCGGAUUCUCAUCAAUACGGGCGUGGGUAAUCUAACCGUGCCGUUUACACAGCCCUUGGGAACAGGCGAGUUUUAAGGCGAGUGGGGAGGCGCUUGAUAUUCACUGCCUUUAUAAGGAGAUAAGGACUCCCUUUUCUCCACCCACGCCUUCUCUCUUUCUUUGCCCUUCCAUUCUCGAGCUCCAGCGCCCAAGUCCUCAUUCUUUCCGCCCCAAGGAAGCACUCAACCAUUUCUGGAUCUGGAGGGCAAGGCAAGUGGAUCUGUGGAUGGCCUCCUCCGUUAGGGAGAAGGACAUCACCAGGCUUCAGGAGUACGGGUAUCUGGUGAAAGGAAUAGCCCACCGGCUUCUAGCCAAGGGGCAAAUCGUCCCCAGCCCGAAGUCCAACGAGAGGGUGGUGUUCAUCCCCCAUUUCGUCCGCGGGUUAGGGUUUCCUCUCCACCCUUUCGUCCGCGGGCUUAUGUUCUAUUAUGGGCUAGACUUCCAUGACCUAGCCCUGAAUUCUUUCCUCAACAUCUUGGCAUUCAUUGUCGUGUGUGAGGCCUUCCUCCGCAUCCAACCCCACUUCAGGCUGUGGCUCAAGAUUUCAAUGUGAAGCCGAAGGUGGUGGAUGGCCAGCACGUGGAGUGCGGAGGCGCCAUGGUGAGCAAGCUGCCCGAUGUCACAAGGCCCAAGGGUACUUUUGUAGAGACCGUCAAGGAGUGGCAGAAACUAUGGUUCUAUAUCAUAGAGCCCGCGAUGCCACCUGGGCCGCGGCUUCCGAAUUCAAGUCUGGAGCUCCAAUGCGGCUCACCUCCUAGAUAGAGAAGGGCCCAAAUUGGUCUUCAUCGGACGAGCUGAUAGCGCUGCAAACGCGCAUUCAAAGCAUGGUGGAUAAAGACAUCAAGCUCAUCGACGUAAUCCAGGUGAUGCUGGUUCGCCGGAUCCUCCCAUGCCAAAGUCGAAGCUUCCCCUUAUGGGAAUUCGACCUGAAGAAGCACCAAACCUUGGAAAGGCUCUUCAGAACCACUCACGAAGAUGCCUGCAAGUUGCUCUUUAAGGGCAACGAGACGCCGCUAGCCAUAGACUCGGACCGCGAGCACGAUAUUACCCAUUCUGCCAAUGCGGUAAGCCUUUCAUGUCUCAGACGCACCCUCUACUUGCUUGUUUCAAGGAGGAUAUCUAAACUUUAUUAUUAUUAUUUUCGGGUAUGGACGGAGAGGGCGGAGCGGAUUCAAUGUUCGGCUCCACUGCCCGAGGAUCCAGUCAUCCCGCUCCUGGCGAAGAUGCUGGUGCCGGCGCCCUAUAAGGCGCCGGAGAAAAAGGCCAAGAAGAAGGCCAAGGGGGUCCGGAGUGGCCCCCGCCGCAAGGGAGCUUCGGACAUGUCGUCUGAAGACAAGACUCUCUCCUCCGCCGCCGAAGACGAUGACGAUGAGGAGGAAGAAAGCACCUCUCCCCCUGAUGGGGGGAGGAAGAAGAGGGCGGCCUCCACAAAUCUGGGGGCGGAGGUGCCCAAGAGGGGGAAGGGUCCUCCUACGGAUAACUCCGCGUGGGACGUCGAUAGCAGCCUGGAGCGACGCCCCCGAAACAAGCCUAUGGCCGCGUCGUAAGUACUACAAACCUGCAUAUGUCCAUGCAUCCGGCCUCUCUUGCUUCAUAAUAUAAUAUGUUAAUUUAUGCCAUUGUAGUCCGGCCCACGAUAGCUCCCUGCGAUCCUCAUCAAGAGGCUCGUUGGAUUCGAAGGCGAUGGCCAGCGAGUCACCGCCGGCCGCUCACUCUCCCACGGCCAAGGGCGACAAGUAGGUGUUGUCCCAAAGGACCUUCCUCGGCUAGGGAGAGGUUCAGGAGGCCGCCAGUGUGAUGCCAGAGGGCGAAACCUCUGCUGCCGGACACAUGGGGGAGCAGACCCCCUUCGCGACUGGGGAUGGGGGCUUUGCUUAGUUCGGCCCCCAGCCGAAUACAAGUCCGGAGGCCUAUACGGCUCUGGAAUCCGGUGAGCAACCUCCUUCGAAAGAAGGGGGUGUGCCUAUUCCGCUGGUGACCUCUGUCCAACCAGAGGCACUGGAUAAUCUGCUGGAAGCGCCAUGAGGCGCUUCCAUUGUGGAUGAACACUGUAUCCUUAUGGGUAAGGCGAUUGAGAGGGUUCAGUCUGUCAAGAGCGGACUAGCCGAAGCAAGCAGCAGCCUGCUGACAGAUUUUGAGGUAAGCGAUGCAAAAGAGAAAAUCCCAAUAUAGACAGUAGCCCCUGAGACACUGCCCGGUGUUUGGAAAUAAGAGCCAGACAGAGGAUCAUCCCAAUAUAGACAGUAGCCCCUGAGACACUGCCCGGUGUUUGGGAAUAAGAGCCAGACAGAGGAUCAUUUAUGUUCUCAAGAAACUAACUAAAUAUGUCUUAUAUGAAUAAGCAGGCCUCGUUGCUGGCCGCGACCUCACACACUGCCGAAGUCUCUGGACUAAAGCAGAGACUGGAGCAGGCCGAGGAGGAGCUCGGCCAAACGAGGAAGCAACUAGAAGACAAGCAAGGUAUGUACUGAGUGGGUGUAUAUUCGGAAACAAUAAAUAAUGCGUAUUGACCGUAGUGCCAUGAUAUGUGUAGGAGCUGCGAUCGAGGUUGAGGUCCUUAAACAGGCCCUGGCCUAGGCCGAGGAGAAAGCUACCAAGGAAAAGGCCGCCCAUGCGAAGCACGAGGCCCGGCUUAAUGAGGUCCAGCAAGAGCUCCAGGAUGCGGUGAAGAAAUGUGAAUCCUUGGAGCGCGAUGUUUCGGCUCGAGAGACUAAACUCGCUACGGCCCGCCAAAGCACGGAGGAGGCCCGGAUUGAGGCCCACGGCGCCCUCCAGGAGAUCCAGGAGGCCAAGAAAAUCGCGGCGGGUAAGGCGUUUAGUAUGCAAAGCAAAUAUGUGAAGAAGAAGUAUCUCUUACUAACCCGGAUUCGAAGUUCUCUAGGGGCGUUUGCGGAUCUGCCGCGCAGUGUGUCUGACGCUGCAUAGUUCUUCUAAGCCGAAGAAGGGAGCUCUAUGGAGAAGCUGUUCUGGUCGCAAUAUCUUGCGCUAGAACAUCCAGUGCCCUUUAGCGAUCAGCUAAAAUAGCUGGUCGAGCUGCAUAGGGUGGCCGAACAGGCCAUGAAGAAUUUAAUAAUCCACCUGUAGCCUGCCGAAGCUAUUCCUGACAGCUACUUCGGGCUCGUGAAGCGGCUGGUGAAUGCCUUCCCUCGGUUGGACAUCGUCAAGCGGUCGAUCUGCAUCGAGGGCGCGCGCAUGGCCUUCGCCCGCGUCAAGGUGUGGUGGGUGAAGAUGGACGCCGUCAAGCUUACGACUGGGGGACCGCGAGAGGGCAAGGAGCACCGCACGCCUGAGCAGUAUUUUGAAGACGUCCUGGAGGGGUCUCAUAUUGUGGCGACGCAAUAUGCGCAAGACAUUAUUUUCGAAUGAAUUGUCUCUGCCUUGUAUGAUGAAACAAAGUCAUUAUGUAAUAUAAUGUUUGUUAUUUAAAAAAAUUCCCCCCUGUGCCGCCGUGUUGUAUGAAAUCUGAGAGUUGGCCAGUCGGCGGCUUCUUCCCCCAUGUAGGUAGUACGGGGGUGUUCGGGAUGUAAUCUAAACACUCUUGAUCCAAUUGUUUGGUCCUUGAAGGAGGUGUUUAGCGCGACGAACCAGGCAAUCGGUCUAUGCAGCUUUAGCACCCUCACUUAGCCAUAGGAGUUUGACAAUAAAAAUAUAGGCGCAGCCCCUAGUAUCCGAACUAGGAUGAUGUAAACACCUGAUCGGGUAAGUACCGAUCCUUCGCGUAAUGCGGAAAAAAUCUCUAAAGAUUUGAGACCUCUGAAGAGCUGACCGGCUCUCGUCGCAUCAUGACAGUCAGUUUUCGGCUUUCUCUAUUGAGGUGCUCCUCCGGGUGAACUAGGCCACAAUCGCAGUAGUUCUCCCUUUACUACACUGGACGAUAUGACAGAACAUAAGGUAGCAAGCACAGGAGCCGGGCAACCCAACUAUUGACCAAAGACAUGAUUCGAAGCCAAUGCAUAUAGUGCUAAAUUUGGGGUACCGAACUAUACUGUAAAAAGUGUUCGGACUUUGUUGCCGUGUUGUGGGGCGCUAUCAAGCCCCUGGCAAAUUGAAACGUACCAAAGUGUACGGGUGCUAUUUGAUAAAGUUAUCAAGAAAGAGAAAAGAGAAGAAAGGGUAGUAAGCUAAAGCCGUAAAAUGUGGGCCACAAACUGUUUCCAUUAUCAUUUCAUUAGUGCGUUAAAGCGCAUGUAUACAAGUAGUGCAAUAAGCAUAAGGCUAUUUGAUAUGCCUUGACCAAGGGAGAGCUGUGUGUGGGUCCUGAAAAUAGGUAAGGGGAUCGUUAAAGAAACCACCUAAAAUUCCCCAGUACGUCCAUGCUUCUUGUCGUCUUGGUGUAUUUAUCCUUCGAAAAGAACCGAUGGUCAAACCGUCAGGGAAGGCCUAUGAAAAAGAAACCUGAAAAGGAGAAAAAAGGAAACAGUGAAAGCACGUGUGUCCGGGGCGGUCGAGCCGUAUUGUGGAUCACAAGCUAGUUAUGCCUCCCUCUAUGCCCAUGGUAUUUUGAGUGUGUAGUUAUGUACACGCGAUACAAUUUCCGCCACUUGGUCGGGACUAGGACGGAGGCCGAAUUGCUAGUUGAGCUCUUGACGAGCCGAGCUGUCCUGGUGCAGAAUAGUCCGGACUCUCUUGACAGUGUCCGGGAGGUCGGCCGCCGAAUUAAGGUUCUGCUUGAAAAGGUUGCUCUGUACUUCUACUGCUAAGGCAGCGGUGUGCUCCAUGGUGCGGAGGGAGCGUUCCGUGUUUCCAUUAACUGUUAUGAUGCCGCAUGGUCCGGGCAUCUUGAGCUUGAGAUAAGCGUAGUGUGGCACCACGUUGAAUCGAGCAAAUGCACUUCGUCCAAGCAGUGCGUGAUAACCGCUGCGAAAAGGGACGAUAUCAAAGAUUAACUCCUCGCUUCAGAAGUUGUCCGGAGAUCCAAAGACGACCUCUAGUGUGAUUGAGCCCGUAUAGCGGGCCUCUACACCUGGUAUGACUCCUUUAAAGGUAGUCUUUGUGGGCUUGAUCCGUGAUGGAUUAAUGCCCAUUUUGCACACUGUAUCCUGAUAGAGCAGGUUGAGGCUGUUGCCACCGUCCAUUAGGACUCGUGUCAGGUGGAACCCAUCAAUUAUUGGGUCCAGGACCAGUGUGGCUGAACCGCCGUGACGGAUACUGGUCGGAUGGUCCCGACGAUCGAAAGUUAUGGGGCAUGAUGACCAUGGAUUAAAUUUUGGGGCGACUGGCUCUAUCGCGUAGACGUCCCUAAGCGCGCGCUUGCGCUCCCUCUUGGAUAUGUGGGUAGCGUAUAUCAUGUUCACCAUUUUGACCUAAGGGGGAAACUUCUUAUGUCCCCUGUGUUCGGUGGCCGGGGCUCCUCGUCGUCGUCCUCGCUUUGCAAUCCCUUCUCCUUGCUUUCGGCAUUUAACUUGCCGGCCUGUUUACAAACCCAACAAUCUCUGUUGGUAUGAGUGGGUGGUUUGUCUGGGGUGCCAUGGAUCUGGCACGGACGAUCGAGUAUGCGGUCCAAGCUGGAUGAGCCCGAAUUGUUCUUUUUGAACGGUUUCUUCCGCUGACCAGACUUAGAGCCACUGAAUCCGGCAUUGAUCGCCGUAUCAACGGUGCUGUCAUUGUUGUUUCGACGCUUGUGUCUGUUGCGUCGAGAUUUGUCGUUGCUAUUUCUGGCUUUAGAGGUACCGGCAUUGCUUGCAUUGUUUUUGCUACGAGCUAGCCAACUAUCUUCACCCGCACAAAAGCGGGUCAUGAGUGCCGUGAGGGCUGCCAUGGACUUCGGCUUUUCUUGGCCGAGGUGGCGGGCGAGCCAUUCGUCGCGGAUGCUAUGUUUAAAGGCCUCUAGGGCUUCGGCAUCUAGACAGUCGACGAUCUGGUUCUUUUUGGUUAGGAACCUAGUCCAGAAUUUCCUGGCUGACUCUCCAGGCUGUUGAACUAUAUGCCUUAAGUAAUCAGCAUCUAGUGACCGGACAUAUGUACCUUGGAAGUUGUCGCAGAAGGCGUCUUCCAAAUCCUCCCAUCUGCCAAUAGAGUUUUCGGGCAGACUAUUUAACCAGUGCCGAGCUGGCCCUUUGAGUUUUAACGGGAGGUAUUUGAUGGCCUGGAGGUCAUCUCCGCGGGCCAUAUGGAUAUGGAGAAAAAAAUCCUCAAUCCACACCGCGGGCUAAGUUGUUCCAUUGUAUGAUUCAAUAUUCACGGGUGUAAACCCUUCUGGGAAUUCAUGCUCCAUUACUUCGUCAGUGAAGCAAAGAGGGUGUGCGGCGCCUCUGUAUCAGGCCACAUUGUGACAUAGCUCCGAUGGAAUCUGUCCAUGGUUUUUGGCCCGCGCAUGACUAGGCUUGUCACGUCCGAAUAGGUAGCCGUCAUCACGUGUCGGGGCACGUCCUCGCGAUCCGUAGAUCGAUCUGGUAUGUCCUGCUCUAUUGUCCAGGUCCUGCCGAAGGUCAUAUGUAUAACCACGACCUGUUUUAUCUCUGCCUUUACGAUGAAGCGGGGCGGGCUGGUGUUCAUCUUGAGUUGGCAUUUUGUCCCGACCACGUGGCGGUCGGUCAGCCGCAUUGCGCGAUGAUGGUACGGGCUCCGGUGCCUCGUCGUCGGACUGAGGUAGCAAGUUGAGCUUCGGGUAGCUUUUGGCUGGGCGCUUGAGGCCGUAUUCUUCGGCUGCUAGGACAUCAGUCCGUCUAUCAUUGAGCAGAUUGAUGUCUACUACACAACCUUCUUCUUGUAGACGUUGUUGGGCCUCCAAGUGCAGAGGUUUGUAGGACAGUAGCAAAUUUCCCUCAAGUAGAUGACCUAAUGUUUAUUAAUCCGUAGGAGGUGUAGGAUGAAGACGGUCUCUCUCAAGCAACCAUGCAACCAAAUAACAAAGAGUCUCUUGUGUCCCCAACACACCCAAUACAAUGGUAAAUUGUAUACGUGCACUAGUUCGGCGAAGAGAUGGUGAUACAAGUGGUAUAUGGAUGGUAGAUAAAGGUUUUUGUAAUCUGAAAAUAUAAAAACAGCAAGGUAACUAAUGGUAAAAGUGAGCACAGACGGUAUUGCAAUGCGUUGAAACAAGGCCUAGUGUUCAUACUUUCACUAGUGCAAGUCCUCUCAACAAUAAUAACAUAAUUGGAUCACAUAACUAUCCCUCAACAUGCAACAAAGAGUCACUCCAAAGUCACUAACAGCGGAGAACAAACGAAGAGAUUAUGGUAGGGUACGAAACCACCUCAAAGUUAUUCUUUCCAAUCAAUCUGUUGGGCUAUUCCUAUAAGUGUCACAAACAGCCCUAGAGUUCGUACUAGAAUAACACCUUAAGACACAAAUCAACCAAAACCCUAAUGUCACCUAGAUACUCCAAUGUCACCUCAAGUAUCCGCGGGUAUGAUUAUACAAUAUGCAUCACACAAACUCAGAUUCAUCUAUUCAAACCAACACAAAGUACUUCAAAGAGUGCCUCAAAGUUUCUACCGAAGAGUCAAGACGAAAACGCGUGCCAACCCCUAUGCAUAGAUUCCAAGGUCUCGGAACCCGCAAGUUGAUCACAAAAACAUACAUCAACUGGAUCAAUAGAACAUCCCAUUGUCACCAUGAGUAUCCCACGCAAGACAUACAUCAAGUGUUCUCAAAUCAUUAAAAACUCAAUCUGAUAAGAUAACUUCAAAGGGAAAACUCAAUUCAUUACAAGAGAGUAGAGGGGGAGAAACAUCAUAAGAUCCAACUAUAAUAGCAAAGCUCGCGAUCCAUCAAGAUCGUACCACCUCAAGAACACGAGAGAGAGAGAGAGAGAGAGAGAGAGAGAGAGAGAUCAAACACAUAGCUACUGGUACAUACCCUCAGCCCCGAGGGAGAACUACUCCCUCCUCUAAUGGAGAGCACCGGGAUGAUGAAGAUGGCCACCGAAGAGGGAUUUCCCCCUCCGGCAGGGUGCCGGAAUGGGUCUAGAUUGGUUUUCGGUGGCUACGGAGGCUUCUGGAAGCGGAACUCCCGAUCUAUUGUGCUCCUCGAAGUUUUUAGGGUAUAUGGGUAUAUAUGGGAGGAAGAAGUACGUCGGUGGACCUCCGGGCACCCUCGUGGGCAGCCCGGGACUCUCCGGUUCCAACUCCGAUACUCCGUGGGCUUCUUCUGGUUCAUUGGACUCCAUUUGAUUUUCCUUUUCUGCAAUACUCUACAACAAGGAAAAAACAGAAACUGGCACUAGGCUCUGGGUUAAUAGGUUAGUCCCAAAAAUAAUAUAAAAGUAUUUAAUAAAGCCCAUAAACAUCCAAAACAGAUAACAUAAUAGCAUGGAACAAUAAAAAAUUACAGAUACGUUGGAGACGUAUCAGCAUUCCCAAGCUUAAUUCAUGCUCAUCCUCGAGCAGGUAAAUGAUAAAAACAGAAUUUUUGAUGUGGAAUGCUACCUAACAUUUUCAUCAUGUAUUUCUCUUUAUUGUAGCAAGAAUAUUCAGAUCCAUAAGAUUCAAGACAAAAGUUUAAUAUUGACAUAAAAAUAAUAAUACUUCAAGCAUACUAACUAAGCAGUCAUGUCUUCUCAAAAUAACAUGGCCAAAGAAAGUUCAUCCCUACAAAAUCAUAUAGUUUGGUCAUGCUCCAUUUUCGUCACACAAGAAUGCUCUCAUCAUGCACAACCCCGAUGACAAGCCAAGCAAUUGUUUCAUACUUUAGUAAUCUCAAACUUUUUUCAACUUUCACGCAAUACAUGAGCGUGAGCCAUGGAUAUAGCACUAUGGGUGGAAUAGAAUACGAUGGUGGGGGUUAUGUGGAGAAGACAAAAAAGGAGAAAGUCUCACAUCGACGCGGCUAAUCAAUGGGCUAGGGAGAUGCCCAUCAAUUGAUGUCAGUGCAAGGAGUAGGGAUUGCCAUACAACGGAUGCACUAGAGCUAUAAAUGUAUGAAAGCUCAACAAAAGAACUAAGUAGGUGUGCAUCCAACUUGCUUGCUCACGAAGACCUAGGGCACUUGAGGAGGCCCAUUGUUGGAAUAUACAAGCCAAGUUCUAUAAUGAAAAUUUCCCACUAGUAUAUGAAAGUGACAACAUAAGAGACUCUCUAUCAUGAAGAUCAUGGUGCUACUUUGAAGCACAAGUGUGGAAAAAAGGAUAGUAUCAUUGUCCCUCUUAUUUUAUUUAUUUUUUUAUUUGGCCUUUCUCUUUUUUUAUUUGGACUUUCUUUUUUUUCUCUUUUUUACAAUGCUCUAUUAAUGAUGAUCAUCACACUUCUAUUUAUUUACAACUCAAAGAUUACAGCUCGAUACUAGAACAAAGUAUGACUCUAUAUGAAUGCCUCCGGCGGUGUACCUGGAUUGCGAUGAAUCAAGAGCGACAUGUAUGAAAAAUUAUGAAUGGUGGCUUUGCCACAAAUACGAUUUCACCUACAUGAUCAUGCAAAGCAAUAUGACAAUGAUGAUGCAUGUCAUAAUAAACGGAACGGUGGAAAGUUGCAUGGCAAUAUAUCUCCGAAUGGCUAUGGAAAUGCCAUAAUAGGUAGGUAUGGUGGCUGUUUUGAGGAAGAUAUAAGGAGGUUUAUGUGUGACAGAGCAUAUCAUAUCACGGGGUUUGGAUGCACCGUCGAAGUUUGCACCAACUCUCAAUGUGAGAAAGGGCAAUGCACGGUACCGAAGAGGCUAGCAAUGAUGGAAGGGUAAGAGUGCGUAUAAUCCAUGGACUCAACAUUAGUCAUAAAGAACUCACAUACUUAUUGCAAAAAUCUACAAGUCAUCAAAAACCAAGUAUUAUGCGCAUGCUCCUAGGGGGAUAGAUUGGUAGGAAAAGACCAUCGCUCGUCCCCGACCGCCACUCAUAAGGAAGACAAUCAAAUAACACCUCAUGUUUCAAAUUUGUUACACAACGUUUACCAUACGUGCAUGCUACGGGACUUGCAAACUUCAACAAAAGUAUUCCUCAAAUUCACAACUACUCAACUAGCACAACUUUGAUAUCACUAUCUCCAUAUCUCAAAACAAUCAUCAAGUAUCAAACUUCUCUUAGUAUUCAAUGAACUUAUAUGAAAGUUUUUUUUAUAUCCCUUUUGGAUGCCCAUAAUAUUAGGACUAGUUUCAUAACCAAAGCAAACUACCAUGCUGUUCUAAAGACUCUCAAAAUAAUAUAAGUGAAGCACGGGAGUUCAUCUAUUUCUAUAAAAUAAAACCACCAUUGUGCUCUAAAAAGAUAUAAGUGAAGCACUAGAGCAAACAACAAACUACUCCGAACGAUAUGAGUGAAGAUCAAUGAGUAGUGGAAUAAUUAUGCAACUAUGUGAAGACUCUCUAACAUUUAAGAAUUUCAUAUGGUAUUUUAUUCAAACAGCAAGCAAAACAAAAUAAAAUAAAAUGGCGCUCCAAGCAAAACACAUAUUAUGUGGUGAAUAAAAAUAUAGCUCGAAGUAAAGUUACCGAUGAACGAAGACGAAAGAGGGGAUGCCUUCCGGGGCAUCCCCAAGCUUAGGCUCUUGGUUGUCCUUGAAUAUUACCUUGGGGUGCCUUGGGCAUCCCCAAGCUUAGGCUCUUGCCACUCCUUAUUCCAUAGUACAUCGAAUCUUUACCCAAAACUUGAAAACUUCACAAAACAAAACUUAAUAGAAAACUCAUAAGCUCCGUUAGCGAAAGAAAACAAAACACCACUUCCAGGUACUGUAAUGAGCUCAUUCUUUAUUUAUAUUGGUGUAAUAUCUACUGUAUUCCAACUUCUCUAUGGUUCAUACCCUCCGAUACUACUCAUAGAUUCAUCAAAAUAAGCAAACAACACAUAGAAAACAGAAUCUGUCAAAAACUGUAGUAAUCUGUAACUAACGCAAACUUCUGGAACCUCAAAAAUUCUAAAAUAAAUUUCUGGACGUGAGGAAUUUAUCUUUAAUCAUAUGCAAAAAUAAUUAACUAAAUAGCGCUCUCCAAUAAAAAAUGGCAGCAAUUGUCGUGAGCGCUAAAGUUUCUAUUUUUUACAGCAUGAUCAACAAGACUUUCCCCAAGUCUUCCCAACGGUUCUACUUGGCACAAACACUAAUUAAACCAUAAAAACUCAAUAAUAACAGAGGCUAGAUAAAUUAUUUAUUGCUAAACAGGAGCAAAAAUAUAGCGACCAGACCUCAAACGGUCUGAUCUAUGUGCUCAGGUAUCAUCCCUGGAUCAGUAAUGCUGACACCACACAGUACUUGGAGGAUUUAUAAUAGAGUAGUAAUCAUACACUUAUUACAACAAGUGUCUCAAUAGAGAACUUAUUACAAAAAAUAUGGCUUAAGGCCAUCUAAUAACGAUAACGGCGGAAGGCUUGGAAGAUAAGUGAGUCCAUCAACUCCAACGGCAUCACUGAGUAUAGAACCACGACCUAAAAACUCCUUAAUCGUCGUCUGAAAAGUCUGCAACAUUAACGUUGCAGCCCGAAACGGGUCAGCACAUGGAAUAUGCUGGCAAGGUAACACAUAGAGAGUAAUGGAAUGAAACAGCUAUUCUAUAUGCAUAUUUGGCUGGUGGAAAGCUCUAUGGUUACAGUUUUGCGUAAAGCCAAUUUUUCCCUACUACAAAGGAAUAAAUUUUAUUUAACUAUCAUGGUGGUUUUUAAACAUUGAGAAUGGUUGACAGCAUCCUCAAUCCCAAUUAAGCAUCAUCAUUAAACAAAACCCAACAAAAUUAAAUUUUAGAGUAACAUGUUGGGAUUCACAUGAUAAUCCAAGUACUAGAUGUCCAUAACCGGGGACACGGCUAACCAUGAUUAGUUUAUACACUCUGCAGAGGUUUGCGCACUUUUCCCACAAGACUCGAUCGCCUCCGUUUGUUUUCUCGCACUACAUGGUGUUUGAGAAGACGGAUGACCGAGACAUGGUCUUUCAGAAGCGCUAGCACCUUACGAUGGAUAGACCGUUACACCUACUUCCCCCUACAUCUGCUAGUUUACCCUAUAAGAGUUUGCACGACUUAAUCAACUAUGCUAGAGCCCAUAAUAGCUUGUGGCUGCACACGGAAGUUUCUAGUAUGAAAAAUCUCAUGAUCCCUUUGGGCCUGGGUGGCGGUCCAUAAAGAAAAACAGGCAAUCCUGGAAUACCCAAGUACCUCAAUCCACCCAGAUGUGUGAUUAAGUUGCCACCUUAGAUAAACCAUUAAUUAACAAACUCACAUCUUUCAUGGAUAUCACUCACCCAAUCCACGUCUACUAGCGUAGCAUGGCACAAUAGGUAAACAUAGAAGUAACUCCCAAAGGUCUAAUAAUAAACAGGUAAUAGGUACUACCUCAACUACUUCCCAUCCCACAGUUUAAUUAGAUCCUAAUCAUGCAAUGUUUGAGGAUUGAUCUAAUGCAAUAAAACUGGGUAGUAGGAGGUAUGAUCAAAGUGUUACUUGCCUUGCUGAUGAUCCGCGAAACCUAGAGAUUUGAAGUAACAGGCGCACACUCCGGGUAUUCUAUCGCAGACAAACAAACAAGCAUACAAUAAGUAUUCAUCUAAUGCAUGGGUAAAACUCAAAUGAGAGAUCUAACCAGAAGGUUCAACUUAAGAACUCCGGUUUGCAAAAAGAAUCAAAUCAAACGAAGCAACAAAAGUCAAACGGCAAAAGAAACAGGCUUCAUUUACUAUUCUGGAUCUAGGGCAAUAUUUACAGUGGCAAAAACUUGUUUAAGUUGGUUAAACGGAUAGAGGGUUUCGAGACAAAACUCCAGGCGCUUGAAUCGCCUGAUUCCGAUAAACGAGUGAAAAGUUAUACUAAAACGAAAAUAGGAUCAGGAAUCACGAUCAAAAAAUCACGGAUUAAAUCCGAGAAAAAGAAAAAAACGAUGAACGUUCGCUAGAAUGUACGAACAGACGAACGCUCGCUAAUUAAAUAAACCGGAAAAACCGAUCUAUUAAAAAAACCGAAACUAAAAAACGACAAAACCGUCGGAAAAACCGAACGGUUUUCUAAAAAAACCGGCGUCUAAAAAAAAUCUACCGGCAACUCCGGCGAGAUUCCGGCGGCGGCGGUGGGGCUCCGGCGGUCGGCGGUGGGGCUCCGNNNNNNNNNNNNNNNNNNNNNNNNNNNNNNNNNNNNNNNNNNNNNNNNNNNNNNNNNNNNNNNNNNNNNNNNNNNNNNNNNNNNNNNNNNNNNNNNNNNNNNNNNNNNNNNNNNNNNNNNNNNNNNNNNNNNNNNNNNNNNNNNNNNNNNNNNNNNNNNNNNNNNNNNNNNNNNNNNNNNNNNNNNNNNNNNNNNNNNNNNNNNNNNNNNNNNNNNNNNNNNNNNNNNNNNNNNNNNNNNNNNNNNNNNNNNNNNNNNNNNNNNNNNNNNNNNNNNNNNNUGCUCCGGCGGUCGUCGGCGGCGGCGGCGCAGGGCGGUCGGCGGCGGCUCGGGCUGUGGGGGUCGGGUGCCCCGGCUUAUAAAGGCCGGCCUCGGAGGAGUCCGGGCCUAACACGGCCCGUAGGUCGGUUUCGUUUUGUUUUUUUAAAAUUAUUCCACACAGAAAAACAAAUAAAAGAAAUACUAAACGGACUCCAAAAAUCCCGAAAUAAAUUUUCCCGGGCUUCUAAAAUCAAGCCGCAGAAGGUGAACAUUUAUUUGGGGCCUAAAUGCAAUUUUGAGAAACGCACAUUUUUCCUAAAUUCAAAUAAAAUACCGAAAAACUCCAAAAUAAAAUGUUAUUUGAUUUUAUUAUUAAAUCCUCAUUAUUUCUUUAUUUUGGGAAAGUCAUUUUAUUCCCUCUCUCAUAUUUGUGUAACAGAAAUAAUUGAUGAUAAAAUAAUUAAAAUCAAAUGAUCCUAUUCUGAAAAUUUGAGAAAAACUCAAAUAUGGAAAUAACGAAAUCCCCAACUCUCUCCGUGGGCCCUUGAGUUGCGUAGAAUUUCUAGGAUCAAACCAAAAGCAAAAUAAAAUAUGAUAUGCAAUGAUGAUCUAGUGUAUAACAUUCCAAAUUGAAAAUUUGGGAUGUUACAAAAAAUCAAGAAACAGAAAUAAAAUUGGGUUUCCUCCCAACAAGCACCAUCGUUUAACGCCCCUAGCUAGGCAUGAUGAUUUCAAUGAUGCUCACAUAAAAGAUAAGAAUUGAAACAUAAAGAGAGCAUCAUGAAGAAUAUGACUAGCACAUUUAAGUCUAACCCACUUCCUAUGCAUAGGGAUUUUGUUAGCAAACAACUUAUUGGAACAAUAAUCAACUAGCAUAGGUGGGCAGAACAAGCAUAACUUCAAAACUUUAAGCAGAUAGAGAGGAAACUUGAUAUUAUUGCAAUUCCUACAAGCAUAUGUUCCUCCCUCAUAAUAAUAUUCAGUAGCAUCAUGAAUGAAUUCAACAAUAUAACUAUCACAUAAAGCAUUCUUUUCAUGAUCUACAAGCAUAGAAAAUUUACUACUCUCCACAUAAGAAAAAUUCUUUUCAUUCGGAAUAGUGGGAGUAUCAUAAGAGACUUGAAUACUAUAAAUGGUUUCCACAUUAAAAGAGUAAUGUUCAGAAAAGGGGUAAUCAUAAUCAUGACAAGUUUUAUAAAUAUGAUCAUCACUACUUUUUAUAGCAUACGUAUCAUCACAAUAAUUAUCAUAAGUAGCAACUUUGUUCUCAUCAUAAUCGAUUGAAACCUCUUCCAAGAUAGUGGAAUCAUCACUAAAUAAAGUCAUGACCUCUCCAAAUCCACUUUCAUAAUUAUCGUAAGUAGGAGUCAUGCUAUCAUCAUCAUAAAUUUGCAUAUCAAAACUUGAGAGGCUAAAAAUAUCAUCUUCAUUAGACAUAGCAUCCCCAAGCUUGGGACAAACAUUAAUUUUAGCAAAUAUAUUCUCAAAAACAUCAUAUUCUUAAAACAUAGCAUCCCCAAGCUUGGGCCUUUUCAUAUCGUAAGCAUAAUCACUCUCAUCAUUAAUAGUAUGGAUAGCACCAAUAGUAUAGAAAUUAUCAUUUUCUUCCAAGCAAGUGCCAAAAAGAUUUUCAAGAUCAUAAGAAGUAUCAUUAUCUUCCCAAUCAUAAUCAUCACAACAAGCAAUAGGCAUAACGAGAUCAUCAUCAAGUGCGUCAUCUUCCACAAUUAUUUUGAUUCAUUUUCAUUAGGCACAACAAUAAUAGGAGCAACAUUAUUUGGGAGAGACUUUUUAUCUCUCUUACCUUUUCUUUUCUUCUUCUUCACCACAUUAUGUGUGGGUUUAAUCUUCAUUUUGGAGCUCCUUAUUGAUGAGAUUGGUUGAAUAGAAGGCUCCUCCUCGUUACCUGAUUCAUCAUAAGAAAUAAUAGGAGGAUACUUGGAAGUCUCUUCCCUUUCAUUAGUAUUCUCUUCAUCCUCUAUUUGUUUUCUUUUCCUUAUGUAAUUGGCAAUAUAAGGGUUUUCAAUGCAAUUCACCGCACAAUACAUAUAAAUUUCCUCUAGAUCAAAAUCAAGAAAUUUAUUGAGAUUAAAUUUUGGAAUACCCUCAGUUAUAUGUUUCAUUUCUUCAUAACCCAGAAGAAGACUAAGCUCUUUAUGAUGCUCAAGGGUAAUCAAGUUAUCACAAGUUUUGGACAUGACUUGAUCAUGGAACAAAUAGCAUUGGAGAUUUAAAUGACCAUGUUCAUUGCAAAGUUCACAAGGAUGGCGAUAAAUAUUGAAUCUUUCAGCACAAACACCUAUCCUUUCUUGCAACAAUUUAGUUUCUAAAUGCUUAUGCCUCUUGCAAUAUCUAUCUUACUUAUUUGGUGUGUACUUGCAAACCCAAUGCACUCCACAAAAAUUGACAUGUUUAUAGGAGACAUUUUCAUCAUAACUAGUGCAAUCAUCAUUAGUACUAUGGAUAUUCAAGGAGUUCAUACUAACAACAUUGCAAUCACGCUCAUCAUUCAAAGAUUUAGUGCCAAACAUUUUAAUGCAUUCUUCUUCUAACACUUUGGCACAAUUUUCCUUUUCAUCAUACUCAUGAAAGAUAUUAAAAAGAUGAAGCAUAUGAGGCAAACUUAAUUCCAUUUUUUGUAAUUUUCUUUUGUAAACUAAACUAGUGAUAAAACAAGAAACUAAAAGACUCGAUUGCAAGAUCUAAAGAUAUACCUUCAAGCGCUAACCUCCCCAGCAACGGCGCCAGAAAAGAGCUUAUGUCUACUACACAACCUUCUUCUUGUAGACGUUGUUGGGCCUCCAAGUGCAGAGGUUUGUGGGACAGUAGCAAAUUUCCCUCAAGUGGAUGACCUAAGGUUUAUCUCAAGCAACCCUGCAACCAAAUAACAAAGAGUCUCUUGUGUCCCCAACACACCCAAUACAAUGGUAAAUUGUAUAGGUGCACUAAUUCGGUGAAGAUAUGGUGAUACAAGUGGAAUAUGGAUGGUAGAUAAAUGUUUUUGUAAUCUGAAAAUAUAAAAACAGCAACGUAACUAAUGGUAAAAGUGAGCACAAAUGGUAUUGCAAUGCGUUGAAACAAGGCCUAGGGUUCAUACUUUCACUAGUGCAAGUCCUCUCAACAAUAAUAACAUAAUUGGAUCACAUAACUAUCCCUCAACAUGCAAUAAAGAGUCACUCCAAAGUCAUUAAUAGUGGAGAACAAACGAAGAGAUUAUGGUAGGGUACGAAACCACCUCAAAGUUAUUCUUUCCGAUCAAUCCGUUGGGCUAUUCCUAUAAGUGUCACAAACAUCCCUAGAGUUCGUACUAGAAUAACACCUUAAGACAAAAAUCAACCAAAACACUAAUGUCACCUAGAUACUCCAAUGUCACCUCAAGUAUCCGUGGGUAUGAUUAUAUGAUAUGCAUCACACAAUCUUAGAUUCAUCUAUUCAAACCAACACAAAGUACUUCAAAGAGUGCCCAAAGUUUCUACCGGAGAGUCAAGACGAAAACGUGUGCCAACCCCUAUGCAUAGAUUCCCAAGGUCACGGAACCCGCAAGUUGAUCACCAAAACAUACAUCAAGUGGAUCAAUAGAAUACCCCAUUGUCACCACGGCUAUCCCACACAAGGCAUACAUCAAGUGUUCGCAAAUCCUUAAAAACUCAAUCCGAUAAGAUAACUUCAAAGGGAAAACUCAAUUCAUUACAAGAGAGUAGAGGGGGAGAAACAUCAUAAGAUCCAACUAUAAUAGCAAAGCUCGCGAUAUAGCAAGAUCGUACCACCUCAAGAACACGAGAGAGAGAGAAAGAGAGAGAGAUCAAACACAUAGCUACUCGUACAUACCCUCAGCCCCGAGGGAGAACUACUCCCUCCUCGUCAUGGAGAGUACCGGGAUGAUGACACUACAAAAAAAGACACAUCCGUGACAUUUUGGGCCGAACAAAAAAUUUCUGUCAUACAUAUGACACUUCUAUGACGAUAAUUGUGACAAAACCCGGUAUCAUCAUAGAUGUGGUGGGCUCCUACUUCUAUGACAAAAAAUCAUGACAGAAAAUGGGCUUUUCGUCCUGGGCGGGACGGAGACGCAGCUGCAUGACAUUCUUUGGGCCAUCCAUGACGGAAAAAACCGUGGUAGAAGCGAGGGCGAGGAAAAUUUCGGGGAGUUCCCGGUUACGGUGGGAGGUCGGGGGCCGAGCGAUGUGUGUUUCACUCGUACACGUACGCGCGUGUGUGCGAGGCGUUGGCUCUAACUGAACCCGAGUGAGGCAUUGGGCUCUAACUGAACCCGAGCGAUUGCACUGCAGGCUACACGUUACUGAACCCGAGCGAUCGAUCGAUGGCUGUUAACUCAACCCGAUCGAGCGAUUCCUUCGCUACUGCUGCUAACUGAAGCCGAUCGAUUGGAUGAACAGUGAGCAUUGCGGGGGGGUUGGAUGAACAGGUGAGCGGUGGCGUUGCCUCUGGAUGAACAGGACCCCAUGGUGUGGAGAGCUGGAUGAACAGUAGACGAUGGAGGGGUGCCCGUGGAGGGGUGGUUGAACAGGACCCCGUGGUGUGGAGGGCUGGAUGAACAGUAGACGAUGGAGGGCUGGUUGAACAAUAGCCGGUGGAGUAGCGCGCGGUGGAGGCUGGAUGAACAUGAGCCCGUGGAGGCUGGAGGAGGUCGACGGUAGCCCGUGGAGGCUGGAGGAGGUCGACGGUAGCCCGUGGAGGCUGGAGGAGGUCGACGGUGGAGAUGAACAGUAUCCCGUGGAGUCCUGUUUUGCGGUACGCCACACCCCUCCCGAUCAACAGGACCCCAGUUUCGACCGUAGGAGGUCCGUUUCGUCCGUUUUGCGGUACGCCACACCCCUCCCAAUCAACAGGACCCCCGUUUCGACCAUAGGAGGUCCGUUUCGUCCGUUUUGCGGUACGCCACACCCCUCCUGAUCAACAGGACCCCCUGUUUCGACCGUAGGAGGUCCGUUUCCUCCGUUUUCCGGUACGCCACAGCCCUCCCGAUCAACAUGACCCCUGUUUCGACCGUAGGAGGUCUGUUCCCUCCGUUUUGCAGUACGCCACACUCCUCCCGAUCAACAGGACCCCCGUUUCGAUCGUAGGAGGUCUGUUCCCUCCGCUUUGCGGUACGCCACACCCCUCCCCAUGAACACGACGCAUUACGUUGCCUCCCCAUGAACACGACGCAUUCCGUUGCCUCCCCAUGAACAUGACGACGACAAUGUUUCUCCGUUCCGAUCCAGCCAUGUACACGAGCCCUCGCCGUACGUAUGCGCAAGUAGGCGUUCGAGACCCUGCCCGUAUGUACGUAUGUGGCCGUAUUUUCUUUCUUGCACCCUGGCCGUUGUACGUACGUGUACAUGCUAUGUGCGCGCCUCUACUACGACACAUACGCGUGUUGGAAAUAUGCCCUAGAGGCAAUAAUAAAAGCAUUAUUAUUAUAUUUCCUUGUUCAUGAUAAUUGUCUUUAUUCAUGCUAUAAUUGUGUUAUCUGGAAAUCGUAAUACAUGUGUGAAUAAUAGACACCAACAUGUCCCUAGUAAGCCUCUAGUUGACUAGCUCGUUGAUCAACAGAUAGUCAUGGUUUCCUGACUAUGGACAUUGGAUGUCAUUGAUAACGAGAUCACAUCAUUAGGAGAAUGAUGUGAUGGACAAGACCCAAUCCUAAACAUAGCACAAGAUCGUAUAGUUCGGUUGCUAGAGUUUUCCAAUGUCAAGUAUCUUUUCCUUAGACCAUGAGAUCGUGUAACUCCCGGAUACCGUAGGAGUGCUUUGGGUGUACCAAACAUCACAACGUAACUGGGUGACUAUAAAGGUGUACUACGGGUAUCUCCAAAAGUGAAUGUUGGGUUGACACGGAUCAAGACUGGGAUUUGUCGCUCCGUAUGACGGAGAGGUAUCACUGGGCCCACUCGGUAAUGCAUCAUCAUAAUGAGCUCAAAGUGACCAAGUGUCUGGUCACGGGAUCAUGCAUUACGGUACGAGUAAAGUUACUUGCCGGUAAUGAGAUUGAACGAGGUAUUGGGAUACCGACGAUCGGAUCUCGGGCAAGUAACAUACCGAUUGACAAAGGGAAUUGUAUACGGGGUUGCUUGAAUCCUCGACAUCGUGGUUCAUCCGAUGAGAUCAUCGAGGAGCAUGUGGGAGCCAACAUGGGUAUCCAGAUCCUACUGUUGGUUAUUGACUGGAGAGCGAUCUCGGUCAUGUCUACAUGUCUCCCGAACCCGUAGGGUCUACACACUUAAGGUUCGGUGACGCUAGGGUUGUAGGGAUAUGUAUAUGCAGUAACCCGAAUGUUGUUCGGAGUCCCGGAUGAUAUCCUGGACGUCACGAGGAGUUCCGGAAUGGUCCAGAGGUGAAGAAUUAUAUAUAGGAAGUGCUAUUUCGGCCAUCGGGACAAGUUUCGGGGUCACCGGUAUUGUACCGGGACCACCGGAAGGGUCCCGGGGGUCCACCGGGUGGGGCCACCUAUCCCGGAGGGUCCCAUGGGCUGAAGUAGGAAGGGAUCCAGCCCAAAGUGGGCUGGGCCGCCACUUCCCCCUAGGGCCCAUGCGCCUAGGGUAGGGGGAAACCCUAAGGAAGAGUCCCAAAAGGGGAAGGCACCUCUUAGGUGCCUUGGGGAGGAGGGAUUCCUCCCUUGGCCGCCGCCCCCCUAGGAGAUUGGAUCUCCUAGGGCCGGCGCCCCCCUAGGCCCCCCUAUAUAUAGUGGGGGAGAUGGAGGACUUCUUACCCACGCCUUUGGUGCCUCCCUCUCCCUCUCCAACACAUCCUCCUCCUCCAUAGUGCUUGGCGAAGCCCUGCCGGAGUAUUGCAGCCCCAUCACCACCACGCCGUCGUGCUGCUGCUGGAGCCAUCUUCCUCAACCUCUCCUUCCCCUUGCUGGAUCAAGAAGAAGGAGACGUUACGCUGACCGUACGUGUGUUGAACGCGGAGGUGCCAUCCGUUCGGCGCUAGGAUCUCCGGUGAUUUGGAUCACGUCGAGUACGCCUUCCUCAUCCCCGUUCUUUGAACGCUUCCGCGCGUGAUCUACAAAGGUAUGUAGAUGCAUUCCAAUCACUCAUUGCUAGAUGAACUCCUAGAUGGAUCUUGGUGAAACCGUAGGAAAUUUUUUGUUUUCUGCAACGUUCCCCAACAGUGGCAUCAUGAGCUAGGUCUUUGCGUAGUUAUCUUGCAUGAGUAGAACACAAUUUUUUGUGGGCGCUGAUGUUGUCAACUUUCUUGCCGCUACUAGUCUUAUCUUGCUUCAAUGGUAUUGUGGGAUGAAGCGGCCCGGACCAACCUUACACGUACGCUUACGUGAGACCGGUUCCACCGACUAACAUGCACAAGUUGCAUAAAGGUGGCUGGCGGGUGUCUGUCUCUCCCACUUUAGUUGGAGCAGAUUCAAUGAAAAGGGUCCUUAUGAAGGGUAAAUAGAAGUUGACAAAUCACGUUGUGGCUUUCACGUAGGUAAGAAAACGUUCUUGCUAGAACCCUACUUCAGCCACGUAAAACUUGCAACAACAAUUAGAGGACGUCUAACUUGUUUUUGCAGCAGGUGCUUUGUGAUAUGAUAUGGCCAAAGUUGUGAUGAAUGAUGAAUGAUAUAUAUGUGAUGUAUGAGAUGUUCAUGCUAUUGUAAUAGGAAUCACGACUUGCAUGUCGAUGAGUAUGACAACCGGCAGGAGCCAUAGGAGUUGUCUUUAUUUUUGUAUGACCUGCGUGUCAUUGAGAAACGCCAUGUAAAUUACUUUACUUUAUUGCUAAACGCGUUAGCCAUAGUAGUAGAAGUAAUAGUUGGUGAGCAACUUCAUGGAGACACAAUGAUGGAUAUCAUGAUGAUGGAGAUCAUGGUGUCAUGCCGGUGACAAGAUGAUCAUGGAGCCCCAAGAUGGAGAUCAAAGGAGCUAUGUGAUAUUGUCCAUAUCAUGUCACUUUUAUUAUUUGAUUGCAUGUGAUGUUUAUCAUAUUUAUGCAUCUUGUUUACUUAGAACGACGGUAGUAAAUAAGAUGAUCCCUCAUAAUAAUUUCAAGAAAGUGUUCCCCCUAACUGUGCACCGUUGCGACAGUUCGUUGUUUCGAAGCACCACGUGAUGAUCAGGUGUGAUAGAUUCUAACGUUCACAUACAACGGGUGUAAGACAGAUUUACACAUGCAAAACACUUAGGUUGACUUGACGAGCCUAGCAUGUACAGACAUGGCCUCGGAACACAAAAGACCGAAAGGUCGAGCAUGAGUCGUAUAGAAGAUAUGAUCAACAUGAAGAUGUUCACCGACGUUGACUAGUCCGUCUCACGUGAUGAUCGGACACGGCCUAGUUAACUCGGAUCAUGUUAUCCUUAGAUGACUGGAGGGAUGCCUAUGUAAGUGGGAGUUCAUUGAAUAAUUUGAUUAGAUGAACUUAAUUAUCAUGAACUUAGUCUAAAAUGUUUACAAUAUGUCUUGUAGAUCAAAUGGCCAACGUAGUCCUCAACUUCAACGCGUUCCUAGAGAAAACCAAGCUGAAAGACGAUGGCAGCAACUACACGGACUGGGUCCGGAACCUGAGGAUCAUCCUCAUAGCUGCCAAGAAAGAUUAUGUCCUACAAGCACCGCUGGGUGACGCACAUGUUCUCCCUGCAGAACAAGACAUUAUGAACGCUUGGCAGGCACGUACCGAUGACUACUCCCUCGUUUAGUGCGGCAUGCUUUAUAGCUUAGAGCCGGGGCUCCAAAAGCGUUUUGAGAGACACGGAGCAUAUGAGAUGUUCGAAGAGCUGAAAAUGGUUUUCCAAGCUCAUGCCCGGGUCGAGAGAUAUGAAGUCUCCGACAAAUUCUUCAGCUGUAAGAUGGAGGAAAAUAGUUCUGUCAGUGAGCACAUACUCACAAUGUCUGGGUUACAUAACCACUUGACUCAGCUGGGAGUUAAUCUCCCGGAUGACGCGGUCAUUGACAGAAUCCUUCAGUCGCUUCCACCGAGCUACAAGAGCUUUGUGAUGAACUUCAAUAUGCAGGGGAUGGAAAAGACCAUUCCUGAAGUAUUUGCAAUGCUGAAAUUAGCAGAGGUAGAAGUCAAAAAGGAACAUCAAGUGUUGAUGGUGAAUAAAACCACUAAGUUCAAGAAAGGCAAGGGUAAGAAAACCUUCAAGAAAGACGGCAAGGGAGUUGCCGCGCCCGGCAAGCAAGCUGCCAGGAAGAAGCCAAAGAAUGGACCCAAGCCCGAGACUGAGUGCUUUUAUUGCAAGGAAAGUGGUCACUGGAAGCGGAACUGCCCCAAAUACUUAGUGGACAAGAAGGCCGGCAAAACGAAAGGUAUAUGUGAUAUACAUGUAAUUGAUGUGUACCUUACCAGUACUCGUAGUAGCUCCUGGGUAUUUGAUACCGGUGCGGUUGCUCACAUUUGUAACUCAAAACAGGAGCUGCGGAAUAAGCGGAGACUGGCGAAGGACGAGGUGAUGAUGCGCGUUGGAAAUGGUUCCAAGGUCGAUGUGAUCGCCGUCGGCAUGGUACCUCUACAUUUACCUACGGGAUUAGUUUUGAACCUCAAUAAUUGUUAUUUAGUGCCAAGUUUGAGCAUGAACAUUGUAUCAGGAUCUUGUUUAAUUCGAGAUGGCUACUCAUUUAAAUCCGAGAAUAAUGGUUGUUCUAUUUAUAUGAGAGAUAUGUUUUAUGGUCAUGCUCCGAUGGUGAAUGGUUUAUUCUUAAUGAAUCUCGAGCGUAAUGCUACACAUGUUCAUAGUGUGAGUAAAAAAAGAUGUAAGAUUGAUAAUGAUAGUCCCACAUACUUGUGGCACUGCCGCCUUGGUCACAUAGGUGUCAAACGCAUGAAGAAGCUCCAUGCUGAUGGUCUUUUAGAGUCUCUUGAUUACGAAUCAUUUGACACGUGCGAACCAUGCCUCAUGGGUAAAAUGACCAAGACUCCGUUCUCAGGAACAAUGGAGCGAGCAACCAACUUAUUGGAAAUCAUACAUACUGAUGUGUGCGGUCCAAUGAGUGUUGAGGCUCGCGGUGGCUAUUGUUAUGUUCUCACCCUCACUGAUGCCUUGAGUAGAUAUGGGUAUGUCUACUUAAUGAAACACAAGUCUGAGACCUUUGAAAAGUUCAAGGAAUUUCAGAGUGAGGUUGAGAAUCAACGUGACAGGAAAAUCAAGUUCCUGCGAUCAGAUCGUGGAGGAGAAUACUUGAGUCAUGAGUUUGGCACACACUUAAGAAAAUGUGGAAUAGUUUCACAACUCACGCCGCCUGGAACACCUCAGCGUAAUGGUGUGUCCGAACGUCAUAAUCGCACUCUAUUAGAUAUGGUGUGAUCUAUGAUGUCUCUUGCCUAUUUACCGCUAUCUUUUUGGGGGUAUGCUUUAGAGACUGCCGCAUUCACUUUAAAUAGGGCUCCGUCGAAAUCCGUUGAGACGACACCGUAUGAAUUAUGGUUUGGGAAGAAACCUAAGCUGUCGUUUCUAAAAGCUUGGGGAUGCGAUGCUUAUGUCAAGAAACUUCAACCUGAAAAGCUCAAACCCAAGUCGGAGAAAUGUGUCUUCAUAGGAUACCCUAAAGAAACUAUUGGGUAUACCUUCUACCUCAGAUCCGAAGGCAAGAUCUUUGUUUCCAAGAAUGGAUCCUUUCUAGAGAAGGAGUUUCUCUCGAAAGAAGUAAGUGGGAGGAAAGUAGAACUUGAUGAAGUAUUACCUCUUGAACCGGAAAAUGGCGCAACUCAAGAAAAUGUUCCUAAGGUGCCUGCACCGACUAGAGAGGAAGUUAAUGAUGAUGAUCAUGAUACUUCUGAUCAAGCUCCUACUGAAAUUCGAAGGUCCACAAGGACACGUUCUGCACCAGAUUGGUACGGCAACCCUGUCUUGGAAAUCAUGUUGUUAGACAAUGGUGAACCUUCGAACUAUGAAGAAGCGAUGGCGGGCCCGGAUUCUGACAAAUGGCUGGAAGCCAUGAAAUCCGAGAUAGGAUCCAUGUAUGAAAACGAAGUAUGGACUUUGACUGACUUGCCCAUAGAGCGGCGAGCCAUAGAAAAUAAAUGGAUCUUUAAGAAGAAGACAGACGCGGAUGGUAAUGUGACCAUCUAUAAAACUCGGCUUGUCGCUAAGGGUUAUCGACAAGUUCAAGGGGUUGACUACGAUGAGACUUUCUCACCGGUAGCGAAGCUAAAGUCCGUCCGAAUCAUGUUAGUAAUUGCCGCAUUCUAUGAUUAUGAGAUAUGGCAAAUGGACAUCAAAACGGCAUUCCUUAAUGGUUUCCUUAAGGAAGAAUUGUAUAUGAUGCAGCCGGAGGGUUUUGUCGAUCCUAAGUAUGCUGACAAGGUAUGCAAGCUCCAACGCUCGAUUUAUGGGCUGGUGCAAGCAUCUCGGAGUUGGAACAUUCGCUUUGAUGAGAUGAUCAAAGCGUUUGGGUUCACGCAGACUUAUGGAGAAGCCUGCGUUUACAAGAAAGUCAGUGGGAGCUCUGUAGCAUUUCUCAUAUUAUAUGUAGAGCUUUUGGACAGCAUUAAGGCCUACUUGAAUAAGAGUUUUUCAAUGAAGGACCUUGGAGAAGCUGCUUAUAUAUUAGGCAUCAAGAUCUAUAGAGACAGAUCAAGACGCCUCAUAGGUCUUUCACAAAGCACAUACCUUGAUAAGAUAUUGAAGAAGUUCAAUAUGGAUCAGUCUAAGAAGGGGUUCUUGCCUGUGUUGCAAGGUGUGAAAUUGAGCUCAGCUCAAUGUCCGACCACGGCAGAAGAUAUAGAAGAGACGAGUGUCAUCCCCUAUGCCUCAGCCAUAGGUUCUAUUAUGUAUGCCAUGCUGUGUACCAGACCUGAUGUAAACCUUGCCAUAAGUUUGGUAGGUAGGUACCAAAGUAAUCCCGGCAAGGAACACUGGACAGCGGUCAAGAAUAUCCUGAAGCACCUGAAAAAGACUAAGGAAAUGUUUCUCGUCUAUGGAGGUGACGAAGAGCUCGUCGUAAAGGGUUACGUCGACGCUAGCUUCGACACAGAUCUGGAUGACUCAAAGUCACAAACCGGAUACGUGUAUAUUUUGAAUGGUGGGGCAGUAAGCUGAUGCAGUUGCAAGCAGAGCGUCGUGGCGGGAUCUACAUGUGAAGCGGAGUACAUGGCAGCCUCGGAGGCAGCGCAUGAAGCAAUUUGGGUGAAGAAGUUCAUCACCGACCUAGGAGUCAUACCCAAUGCGUCGGGGCCGAUCAAGCUCUUCUGUGACAACACUGGAGCUAUUGCACUUGCAAAGGAGCCCAGGUUUCACAAGAAGACUAGGCACAUCAAGCGUCGCUUCAACUCCAUUCAUGAAAAUGUUCAAGAUGGAGACAUAGGUAUUUGUAAAGUACAUACGGACCUGAAUGUAGCAGAUCCGUUGACUAAACCUCUCCCGAGCAAAACAUGAUCAACACCAGAAUUCCAUGGGUGUUCGAUUCAUCACAAUGUAACUAGAUUAUUGACUCUGGUGCAAGUGGGAGACUGUUGGAAAUAUGCCCUAGAGGCAAUAAUAAAAGCAUUAUUAUUAUAUUUCCUUGUUCAUGAUAAUUGUCUUUAUUCAUGCUAUAAUUGUGCUAUCCGGAAAUCGUAAUACAUGUGUGAAUAAUAGACACCAACAUGUCCCUAGUAAGCCUCUAGUUGACUAGCUCGUUGAUCAACAGAUAGUCAUGGUUUCCUGACUAUGGACAUUGGAUGUCAUUGAUAACGAGAUCACAUCAUUAGGAGAAUGAUGUGAUGGACAAGACCCAAUCCUAAACAUAGCACAAGAUCGUAUAGUUCGGUUGCUAGAGUUUUCCAAUGUCAAGUAUCUUUUCCUUAGACCAUGAGAUCGUGUAACUCCCGGAUACCGUAGGAGUGCUUUGGGUGUACCAAACGUCACAACGCAACUGGGUGACUAUAAAGGUGUACUACGGGUAUCUCUGAAAGUGUCUGUUGGGUUGACACAGAUCAAGAAUGGGAUUUGUCGCUCCGUUUGAUGGAGAGGUAUCACUGGGCCCACUCGGUAAUGCAUCAUCACAAUGAGCUCAAAGUGACCAAGUGUCUGGUCACGGUAUCAUGCAUUACGGUACGAGUAAAGUGACUUGCCGGUAACGAGAUUGAACGAGGUAUUGGGAUACCGACGAUCGGAUCUCGGGCAAGUAACAUACCGAUUGACAAAGGGAAUUGUAUACGGGGUUGCUUGAAUCCUCGACAUCGUGGUUCAUCCGAUGAGAUCAUCGAGGAGCAUGUGGGAGCCAACAUGGGUAUCCAGAUCCCGCUGUUGGUUAUUGACCGGAGAGCGAUCUCGGUCAUGUCUACAUGUCUCCCGAACCCGUAGGGUCUACACACUUAAGGUUCGGUGACGCUAGGGUUGUAGGGAUAUGUAUAUGCAGUAACCCGAAUGUUGUUCGGAGUCCCGGAUGAGAUCCCGGACGUCACGAGGAGUUCCGGAAUGGUCCAGAGGUGAAGAAUUAUAUAUAGGAAGUGCUAUUUCGGCCAUCGGGACAAGUUUCGGGGUCACCGGUAUUGUACCGGGACCACCGGAAGGGUCCCGGGGGUCCACCGGGUGGGGACACCUAUCCCGGAGGGUCCCAUGGGCUGAAGUAGGAAGGGAUCCAGCCCAAAGUGGGCUGGGGCGCCACUUCCCCCUAGGGCCCAUGCGCCUAGGGUGGGGGGGAAACCCUAAGGAAGAGUCCCAAAAGGGGAAGGCACCUCCUAGGUGCCUUGGGGAGGAGGGAUUCCUCCCUUGGUCGCCGCCCCCCUAGGAGAUUGGAUCUCCUAGGGCUGGCGCCCCCCCCCCUAGGCCCCCCUAUAUAUAGUGAGGGAGAUGGAGGACUUCUUACCCACGCCUUUGGUGCCUCCCUCUCCCUCUCCAACACAUCCUCCUCCUCCAUAGUGCUUGGCGAAGCCCUGCCGGAGUACUGCAGCCCCAUCACCACCACGCCGUUGUGCUGCUGCUGGAGCCAUCUUCCUCAACCUCUCCUUCCCCUUGCUGGAUCAAGAAGAAGGAGACGUUACGCUGACCGUACGUGUGUUGAACGCGGAGGUGCCGUCCGUUCGGCACUAGGAUCUCCGGUGAUUUGGAUCACGUCGAGUACGCCUUCCUCAUCCCCGUUCUUUGAACGCUUCCGCGCGUGAUCUACAAAGGUAUGUAGAUGCAAUCCGAUCACUCGUUGCUAGAUGAACUCCUAGAUGGAUGUUGGUGAAACCGUAGGAAAUUUUUUGUUUUCUGCAACGUUCCCCAACAACGCACCUCUACUACGACACGUGCACGCCUCUACAUCGACCAGUAUAUAUGUACGUACACGUCCGCGACCAGAAUGACAAUGCUACGUAUGCUUCGACCAGGUGGGUCCCGACUGUUAGGCACUUCCUUGCCUGCAAAGAUGUAGCUGGUGGGUCCCAGCAGUCAGGGGGUGAAUUGUUUUGGUUUUUUUUGUCCGGAUGCACUUCCUUGUGUGCGAAGAUGUAGCUGGUGGGUCCCAGCAGUCAAGGGGGCGGAUCAUUUUUUUUGCCCGGACGCACUUCCUUGCAUGCGAAGGUGUAGCUGGUGGGUCCCAGCAGUCAGGGGAAAACAUUUUUUUCGUGAAAUACGGUGGCCCGUCCGGUGGGUCCCUGUUGUCAGGUGGAGGAAUCAUUAUUUUCCAUGUAAUAAAGAGGCACUUCCUUGCUGCCACCGUGGACCCAGCUGUCAGCCUCUCCACGUACAGUCCACGUCCGAUUGAAGUCGUUCCUUGACCAUGUUGACCACGCCGCGCCGAGAGCACCAGGGCGGUGGAUGACGGCGAGGCCUAGGAAGGGGACGACGCGGAGCAGGUGAAGACGCCGCAGUGGAUGCCCACCCGGAGAAGAGUAUGAGGGUUCACUCGUUCGACUGCGGUGUGAGGCUGCCGUCGCCGCAGGGCCUGGCCAGCGGUGGGAAUAGUAGGGGGCGGUGAGGCCUCCGCGGCAACAUAGCUGGCCACGGGAAGCAGGAGCAGGCGGCACGACCGGCGCUUCUUUGGGUGGCUGGAGCAAGAAGACCAGAGGUUUAAGAAGCACUACGGCCGUUGGAUGGACAACGUACAGUCACUGGAGCUAGAAUCGUUCAUAUUGACUAAGUUGACAAAGCCCUCUGUCCCCGUCAACUUAGUAGGCCCACAAGUCAGCCUCCCACCAAGGUGGGUCCCAGCUAGCAGGGGGAUUAUUCAUUUUUUGUGUGUGAUAAGGAGGCACUUCCGGUGGGUCUGAGCUGAUAGCGGGAGGAACAUUUUUUUCGCGAAAUACGGUGGCCCGUCCGGUGGGUCCCAGCAGUCAGGGGGGAAACGUUUUUUUCGUUAAAUAAGGUGUCCCGUCCGGUGGGUCCCCGCUGUCAGGUGGAGGAAUAAUUAUUUUGCGCGUAAUAAGGAGGCAAUUCCUUGCAGCCGCUGUGGACCCAGCUGUCAGCCUCUCCACGUACAGUACUCUUCCGAUGAAAGUCGGUCGUUGACCACGUUGACCACGCCGCGCCGAGAGCACCAGGGCAGUGGACGACGGUGAGGCCUAGGAAGGGGACGACGCGGAGCCAGGGAAGACGCAAUAGUGGAAGCCCGCGCGGAGACCAGUACGAGGGUUCACUGGUUCGGCUGCGGUGUGAGGCUACCGUCGCCGCAGAAUAACAGGGGGUGUGGGUGAGUGGAGGGAUGGCCUGGCCAGCGGUGGGAGUAUUAUGGGGGCGGUGAGGCCUCCGCGGCAGCACAGCCGGCCACGGGAGGCAGGAGCAGGCAGCAUGACCGGCGCUGCUUUGGGCGGCUGGACCAAGAAGACCAGAGGUUGAAGAAGCACUACGGCCUUUGGAUGGACAUCGUACGGUCACUGAAGCUAGAAUCGUUUAUAUUGUUAACAAAGCCUUGGUACGCUCCAACUUAGUAGGCCCACAGGUCAGCCUCCGAAACGGUGCGCCCCAGAUGUCAGGGGGAGGAAUCAUUUUUGGGCGGCCGAAGCUAAGAAUAUCCGAGAUUGAAGAAGAAGCACGACAUCCGUUGGAUAGACAUCCAACGGCCACUGCUGCUAGAACCGUGUGUUGACUAUAAUAAGUUGACAAAGCCUUGCAUACGCGUCAACUUAUUUUUUUAGGGGACGCAUCACUUAGUAGGCCCACAAGUGUGUGGGAGAGAACUUAUAGCCCAUUUGUGUUUUGUAAGAAUGUACAUCCCAUUUUUGAAUUCUAAUGGAAUUUACAACAGCCCAUUUAUAGUUUGUUAAAAGUACAGCCCAUUUUCUAGCUAGGACAAUGAUUAAUAAUUUGAACCAACCGUUGAAGACAGAAUUCAAUAAAAAUUUCCCACAUUUUGAUAGGAUCCGAAAUAUUUUUAUCCCGAAAUUUCUAGUCAGAUUAAAUAUAAAUUUGUAUUACGUAAAAAUCCAACGAAACAUUGCACACACAACAAUGAAAAUUUAAGAUUUUCAAAAUCCAUAAAUAAUAUUUUAUAAACUAAUUUCGUGUUUGGUGCAUUUUUUAUAGUUACUGCCCAAUUUUUAUAAUUACAUCCCAUUUAUUAUUUUUUAAAGCCCAUUUUCCUGUUAAGCCUAAUGCAUCCCUCCUAGGAAAGAUUUGCAGCCCAGCGGGGCGGAGAAUAACAAGUUGAUCUUGCCUGGGUAUUCCUCGAAAAGACGUAUAGCUGGGCUAGCCAUUUUCAUCUUGAAAAAAUUAGUAUCUAGGCUGGAUAUCUGGCCUGGGCUAGACGGGCCAUAGCCCGCCCAGUUAAUACCUUGCUCUCCUCUGAACAACAACGAAAUCAUCUUCAAGAAAAAAACUCUGCAGUGCUCAUGCCUCAAAAACACAAAUACUGCUCGAGCUGCUUGGUCCCAGCUGUCGGCCGCACCUUGUGCAAUUCUCUCGUUUAUAUUGACUACAUAGGUUGACAAUGGUGUGGGACCGUGAUGUCAGGAAACCAGGAGAAAGCAAAAAAAAUAUAGUUGUACAUAAUAAGGAGGCACUUGCGUACGUACGGCUAUGGCCCUAGUGGGUCCCUAGUGUCAUCCAGUCAAAAUAAAGUCAUCUCCUGAAUCCUCAUAUUCGCUGACGAUGUUAACAAUGCUCGGCGCCACAGCGAGCGCAACAACUCGAAGGACAACGGAGAGGGCCUCGCGGGCCCUAGGGAUGAUCUGAUACAGCGCCUGCUGCUCAUUCAGGAAGCCAGGAUCAUCGGACACCUAUGAGCACCUUCGAGAAACUGAGACGGCAUGAAACGGUAAGGCCACGCUUGGGAGCUCUGGUUUAUUUCAAACUUGUAUUAACAUACAAGUGUAAUUUACUCGUCAUCGGAAACAACGCGUAAAAUACAGGUGUAAUGAAACCGAGGGCUCGAGGUCUGUAAGUAAAACAUGCGGGUUACGCGUGUAAUUUGAGAGACCAGUGUAUAUUUUAUGAGCACUGCUAUAUGGACGACAUUACCAGACGAUACAUGCACGACGUGCAUAUCAUGCCAUCCAUGGGCAAGGCGGAAACAGCAGCCAACAGCUGGAUUAGCAAUCGUCCGAGUGUCGUUCAGCGUUUUCAUCGUGUGAAGUACUUCCGAUAUUUUACUAGUCGAAAUCGACCAACCAAGCGCCUUCACCUGAGACCAUCUGCUUUAAUUUACAAGCAUCAGUUUUACAAGCGGUUUUGGUUGGAAAACGAUGAUCUAAUCACGGCCUAAUAUCAUGAGUUGGUCGGAAGAUCAUAUGGUUUCACGUCUAACCUACCCGACUUGUCGUAUAGGCUAUGAAUGAAGCAUCACAUGAUGAACUUCUUAAGCAUGGAAACAAUAGAAGAGGAUGAUCUUCUUAACAAACAAAUCACUGGCAUUAGAUCGACAUGCAAAACAAUACGAAGCAUUAUUCUCAGGAGGCACAGUGAACAGCUCAUGAUGCCGCAUGCCACAACAUUCCAAGCUCAACUUUGCAAUCAAACACAAGGCCUGGCAUUACAUAGACAAUAUUCAGAACAAACUCUUAAUACAGGAAUAUCUCAGCAAAGUAACUAUUUACUUCUAAACUGAACACAGGAAUAGGAAAAAACACUCGAUGCUGCUCACAGCAAGGGCGUCCCACUCAAAAGUAUCAAAUGCAUGUCUUCUGGCUAACAUCAAUGAGCAAAUUUUGACAAGGUUUUCCAAUUCCAAUAUAUUAAAGUAACAUCUUCUUGCUAACAUCAAUGAUUAAACUUUGACAAGCUUUUCCCAUUCAAAAUAUGUAAUGCCUAUGAUCGUGGAGUCCUGUUGUAGCUUCUUGUACUUGUUUGGGCACUUUUUGCCCAGGGCACUCCACAUGUUGUUAAAUUGCCAAUGGUCUCUGUAGACUAGUCAUGUCACCGGUGUCUAAUAAUACUAUGUAAAGCUUCUCGGUCAUUCCUUCUGUAAUGUAGCGCAAACAGUGACUGCUUCUUUCUGCAAAGUGGAACGACCAACUGGACCCAGUAAUGCAGCAGAUUGCCUUACACAUUGGCUCAUUUUGUGAAGUUCAACUAAAAUCAAAGUCGGAAUAAAACCGAGCUUUAAUUUUGAUAUCUCUGUAAGCAACAAUAGGUUUAAGGGAAACAAUUACAUAGAAAUAACGGUUGAUGACUUGUACUCCCAGAAGAAAAGCAUCUACUAAUCUACUUUAUCUUAAUGGGAAACAAAGCAGGAUAGUAGCAAUUCUCCAUCAGUGCGAUUCAUUCAUAUUGACUGAGACAUUAUCUUAACAAUGCCUUGUUUCAACAUGUAUAAAGAACGACAAAACAGAAAAGUACCAUUCCUAAAACAAUGCAACUUAUUCAUUUUAACAGAGACAUUAUCUUAACAAUACCUUGGUUAAACAUGUAGAAAGAACUACAAAGCAGGAUAGUACCAUUCCUAACAAGUGUUGCAGUUUUGAACUAAGAUUUAGUAGUUAAUUAAUUCUGAGAGUGGCAUUGCUUAAUUUUACCAGCGGCAUUAGAUUAACGAAAAGCAUAAAUAGUUCCAGGGGAGAGUGGGAGCAACAACAGUAUGUGCUUCCAUCUACUUAUAAAGGGGGUGAUGUAGAGUUUGUUGUAACAAAGCAACAAGCAUCAUGUCUGGGUUGGUCCCAUUUUUGUUCACUACUUAAUGGGAAAAGACAGCAAUACAAUAGGUUCAAUUCAACAUUUAUUUAAAACAGUACCAAUACAAGUAGCACAACAUCUCAAAGCACACUGCACAAUCAUCUGGAUGAAGGCCUGUACUGACCUUUCAUGAGACGGACAAGAUAAAAUACAAAUCUGCCAACACGAAUAGGAAAUCCAAUCUCGUUUUGUGCAGUUGCACUGAAAUCAAGAAAAGUGUUUCGCGUAGCGAAGCAAAAUGUCGCAAUAGCAACAAGUUGAAUAAGUAUCCCUGUUUAAACAAAGGCAAAAAAGGAAUCAAUUACUGGCUAAUAAAGGAGGAUGAAACAUGCGGCCACAAAAAUGGUAAUCCUGCCAAUCCCUAACAAGUGUUGCAGUUUUGAAAUAAGAUUCAGUAGUUAAUUCUGAGAGUGGCAUCAAUUACUGGCUUAUAAAGGGGGUAAUGUUGAAUUUGUUGUAACAAAGCAACAAGCAUCAUGUCUAGGUUGGUCCCAUUUUUGUUCACUACACUAGUAGAAAAGGGGGCAACGGUCCAGGCUGGGUCAGCCCAUUAGUCCCGGUUCAGUCUAGAACCGGGACCCAUGGGGGCAUUGGACCCGGUUCGUGAGCCUAGGGGGCCGGCCGGGCCACGUGGGCCAUUGGUCCCGGUUCGUCUGGACCUCUUGGUCCCGGUUGGAGGGACGAACCGGGACCAAUGGCCUCGCUCCUAGCCCACCACCAUUGGUCCCGGUUGGUGGCUUGAACCGGGACCAAAGGCUCCCCUUUAGUCCCGGUUCAUGCCACCAACCGGGACCAAUGAGGUGCCUAUAUAUACCCCCUCGCGUAAGAGCAGAGCACACUGCUUUGUUUUUUUCUGGCCGAGGGGGAGAGGGCUUGGUGGUGCUCUAGCUCACCUCCUAUGCACACAAGGUGUUCGAUGGAAUGCCCGAGCCACACUACUUAAGCUUUCUCCUCUCCAAGCUCGACCUUCAAGCUCCAUUUUCCUCAAUAUCUGUCUAGGUUUAGCGGUCCGUCACGCCCCGUCCCCGUCUUCACCGCCGUCGAUCACCCACGCUGAGCUCAUCGUCGGCACCACCAUGGUGAGCCUCUUGUUCUUAUCUUCUUUUUGAAAGGAAAAAAAAUUCUUACUUGUAUGUUUACAUAGAUACUUGUAUUAUUUUCUUACUUUUAUUAUUGCAUCUUAUAUAGUGCAAUGGUUUUGGUAUCCGCCCCCGUCGGCCCUCGUCCUGUCUAUGAUUCGGAUGUGGUAUAUAUAUUAUCUUUAUAACUAUUGGUUCAUUUAUUGUUUAUGAAAAUUAUGCCGACCAACGUAACAUAGAUUUUAUUUAUGUAGGAUGUAUGUGAAUCGGAAAUUCCAACCGACCCUAUUGUCGAGAGGUUAAAUUUACUUGAAGAAGAAAACAAUUUUUUGAAGGAAAAAAUAAAAAAUAUUGAGGAGGAGAAUAUGAUAUUGGAGUUGCAUGUUGCGGAUGUCGUCGAUGAUCACAAGAUCAAGAUGGAUGCAAUGCACUUGAAGAUUAGAAAGAUUAGAAAAUAUGCCAUUCAUACCGAGGCUUGGUAUCAUUAUGCUGUUGGAUCAAUUGUUACCUUGGUUGCGAUUAUAAUCGCAUUUGUUUUCGCAUUGAAAUGUUUUACAUAGUUUCAAUGUAUGGUUUAAUUAAUUAGAUGCUCUGGAGAGCUAUAUGUUGUUAGAUGAGAACUAUGUAUGUACUUUGGUUUUAAUGUGAUGAUGAACUUCUAUUAAUUUGGACACUUAAUUAUAUAUAACGCACGCAGAUGAACCGGCAAUGGAUGUACGCUGACAGACACACCUCCGAGUACAUUAAGGGCGUGCAUGAGUUUCUCGAUGCGGCUGAGGCAAACAAGUAGAAUGGUUUUAUGUGUUGUCCAUGCACUGAAUGUGGGAAUAUGAGGUCUUACUCUAACCGGAAAAUCCUUCACUCGCACCUGCUUUAUAAGGGUUUCAUGCCACACUAUAAUGUUUGGACGAGGCACGGAGAAAUAGGGGUUAUGAUGGAAGACGGCAAAGAAGAAGAGUACGAUGACAACUAUGUGCCCCCUGAAUACGGUGAUGCUGCAACGGUGGGAGCUGGUGAAGAUCAAGAGGAACCAGACGAUGUGCCCAAUGAUGCUGCAACGGGUGAAGCUGUUGAAGAUCAAGAGGAACCAGACGAUGUGCCCGACGAUGAUGAUCUCCGCCGGGUCAUUGUCGAUGCAAGGACGCAAUGCGAAAGUCAAAAGGAGAAGCUGAAGUUCGAUCGCAUGUUAGAGGAUCACAAAAAAGGGUUGUACCCCAAUUGCAAAGAUGGCAACACAAAGCUCAGUACCGUACUGGAAUUGCUGCAGUGGAAGGCAGAGAAUGUUGUGGCUGACAAAGGAUUUGAGAAGCUACUGAAAAUAUUGAAGAAGAAGCUUCCAAAGGAUAACAAAUUGCUCGACAGUACAUACGCAACAAAGAAGGUCGCAUGCCCUCUAGGAUUGGAGGUGGAGAAGAUACAUGCAUGCCCUACUGACUGCAUCCUCUACCACGGUGCAUACAAGGAUCUGAACGCAUGCCCGGUAUGCGGUGCAUUGCGGUAUAAGAUCAGACGAGAUGACCCUGGUGAUGUUGACGGCGAGCCCCAAGGAAGAGGGUUCCUGCGAAGGUGAUGUGGUAUGAUCCUAUAAUACCACGGUUGAAACGUUUGUUCAGAAACGAAGAGCAUGCCAAGUUGAUGCGAUGGCACAGUGAGGACCGGAAGAAAGACAGGAAGUUGAGAGCACCCGCUGACGGGUCGCAGUGGAGAAAAAUCGAGAGAAAGUACUGGGAUGAGUUUGCAAAGGACCCAAGGAACGUAUGGUUUGCUUUAAGCGCGGAUGGCAAUAAUCCUUUUGGGGAGCAGAGCAGCAAUCAUAGCACCUGGCCCGUGACUCUAUGUAUGUAUAACCUUCCUCCUUGGAUGUGCAUGAAGCAGAAGUUCAUUAUGAUGUCAGUUCUCAUCCAAGGCCCUAAGCAGCCCGGCAACGACAUUGAUGUGUACCUAAGGCCGUUAGUUGAAGAACUUUUACAGCUGUGGAAUGGAAAUGGUGUACGUACGUGGAAUGAGCAUAGACAUGAGGAAUUUAACCUAAAGGCGUUGUUGUUCGUGACCAUCAACGAUUGGCCCGCUCUCAGUAACCUUUCAGGACAGACAAACAAAGGAUACCACGCAUGCACGCACUGUUUAGAUGACAUUGAAAGUAUAUACCUGGACAAAUGCAGGAAGAAUGUGUACCUUGGCCAUCGUCGAUUUCUUCCGACCAACCAUCAAUGUCGACAGAAAGGCAAGCAUUUCAAAGGCGAGGCAGAUCACGGGAAGAAGCCCGCCAUGCGUACCGGUGAUCACGUACUUGCUAUGGUCAAUGAUUUACACGUAAUCUUUGGAAAGGGUCCCGACGGACUAGCUGUUCCGAAUGACACUGAGGGACACGCACCCAUGUGGAAGAAGAAAUCUAUAUUUUGGGACCUACCCUACUGGAAAGACCUAGAGGUCCGCUCUUCAAUCAACAUGAUGCGCGUGACGAAGAACCUUUGCAUGAACCUGCUAGGCUUCUUGGGCGUGUAUGGGAAGACAAAAGAUACACCUGAGGCAUGGGAGAACCUGCAACGUUUGCACGAAAAAGAUGGCAUGCCUCUGAAGUAGUAUAAAGGUCCUGCCAGCUACGCUCUUACGAAAGAAGAGAAAGAAAUCUUCUUUGAAUGCCUGCUCAGUAUGAAGGUCACGACUGGCUUCUCGUCGAAUAUAAAGGGAAUAAUAAAUAUGCCAGAGAAAAAGUUUCAAAACCUAAAGUCUCAUGACUGCCACGUGAUUAUGACGCAACUGCUUCCGGUUGCAUUGAGGGGGCUUCUACCGGAAAACGUCCGAUUAGCCAUUGUGAAGCUAUGUGCAUUCCUCAAUGCAAUCUCUCAGAAGGUGAUCGAUCCAGAAAUCGUACCAAGGCUAAGGAGUGAUGUGGCGCAAUGUCUUGUCAGUUUCGAGCUGAUGUUCCCACCAUCCUUCUUCAAUAUCAUGACGCAUGUCCUAGUUCAUCUAGUCGACAAGAUUGUCAUCCUGGGGCCCGUAUUUCUACACAAUAUGUUCCCCUUUGAGAGGUUCAUGGGAGUCCUAAAGAAAUAUGUCUGUAACCGUGCUAGGCCAGAAGGAAGCGUCUCCAUGGGCCAUCAAACAGAGGAUGUUAUCGGGUUUUGUGUUGACUUCAUUCCUGGCCUUAAGAAGAUAGGUCUCCCUAAAUCGCGGUAUGAGGGGAGACUGACUGGAAAAGGCACUCUUGGAAGUGACUCAAUAAUAUGCAGGGACGGAUAUUCUUGGUCUCAAGCACACUACACAGUUCUACAGAACUCUACCUUGGUGACCCCGUAUGUCGAUGAACACAAGAACAGUCUGCGCUCCAAACACCCGGAGCAGUACGACGACUGGAUUAUAUGUGAACACAUCAGGACUUUCAGCAGUUGGUUGGAAACACGUCUCAGAGGUGACAACACUGUUUGUUAUGAGCUGUACUUGUUGUCCAGGGGACCAUCUUUGACUGUAUUGACUUACAAAGGAUACGAGAUAAAUGGGAAUACAUUUUACACGAUCGCCCAAGAUCAAAAGAGCACCAACCAAAACAGUGGUGUCCGCUUUGAUGCAGCAACCGAGAGCGGAAAGGACACAUAUUAUGGUUACAUAGUGGACAUAUGGGAACUUGACUACGGACAUGAUUUUAAGGUCCCUUUGUUUAAGUGCAAAUGGGUCAAUCUGUCAAGAGGCAGGGUAUAGGUAGACCCACAGUACAGAAUGACAACAGUGGAUCUGAAAAAUCUUGGGUACACUGACGAACCGUUCCUCCUAGCCAAUGAUGUGGGACAGAUUAUCUAUGUGAAGGACAUGUCUACCAAACUGAGAAAAAGAAAAGAUAAGGAAGCGAAUACAUCAUACGAUGAGCCAAAGCGCCACAUAGUUCUUUCAGGAAAAAGGGAUAUCCUAGGAGUGGAGGGCAAGACAGACAUGUCUUAAGAUUAUGAAAAGUUUCAUGAAAUUCCUCCCUUCAAUGUCAAGGCUGACCCAAGCAUCCUGAUAAACGAUGAAGAUUAUCCAUGGUUACGGCGCAAUAAGCAAAUGACACAAGCGAAGAAAAAGUGAAGACUUUCUCCCGCAACUAUUAUGAUGAUACCAUGCCAACUUUGUAACACACGAGUAUGCUAUGCCAACUUUUUCAGACUUCAUUUGAAAACUAUGAAUUUAGGUCGAAUUUUCUCUAUAGGUGCAUCUAUGUUCAUUUUUUUAGUAAAGUUAAUCACAAACUUGUGAUUCACACAAAUUUCAAAGAAUUCAAACUUUAACUAUUCAAAUUUGAAAACUAAUGGCACUAACAGAAAGUUUAUAAGUUUUCUAAAACUAAUGGCACUAACAGAAAGUUUAUAAUUUUGCUGACCUAAAAGCAAAAAGGAUUAAAAAAUAAAGCAAAACACAAAAGAAAAUAAAUAAGACAGAAAAAACAAAAAAACUGGAAAAAUAAUAAAAAUAGCAAAAAUAAGUAUUUUGUUGUAAGUAGAAACAAAAUAAAAUAAAUAAAGCAACAAAGAAAACAAAAAGACUAAAAAAGUGUUUUCAAAUAUGAAAACUAAUGGCACUAACAGAAAGUUUAUAAUUNNNNNNNNNNNNNNNNNNNNNNNNNNNNNNNNNNNNNNNNNNNNNNNNNNNNNNNNNNNNNNNNNNNNNNNNNNNNNNNNNNNNNNNNNNNNNNNNNNNNNNNNNNNNNNNNNNNNNNNNNNNNNNNNNNNNNNNNNNNNNNNNNNNNNNNNNNNNNNNNNNNNNNNNNNNNNNNNNNNNNNNNNNNNNNNNNNNNNNNNNNNNNNNNNNNNNNNNNNNNNNNNNNNNNNNNNNNNNNNNNNNNNNNNNNNNNNNNNNNNNNNNNNNNNNNNNNNNNNNNNNNNNNNNNNNNNNNNNNNNNNNNNNNNNNNNNNNNNNNNNNNNNNNNNNNNNNNNNNNNNNNNNNNNNNNNNNNNNNNNNNNNNNNNNNNNNNNNNNNNNNNNNNNNNNNNNNNNNNNNNNNNNNNNNNNNNNNNNNNNNNNNNNNNNNNNNNNNNNNNNNNNNNNNNNNNNNNNNNNNNNNNNNNNNNNNNNNNNNNNNNNNNNNNNNNNNNNNNNUAAAUAAUGCAGAAAACAAAACAAAAAAACUGGAAAAAAUAGGCACUAAAAGCAAAAAAAACUAAAAAAGUAUUUUCAAAUUUUAAACCUAAUGGCACUAACAGAAAGUUUAUAAUUUUUGUGACCUAAAAGAAAAAAGAAAUCACUAAAAAACUAUAAGUAUUUUGUUCUAAGUAGAAAUGAAAUAAUAAAUAGAAAAAAAGAAAAAAAUGCAUAUAAUAUUUGUUAUGACUAACUAAAAUUACCAAAUUGAGUAUAAUGAUAAAACACAAUAAUAUUAAAUAGCAGGAAAAAGAAUGACUCAAAAAUCAAUUUUUAUAGUAAAGUUAUUCAUAAACUAGUGAUUCACACAAAUUUAAACUAUUCAAAUUUUAUAACUAAUGGCACUAACAGAAAGUUUAUAAUUUUUGUGACCUAAAAGAAAAAAAAUCACUAAAAAACUAUAAGUAUUUAGUUCUAAGUACAAAUGAAAAAAAUCAAUAGUAAAAAAAUGCCACCUACUGGGCCACCACAGCCUGAAUACGACUAGAAGCCCAUCCAUGUGCCAGGAUUCAGGCCCGCAGAAGGCCCAGCGGGCCCACAGGCAUAGCGGUGUGAGAUUAGGCCCAGAGGCCUGCAGUUUUGAGGAGUUCGAUGGAGAUGGCGGGGCAGCGCUUAUAAACAGGUGCGGCCGCUCCUCAGCUAGCAAGGUGGGACUAAACAUCCCACCGCACCGCGGCUUUGGCAGGCGCAGGCCAUUGGUCCCGGUUNNNNNNNNNNNNNNNNNNNNNNNNNNNNNNNNNNNNNNNNNNNNNNNNNNNNNNNNNNNNNNNNNNNNNNNNNNNNNNNNNNNNNNNNNNNNNNNNNNNNNNNNNNNNNNNNNNNNNNNNNNNNNNNNNNNNNNNNNNNNNNNNNNNNNNNNNNNNNNNNNNNNNNNNNNNNNNNNNNNNNNNNNNNNNNNNNNNNNNNNNNNNNNNNNNNNNNNNNNNNNNNNNNNNNNNNNNNNNNNNNNNNNNNNNNNNNNNNNNNNNNNNNNNNNNNNNNNNNNNNNNNNNNNNNNNNNNNNNNNNNNNNNNNNNNNNNNNNNNNNNNCUGCGCCCCUGCCCCGACGCCAUCCUCGCCGCCAACCCCGCCCGCGCCUCAGCUUGGUCCAGCCUCCGGCGCCCUCCCUUUGCAAUUUUUUUCAUAUAUAUGCUUGUUUUAUAUAUAUAUAUAUAUAUAUAUAUAUAUAUGCUUGUUUUUAUAUAUGCGUAAUGAUUUUUUUAUAGAAUAUGAUGUUUUUUCAUAGAUGAUCACAUAUACGAUGUAUGCACGAAUGUGGAUGAAAUAUGAUGUUUUUUGUUCAUAGAACAUGAUGUUAUUUUAAUUCACAGAUUUUUUUUUGUUCAUGAGAGAGGCGGGGACGUUGAGGGAUCAUAGAUGUAUUUUUUCCAGAAUUUUCUAUCGUGCAUAGACGGAUUUUAGACCACGGGAGCACCCCCUCCCUAUCGUUGCAAAAUUUGCUAAGUGAUAUUAAGAAGGAAGGAAAAGAAGGAUAGGAAAGAAAGAAAAUAAGAAGAGGAAAUAAAGAAGAAGAGGAGAGGAAGAAGAGGAGAAAUAAAUAAGAAGAAGAAAAAAGAAGAAAAAGAAGAGGAGAAGAAGAAAGGAAUAGUGGAGAAGAAGAGAAAAUAGAAUAUAUUCUAUUUUUUCUUCUUCUCCUCUUUUUUUUCUUCUUUUUUUCUUCGAUCUUCUCCUCUACCUAUNNNNNNNNNNNNNNNNNNNNNNNNNNNNNNNNNNNNNNNNNNNNNNNNNNNNNNNNNNNNNNNNNNNNNNNNNNNNNNNNNNNNNNNNNNNNNNNNNNNNNNNNNNNNNNNNNNNNNNNNNNNNNNNNNNNNNNNNNNNNNNNNNNNNNNNNNNNNNNNNNNNNNNNNNNNNNNNNNNNNNNNNNNNNNNNNNNNNNNNNNNNNNNNNNNNNNNNNNNNNNNNNNNNNNNNNNNNNNNNNNNNNNNNNNNNNNNNNNNNNNNNNNNNNNNNNNNNNNNNNNNNNNNNNNNNNNNNNNNNNNNNNNNNNNNNNNNNNNNNNNNNNNNNNNNNNNNNNNNNNNNNNNNNNNNNNNNNNNNNNNNNNNNNNNNNNNNNNNNNNNNNNNNNNNNNNNNNNNNNNNNNNNNNNNNNNNNNNNNNNNNNNNNNNNNNNNNNNNNNNNNNNNNNNNNNNNNNNNNNNNNNNNNNNNNNNNNNNNNNNNNNNNNNNNNNNNNNNNNNNNNNNNNNNNNNNNNNNNNNNNNNNNNNNNNNNNNNNNNNNNNNNNNNNNNNNNNNNNNNNNNNNNNNNNNNNNNNNNNNNNNNNNNNNNNNNNNNNNNNNNNNNNNNNNNNNNNNNNNNNNNNNNNNNNNNNNNNNNNNNNNNNNNNNNNNNNNNNNNNNNNNNNNNNNNNNNNNNNNNNNNNNNNNNNNNNNNNNNNNNNNNNNNNNNNNNNNNNNNNNNNNNNNNNNNNNNNNNNNNNNNNNNNNNNNNNNNNNNNNNNNNNNNNNNNNNNNNNNNNNNNNNNNNNNNNNNNNNNNNNNNNNNNNNNNNNNNNNNNNNNNNNNNNNNNNNNNNNNNNNNNNNNNNNNNNNNNNNNNNNNNNNNNNNNNNNNNNNNNNNNNNNNNNNNNNNNNNNNNNNNNNNNNNNNNNNNNNNNNNNNNNNNNNNNNNNNNNNNNNNNNNNNNNNNNNNNNNNNNNNNNNNNNNNNNNNNNNNNNNNNNNNNNNNNNNNNNNNNNNNNNNNNNNNNNNNNNNNNNNNNNNNNNNNNNNNNNNNNNNNNNNNNNNNNNNNNNCGACGCCCACGUCACUUGUGGGACGUGGAUGUAGUGUCCGACACCGACGGCCACAUGUAUCUCACACCCACGAUACUUGCUAUUUAGGGUUUCCUCUACCGCUCGGUGACCCUCGAUGACCCUCGUUCCCGAUAAAAAAAAGAGGAAGAAGAAGAAAAAAAGAGGAGAAGAAAGAAUAAAGGAGUUCUUACUCCUCUAUUCUUUCUUCUCCUCUUUUUUUUCUUCCUAUUCUUUUUUUAUCCUUGAAGCGUUGUCGAGGCCACCCCAAACCCUAGAGAAGCAGCGUCGAGGCCACCCCAAACCCUAGAGAAGCAGCAUCGAGGCCACUAAUUAAUAUUAGUUCUACGUUUGCCACUAAUAUAUCCAUCUAUCAUGUUUGAAUAAUAAUUGCCAUGUUGUAAAUAUUUGUAGAAACUAUGGACACCGCCCGAGACGAAGUACAAGAAGUGUUGUUGGGGGACAUAAUCGCACGAGGAAGUGGUGCCGUCUGCUCGUUGUUUCUCAACGACACCGAUGGUCUGGAAGCAGCUGGCUAUGAUUAUGAUGGCUCCGGUGACCUACUGCCGGUGCAAGAAGGAGACCGUGAGGAUGGCUCCGGUGACCCAAUGCCGGUGCAAGAAGGAGACCGUGAUGACGUCUCCGGUGACCGAACCGAGUCUGGCCAUGUAUAUAUAUUAGUUAAGCUUCUGCUGACUAGCGAAUUGAUGCAUUCAUUGUUUUGGUAUGUACACAUAUUAAUUAAGAGACACCAGAAUUCAAAGGCAGAUAUGAGAAGAUUAGAGAUCACUGGCCCGCAUUUGUAGCCCACAAGACAUCAAAAAAGAGUAAGAAGAUGUCGGCGACAAACAAGCAAAAUGCUGCGAAGAAGAAGCAUCACCAUCGCACGGGGUUAGGUAGCUACCUCGUAGCCCGGCCUAAGUGGGCCAAGACUGAGAACGAUCUGGUUGAUAAAGGGAUCGAACCAGAGACAAUUAACUGGCCAGACCGUUGCCGGACUUGGUUCUUCGGGUCUGGCGGAACCUUGGACCCUAUAUCAGGGAAGUGCAUUUGGACAAACAAUCAAAUGGACAUACCAGUCAAGAAGCUUCAGCAGUAUAUCGAAGCAGCGCAAAAAGGGACGUUCGUUCUAGAUAGAGAGAACGACGAGCUCACAAUGGCCCUCGGGAAUCCUGAGCACCCUGGACGGACACGAGGCACGCCAGGCUCCAUUCCAUGGAAGGUUGGGUUUCCGGAUGCAGGCAGUUACAAAUGCCACGAGAGGAGGAAGAAAGUGGAGCAGACCCAAUUGCAGGCGCUGCACUCUAGGGUACAAGCGAUAAAGGAACGAGAAGCAAAUCGCAGCAAACGAACUGCCAAAGUUUCCCCUGAAGCUACCCCACCAUCUCAGCGGAGAAGCAGCGUGGCUUCCACCGAGCUGCUUCAGCCGGAGCAUGUCUUGACGGCUCCUGCCAGCUAUCCCGUGGAUGCUAUCACGGAGUCUCAAAAUUGCCACCUUAUGACGCAAUGGAUUAAUAUGAAGGUCAAGGCAGCUGUUGGCUCUGUUUUUCCUACUGAACCCGGCGCAACUUUUCACUGCCGGCCGAUUCCAGAAGGAUAUGCUAGGGUGAUGGUGGAUGAAAUAACGGAGGGAUUUGAGGACCUCCAGCUUGACCACCCUACCGGCGAAGGGGAGACUCGGUUGGGUUCUGCUCAGAAGACUCCAUGCCUAUGGCGGAAGGAGCUCAUCAACCUUCCGAACUGGACGCCUCCGCCUCCUCCUCCUCCUCCGGCGAGUCAGGGCACUCCGCCUCCUCCACCGCCUCCUGUUGGAAAUAUGCCCUAGAGGCAAUAAUAAAUUAGUUAUUAUUAUAUAUUUCAUUGUUCAUGAUAAUCAUUUAUUAUCCAUGCUAGAAUUGUAUCGAUAGGAAACUCAGAUACAUGUGUGGAUACAUAGACAACACCAUGUCCCUAGUAAGCCUCUAGUUGACUAGCUCGUUGAUCAAUAGAUGGUUACGGUUUCCUAAUCAUGGACAUUGGAUGUCGUUGAUAACGGGAUCACAUCAUUAGGAGAAUGAUGUGAUGGACAAGACCCAAUCCUAAGCCUAGCACAAAGAUCGUGUAGUUCGUAUGCUAAAGCUUUUCUAAAUGUCAAGUAUCAUUUCCUUAGACCAUGAGAUUGUGCAACUCCCGGAUACCGUAGGAGUGCUUUGGGUGUGCCAAACGUCACAACGUAACUGGGUGGCUAUAAAGGUUCACUAUAGGUAUCUCCGAAAGUGUCUGUUGGGUUGGCACGAAUCGAGACUAGGAUUUGUCACUCCGUGUAAACGGAGAGGUAUCUUUGGGCCCACUCGGUAGGACAUCAUCAUAAUGUGCACAAUGUGAUCAAGGAGUUGAUCACGGGAUGAUGUGUUACGGAACGAGUAAAGAGACUUGCCGGUAACAAGAUUGAACAAGGUAUCGGGAUACCGACGAUCGAAUCUUGGGCAAGUAUCAUACCGAUGGACAAAGGGAAUUGUAUACGGGAUUGAUUAAGUCCUUGACAUCGUGGUUCAUCCAAUGAGAUCAUCGUGGAGCAUGUGGGAGCCAACAUGGGUAUCCAGAUCCCGCUGUUGGUUAUUGACCGGAGAGUUGUCUCGGCCAUGUCUGCAUGACACAUGAACCCGUAGGGUCUACACACUUAAGGUUCGAUGACGCUAGGGUUAUAGGGAAAGUAUGUAUGCGGUUACCGAAUGUUGUUCAGAGUCCCGGAUGAGAUCCCGGAAGUCACGAGGAGUUCCGGAAUGGUCCGGAGGUAAAGAUUAAUAUAUAGGAAGUAUGGUUUUGGCCACCGGAAGUGUUCCGGGCAUCACCGGUAGUGUACCGGGACCACCGGAGGGGUCCGGGGGUCCACCAGGUGGGGCCACCAGCCCCGGAGGCCUACAUGGGCCAAUAGUGCGAAGGGACCAGCCCCUAGGUGGGCUGGGGCGCCUCCCACCAAGGCCCAAGGCAUCCUCAAGGGGAGAGGGGGCAAACCCUAGGCGCAGAUGGGCCCUAAGGCCCACCCUAGGUGCGCCCCCCUCUCUCUCCCCCUUGGCCGCCUCCCAGAUGGGAUCUGGGGGCUGCCGCCACCCCUAGGGAGGGAACCCUAGGUGGGGGCGCAGCCCCUCCCCUCCCCCUAUAUAUACUUGAGGUUUGGGGCUACCCAACACAUGUGAUUUGCUCUCCCUGUUGGCGCAGCCCUACCCCUCUUCCUCCUCGUCUCUCGUAGUGCUUGGCGAAGCCCUGCUGGAGUCCCGCGCUCCUCCACCACCACCACGCCGUCGUGCUUCUGCUGGAUGGAGUCUUCCCCAACCUCUCCUACUCCCCUUGCUGGAUCAAGGCGUAGGAGACGUCACCGGGUUGUACGUGUGUUGAACGCGGAGGUGCCGUCCGUUCGGCACUAGGAUCAUCGGUGAUUUGGAUCGCGACGAGUACAACUCCAUCAACCCCGUUCACUUGAACGCUUCCGCUUAGCGAUCUACAAGGGUAUGUAGAUGCACUCUCCAUCCCUCGUUGCUAGAUUACUCCAUAGAUUGAUCUUGGUGAUGCGUAGAAAAUUUUGAAUUUCUGCUACGUUCCCCAACAGUGGCAUCAUGAGCUAGGUCUAUGUGUAGUUUCUAUGCGCGAGUAGAACACAAGUUGUUGUGGGGGUGAUUUUGUCAAUUUUCUUGCCGUUACUAGUCUUAUCUUGAUUCGGCGGCAUCGUGGGAUGAAGCGGCCCGGACUGACCUUACACAUACUCUUACGUGAGACUGGUUCCACCGACUGACAUGCACUAGUUGCAUCAGGUGGCUAGCGGGUGUCUGUCUCUCCCACUUUAGUCGGAUCGGAUUCGAUGAAAAGGGUCCUUAUGAAGGGUAAAUAGAAAUUGGCAUAUCACGUUGUGGUUUUCGCGUAGGUAAGAAACGUUCUUGCUAGAAACCAAUAGCAGCCACGUAAAAACUUGCAACAACAAUUAGAGGACGUCUAACUGUUUUUGCAGCAUAUGCCUUGUGAUGUGAUAUGGCCAAAAGGAUGUGAUGAAUGAUAUAUGUGAUGUAUGAGAUUGAUCAUGUUCUUGUAAUGGGAAUCACGACUUGCAUGUCGAUGAGUAUGACAACCGGCAGGAGCCAUAGGAGUUGUCUUAAUUUAUUUAUGACCUGCGUGUCAACAUAAACAUCAUGUAAUUACUUUACUUUAUUACUAAAGCGUUAGCCAUAGUAGUAGAAGUAAUAGAUGACGAGACAACUUCAAGAAGACACGAUGAUGGAGAUCAUGAUGAUGGAGAUCAUGGUGUCAUGCUGGUGACAACGAUGAUCAUGGAGCCCCGAAGAUGGAGAUCAAAAGGAGCAAAAUGAUAUUGGCCAUAUGAUGUCACCAUUUGAUUGCAUGUGAUGUUUAUCAUGUUUUACAUCUUAUUUGCUUAGAACGACGGUAGCUUAAAUAAGAUGAUCCCUCACUAAAAUUUCAAGAAAGUGUUCCCCCUAAUUGUGCACCGUUGCGAAGGUUCGUCGUUUUGAAGCACCACGUGAUGAUCGGGUGUGAUAGAUUCUAACGUUUGAAUACAACGGGUGUAAGCCAGAUUUACAUAGCAAAAACACUUAGGUUGACUUGACGAGCCUAGCAUGUACAGACAUGGCCUCGGAACACGGAAGACCGAAAGGUCGAGCAUGAGUCGUAUAGAAGAUACGAUCAACAUGAAGAUGUUCACCGAUGUUGACUAGUCCGUCUCAUGUGAUGAUCGGACACGGCCUAGUUGACUCGGGUCAUGUUUCACUUAGAUGACUAGAGGGACGUCUAUCUGAGUGGGAAUUCAUUAAAUGAACUCAAUUAUCAUGAACAUAGUCUAAAUUGUCUUUGCAAAUAUGUUGUAGAUAAAUAGCUCAUGUUGUAGCUCCCUGUUUCAAUACAUUCCUAGAGAAAGACCAAGUUGAAAGAUAUUGUAAGCACUGAUGCGGACUAGGUCCGUAGUCCGAGGAGUGUCCUCACUGCUACACAGAAGGCUUACGUCUUUAAUGCACCGCUCGAUGUGCAAACCCCUACAACGUCGUCUGUGGAUGUUGUGAACACCUGACAAACACAUCCUGAUGACUACUUGAUAGUUUAGUGCACCAUACUUUACGGCUUAGCAUCGGGAUUCCAAUGACGUUUUGAACGCCAUAGAACAUAUGAGAUGUUCCAAGAGCUGAAAUUGGGACUUCAGGCUCAUGCCCGUGUUGAGAGGUGUGAGACCUCUGACAAGUUCUUUUGCCGACAAGAUGGAGGAGAAUAGCUCAGCUAGUGAGCAUGUGCUCAGAAUGUCUGGGUGCUACAAUCACUUAAAUCAAGUGGGAGUUAAACUUCCAGAUAAGAUAGUGAUUGAUAGAGUUCUCUAGCCACUAUCACUAAGCUACUAGAUCUUCGUGAUGAACUAUGACAUGCAAGGGAUGGAGUUGAUCCCAGAGCUGUUCGCGGUGCUUAAGACCGCAAAAGGUAGAAAUCAAGAAGGAGCAUCAAGUGUUGAUGGUUAAACAAGACCACUGGUUUCAAGAAGGGCAAGGGCUAUAAGGGAAACUUCAUGGAUGGCAAACCAGUUGCCUCUCAAGUAAAGGAACCCAAGGUUGAACCCAAACCUGAGACUAAGUGCUUCUAUUGUAAAGGGGACGGUCACUGGUAGCGGAAUUACCCCAAAUGCAUGGUAGAUAAGAAGGCUGGCAACUUCAACAAAGUAUAUACGUGUUAUUAAUGUGUACCUCGCUAGUACUCCUGGUAGCACCUGGGUAUUGGAUACCGGUUCAGUUGCUAUUACUGGUGACUUGAAGCAAAAGUUGCGGACUAAACGGAGACUGGCUGAGGGCGAGGUGGUGAUGUGUGUUGGAAGUGUUUCCAAAGUUGAUGAGAUCACCAUCGCACGCUCCAUCUGCCUUCGGGAUUAGUAUUGAACCUAGAUAAAUGUUGUCAGGUGUCUACGUUGAGCAUGAAUAUGAUUAGAUCAUGUUCAUUGCAAUACGGUUAUUCAUUUAAAUUAGAGAAUAAUGGUUAUUCUGUUUACAUGAAUAAUACCUUUCAUGGUCAUGCACCCUAUGUGAAUGGUUCAUUGAAUCUCGGUCGUGGUAAUACAAAUGUUCACGCCGAAGGAUGUAGAGUUAAUAAUGAUAGUACCACUUUCUCGUGGCACUGCCGCUUAGGUCAUAUUGGCGUAAGAUGCAUGAAGAAACUCCAUGUCGAUGGAUGUUUGGAGUCACUUGAUUUUGAAUCACUUGACACAUGCGAGCCAUGCCUCAUGGGCAGGAUGACUAAGACCCCGUUUUCAGAUACAAUGAAACGGGCAAGUGACUUGUUGGAAAUCAUGCAUGCUGAUGUGUGUGAUCCAAUGAGAAUUGAAGCGUGCGGUGGAUAUCGCUAUUUUCUCAUCUUCACUGACGAUUUGGGUAGAUAUAGGUAUAUCUACUUAAUGAAGCACAAGUCUGAAACGUUUGAAAAGUUCAAGCGAUUUCAGAGUGAAGUUAAGAAUCAUCAUAACAAUGAGAUCAUGUUCCUACGAUCUGAUCAAAAGGGGAUUUUCUGAGUUAUGAGUUUGGCAAUCACUUAAGACAUUAUGGAAUUGUUUCACAAUUGAAGCCACCUGGAACACCACAAGAUAAUGGUGUGUCCGGAUGUCGUAAUCGAACACUAUGAGAUAUGGUGCGAUCUAUGAUGCCUCUUACCAAUCUACCGUUUUCAUUUUGAGGUUAUGCGUUAGAGAUAGCUGCAUUCACUUUAGAUAGGACACCAUCUAAGUCGGUUGAGACGACGUCGUAUGAACAUUGGUUUGGCAAGAAACCAAAGUUGUCGUUUCUUAAUGUUUGGGGCGGCGAUGCUUAAGGCUUCAGCCAGAGAAGCUCGAACCCAGAGCGGACAAACACACCUUCAUAGGAUACCCAAAGGUGAUAGUAGGGUAUACCUUCUAUCUCAGAUCCGAGGGCAAAUUGUUUGUCGCUAAGAACGGGUCCUUUCUCGAGAAGGAGUUUCUCUCGAAAGAAUUGAGUGGGAGGAAGAUAGAACUUGAUGAGGUUGUCGAACCUUUAUUUCAACCAGAGAGUGAUGCAACACAGAAAGAUGUUUUCUGUGGAGCCUAUGUUUGUUGAAUGGGAAGUUAAUGAUAGUGAUCAUGAAGCUUCGUAUCAAGUUGCUAUCGAACCUCGUAGGUCGACAAGGAUAUGUACUACUCCUAAGUGGUACGGUAAUCCUGUCUUAGAUAUCAUGUUGUUAGACAACAAUGAACCUACAAGCUAUGGAGAAGCGAUGGUGGGCCCGUAUUCCGACAAAUGGUUAGAAGCCAUGAAAUCCGAGAUAGGAUCCAUAUAUCAGAACAAAGUAUGUACUUUGGUGGACUUGCCCGAUGAUCGGCAAGCCAUUGAGAUAAAUGGAUCUUUAAGAAGAAGACGGACAUGGGCGUAAUGUUACCGUCUAUGAAGCCCGACUUGUGAGAAAGAGUCUUUUCACAAGUUCAAGGAGUUGACUACAAUGAGAAUUUCUCACCCGUAGCGAUGCUUAAGUCCGUCGGAAUCAUGUUAGCAUUAGCUGUAUUUUUCGAUUAUGAAAUCUUACAGAUGGAUGUCAAAACAAGUUUUCUUACCAAGUUUUCAUAAGAAAAGUUGUAUGUGAUACAAUAAAAAGUUUUUGACGAUCCUAAGGAUGCUAAAAGGUAUGCUGGCUCCAGCAAUCCUUCUAUGGACUAGAGCAAGCAUCUCGGAGUCAGAAUAUAUGCUUUGAUGGAGUAAUCAAAGCUUUUAGGUUUAUACAAUGUUUGCUAGAAACUUGUAUUUACAAGAAAGUGAGUGGGAGCACUACAACAUUUCUGAUAAGUAUAUGUGGAUGACAUAUUGUUGAUCCUAAAUGAUGUAGAAUUUCUGGAAAGCAUAAACGGUUGUUUGAAGAGUGAUUUUCAAAGGAAGACCUGGAUAAAGCUGCUUACAUAUUGGGCAUCAGGAUCUAUAGAAAUAGAUCAAGACGCCUGAUGAUAUUUUCAAAGAACGCACACCUUGACAUGUUUUUGAAGGAUAUCAAAAUAGAUCAGUCAAAGAAGGGGUUCUUACCUGAGUUGUAAGGUGUGAAGUUGAGUAAGACUCGAAGCUUGACCACGGCAGAAGAAAGAGGAAGGACGAAGGUCGUCCCCUAUGCUUUUGUCAUAGGCUCUAUAUGGUAUGCCAUGCUGAAGUACCGCACCUGAUGUGUGCCUUGCCACAUGUCUGGCAAGAGGGUACAAAGGUGAUCUAGGAGUAGAUCACCGGGUAGCAGUCAAAAAUUAUCCUUAGAGGAAUAAGGAAAUGUUUCUCGGUUAUGGAGGUGAUAAAGAGUUCGACGUAAAGAGUUACAUUGAUGCAAGCUUGACAUAGCUCUGAGUAGAGAUACCGGAUACGUAUAAUGGAGCAACAAUUUGGAAUAGCUCCAAGUGGAACGUGGUAGCAGCAUCUACGAUAUAAAGUUUUGCGAAAUACAUAGGAAUCUGAAUAUGGCAAGACCCGUUGACUACAACCUCUCUCACAAGCAUAACAUGAUCAAACCCAGAACUCUUUGAGUGUUUAUCACAUAGUGAUGUGAACUAGAUCAUUGAGUCUAGUAGACUCUUGGAGGUUGGUCACAUGGCGAUGUGACCUGUGAGUGUUAAUCACAUGGCGAUGUGAACUAGAUUAUUGACUCUAGUGCAAGUGGGAGACUGUUGGAAAUAUGCCCUAGAGGCAAUAGUAAAUUAGUUAUUAUUAUAUAUUUCAUUGUUCAUGAUAAUCGUUUAUUAUCCAUGCUAGAAUUGUAUCGAUAGGAAACUUAGAUACAUGUGUGGAUACAUAGACAACACCAUGUCCCUAGUAAGCCUCUAGUUGACUAGCUCAUUGAUCAAUAGAUGGUUACGGUUUCCUAACCAUGGACAUUGGAUGUCGUUGAUAACGGGAUCACAUCAUUAGGAGAAUGAUGUGAUGGACAAGACCCAAUCCUAAGCCUAGCACAAAGAUCGUGUAGUUCGUAUGCUAAAGCUUUUCUAAAUGUCAAGUAUCAUUUCCUUAGACCAUGAGAUUGUGCAACUCCCGGAUACCGUAGGAGUGCUUUGGGUGUGCCAAACGUCACAACGUAACUGGGUGGCUAUAAAGGUUCACUACAGGUAUCUCCGAAAGUGUCUGUUGGGUUGGCACGAAUCGAGACUGGGAUUUGUCACUUCGUGUAAACGGAGAGGUAUCUCUGGGCCCACUCGGUAGGACAUCAUCAUAAUGUGCACAAUGUGAUCAAGGAGUUGAUCACGGGAUGAUGUGUUACGGAACGAGUAAAGAGACUUGCCGGUAACGAGAUUGAACAAGGUAUCGGGAUACCGACGAUCGAAUCUCAGGCAAGUAUCAUACCAAUGGACAAAGGGAAUUGUUUACGGGAUUGAUUAAGUCCUUGACAUCGUGGUUCAUCCGAUGAGAUCAUCGUGGAGCAUGUGGGAGCCAACAUGGGUAUCCAGAUCCCGCUGUUGGUUAUUGACCGGAGAGUUGUCUCGGCCAUGUCUGCAUGACUCACGAACCCGUAGGGUCUACACACUUAAGGUUCGAUGACGCUAGGGUUAUAGGGAAAGUAUGUAUGCGGUUACCGAAUGUUGAUCAGAGUCCCGGAUGAGAUCCUGGACAUCACGAGGAGUUCCGAAAUGGUCCGGAGGUAAAGAUUAAUAUAUAGGAAGUAUGGUUUUGGCCACCUGAAGUGUUCCGGGCAUCACCGGUAGUGUACCGGAACCACCGGAGGGGUCCGGGGGUCCACCAGGUGGGGCCACCAGCCCCAGAGGCCUACAUGGGCCAAUAGUGGGAAGGGACCAGCCCCUAGGUGGGCUGGGGCGCCUCCCACCAAGGCCCAAGGCAUCCUCAAGAGGAGAGGGGGCAAACCCUAGGCGCAGAUGGGCCCUAAGGCCCACCCUAGGUGUGCCCCCCUCUCUCUCCCCCUUGGCCGCCUCCCAGAUGGGAUCUGGGGGCUGCCGCCACGCCUAGAGAGGGAACCCUAGGUGGGGGUGCAGCCCCUCCCCUCCCCCUAUAUAUACUUGAGGUUUGGGGCUGCCCAACACAUGUGAUUUGCUCUCCCUGUUGGCGCAGCCCUACCCCUCUUCCUCAUCGUCUCUCGUAGUGCUUGGCUAAGCCCUGCUGGAGUCCCGCGCUCCUCCACCACCACCACGCCGUCGUGCUGCUGCUGGAUGGAGUCUUCCCCAACCUCUCCUUCUCCCCUUGCUGGAUCAAGGUGUAGGAGACGUCACCGGGUUGUACGUGUGUUGAACGCGGAGGUGCCGUCCGUUCGGCACUAGGAUCAUCGGUGAUUUGGAUCACGACGAGUACGACUCCAUCAACCCCGUUCACUUGAACGCUUCCGCUUAGCGAUCUACAAGGGUAUGUAGAUGCACUCUCCUUCCCUCGUUGCUAGAUUACUCCAUAGAUUGAUCUUGGUGAUGCGUAGAAAAUUUUGAAUUUCUGCUACGUUCCCCAACACCUCCUCCUCCGGCGAGUGACGAUCAGGGCACUCGGCCAGCUCCUUCUCCGGCGUGUGGCGGCACUCUGCCUCCUUCUCCGCCUGCGCCGGUGCGCCCGAGUAGCCAGCCUCCUCCUUCUCCGCCUCGUCAGCAAGGGCGGAAGAGACCUGCCGCCGCUCUGGCUGCUCCGGCGCGUCGUAGUCCUUGUCCUCCGCCUCGUAAGAAAGUAAAGAAGACAACCGCUCUAUCUGCUCUGCCGGCGUUUAGCAGUACAGCCAGAGGCGGGAGGACAUACAGAUUUGGUCCUUCUCUGAAGACUCCAGAGAAGUUACCAUACGAGAGGACCCCGGAGGAGAACGUCGAGAUCGUGCGAGAAGAAGUGAGGAACUUCUUUGAAGGGGUGAAAGCAAAGAAACAUCCACCACCGGAGGAGAAGGUUGAUCCGGUGAAAGCGAAGCGCACUCUGGCUGCCCUGACAAAACCACCCAAGUCUCUGCCGAAAGGCAACUAUGAGUGCAUUAUUGGAAAGGAAUUUGUCGAAGCGGAGCGGUCGGGAAGUACUGUCAGUGAUCAAAGGCUGAAAGAAUGACGAGCUGGGAAACAAAUUGCCCAGCUCGGCGAACAAGCGAAGCAAUCGUGCCCCCCGCUCAAGGUGCCUAGCGACAUCGACGCUAACGAUCCGAGGAUGGUUCCCGGUUAUAGCAAUCUUGCAGAUUACCUGCCCGACGAUGUACAUUAUGAUUUCAUGGAGGUUCGGAUACAAAGAUACGAGCACGGGAAGCCUCUCAUCAAAGAUGAAAGAUCUCUAUCAACGAUGAUGCGAAGAUUGCAUGAUUGGUACUUGAAAAUCUGCAGAGAGUCUAAGGGGAGGAGUACUUUGUAUGUGAGAGUUAAAAAGGAGCAUGACCUCGUUGGAAUUGAACUGUUGCCUAUUCCAUUUGAGGAGUUCUUUCAGUUUUUCAAUCAAUUGGCCCUCGAUAAAGCAAGGGUCACCUGCUACUGUUUGUAAGUAGUACUACUUCUGUCAUAAAGUCUCUCUAUAUAGCUCAGCUCUUUCAUUGCAUGUAUUUAUAAUUAUCCUUACUAUAUUAUGCAGAUUGAAGAUCGCCGAAUUGAAGAAAAGACAAAUCGGUGAUAUUGGGUUCAUUAACACAAAUCUCAUAGAUGCAACUCAGGUUAAAUUUCAUGCCACAAAUACCGAGGCCAACUUGCUACGAUCGUUGGUAAUAAAUGAAAACAAAGAUAUAAUACUCUUUCCUUACAACUUCAAGUGAGUGUUACUGUCUUGUGCAUAUUCGGUUUCCCUUAUAUAUUAGUCAAGGUUAUAGUAAUGUAAUUGAUGAGUUAUGCAUGUGUGUGCAGUUUCCACUAUAUUCUCCUAGAGAUUAAGCUUGAGCAGGGACUAGUAACCGUCUUAGACUCAAGACGAAAAGAUCCCCAGGACUACGCGGACAUGACUCAAAUGCUUGAGAAGUAAGUUAAAUCGAUCAUUAUCCACCAUAUCAGCAACUUUGUUCAUUUCCUGAUAUAUCAAGUAAUUGUUUUCUUUGUCUGGCAGGGUUUGGAAAAAAUUCACCAAAAAACCUUCGGGACUCCCGAAGAAGCUGCAAUUUAGACACCCGAAAGUAAGUACUAUAGUAGCAUGUUUCGCGCAUCUCCUAUUGAUUCAAGCGCUAGUUUCAUCAAUACCAUUAGGCAUUCUUGCUUAUCAGUUUGAUUGACCUUAUUUCUUGUAAAGUGGUUGUGGCAGGAACAAGGGAAUGAUUUAUGUGGAUACUACGUUUGCGAGUCCAUCCGCCACACGACCUGUGAGCGGGGCUACUCUGACGAACAAUAUGAAGUGCAUAAAUAACAACAUUCAAAAUUUUAUUUUAUUACCAUCAUUUGUGUUGAGUUUCAUUCAUAUAUAUAUAUAUAUAUAUAUAUAUAUAUAUAUAUAUAUAUAUAUAUAUAUUGACCCCCUUCUUCAAAUUAGAUGUUUCAGAAGCGGGAUGAACUCCUAGCACCAGCUCGCAUGUGAGCAAUUCAAGAGGAAUUGGCGGCAUUCUUUCUUGACCAUGUGAUCGCUGAAGACGGAGAAUACUAUGUGGACCAUGUGUCCGUAUGUUAGGAGAUUAUAUUUGUAAGAGAUAAUUAUUGUAUAUAUGUAGCCGGUAGUGUCGGAUAGAUAUAUGAGAACUUGUUAUUCGACCAAUCUCUUGGAGAAGGAGAGGUGGUCGAUACCACUUCUCUCUGUAUGCAUAUAUGUUCAUGACAAUCUUCUGUUUCCUUCGUUUGCUUACUAGCUAGCUAGCGUGUCUAGUCCUCUCUAUACGUAUGUAUAGUACGUAGCAUCGACCAAGCACGGACAUAAGAGAGGACACUUCUCUCUAUUAAUUAUAACUAGCUAACACAAUAUAUGAAACACCUAAAUUAACCCCCCAAAACCCCCAACCCCCCCCCCUUUCAAAAAAAAAACAAAAACCCCAGCCACAGAAAUGCUGACGCGUGGAUUCCUAUUGGUCCCGGUUGGUGCCACCAACCGGGACCAAAGGCCCUCCUGCCUGGGCUCCGCGCACAGGCCACGUGGAGGCCCAUCUGUCCCGGUUCUGGAUUGAACCGGGACUAAAGGGACAGGGCAUUAGUACCGACCCUUUAGUCCCGGUUCAGGAACCGGAACAAAAGGCCCUUACGAACUGGGACAAUAGGCCCUUUUUCUACUAGUGCUACUUAAUGGGAAAAGACAACAAUACAAUAGCUUCAAUUCAACAUUUAUUUAAAACAGUACCAAUACAAGUAGCACAACAUCUCAAAGCACACUACACAUCAUGUGGUUGAGACCAAGAUUUGAAACAACUCGCCACGAAGACUGGAAACAAAUCUCGAUCUCCUUUUGUGCAGUUCCACCAAAAUUAAGCAAAGUCACCGGUGUGACAUUCAAGUUGAACUGCAAAAAACACUCUUAAAAUAUAAGUGUUUCGAGUAGCGAAGAAAAAUGUCGCAAUAGCAACAAGUUGAAUCGAUACCCCUGUUUUAACAGAGGCAAAAAAAGGAAACAAUUACUUGCUGAUAAAGGAGGAUGAAACAAACGGUGACAGAAAGAAGCAUCUAACUUAUCUUGGAUGGAAAACAAAGUAGGACAGUAGCAUUUGUAAAAUGGUUGCAUUGAUUCAUAUUAACAGAGACAUUCUCUUGAAACAACAUUCGUUAAAAAUGUAAUUUACUUUUAACAGUGGCAUUGCUUCAAUUUUUCGGCGGCAUUCUUAGAUUAACAAUAGCAAAAUAGUUGUAUGGGACAUGCCAGCACCAUGUGCGUCCACAUGUAUAAAUGGGUGAUGCAGAGUAUGUAGCCAAGCAGCAUAUAUGCGCUGGUCCCAUAUUUGUUCUCUUUGAACCUUCUUCCUAUGUGAGGGCAGCAAAUCUAGUCCUGCACAAACUACCCGACCCCCCCAGUUUCUUUCCCAUUUCAACAAAGAGCUUAGUUCCUUACAGAUGUGUGUACUGGGUUACCCCCUUUUUCCCUUUUCAACCUACAAAGCGGCUGGAUAGCCAGUCUAUACUACUUUCCGCCCCUCCUUUCCUCAUUGAACCAUGUCCUAGAUUCUUGCUCCAUCCCACCGCAUCCUUCUUUCCUCUUUCAACCAAGACCUAGAUUCGACUACAGAUCGAAAAAAAUCCACAUGAAGCUAGAGCAAUGACGGUUUCAAAGAAACUUAUACCUUAGGGUCGUCGGGAUGUGGCAAGGCGUGCGGCGAGAGGCCGGAUCUGCCCACACUACGUACGGCAGCAAGGAAGAAGGGGUCGGUGGCCCUCCCGCACAGGCACUGGUUGAAAGAGAACAGUGCAGCCGGCAGUGGAUUGCCUCCCUCGCCGAAGGCGAUGGAGUGAACGCUGCACCUCCUCCCCUUCCCGGUGCGAUGGGAUACGGACACCUCCUUCACCAGCUGUGAGGGGGAAGAGAGAGACAAGAGGCCAACGCAGUCUUGUUUACAUCUGGUGAAGAGAGGGUGAGAGACUGUGAAUAUAGCAAACCCUAGCAAAUGAACGUUGAGCCUCUAGCGUGUAACAUAUAUGUAGUGCGGCGAGCGUGUGGAGAGUGCAAACCCUAGCGAACAAGCGUUGAGGCUCCCAUUUAUAUAUAUACUACUGUAGUACGGACUGAGCUCCGGUGCCUUCACUGCACCUGCUUUUGGCUGUAUGACAGGUGACCCAGCCACAUUUUGGGCCCACCUAUCAUAAAUCCAAAGGCAGGUGCACUAACUCAAUGAAGUUGCGUCCAUAUAGUACUCUCGUGUAUACGACUAAUAUAUAGUGGAGUGGUUUUCUUAUUCUCUCCAUAACAAUCGUUUUAAAUUGUGUAAGUACGAAACAAAACUCUUUAUUUAAUGUACAGUGAAGAAAACUAGUACUACUUCCGAUGAACUAAUGAUCCACGCCCACGCGUCCUGGUCGCACUUCCUGUCCUUCAUGUGUGGUACACUACCCUCCCUUAAGUGAACAACCACACAUGCGCCAAAUUAUCGGAAACGUGUGAGAGUGUGUACAAAUAAAGAAUUUUAAUUUCAAUUAUCGGAAAGGUUUGAGAGUAUUACAAAGUUUGACUUCAGUCAAAUCUAAUAUGCAGAGUAAAUCAAAAUGGAGGUCUACUACGUCCAUCCGGGUUUUUAGUCCACACCAUUUUUUAAAUCAAAGUUAAUAGAUGGACAAAUAAAAUUACAGGGGAGCUGGAGACAAAGUUGUGAGAAGGCUUAGAAAUCAAUACAAAACUUAUGCUCUUAGUACCAACGUCGAUCCUUCUUCGAGGAAAUAUUUGGUUCAUAGCCAAUUGUGUGAUAAAAUUGCACCAACGUGAAAGACGACUGCGUCUCCAACGCAACCAAGGUGAACUGACAAAGGAUAUCAUCUUUGUGCAUAACAAGCAAAGAGCACUGAUGGAAGAGAGCUUGUUUUUCAUUGAAAAUCGAUCAACUUCACCAGCCGACGCAACCAUGAGGCGCAACCAUGAGCAUCGAUAGGUCAGCGUGGUGAUGCAUCAUCCAUUUGGCAUCAAGUUUGGGUGAGGCACCUAUGAAGUUCGACAAAUCCUCACUGUGGUCUGUUUCUUCUCAGUAAUCAAGCUCGAGGAAGGAAGAACCACGUAGCAGAUGACAGUGAGGCAGAACAACAAUGGCCAUCCAAUUUUGUGCAGUUCCACUAAAAUUGAGGAAGACAUGCCCGGGUAUGAAGACACACAUCGCUAUUUCCAAAAAUAUAAAAAAGGGUUAGCAACGACAUCUUAAUUGUCAAUAAGAAUUAAUGAAAAGUACACCAACAAACAGAAGCAUCAUAAUUAUCUUGAUGGGAACUAAACCAGGAUACCCGAGAAAAAAAGGAUUUCUUCAUUUAACCAGUGAUAGUACUACCACCAUAUGGACAAUGACCGCACAACCACCAUGUACUUUUGUCGAAACAACAUGUAUACCUCCACCAAGGCAUAAAUCAGGACAACUUUUCGAGUGGCAUUUCCUCUAUAAUAGUACUAGUAGGUGAUGUUGGACCAGCCGACGAACCCUAGCUACUAUGCAUGGGGAGCUGGGGAGUAGUCACAUAGAAGAAAACCCGCACGCAGCGACCUGGGGAGCUGGACCAAUACAAGAAGUUAUACCUCAGGUGGGCGAGAUGCCGUUUAGGCGGGCGGGUGGGAUCUGCCCACACGACGGCAGCGAACAAGGGCGCAGAGGAUCUUCGUCCACGCCAGCGCCGACUCCGAGACGACGGUGUGCAUCGGCUUCCUCCAUCACCGACGGCGACAACGUCAAUGCUGCACCUCCUCACCUCCCGCAGCAGACGGGAUUCAGCUGGAUCUGUGACCACCGGUGAGGAGAGAGAUAGAGUGGACAAUGUCAUCUUGUUUUGAUAUGGAGAGGGUGAGAGAGCGAGACGCGAGAAACUAUAUCAAACAAGAGGCUAUAAUGGAGUAAAAAAAUCUCUCCAUAGUAGUGGUUUUAAAUAGAAUACGCGCGUUCCCAUAAAAAAGAAACGAAAACUGGCGGACAAUUUUUAAGGGUCUGUCUAGGACACAUCUAGAUGUGACAUAGUUAUGUCACAUCUAAGUUGAUAUCCACUCUGUUUGUGGUCUAUUUUUUCCUAGUUUUUUUUCUUGUUGCUACAUUAUAUACUUGUGGGAGCUUAGAUGUGAUAUCCUUAAAUAACAUCUAGAUGUGAAUUAGACAAACUAAUUUUCUAACGUACCAAGAAAGAAAACUCGAUCAAAAAUAUGCCCCCGCUUCCAGGUCGCGAGUCGUCGCGCGCACACACACAUAGACAUAGACAUGCAUAUCCGUGUUUAUGUGAAAUUCCAUUUCCAUCUCCAUCUCCAAUCAUAUUUGUCCAACUGGCACAUUAUUUACAUUGAUAAUUAUAUACGCAAUAAUAUUAACGUACAUCAUCUCUUGUUUGCGCACGUCCGGACCGCUGCCACGGCCGGUCCUGACCAACCCGAACCCUCUUCAUCAUCCGUGCGUGCUUCCCGCCCGAAACAGUCAGUGCCGCAUUCAUGCCCGGCCAGAGCGGACGCGACCUCUCACUGGUGCCGGCAUUGAAGCGGCGCGCCGGCCGAGAGAGCGUCGCCCGCGCCGCUUACGGAUGCAUGCGGCUGCUCCGCGUUCAAAGGUCGCAAUAGCCGGCUACAACAUGCAUGUAAAAAGUUCUUGGGAGUCCGUGCUACAGCUAGCUGUCCUCCCCCAACUCGUCAAUCUCUUCCAGUAGUGCUAGUACUCCAUGGCGCGAUCCAUCGGCAAGCAGGCAGGAAAGUUACCGUAUACUCAGUGUGUGGUGAGUGGCAUGCCGAGUGACCGUGUGGGGUCGAGUCGUGGAGGAGGGUGAGACAUGAACACAAUAGACGUGAUUUAAAUGUUGGUUUUGCUCGAUGGCGCGAUCCAACGAAACGAAACGUUGGUUUCUCUCCAUUUCCAUUUUUUCUCCAGAAAAACGGAAACUUUCCACUCCAUUUUCAUUCCUAUUCCAAAGUUGCCCCAUUACAACAUUCCAUAAAAUACAAAGGAAAACUAACACGCAUGCUGAUGCAUCUCAAUGAUUCACAGAUCAUAGCCAAUAUUUACUUCACAACUAAAGAAAAAAGUUGUGAGAGCGUGUACGAAAGAAAAACUACUGAUGGAGUCACUACGACUUAAACCCUAAACCCUAAACAUGAUUUAAUUUCCUGGCCAGGUAGAACCUGUCGAAGGAAAGACGGCUGGCACCCUCGGAUCAUAUGAUGCUUUUGUGCAGUUCCACUAAAAUCAACCUGAGCAUCCCUGAUGGCAAAGAUAUUGAAGAAGUGUGAUUAGAAUAAUAGUACUGGCACUAGUUCAUGAGACAUAAACUCAUCACAAGUAGAAGCCGAUAGAAGUAGAGAAAGAUCGACAUGGAGAUGGAGCUACAGCAGUGAAGCAAGCCGGCUCCGAAAGGAAGAUGGACUACCUAGGACGUCGGGCUAUAGCUAGAAGGGCGGUUGGGACGCGGCAUCGGCCCAUACCGCGGUGACCCCCGAUUGGGACGCACCGACUAUGGGUUUUCUCCCUCGCCGAUGUCGACUGCGUCUACGCAGAACAUUGUUCCCUUCCCCCAGCUGCGGGAUCAGGCACGUCGUUCUAUGCUUGUGAAGAGAGCAACCUAAGCAAGCAGGCUUGUAGCUUAGGCUCCUGCUAGUGUAUAUAUAGUGGUUUUUUUUUCUCUCCAUAUCAACCAUUUUAUAUUGCGUACGUGUCAUUCAAGAGUGAAAUGAUGGUUGCUUCUUCCGACUAACUUACUGUGUGAUUUGACUGCUCCUUAGUGGCCCCUACACGUACUCCCCCUGCGUGUAUGCAACAGUCACACGUACACAUGGACGCAAAAACGGGCGCGACGCCCUAAUGCAUGCAUCUCCGAGCACACGACGGAACACACACGGUCACGCUCAAGUGCUCAACUUACACGUGCAUGCACACACAUACUCAGUCAGGGUGAGCUAGUGACCGUAUAAACACCGGAAAAUAUAUAUAUUGAGCGCAAUUAGCGUAUUAUGAAGUCCACUGACCGUAGUUUUACAAAUAUACACUGACAGACAGUGUAUUUAUCUCGUUUGAAAUUAAGCCAUAUUAACCGGAGAGGAGGCAGUAUGGACUAGCAUUACUUUGAUUUGUCCCGUCAACUUGCCGAAUGAGGAGAAGGUUGCAGGACGGGAGAAGCUUGCACGCGGUGGCUCGCAGGACAAGGAGAAACUUUUGACUAAUGCAAGCUCUCCCUCGCUCAGGCGGUGGACGUGCAACAGUUAGUUCGGUGUCAGAUUGCCAGAAGCAUACACUAUACUACUAGUGCUAUUAUUGUUCGACUUCUCGAAUAGGCGAACAGCCAAGCGCAAAGUUUACUAGUACUAAUACUAUAGUCUAUAAAGGUACGUACUAUACUAGUACUAGGAACCGGAUGGAGGAGCGUCUGCACUCUUAUUAUAAUUUUAAAAUGUGAUAAAGCAAUCUUCAACACAUUUGGUUCUCUUCGAGGGUUCUCGCAUGUGAUAAUGGAAGUUGAUUGCAUGGAACACUCGCCACAAUUCUCGCUUAAUUCUGGCUCAUAUCCCGUUACAAAUAGUAGUGCUCGGUAAUAUUUCCUCUUUUUUGUUAUUCAGCAUGUAAACAGGUCAGCAAACCUUGUGACGCAUCUUCGUGCGAACCAUGCUUGCUGCACUUUGAAUGUGGCCGAGAGCUGGCUUGAUGAAACACCUCGCUUCCUACUUCUUUUUUGCGGGGUACCUUGCUUCCUAGUGACCAGUGUCUUGGCUGAUUGUCCUAAGAGUGCUUAUAUAUGAAUAAAGCUCUCUCAUUUACCCGCAAAAAAGAUUAAGCCAUAUUAACCGGAAAGGAGGGAGUAUGGACUAGCACUACUUUUUGGUGUCUCCCGUCAACUCGUAGAACGAGGAGAAGCUUGUAGGACAAGGUGGAGCUCGCUUACGGCUUUUGACUAAUGCAACCUACCCUCGGUGGACAUGCAUCAGUCCAUUCGGUGUCAGAUUGUCAGAGGCAUACACAGUAGUACCCAACAUGCGGAGUACCAUCAUUGUUCAACUUCACGAAGAGGCGAAGAGCCAAGCGCAGUAGUAUGAGCAGUACUACUACUAGAACCGCAUGGUGGAGCGUCUAUACGCUUUUUUAUCUCUGAUAAAGUACACGUUUAUUCCGGAGAAGGGCGGAAAACGGCAGCCUAACAUGUAAUGAAUGAUAUCGAUCAACCAACCAUGCUCGAAUAUAUCUUGGCCUCCGUGCGAGCCCGUCUGUGUGUUCUCGCUCCUCGUCUCUCUCAAGGAACAGUGGGUUGGCUCUUUGUCAUCAAUUGAGAUCGGUUUGCUCACACUCCUGUCCCACAUGUCAGUGAUAUGCCAAGAGGAGGUGCAUUGACCGACUGGCCAUACGCGUACUUGGUUUUGCACCUUCAUACUACUCCUCCCUCCGUCACAGUUUACAGGGCGCGCUUCAUUAUGAUGCAUUUCUCUCAAUGCAUUUCCACCAUCAGAGAGACUUUAGAUGCAUUUGGUUUAAUGCUCAAUUAAUUAGCGCGUGGUAACCGCAAUCAAGUCCACAAUUUUCUCUCCAUGUACUGUACUACUACGGAGUGGAGUAAGUGCAUGCAUGUGUGUACCCGGGGUGGAAGCACUGCAUGCAUGUGUGUACGUAUUAUUCUCUCUAGUAAUAGACGCCAUGCUAUAACUACCAAUGCUAUUUUUCAGGCCGAUCGUUGGUCGCCUUGGUCCCACAGAUUUUUUUUCUUUUUUCUGAAGUGCGCUGUAUAAACAGUGACGGAUGGAGUAGUAUGAGCGGAUUCAAAGAAGAGCGUAUUGAUGGUUGCUUCUUCAGAGCAACUUAUAGUGGGAAAGGUGGGGCUUAUGAUUUGACUGCUCAUUACUNNNNNNNNNNNNNNNNNNNNNNNNNNNNNNNNNNNNNNNNNNNNNNNNNNNNNNNNNNNNNNNNNNNNNNNNNNNNNNNNNNNNNNNNNNNNNNNNNNNNNNNNNNNNNNNNNNNNNNNNNNNNNNNNNNNNNNNNNNNNNNNNNNNNNNNNNNNNNNNNNNNNNNNNNNNNNNNNNNNNNNNNNNNNNNNNNNNNNNNNNNNNNNNNNNNNNNNNNNNNNNNNNNNNNNNNNNNNNNNNNNNNNNNNNNNNNNNNNNNNNNNNNNNNNNNNNNNNNNNNNNNNNNNNNNNNNNNNNNNNNNNNNNNNNNNNNNNNNNNNNNNNNNNNNNNNNNNNNNNNNNNNNNNNNNNAACGAGUGACUACUCAAAUAUUUGUCUUUUUAGAGAUUUCAAAUUGACUGGCACAUACGGAUGUAUAUAGACAUAUUUUAGAGUGUAGAUUCACUCAUUUUUCUCUGUAUGUAGUCACUUGUUGAAAUCUCUAGAAAGACGAAUAGAAUAUUUAGGAACGGAGGGAGUACACAUACGAAGCAAAAUGAGUGAAUCUACACUCUAAAAUAUGCCCGUUUGAAAUUUGUAAAAAGACAAAUAUUUAGGAACGAAUGAGUAUAAUUUUGUGCAUGGCACAUGGAUCCGGAUGAUGAAGAGGCUUCUGGCAAUGCUAUCAAGCUUCCAUCAUUUGUUUACAUAAUUGACGUACUAUACAAAUAAUUUUCCAGCGACAUAAAAUUGUACAAUGGUGUGAGCUUUCAGCUUUUGUUUUGCGUGUCUUGUCAUCGAUGCUCUUUCGGAAACAAUAAAAACUAACUUCCUUGCUAAUGCAUGUCAAUUAUUAGCAUAUCAGAGCUAAUAAUUACAUCACAACUGAAGACAGAGUUGUGAGAAGGUGUUAAAUUAAAAUUGAUACAUGCUUUCAUUGGCAGCAACGUCCCCCCAUCUCUGUCUAAAUCAACAAGGCAUGUUGGGAAAAAAGUAGCUGUCUAGAGCAUGCAACAUUCCGAUCAUUUUGUGCAGUUCCACUAAAAUAGAGCUGAGCGUCCCUGUUCCAAAGAUAUUAAGUGUGAUUACGAUAAUAGAGUACCGCUGAUGAAACAAUAAACACACAAAUAGAAGCUGGUCACCUUUGCAGUCUCUCUUAAGACUAACUAGUUGGAGAAGAUUAGGCUCGGAGUUGGAUGAGGAGGAUAGAGCAAAACCAAUCUCCCUUUGUGCAGUCGUACUAAAAUGUAGAGACGUUGCCCAUGUGACAUUUUAGUACAACUGCACAAAACACUCUUAAGAAAAAAGUGAUUUGUGCAGUUCACCAAAAGGUCGCAAUAGCAACGAGGUGAAAUGGAUAGCCCUGUUUGCAAAAAAGAGGUAGAAAGGAAACAAUUACUGGCCAAUAACAGUUGACGACACAUGCGACGACAAAAAAGAAUCAUAUUCCUUGUCCUAAGGGAAGAUAACAACAUGGUUGUGUUUGUCUAAAACGGUGUGAGGACGAUAAUGCAAUAUGGAAAGUACGCCGGACGAGCUAUGUUUUGGGCAAAGAACUAUGGAAGAUCCACAUGCAGCGACGUGGGAAGACGGGCAGCGGAGCAAUGCCGGAGGGGAUACCUGGACGUCGUCGGGAUGUAACUAGGUGAGCGACGGUGGGCGGAAUCUGCGAGCAGGUGGCGUAGGCCCUGCUGUGCCGGAGCUUGGUCAGAGAGAACGACGUGUACCGCAGAUCGGGACGUGCUGCCUCGGCGCCGUCGAACGGAGAAACGAUGCACUUCCUCCCUUUCCCCCGGUGGACAGGAUGCGGCCAAAUCAGUGACCAACGGUGAGAGAGAGAGAGGCCACCACACUCCCUUUCCCCCGGCGGACGGGAUGCGGCCGGAUCAGUGACCAAUGGUGAGAGAGAGAGAGAGGCCACCGCAGCCUUGUGUGAGAUACUCUGAAGAACGACAAACCAGGCAGGCAGGCUCCAUUGUAUAUAGUGAGUGGACUACCUUUUUCUCCAUAAAAAUCAUUUUAUAUUCUGUGUGUGUGCCAUUGAGCGCUAUAACUUUAUUUAAAAAUAACGCGGCAACGCGUCAAGUCAGACUUUGUUUCGUGCACGCGUGGUACACGACCUCCCUAGGUAAACAACCGCUACAUGCGUUCAAAUUAGCACGUAGGCUGCCAUUUCGUAAAGAAAUGAGCUCCACCGUGUACCUGCACAGGUGUGGCUGGGCAUGAAGCAUGAGUACGUGCACGGUGCACCUAUUCUCUUCUUGUAUACGUACACCACCUACGUGGGGUUGUGUGAGAGAGAUACAAACCUAGAGAGAUAUAGUGUGUGGGUUCUUGAGAGUUUUUGGGGGGGGUCAAUCAAAAAAUGUAACAUAUGCAAUGUGUGUGAAAUAGAGUCCUGGAUAUAACAUAUAUAUAGAGGGGGCGAUCCACGAGAAGAGAGUGGAGGUAUCAUCGGCUUGAGAUGUCCAUAGAAUCGAAGAGAGGGAUGAUGAUGUGUGUGUGUGCGCGCGCGAUCGAUAAAGAGUGCCAUCGAAUUUGUGUGUGCCCACGUCAAAGAUACAGAGUGGCUGGCCUACUGGAAUGUGAGAUGGGACAUGUGCAGUUUGUCUCUGUGACAUGGAUACCUAUCUGCAGCGCUCGACUAUCGGUGCGUGGUGGGGGAAGAGGGAGGCCCAAUUAACUAUAGAGGUACAAUGGCUGGUAUAUGUGUGGAGGAGGAGAGAGGCCUACCUCAUGUAUUAAGGAGAUCGAUCUACCUCAUGUAUCAAGGGAGAUCGAUCGGCAUCCAUGCAUAUGUGCAAGAGAGGAAUAAGGUUGGGAGAGAGACAGAGCUAGAGUGUUGGAGGGGGUGGUAGUGGAGUUGCUUCUAACAAAUGGUGGGAUAGGCUUGCUAGACAAACGGAGGGCAAGCCCGCAAUAUCAAUAAGAGAGGAGAUGGCUGCUUGUUGUAUGUGCACGUGCGUGUGAGAGACGGGUCAGGAGGCAUGCACAAAUGAUGAGGGGGGACGAUGUGGUUGUGGUAAGCAGACGUAACUACAUAGGAAGAUCAAUCGCCCUUUGUUAGAGAAAGGAGAGACAUAACUUGUGAGGUACAUCAAUCGAUGGGGGGUAGUUAAAGUCGAUCUAGGUAUAUGUUGGGAGAUCGAUCGGUAUACAUGCAUGUGUGUGUUAGAAGCAAAUGAGGCAAGAGGAGAAGGAUAGAGAGAGGGGGAUGCAUGUAGGAGGUGGUACGAGAGGCAUACUAUAUCGAGGGGGAGGAGUGUGCGAGUACGAGAAUGAUGAAAAGAGUGGUGGGAGUGAGGCAUGGACGGUGACAAGAGAAGAGAGGAAGCUUGUGUUUGUGCUAGGCACACCUGGCUAGAGAGGCAAAUCGAUCGAUGUGUGCCGUAAAGAAGGAGCUGGGAGGGCUACACACACCAUGGGUGAACGACCUAAAGUGAAAAGACGAAUUUGCGCAAUGGAGCUAGAGAAUGCUGAGGGAGGGUGAGAGGGAUGCGGGCAUGUGCACGCACAAGAGAAAGUUAGCGCUAGCUACAAAGAUAAGAGGGUUGUGUGGGUGUAAAAGACGAAUAGAGAUCGUAUAUACUACAUUAUAAAAAGCGAAUUCGGAUAUUUGAAGAAUUUAUCAUAGUGUUUCAAACCGACGCAUGUGUGAAUAUAUAUAACGGUGAUACACAUGGUGUGGUUAUGAACAUGUUAUACUACAUUUAAUAUAUUUUAUCUCUACUCUUAUAAAAACGGAGUUGUUGAUGAUGGUGUGCCUGCCAUCUGCAUUAUAGGCCGUCCAAUUUAUAUCUGGCGGAUAGCAAGGAAACUAUGAUGGUUGAAGUUGGCAACAAUCAUGAUUGUAGAUUCUUAUUGAAAUAGAGAAACGAAUUCAAAUUUAGUUCGAAUUGCAGCGGUAGUAUAGACAUUUGGAAUGCACUAAAAUGUUGGUAUGAGUAGGUUACAUGCAUUAUACAGCAAGCGAAAAAAAUUAAUCGGACAUAACAUGGAUUCAUACUCCCUCCUUCCAUCUAUAUAGGGUGUAAUGAGAUUUUUAAGACCGCCUUUGACUAUUGACAAGAUUAAUAGUACAUGACAUGCACAAUGUGAAAAUUAUAUCAUUGAAAGAACCUUUCACAGACGAAUUUAACGGUGUGCUUUGUGUAAGUUGCAUGUCAUAUAUCAUUGCUCUGAUAUUUGGUCAAAGUUAGCAUCGAAAAACGCAUUAGGCCCUAUAUAGAUGGAAGGAGGGAGUAGCUUUGAAUAGCAUUUGUAUAGUAAAACGGGGCAAGACUCUCUCUUUGUGUGGUGUGAAUAGUUUUAUUUUUUUUGUUUUCUUUUUGGUUGAGGGAAGUGCGAAUUGAUUUGGUACGUACAAGUACAAUAUUACUACACAUUAGGCUUGUCCCUAAAAUUCAACCCGCAUCUUGUUAUAUCCCGAAAAUUCAGAUACCGUGCUCCCAAAACUGGCACCUUCACAACCCGUGCCUUGCUAUCCCGAAAUUACAACACGCGCGAAAAAUCCCUCCAGCUGCCAAAUCCCGACACUCGAAAUCCCCCUUCUAACCCUGAGCCGAAAGGGCCGCUAGUUCAUCCUAGUUCAAAUCGGCGGGGGGUAUUUUUGUAACACACCCUACAUUUUGGACAAGCGCGUCCCCUAGUCAUGCUUCACCCCCUCCCAUCGCCCCCUUUUUGCCAUUCGAAAUCCCAGGCCGCCAUAACCUCUCCGCUCCAGCCGCGAAACCCCACACUCCUCCAUCCGCCAACGUCACCGCUGCCCAGCCGGAGCCUCUUCCCUGACGACGGCGUCCACCGCAACAGCUCGACGUCCCUCGUCCACCUCCCUGGAUGAGGAUCCGUCGUCCAUCUCGCCGUCCCGCCGGUUCAGCCGCCCCGUCCUCCACCUCCAAGGAGCUGCUCCGAUGAUCGCCUCGUCUAUCGCGGCUGCUCCAUCCCCACAGCGCUGCCUUAACCUGCUCCACCAGAACCGCAGCAUCCUCACCGACUCCUCGGACAAAGUCGAGGCCUACUCAGCGCCACCAAAGAGGUUGUACACUCAUCGCAUCGCACCUUCUCCUUAACUCGACCUCCCGGCGCCAACGGUGCUCCAUCCCGCACCCCCAUGGAGCGGCUACCUUGAAGCCGGCACCGCGGGUGACAUCUCCACGGCGGCUCUCCCCUAGUGUGAGGCCCCUUCGGCGGCAGCGUCCAUACCAGCCGGAUUUGCUACUGCUGCUCCGGCUCUCGCUCGCUCGCGCUACUGCUGCUGCUCCGGCUCUCGCUCGAUCGCUCGCUCGCCCAGCUGCUGCUGCUGCUCUCCCCCUUGCUCGUGAUGCUGCUCUUCUCCGAUUAAGCGACACUUCAGUCGACUGAAUCGACUUUUGGGUUAGACGAUUUUCAGGGGUUGGAGGGGCUCGCCGGAGUUAAGGAAGAACCACCCGCAGCGGGGACGGGGGCUCGUCGGAGAGGUACCAUUGCGUUCACGGGGGCUCGCCAGAGAGGUACCACCCGCUCAGGGGGGUGCAGGUUGAAGAUGAACUGCAGGCCCUCCCUAAACUACAUGUCAAGUGCCUCCCUGCUACCAUUGCGUUCAGUUUCGACAAUAGCAUUCAGAUUCCACAGUAAAUUUCAGUUUCGACAGUUAAGUUCAGAGUCAACAGUUUUUACCUCAUCUGUUGUAGUCAGGUGGUUUUUGGUGAUGUUAAUUUUACAUCCAUUUUACAUCAUCUAUUGGAGAUGCUAUUAGAAUCCCACUUGAGAUUGACGAUGUAUGUCUUGUGGUGCUUCAGCCUUGACGUCUUACGGCUCACCGGAGCUGCUCCAACGACAGAACGAUCCAUCACAACAGAGCAGUGCCCUGGACGCCGUCUACAGAUUCCUCAGAUCUUCCUCCACACCUCCGACAGCCACCUCUGCCUCAACUGCUUCAGCGACCAACCCAAUGAUGCUGAGGUCGACACGGCUACGGCAAAGAGGUUGUACACUUGUUGCAUCACUUAUUACUAUACAUUCACAUCGAUCCAUUAAGGCUAUUUUGGUUCAAUGGAAAAAUGUCGAUCCACUGGUUGUUACCAUCACUCUAAAUUUUUGCAUGCUCUCCUUACAUAAUCUCACCAUAUUAUUUUUGUAUGCAAGUCAGAUAUUGUACACAGUCAUGCUGAACAUGUAGAGAAAAAGAGAAGAGUUUUGCGCGGCAAUACAAUGUCAUGCAGACAUCGCUCCAUGGUGGGUUCAAUGGCAAACCCUCUCCACCCCUCUCCAGAUUGUAAUCCAGAGGAAGAUAUCUGUUCUGAGGCGGAUUCAGAUGCCGCUGACCACUCCUAUUUACCCCCAAGGUGUUUGCUCUAUCUUGGCAUGAUGAUGUUAGUCAUAUCAUGCAUAUGUUGCCUUGCAGUGCCUACUUUUGACAUCAUAUAUGUCGUCUGCUUAGUUUAGACAUGUUCUGUAAUGCCACCUGUUUAGUUUCUAUACCAUAUAUGGGAAUUAUGCAGUCUCAUGUCUUUUAGCCAGCCAUAAUAUAUGUGAAAUGUGCAAUGGCAUCUUGUUUAACCAGGCGUCAUAUAUUUGAGUGAUAUCUUGCCCAUCCUUUUCUUCAUUACAUUUCCAUUUGUCGACAAUGUUUGUACAUUAAACUACUCUUCCUGUGAAUCAGCCAUUUGGGUGGGAGAUGGAAAAAUCUGGAGUGAAAACAAGGCCUUCAGAGCAGACAGUGCUACCUGUCGAAGCAGAUCUCUUGUUGGGUCCCGAUAGCUCCUCGGAGAUGGAUUCAGAGACAGAUGACUAGUCCUAUUCCCCCACUGAGAUGUAUGCUCUAACUUGGCACGGUUAUACUGCUCAUAUCAUGCAUACGGUGUCUUGCAUUGCAUAGUUUAGACAUCAUAUACACAAUAUUCAACACCGUGUUCUUAGUUCAGACAUCAUAACGAAUGCCCUCUGUUUAGCAUAUAAAUCACAUAUGUGAAUUAAAUGAUGCGAUCCUGAUUACUUAGAUAACAUGUAGGUGAAUUAUGUCCUGCGAUCCUGUUUAGUUAUUGAUCAUAUCUUUGAAUUAUGUUAUGCUAUGCUAUCCAGUUUAGAUAGACAUCAUAUAUGUGAAAUUAUGUCAUGCUAUCUGUUUUAGUUAAACAAUAUACAUGUUAACUAUUUCAUGCCCUCUUUUUACACACUAUCUAUUACAUAUGUCUCUCAUACAAUGUCUGUACAUUCAACUAUGUUUCCUGUUUAUCAGCCAUUUGAAUUGGAGCGGGUGAUGCCAGUAUCUAGCGGACUAAAAACACGGUCUUCAAAUAAAACAGUGCUACCUCUUGGUGGAGAUAGCACCCCGGUUGUACAUGCACAAGAACCAGCCCUACCACACAUAACCCAAACUCUCGCAGAUUGUAACCCUACUGCGAUGGACAGAGAACCAGCUUCACCCAAUCUAACCCCAAUCCCAGCUGAUAGUAACCCAGUUCCUAUUGACACAGCACCAUCACCACCAUAGAGCUCCCAAACAAGAGCAGCUAGUAAGGCAGCUCCAGUGCCCAAAGGGCCAGUACUAUCACGGCGAACCCCAACUCCACCAGUUAGUACGCCUAUUCCUGUGGAGGAAGCACAACCAGCUAUUCGUAGUUUAGCAUCUAUCGCAUUUGAUGUUGUUAAAUCGUAUGUGCUUAUCUUCCCAUCUUGGAAAUAUUAUACUGAAGAUGAAGGAAAAUGCCAGUUGCAGGUGUUUGUCCGGGAGUUAUGUGUAAGUAAUGUUAUUCAUGGCAAUUACUUUGCUUCAUACCAUACAUCCUACCUCCAUGAUGGUUAUAAUACAGCAAAUUUUCCCAUUUUUCUCUAUAGAGAAGGACCGAUUUGGAAACUCAGGAUUAGGUAACCUGUGCUAAUACAUCUGCUAUCUUCAAGAAUGCUUGGUGGCAGUAUCGGAAUUACCUGAAGAAAACGUACUUCACCGGCAAAGAAACUCAUCAAAUUCCCUUACGUUCUCCUGAGACACAUUUACUGGACGAUGACCGGGAACGCCUUGUUCUGUACUGGUCCCGAACCAAGAAUGUGGUAAGGUCUAUGAGCUCAUUUUCUAUUUUAAGUAUUAUAUUCUUGCAUCUUAUUGUACUCUGUUCAUGUAGAACAAGUGCCUAAACAUGAAGAACAAUUGUUCUAAUUUAAGAUUCCAUUGCUAUCAUAGUUCAAAAAAGCGCUAGGCGUUAAUUGUGCGUUUUGCCACCGCCUUGCGCUUUACUGACCAAAGCGCAUGCUUAUGCGCAGUUAUGCAUAGAUUAUGUGUACUUAUGCGCAAUGCAUUUUGCCAACGCCUAGAGCCUAGGCGCGCUUAAGCGCUCGCUUAGGCACACCUUUUUUAACUAUGAUUGCUUUGCUCUUGUAUCACUGUAUUUACUCAUACAAACUUAUUUUUAAAUUGAAAGAUCCAAUCGAAACUCCAAUGGCACAGUAGGUAUGUUCACGCAUGUUUCUUUAACAGGUUUGCUCUAAUCAAUAGCUCUAUUGAUUUCAAUUUCAAUUGUGUAUACAGUUGACUUUCAUAUCAUGCACAUUACUAGCAUCACAACAGAGCCAAUAGUGUUGUUGUACAUGUAGACCCGUGGUACCCAUUUGUAAUCUUGUUGUGCCGUGUAGUUUCCCACACUUUGUAUUCUUUGACUGCUGCUUUGUCUUGAACUUAUAUGAUUUGAACCGUGUCUCUAUUUUGAUUUGGCAAGACAAUGCAGUGACCAUAGGACACAGAUAUAUGUUUGUUUGAUGCUUUUAUUAUGUAUUAGUACUUGGCAAUAGAAGACUUCAUAGUUUAAUCAUGUCCACCUUACUAAUGAACUGGUUCACCGAAAUGAGUUUCAUAUACUAGUACAUGCUAAACUUGUUAUGUGUCUGCUUGUUUCUUCUUUUAGAAUGCUGACAGAAUAUUGGGGAAGAGUGCCUUAUUAAGCAAUGGUAAAGGAAGUAAUGCAUAUAAGGUUCAGGAUAGUGACACAUCCUUGUUGGUCUCCAACAAAGCUGAUAAAACAGCUAAGGAAGACUAUCUUGAAGACAGCGAGACAACCCCAAAGUCCUGUCUUGGUUUAGUGUUCGAGUUACUGGCCACUACCGCUUGCACAAGCUAUUCAAACUCACUGUCUGAAUCAGUUCGGUUUCUUGAGUCUCAACUACAAGCUGAAAGACAUCGAUCAGCUGUGUUGCGACAAGAAGCGGAAGGACUGCGGAAGUCCCUGGAGCAUUCAGAUGCAUACUUUCUGGUGCAACAGCAAGCGUUGGAGGAUUUUAGCGCCAAACAGGACAAAGCUAAUCAUCUUGCUAAGCUUAUUGCCAGCAUGGUGGGUACCCAGGAUAACAUUUCUUGAGCUCUUCUGAAGUUGUUUCAGUUAUGCUCUUGUUUUGCUGCCGCGUUUAUUUGCACCGGUGGCCAAUUUUGACGGCCAGUGUAUGUAAUGUGCUGCUUUGUUCCCUAUAUUUACACUGGUGGUGAACUUUGAUGCCCAGUGGAUGUAAUAUGUGUAAUAGCGGUAAUAGGCUAGCGUUAAUUGCUUGCUUAUUUAUUUCCUUAUUGUCUUGUUUAGUUGUUUGCUUGUAGUCACUGCAGUUCUUUUUCUGUUUUUUUCUAGUGGCCACAAUAGCCUAUUUUUGGUAACUAGGCCAAAAUAAUCAUGGCAACACAUGGACUGUUGUAACCAUGGGCCUCCUGCAGGCCGUAUGAUCCAUGGGCCUUCGUCCGGCCGUAGGAUCCAUCAGCCUUCUAUACGGGCCUUAGGGUCCAUGGGCCUUCUAUGGGUCGUAGGGUCCAUGGGCCUUCUACGGGUCGUACGAUCCAUGGGCCUUCUACGGGCCGUACUAUCCAUGGGCCUCAUACGGGCCGUAGGAUCCAUGGGCCUUCUAUGGGGCGUAUCAUCAUUUCGCUAAUCAUGGGCCGUACUAUUCAUGGACCAUAACGGGCCGUUAAUAGGCCGUAUUUGAUAACUCUAUGAAAACAUCCCAACGGGUUUUUUUACAUGAAAACGGCCCAACGUAUUAACGGUCCGCAAACGGGCCGAUUGUAACGACGGGCUGAAUUUGGCCAACAAGCAAAAAAUGACAGUAACGGGCCGUAUGUAACCGAAUGCUACAAAUGAGCCCAAGAAUCAAUGGGCCCUGAGAAGGCCGAAAGAUAACUUGGGCUGGAAACGACCCAAUGGAAUAACAGGCCGUUAAUGGGUAUAAAGUGAUACACUAUUCAUUACGGGCCAGUUUCACCACGGGCCGUUAAUGGGCCAAGAGUUACAAAGGUCCUCAUAUGGGCCGAAAGAAGUCAUGGGCCACACAUGGGCCGGAAGUUAAAACAAGCUGAAUCAUGUUGGACGGCCCAGAUGAUGCUACUGGGCCUAAUUCGGAUAGGGCAUAACGGGCCCUGGGUUAGCGGGCUGUAAAUGGGCUAUAUGCGAACAGGUCGUUAACAGGCUUUCCGUGGGACGGCCCGCCACCUUUUGACCAAGUCAAACAGGUCGGCCUUUUCACAGGAAUGGGCCUCUAUUGGGCCGUGCCACGUGUCGCCGUAUCAUAGGCUCCUUCGGUCCAAUGAGCGGAUGGCAUUUGUCCCAACGGUGAGCCGACACGUGUUUCCUCCAGCCAAUGAUGAUUUUACAUGUGGAAAAUCCCCAUUGGUCGGGGCUGUUAACGGGUUAUCGGAUCCAAAACCCGACCUGAUAGCUUAACGGCGUUCCGUUACAGUGGAUGCCACGUGUCGGUCACCCUUGACGAAAGCACUUCUGUGACGCGCGAUUUAUCGUCAUGGAAGUGGACACUUCCGUGAUGGUAAUUUUGGUAAUGUCAUGGAACACUUCUACGACAGCACAGGUAUGACUAUCUUGAUUCUGUCAUAAAAUCGUCAUGGAUGUACAUGCAUGACAAAAAACACGACCUACUUUGACAAACACGAAUCAUCACGGAAGUGUAUUUUUUUGUAGUGUGAAGAUGGCCACCGGAGAGGGAUUUCCCCCUCCGGCGGGGUGCCGGAAUGGGUGUAGAUUGGUUUUCGGUGGCUACAGAGGCUUCUGGCGGCGGAACUCCCGAUCUAUUGUCCUCCUCGAAGUUUUUAGGGUAUAUGGGUAUAUAUGGGAGGAAGAAGUACGUCGGUGGACCUCCGGGCUGUCCACAAGGCAGGGGGCGUGCCCGGGACUCUCCUGGUCCAACUCCGAUACUCCAUGGGCUUCUUCUGGUCCAAAAAUAAGUUCCGUGAAGUUUCAGGUCAAUUGGACUCCGUUUGAUUUUCCUUUUCUGCAAUACUCUAAAACAAGGAAAAUACAGGAACUGGCACUGGGCUCUGGGUUAAUAGGUUAGUCCCAAAAAUAAUAUAAAAGAGUUUAAUAAAGCCCAUAAACAUCCAAAACAGAUAAUAUAAUAGCAUGGAACAAUCAAAAAUUAUAGAUACGUUGGACACGUAUCACAGAUCUUGGUCAGCUUGAAGCUGUUGCUGCUUCUUUUUCAGGCUCCUUGCAGUGGCUGUUAGCUGGCGCUUAAAGCGCUCCUGCUCGAGAGGUUCCUCAGGUACAAUAAAAUCCUUGUUGCCGAGGCUCACCUCCUCCUCGGAGAGCGGAAGAUAACUACUGUUCUUUGAGUCUUUGUUGAUGGCCUGUUCAUUAGGGCUAACUUGCCCAUCUUCCCGAUCGUCAUGUUCGACAGUUCGUUCGUCGGGAUCUUCUCUGUCUUCGGCACCGUCCAGAGUGUUAUCGUCUCCCGUGCCGGUGUUGCUAUCUUUGUUGCGGCGUGAUUUAGAGCGGUGCCGCUGAAAACGACGCUUUGGUUCUAUCUUAGGAGGUUCAUCCUCAACUGGAUUCUCUUUUUCCUCGCCGCUGUUUUCUUUUGGUGCAUCCACCAUGUAAACGUCAUACACUACUAGGGAAAAGCCUAGCAGUAGCGCUGGUUUUUGGCCUAUCAAUAGCGUGGGUAAGCGCGCUACUGAUACGGCACUACAACUAAAGCUUAGCAGUAGCGCCUACUGGCACUCGCUACUGCUAUAUCUACUUAGUAGUAGCGCUUUCCAUAACAACCGCUACUGGUAAUUACUAGUAGCGCUUUCCAAAACAACCUCUACUACUAUUAUUCUGUAUUCUAUUUCUUUUAAAUUUUACGUCGUAUUCAUACACCUUUAUACAAUUUUUCAUACAGUAUCAAUUUAGAGAUUGAUUUUACAUUAUAAUGAGUUAUUAAAUCACUAGGUGAAAAAACCUUGGAUUAGUUUCAAGUGCAUGGAUCCAAAGUAACCAAUGGUCACUUUGGAUCCAUCCAUUUGAAACUAAUCCGCGGUUCUUUCACACAAUGACAUAAUAACUUAUCAUCAUCAUCAUCAUCAUAAUAUCAUUAACAACUUAUCAUCAUAAUAAAUCAUUGUCAUAUAACUCCUCAUCAUCAUCAUUUUUGUCCAUGACAUCAUCUAACAACUUGGUCACUAGUUAUAAUAACAACUCCUCAUCAUCAUCAUAGUACUCAUAAUCACUACUCCUACUCAGCAUCACCAUCAAGUAUAAGACACUGUAGCACGUAAUAAAAGCUUCUCAUCAUCAUCAUAGUCAUAUAUAAUCAACACUAACUAAUUGUUCUUAAUACUUAGGACCUACUCCUCUCUCCUAGCUAAAAUACCAUAAAACAGAUAAACCGGUCCUUCUCCAUAAUGGACAAUGGACAUAAACCUAUCUCCAACUUGUGGCUUGCGCACAUUCAUUUUGUCUCCAAUUAUUUGCGUGUGUGCAUUCAUCACUUUGCUCCAUUCUUUGAUUUUGAGCCUUCCAUCAUUUGAAGAAAUCGAGUAUGCAGUAUGGUAAGCCUUCGAAGGAGUUGGUCGUAAGCUAACCAUAUGCAUAUCACCUUCUGUAAAUAGAAUGCCAGGCACAACCUGCUUCGGGAGCCUCUGUUCAAAAACGUAAUAGUAAAAUAUAUAGUUAGCAAUGUAGUUUACUUAAGAAUAAUGUAUACAAUGAAGUUACCAUCAUUAACAAAAUCUUACCAAGUUUUUGGCAAUGAAGUUACCCUCAAGAAAUUUAUGGAUUAGUGGCACGUAUCUAGUAUAAUUUGGGCUGAUAGAGUGACUGGUUUUGAAGGUCUCAGCAUCUUCUAUGAAUGCGACAAGAUAACCUUUCUCCUCACAAUUAAGCUUGGAGUCAAAAGCUGUAGUAUGUGUUGUCUAUUACCUUCCGAGUAUUUCUUGAAGAUAAGAAAUAAGCUGACAAUUAUAAAUAAAUAAGUUUAGUACCGACGAACACCAAAUAUUUUUAAAUUAACAACAUAAAUUACUGAACUUAACAAAUUAGUUUGACAAACUCACAUCUAGGCAAAACUGGAGGCAUAUCCACAUCCACCGAGAUGUCGAUAUUAUCAUCAUCAUCAUAAUCUUCGAGGCGAAUCGCAUUACCUCCUCAAAUCCAUAUGCCUUGCAGAGAGCUUCCCAAUUAGAGCAACCGAAAUGGGAGUGAUCGACCGCAUUGUACAGCUUAACCAAAAACUCAUAACCAUGUUUAGUUCUUAAGUGAGCCCUCCUCGUCUCCACAUUCUCAAAGUCAUCUAAACCAAAAUCAAUCUUCUCCAAUACAUAUGGUCUAGCUUGGCACGGGAUGUACUAAUCAAAUUUAAAAAAAAUCCAUAAAUUACACAUUGAACAAAAGAAGCACAAGUGAUGAUAUUAAUUACGAUGAAAUGCUUGUCGUUGCGUACCGUACAAACAUCAAAGGUCACUUCCAGCUUCACGGUGAAAAACCUAUCAUUUUGUAGCUGAGGAAACCUAUCGCACAAACCCCGGUCAUCAUAGAAGUACCCGCACUCCGGGAUCCCAUCAUCAUUAGACAUCUCCUGUGCUCAAAAUUCAAAGAUUAUAACUCGACGGCAAAACCCAAAAAAGCCGGCAUGACCUUUGCUAAAAAAAGGACAUAUCGAGCGCCAACAGAAAUUAAUCAACACUCUGGCAAAACAUAGGCCACUUAUCGAUGGUCAUUGCAUUUCAAUGGUGUAAAAUAUGAACAAAAACAUUUCAAAAUAUCUUAUAUAUAAUACUAACACUAAAUAAACUAGUUUUAAUAACUACUUACUAAAUAAACUAGUUUUGUUAACUACUUACUAAAUAAACUAGUUCUAUUAAGCACUUACUAGAAAUAAACUAGUUCUAUUAAGCACUUACUAAAUAAACUAGUUCGAUUAAGCACUUAAUAUAAAUAAACUAGUUAUAUUAAUCACUUACUAAAUAAACUAUUUCUAUUAAGCACUUGCUAAAAAUUCUACUACCCUAGUUCUACCCUUAAUCAAAUUACCUAGAAUUUGCAAGAACAGAGACAGAGGAGGGAGGGAGGAGAGAGGAGGGGGAGGGGGNNNNNNNNNNNNNNNNNNNNNNNNNNNNNNNNNNNNNNNNNNNNNNNNNNNNNNNNNNNNNNNNNNNNNNNNNNNNNNNNNNNNNNNNNNNNNNNNNNNNNNNNNNNNNNNNNNNNNNNNNNNNNNNNNNNNNNNNNNNNNNNNNNNNNNNNNNNNNNNNNNNNNNNNNNNNNNNNNNNNNNNNNNNNNNNNNNNNNNNNNNNNNNNNNNNNNNNNNNNNNNNNNNNNNNNNNNNNNNNNNNNNNNNNNNNNNNNNNNNNNNNNNNNNNNNNNNNNNNNNNNNNNNNNNNNNNNNNNNNNNNNNNNNNNNNNNNNNNNNNNNNNNNNNNNNNNNNNNNNNNNNNNNNNNNNNNNNNNNNNNNNNNNNNNNNNNNNNNNNNNNNNNNNNNNNNNNNNNNNNNNNNNNNNNNNNNNNNNNNNNNNNNNNNNNNNNNNNNNNNNNNNNNNNNNNNNNNNNNNNNNNNNNNNNNNNNNNNCGGCCGGAGGCGGAGGGAGGAGGGCGCAGUGGAGGAGGAGGGAGGAGGGCGCGGUGGGGGGAGGAGGGAGUACCUCGGUGGAGGACGGACGACGGCGGCGGCGGCAGCGGACGACGGGUAUUAGCGCGGGCGAGAGUGACUGAGAGGGGGAGUGAGUGAGAGAGAGGGUCGGCCGUGUCGGGAGGAUAAGGUAGGGUUAGUAGUAGCGCUGGUUCGAGAAAAGCGUUACAGCUAAGGAGAAUAGCAGUAGCGCUGGGCGAGGAUACGCGCUACUGCUAAGUUGGGCUAGCCAUGUGCGCCCAGUUCAAACAUAGCAGCAGCGCUUUUUGCUAGUACGCGCUACUGCUAAAGUUAUAGUAGUAGCGUGGUUUAUUUAUACGCGUUGCUACUAAGUAGCAGUAGCGCAUGAUUUUGUCCAGUGCUACUGCUAAGAUGUUGUGUAUAAGGUUUUCCCUAGUAGUGAUAUGAGGAGGUGGCCGUCCAUCGUCCCGUGAACGGCGGGUUUUGGGCCUCCUCUUCUCCUGCAUCGUCGUUCAUACCAUCGAUGGCUUCAGAGCCGUAAUCGAGCAUGUCGGUUAAGUCCUCGACAGUGGCUAUGAAGUGGGCGGUGGGUGGGAAACAAAAUUCUCCGUCAUCAGCCUCCAGCUGGAACCGGAUAUAAUUUGGCUGAGAAUCCCCCGCCAAGGAUAGUGUUCUUAACGAGUUUACCAUGUCGCCCAAAGGCGAGUGCCGGAAGAUGUCCGCGGAGCUGAAUUCGACGAUCGAUGACCGAUCAAGCUCGACGUACGCUGACGCACAAGGUUCGGAACCUGUAGUCGGAGACGAGUCCAUGGUUCCAGUGACACAGAUGUCACUUGAAGUUAGGUCGGUGUGCGGCUCCAACGCCGCAGAGUCUGCGGCUUCCGCGGCGAGGUUGAACUUCUCGUCCUCGGAUGGCGCGAUCUGCUCCAGAUCUGAGGCCAGAGCAGCUAUAGGUACUAUCUCCUGGGUAUGGUCCGAGACAGUUUUAUGUCGUGUUCAUCGUGGUGGCAGGGAGCAGCUGCCGUGGUCUCAAAUCCAUCGAAGAUCAAGUCUCCGCAGAUAUCCGCGAAGUAACUCAAGCUUCCAAAUCUGACCUGAUGGCCAGGGGCGUAGCUUUCGAUCUGCUCCAGAUGGCCAAGCGAGUUGGCCCGCAGUGCGAAGCCGCCGAAUACGAAGAUCUAUCCGGGGAGGAAGACUUCCCCUUGGACAGCAUUGUUAUAGAUGGUCGAAGGAGCGAUCGAACCUUUUGACGACGGCACAGUGGAACUCUUAAUGAAAGCACCAAUGUCGGUGUCAAAACCGGCAUAUCUCGGGUAGGGGGUCCCGAACUGUGCGUCUAAGGUCGAUGGUAACAGGAGGCAAGGGACACGAUGUUUACCCAGGUUCAGGCCCUCUCUAUGGAGGUAACGCCCUACUUCCUGCUUGAUUGAUCUUGAUGAAUAUGAGUAUUACAAGAGUUGAUCUACCACGAGAUCGUAAUGGCUAAACCCUAAAAGUCUAGCAUGUCUGACUAUGAUUAUGAGGAUAUCUGUCUACGGACCUAGCCCUCCGGUUUAUAUAGACACCGGAGGGAUCUAGGGUUACAUAAGGUCGGUUACAGAGAAAGGAAUCUUCAUAUUUGUUUGCCUAGCUUGCCUUCCACACCAAGGAGAGUCCCAUCCGGACACGGGUAGAGUCUUCGGUCUUUGUAUCUUCACGGCCCCUCAGUCCGGCCCAUGUCUAAUAGGUCGGACGCCCGAGGACCCCUUAGUCUAGGACUCCCUCAGCAGGGGGCGCGCCCAGGGGGUAGGGCGCGCCCUCCACCCUCGUGGAUGCCUCAUGUCCUUUCCGGACUGUUUCUUAUUUUCCUAUUUUCUUAAAUAUUCCAGAACGGAGAAAAAAUGCUAUUAGAACUAUUUUGGAGUCAGUUUACUUACCGUACCACAUACCUCUUCUUUUUCGAGGUUGAAACGUUCUCGAAGGUCUCCCUUAUAUACUCCUCCGGGGUUACGGUUUCAAUAACAUUAGUUUCAACAUUUAUAGGAUCACCUGAGAUAUAAUGUUUGAUUCUUUGACCGUUCACCACCCUCGGAUCUGUGCCUUUGAAGUUGUUGAUUUUUGUGGCACCGGAAUGAUAGACCUCCUCGAUAACGUAAGGACCUUCCCAUUUAGAGAGGAGUUUUCCUGCAAAAAAUCUUAAACGAGAGUUGUAUAACAAUACAUAAUCACCUACAUUAAACUCACGUUUUUGUAUCCUUUUGUCAUGCCAUCUUUUAACUUUUUCUUUAAACAGUCUGGCAUUUUCAUAGGCCUGGGUUCUCCACUCAUCAAGUGAGCUAAUGUCAAAAGUCUCUUCUCACCGGCAGGUUUGAAGUCAUAAUUGAGCUCCUUCCGGUAUCUUUCUUUUAUUUGUGACAAUAUCUUUCAUGUACUUAGCAUAAGGAUUCAUUUUAAGCAUAUCAGUCAAGCGCAUACGCAAAAAGAUAGGUCUAAUCAUUUCAGCAAAGCGCUCAAAUUCCUCAUCAUCCUUUUUCUUGGAUGGUUUAGGAGAAAAAGGCAUGGGUUUCUGAACCCAUGGUUCUCUUUCUUUACCGUGCUUCCUAGCAACAAAGUCUCUCUUAUCAUAUCGUUGAUUCUUUGAUUGUGGGUUAUCAAGAUCAACAGCAGGUUCAAUCUCUACAUCAUUGUUAUUCCUAGGUUGAGCAUCAACAUGAACAUCAUCAUUAAUAUUAUCACUAGGUUCAUGUUCAUUACCAGAUUGUGUUUCAGCAUCAGAAAUAGAAAUAUCAUUGGGAUUCUCAGGUAUGUCAACAACAGGUUCACUAGAAGCAUGCAAAGUCCUAUCAUUUUUAUUUUUCUUCUUCUUAGAAGAACUAGGUGCAUCAACAUUAGUUCUCUGAGAAUCUUGCUCAAUUCUCUUAGGGUGGCCCUCGGGAUACAAAGGUUCCUGAGUAAUUUUACCCCCUCUAGUUACAACUCUAACAGCAUUGUCAUUUUUCUUAUUAUUUAAUUCACUGAGCAAAUCAUUCUGAGCUUUAAGUACUUGUUCUACUUGAGUGGUAACCAUAGAAGCAUGUUUACUAAUAAGUUUAAGUUCACCUUUAACUCUAGACAUAUAAUCACUCAAGUGUUCAAUCAUAUAAGCAUUACGUUUCAAUUGUCUACCAACAUAAGCAUUGAAGUUUUCUUGUUUAACAAUAAAAUUAUCAAACUCAUCUAAGCAUUGGCUAGCAGACUUAUAACGAGGAAUAUCACCUUCAUCGAAUCUAUAGAGAGAAUUUACCUUUACUACCUAUGUCGGGUUAUCAAGACCAUGAAUUUCUUCAAUAGGUGGUAAAUUCUUAACAUCUUCAGCUUUAAUACCUUUUUCUUUCAUAGAUUUCUUUGCCUCUUGCAUAUCUUCAGGACUGAGAAAUAGAAUACCCCUUUUCUUCGGAGCUGGCUUAGGAGUUGGUUCAGGAAGUGUCCUAUCAUUUUCAUUACUCAACAUAUUAUUCAAUAGCAAUUCAGCUUGCUCAAUAGUUCUUUCCCUGAAAACACAACCAGCACAACUAUCCAGGUGGUCUCGGGAAGCAUCGGUUAGUCCAUUAUAAAAGAUAUCAAGUAUUUCAUUUUUCUUGAGAGGAUGAUCAGGUAAAGCAUUAAGUAAUCGGAGAAGCCUCCCCCAAGCUUGUGGGAGACUCUCUUCUUCAAUUUGCACAAAAUUAUAUAUUUCCCUUAAGGCAGCUUGUUUCUUAUGAGUGGGGAAAUAUUUAGCAGAGAAGUAAUAAAUCAUAUCCUAGAGACUACGCACACAACCAGGAUCAAGAGAAUUAAACCAUAUUUUAGCAUCACCCUUUAAUGAGAACGAAAACAACUUAAGGAUAAAGUAAUAGUGAGUUUUCUCAUCAUUAGUGAACAGGGUGGCUAUAUUAUUUAAUUUAGUAAGAUGUGCCACAAUAGCUUCAGAUUCAUAGCCAUAAAAAGGAUCGGAUUCAACCAAAGUAAUUAACUCAGGAUCGACAAAGAAAUCAUAAUCCUUAUCGGAGAUACAGAUAGGUGAAGUAGCAAAAGUAGGGUCAUAUUUCAUUCUAGCAUUCAAUGAUUUUUUUUCAGCUUAGCUAACAGUUUCUUAAGAUCAUAUCUAUAAUUGCAAGCUAAAAUGUCUCUAGCAGUUGCUUCAUCCAUAACAUAACCCUCAGGCACAACAGGCAAUUCAUAUCUAGGGGGAGAAUCUUCAUCGUCACUUUCAUCAAUAUUAUCAGUUUCAAUAAUUUCAUUCUCUCUAACCCUAGCAAGUUGUUCAUCAAUAAAUUCACCUAAUGGCACAGUAUUAUCAAGCAUAGAAAUAGUUUCAUCAUAAGCAUCAUGAAAAGCAUAAGUGGCAUCAUUGAUAACAUGCGACAUAUCAGAAUGAAUGGCAGAAGUAGGUGUCGCAAGUUUACUCAUAACAGAAGGUGAAUCAAGUGCAGAGCUAGAUGGCAGUUCCUUACCUCCCCUCAUAGUUGAGGGAAAAUGUUGGUUCUUUCAUCUUUCAAGUUCCUCAUAGUGAUCAACAGAUAUAAAUCCCAAGUGACUCAAAGAAUAGAGCUAUGCUCCCCGACAACGACGCCAGAAAAUAGUCUUGAUAACCCACAAGUAUAGGGGAUCGUAACAGUUUUCAAGGGUAGAGUAUUCAACCCAAAUUUAUUGAUUCGACACAAGGGGAGCCAAAGAAUAUUCUCAAGUAUUAACAGUUGAGUCGUCAAUUCAACCGCACCUGAAAGACUUAAUAUCUGCAGCAAAGUAUUUAGUAGCAAACUAAUAUGGAAGUAACAGUAAUGGUGGCAAAGGUAAUAGUAAUAGUACUGGUUUUGUAGUGAUUGUAACAGUGGCAACGAAAAAGUUAACUAAGCAAAGAUCAAUAUGUGAAAAGCUCGUAGGCAAUGGAUCACUAAUGGAUAAUUAUGUCGGAUGCAAUUCCUCAUGCAACAGUUAUAACAUAGGGUGACACAGAACUAGCUCUAGUUCAUCAAUGUAAUGUAGGCAUGUAUUCUGAAUAUAGUCAUACGUGCUUAUGGAAAAGAACUUGCAUGACAUCUUUUUUCCUACCCUCCCGUGGCAGCGGGGUCCUAUUGGAAACUAAGGGAUAUUAAGGCCUCCUUUUAAUAGAGUGCCGGACCAAAGCAUUAACACUUAGUGAAUACAUGAACUCCUCAAACUAUAGUCAUCACCGGGAAUGGUCCCGAUUAUUGUCACUUCGGGGUUACCGGAUCAUAACACAUAGUAGGUGACUAUUGACUUGCAAAAUAGGAUCAAGAACUCACAUAUAUUCAUGAAAACAUAAUAGGUUUAGAUCUGAAAUCAUGGCACUCGGGCCCUAGUGACAAGCAUUAAGCAUAGCAAAGUCAUAGCAACAUCAAUCUCAGAACAUAAUGGAUACUAGGGAUCAAACCCUAACAAAACUAACUCGAUUACAUGAUAAAUCUCAUCCAACCCAUCACCGUCCAGCAAGCCUACGAUGGAAUUACUCACGUACGGCGGCGAGCAUCAUGAAAUUGGUGAUGGAGGAAGGUUGAUGAUGACGAUGGCGACGGAUUCCCCUCUCCGGAGCCCCGAACAGACUCCAGAUCAGCCCUCCCGAGAGAGAUUAGGGCUUGGCGACGGCUCCAUAUCGUAAAACAUGAUGAAUCCUUCUCUCUGAUUUUUUCUCCCCGAACGUGAAUAUAUAGAGUUGGAGUUGAGGUCGGUGGAGCCUCAGGGGGCCCACGAGAUAGGGGGCGCGCCCCCCACCCUCGUUGACAGGGUGUGGGCCCCUAGCGUUGAUUCUUUCGCCAGUAUUUUCUAUAUAUUUCAAAAAUAUUCUCCGUGAAGUUUCAGGCCAUUCCGAGAACUUUUAUUUCUGCACAAAAAUAACACCAUGGCAAUUUUGCUGAAAACAGCGUCAGUCCGGAUUAGUUCCAUUCAAAUCAUGCAAGUUAGAGUCCAAAAUAAGGUCAAAAGUGUUUGGAAAAGUAGAUACGAUGAAGACGUGUCAGCUGGCAGCACUGUUGCCGCAUCAACUGGCAACUGCUUGCCUGCCACAUCUGUGACUGGACAUAUGGUGUCUGGCUCACUGCUGCAGGAAAGCAGCGCAUGUGUUCAUCUAAGGCUGCGACUGCUGCUGGCAUUGCCCGUAGCCCUGGCUACAGGUAGUGUCCAGCUGCGCAACUGCGCUGGUCGCCGUGAAGGUGAGGAGAGCGAGGAUGAACAUGGUCUUCAUGGUGGCUGGCUACAAGCUUGCUUUGGUGUUUAUGUUUGUGUGAAGGGUGAUGAGGGAGGGUCUUCAUGGUGCAGGCCUAUUUAUAGCUACCAUGGCAUCAUUUUGUGCAUUGCAUCCGUAGGUUCCUAUGCUGAAGAUUUAGUGUGCUUUUCCAUCUGAUCAUCUGACACUUGUGUUAGGUGGCGCUACAAGUCCAAUCUUGGAUGGUCGUCAAAUAUACUUUUCAACACAUAUCGUGUAUGUGUCACUCAGCUCACGCCUGAUCUGGAUAAUCAAUAUGACUCAUCACUGAUCACUUUACAUGUCAAGCGUAUAUCUGGAUUGUGUCUUUUUGUGAAAUCCAUUUUGUUAUCUUCUACGAGUUGUUAGAUAUAAAUCAGAUUGGCAUGUCCCGCACUCCAUCUUAUUGUUUCCUAAAGACUGGUUUUGUAUCAUUGUAUUAAUUGGUAACACAAAUGGCAUCAGUAGAGCAUUGGAUGACUCAUAAAUUUUUCCUUUAGAUGUCAAGGAUUGUCAUGGAGUUAUGCUUCGGCGUGUGAAACUUUAACACCCCCAGUAUCAUGCUACAUCAAUCUCAUGCCUAAUGAUGCCAUGCCAUCAUAAUUAAGAUGCAAGUCCUCACUUUGUUUCAAACCAAACUUAAAUUCAAAUUUAAAAUGCAAGUCAAAUUAUACUUUUAUAAAAACAGUAGUUUAAAAAUGUUCCUUAGGUUGCAAAUAUUCACUAGAUAAUUUUUAUGCCUUAACCAACGUUUUUAGAGAUGCUUAAAAUGGCCCUGGAUAUGAAAACAGCCCCAUUUGAGUCAUUUUCUUUUAAUCAAAAUACAAAUAACUUCAAACCACUCCCAAACUUUUUGUGGCAGUAAGGUAAAUUUCAUACUAAAUUUUGAGAGCUUUCACACAUUUUACAAAAGUGAAUGGGUGGCCUAACAAUUUACGAAUCAAAGAAGAAAUAAAAGAAACAGAGAAGAAAAAUAAGAAAAGACCUAAACUAUUGGUGGACUGGGCUCUACGUCAACAGUGGGAGCCCAGCCCACCUCGCCACCUCCUCCUUGCUCCUACUCACCAGGAGCUCCGUGGACACGCGCGCCCCGUCCAUGGCCGCGGAUGGCCACGCGGCGUCCAUCCCGUGGCUCCCCAUCGCAGAUAAGGUCUUCCCCAAGCCCCGGACGAACCCUAUCUGCCCCCAUAUCUCACUUCCCCUUCCUACCUCGCUCCUUUGUUCGCAUUCGAGCGUGCCCGUCGGCGCUGUUCGCUACCACCGCGACCACCGCCAUUCUCAUGCUCUUCCGCCAUGUCCCCGAGCUCUGCAAUGUAGCACUCGUCCCCUCCAUCGAAACACACGAGCUAGAACGCCCUGCAACGCCGUCGCCAUCGCCGUCUUCAACCUCGGGAGCCGACCACUGCCGCCUUCGAUUCGCGACCACCAGAGCCUCCCCGAGCAGGUUGACCUCCUCUUCGCUAUCCCUGUGAGCUCCUCCUCCGUCUCCCUCUCGCCCCGUUGUCGAUCCGUCAUUGUAGAACCGUGCCCCGCGCCCUACUGUCGCCGCCAUGGCCGGAGCCCCGUCCGCGCCUGCUCCUGCUGUAUCUCGCGCCCAGUCCCGUGUCCGCUGUGCCCCUGCGCGCUGGCUCGUCCGGCCGCCCGGCCGCACGCCCAGCGCCGCAGCCGCCCGCGGCUCUGCCGCUGUUCUGCCGCUCCCUGUACUGUUGUUGCUUUUGCGUGCUGCCAUGGCCUCGCGUCCGCUCGCUGCUGCUCUAUUUCUACUGCCGCGCUGCUGCUCCUGCUUGUGCCGCUGAACUGCUGCUACUCCCGCUGCUUGCUGCUGCUCUUAUCGUGCUAGCCACCGCCGCUUGUGUUGCUUUGCUGCUGCUAUUGCCGCCUGCAAUGGCUGGCUGCUGGUGGUGGUUGCUAUGGCCGUGUGUGCGUAGGCGUUGUGUGUGGCCGGCUUGAUUAGUUUAGGCUAAUUUAGAUUAAUUACGUAAUCUUUGUUAGGUUAGUUGCUAGCCUAUGGCAGGUGGACCCCUUUUAGUUAAGUCAGGUUUUAUUUAUUUUGUCUACAUAUAGUCUAUGCCAUGUGGAUCUUGCCUUUCCUUUUGACCGGUCAAUUUGACUUGGUUAAUUCGGAUUAAAUAAAUGCUAAAAUUUCAGAAAAUUGUAUAAAUUUUGAAAAUUCAUAGAAAAUAAAUCGUAAGUCGGAUGUAAAUAAUUUAUAUAUAAAAGUUACUCAGAACGACGAGAUGAAUCCAAAUACGCGGUCUGUUUGCCAGCCACACGCCUCUAGCAUAGCGAACAUGUAAUUUUCUCCUCCGGUUUGUUUGUCCGAAAACGCGAAACACCGGGAAUACUUUCCCGGAUGUUUUCCCCCUUUGUCGGUAUCACCUACUGUCGCGUUAGGGCACACCUAGCACCGCUCAUUGUCAUGUCGUGCAUCGUCAUGCUUAUGUUUGCAUUAUAUUUAUUGUUUCUUUCCCCCUCUUCUCUCGCUAGACAUCGAGACCGACGCCGCUACUACUCAGUACGACUACGGUGUUGACGACCCCUCUUUCUUGCCAGAGCAACCAGGCAAGCCCCCCCCCCUGAUCACCAGAUAUCACCUAUUCUUCUCUCUACUGGUUGCAUUAGAGUAGUGUAGCAUGUUACUGCUUUCCGUUAAUCCUAUCCUGAUGCAUAGCCUGUCAUUGUUGCUACAGUUAUUGAUACUUUACCUGCAAUCCUAAAUGCUUAGUAUAGGAUGCUAGUUUAUCAUCAGUGGCCCUACAUUCUUGUCCGUCUUCCAUGCUAUACUACCGGGUCGUUAUCACUCGAGAGGUGAUCAAGGGUAUAUACUUAUAUACAUAUUAUAUGAUACCUAUGGUGACUAAAGUCGGGUCGGCUCGUAGAGUACCCGCGAGUGAUUCACGGAUUGGGUCCGAAAGGACGUUUGUCCCGACGGCCCUCUGAGUGGAUCUUUGUGGCGGAGCGACAGGGUAGGUUGAGACCACCUAGGAGAGAGGUGGGCCUGGCCCUGGUCGGCGUCCGCGGUUAUUUCAAAAUAACACGCUUAACAAGAUCUUGGUAUUUGAUCUGAGUCUGGCCACUGGCCUAUACGCACUAAUCAACUACGCGGGAACAGUUAUGGGCACUCGACGUCGUGGAAUCAGCCGAAGCCUUCGUGACGUUAGCGACUGAGCGGCGCGCGCUGGAUUGGACCGCAAGCCUGCUCUUGUAUUAAGGGGGCUAGGUCUGCUUCCGGCCGCCCUCGCAACGUGCAGGUACGCAAUGGGCGAUGAGCCCAGACCCCUGCGCCAUAGGAUUUAGACCGGCGUGCUGACCUCUCUGUUGUGCCAAGGUGGGGCUGCGACGUGUUGAUCUUCCGAGGCCGGGCUUGACCCAGGAAAGUGUGUCCGGUCAAAGGGGAUCGAGCGUGUUGGGAAAUGUGGUGCACCCCUGCAGGAAAGUUUAUCUAUUCGAAUAGCCGUGUCCCUCGGUAAAAGGACAACCCGGACUUGUACCUUGACCUUAUGAUAACUAGAACCGGAUACUUAAUAAAACGCACUCUUCCAAGUGUCAGAUACAACUCGGUGAUCGCUCUCUCACAAGGCAACAAGGGGAGGAUCGCCGGGUUGGAUUAUGCUAUGCGAUGAUACUUGGUGAACUUACCAUCUACUCUUUUUUACAUGCUACAAGAUGGAGGUUGCCAGAAGCGUAGACUUCGAUAGGACUAGCUAUCCCCCUCUUAUUCUGGCAUUCUGCAGUUCAGUCCACAUGUGCUACCAUUCUCCAUUUGAUACCAAUGCAUACAUAUAUAGUGUAGCUCCUUGCCUGCGAGUACUUUGGAUGAGUACUCACGGUUGCUUUGCUCCCCCUUUUUUCCCUUUCUAUACCCGGUUGUUGCGACCAGACAUUGGAGUCCAGGAGCCAGGCGCCACCGUCGACGAUGACUCCUACUACACUAGAGGUGCCUACUACUACGUGCAGGCCGCUGACGACGACCAGGAGUAGUUUAGAAGGAUCCCAGACAGGAGGCAUGCGCCUCUUUCGAUAUGUAUCCCAGUUUGUGCUAGCCUUCUUAAAGCAAACUUGUUUACUUAUGUCUGUACUCAGAUAUUGUUGCUUCCGCUGACUCGUCUAUGAUCGAGCUCUUGUAUUCAAGCCCUCGAGGCCCCUAGAUUGUAAUAUGAUGCUUGUAUGACUUAUUUUAUUUGUAGAGUUGUGUUGUGAUAUCUUCCCGUGAGUCCCUGAUCUUGAUCGUACACGUUUGCGUGUAUGAUUAGUAUACGAUUGAAUUGGGCGCGUCACAGAAACUGAAUUUGUUGUUUUUGUAAGCCAAGUUUAAUUGCUUCCUGGAUCUGGUUUUGUAGUCUUUUAUAAUCUGGUAGGAGAUAAAAUGACAUGAGUCAUUAAAUAAGUUGUUCACAUGUGGAAAGUCUGAUGUAGCGAUUCUGUAGCUUUGGCGAGUGAAGCUAAACUUGUUGUCUUUGCAAAAGAAAUAUGGUUUAUAGUGGAUGUAAAAGAUAUUUGUUUUAUGCAUGUAUCAUGAGGAGAGCAGAUUUAUUGAAAAACCCGGAAAUCAUAUUUUGAAGUUUCAAGAAAAUCUGAAAUAUAUACAUGAACCUACAUAAGCAUACUACAUCUCUGUAAAAUUUCAUGAUGAAAUAUGUUUUGGUGUGAGCUGCAUAAAAAUGAUAGGACUUUAUAGUGAAUUGUCCUAGAAAUACAUGGUUUUGUUUUUUUGUACAACUCACAAAAACGUAUUUCGUCAUGAAAUUUUACAGAGUAUACCAGUCUUCCAGUGUGUCUUUUCUUGUUUGGCUUAUCCAUCCCUAAUACCCAAAUUAUAAUGUUCACUAGGAUUAACUAGACCGAGGUUAAUGUUCUUUUGUGCAGACCUAGUGAUGUGUUUUUGUAGUUAUUUGUGUCAUGUUAUGGACUUAAAUAGAUGGACAUAUGUGUUGAAACCUGGGGCUGGGGCAGGUUUUAGUGAUACCUAGAUAGAUAAUAUUGUAGAAUUUGCAACAAAACUAAGCUAAAUUCAUGGGCAUAUUUAGUUUGACUAUUUUUGAAACUCAUAAAUCCUUUAUGAAUUCAUGAAUUUUUUGUAACUACAUGGACAUUUUUUAGUUCUAUUUUUUGAAAUUCAUGAAUAUUUCUGACUACACAAAAAACAAACUGUAAACAAAUUUUAAAUCCAUAAAAUCAAUCCAAGCAUUAUUCAAAAUUUGGAACAUUUUAAAACUCAAGUAUUUUUUUGGAUUUCUAAUCUUUUUUUAAUAAAUUUGAAACUAAAAACCCGAAGGAUGAAAAAAGGACGUCCCACGAUGCCCCUGUCCAAAGUGUGCGCAAAGGUCUCCAUAGGAAGAUCUUAGAAACUCCCGAAAUCACAACUUAAGGGGGAUACUUUGAAUUUUUUUGCCCCAUCUCUUGUGACGCUGACCAUUGGGGUAGGGGUUUCAUCACAAUCUGCAAGUUUUGGUGGGAUNNNNNNNNNNNNNNNNNNNNNNNNNNNNNNNNNNNNNNNNNNNNNNNNNNNNNNNNNNNNNNNNNNNNNNNNNNNNNNNNNNNNNNNNNNNNNNNNNNNNNNNNNNNNNNNNNNNNNNNNNNNNNNNNNNNNNNNNNNNNNNNNNNNNNNNNNNNNNNNNNNNNNNNNNNNNNNNNNNNNNNNNNNNNNNNNNNNNNNNNNNNNNNNNNNNNNNNNNNNNNNNNNNNNNNNNNNNNNNNNNNNNNNUCCAUUUUUCGUGCUCAGUUUUUCAAAAUGAAAUGUCUCUUGAACUAUAUGCAUCCAAACUACGAAUGGUUUUCACCAUCCUCGCAUAGAGAACUUCAAAACUACAUCAUGUUGAUAGGUUUUUACCAUGUGUUCACAGCGUGAACUAACCUCCUACUUAGUAAUAACUUGUGUCUCUCAACUUUAUGCAUGCUCCCAGCUAGUACUAAUAUGUGUGCUCUCAACCCACUAAUCUCUGCUCCAAAUGUGAACUAACCAGUGCUCCUACUCUGGAUUCAGAUCCUCUGACUAGGGAAAAGAAGUCAGGGCGGUACCUGACUUCCCUUCGCUAGAUUUCCAUAAAUAGCAAUUUAACACAACGAUUAUGUGUAGUGGUUAUCUACAGUAAUCUGUGAAUCUACAGUGAUGAGUGAACACUGCGAGCUCUCCGACUUUCCUUCCAUGUUUCACACACAUAGGGCACUGUAUCCCCGUUGACUUGCCUCCUGCAUGUGAUCCGUCUCCCAUAACGCGAGGCACAACAAUGCUCCUAUGUGAAGCACACAUAUGCUUCCAACAUGACCUAAUUUUUGCUCGCACCUAAUACUAACUCUGAAAGGAUCGAUAUAGUUGACUAGAGGGGGGUGAAUAGGCAACUAACAAUGUUUAGCUUUUCUUUAUCAAUUUAAACUUUGCAUCAAAGUAGGUUGUCUAGAUAUGCAACAAUGUGAGCAACCUAUAUGAUGCAACAACAAUAAGAACACAAGCAAGCUAAGGAUACAACACAAAAAGCUUGCACAAGUAAAGGCACGAGAUAACCAAGAGUGGAGCCGGUGAAGACGAGGAUGUGUUACCGAAGUUCCUUCCUUUUGACGGGAAGUACGUCUCCAUUGGAGCGGUGUGGAGGCACAAUCCUCCCCAAGAAGCCACUAGGGCCACCGAAUUCUCCUCACGCCCUCGCACAAUGUGAUAUGCCGUGAUUCCACUAUUGCUGCCCUUGGAGGUGGCGACCGGACCUUUACAAACAAGGUUGGGCUCUCUCCACAACCGAAUUGGAGGCUCCCAACGAAACCACGGAGCUUCACCACAAUGGAAUAUGGCUCCGAGGUGACCUCAACCGUCUAGGGUGCUCAAACACCCAAGAGUAACAAGAUCCGCAAGGGAUGAGUGGGGGGAUCAAAUUUCUCUUGGUGGAAGUGUAGAUCUGGGUCUUCUCAACCAAUCCCUAGAAAAUCAACAAGUUUGAUUGGGUAGGGAGAGAGAUCGGGCGAAAAUGAGCUUUGGAGCAGCAAUGGAGCUUGGGGGUGUCGGUGUCAAAACCGGCGGAUCUCGGGUAGGGGGUCCCGAACUGUGCGUCUAGGCCGGAUGGUAAUAGGAGGCAAUGGACACGAAGUUUUACCCAGUUUCGGGCCCUCUUGAUGGAGGUAAAACCCUACGUCCUGCUUGAUUAAUAUUGAUGAUAUGGGUAGUACAAGAGUAGAUCUACCACGAGAUCGGAGAGGCUAAACCCUAGAAGCUAGCCUAUGGUAUGAUUGUUGUUUUGUAUGUUGUCCUACGGACUAAAACCCUCCUGUUUAUAUAGACACCGGAGAGGGUUAGGGUUACACAAAGUCGGUUACAAUGGUAGGAGAUCUACAUAUCCGUAUCGCCAAGCUUGCCUUCCACGCCAAGGAAAGUCCCUUCCGGACACGGGACGAAGUCUUCAAUCUUGUAUCUUCAUAGUCCAGGAGUCUGGCUGAAGGUAUAGUCUGGCCAUCCGGACACCCCCUAAUCCAGGACUUCCUCAGUAGCCCCUGAACCAGGCUUCAAUGACGACGAGUCUGGCGCGCAGAUUGUCUUCGGCAUUGCAAGGCGGGUUCCUCCUCCAAGUACUUCAUAGAAGAUUUUGAACACAAAGAUAGUGUCCGGCUCUGCAAAAUAAGUUUCCACAUAUUGCCAUAGAGAGAAUAAUAUUUACACAAAUCUAAUCUGCUGACGUAUUCCGUAGUGUGACACACCACGGCCAAGUCUUUAUUCGAAUCGUUUUAUUAUCCCACCUCGGCAUGUCAUGCGAGGCGGUUUCCUUGGCACGUCUUGUCAAAGCAGAGAUCGUGUCCCCUUAUUCCGAGAUUCUCAUCAAUACGGGCGUGGGUAACCCAACCGCGCCAUUGAUUACGGCGCUUGGGGAUAAGCGAGUUUUACCAGGCUGGUGGGGACACAUAGUUGCGUCCACCCAUAUAAGGGGAUAAGGAUCCACCUUUUCACCUACGCCUUCUUCCUCCUUUGCCUAUCCAUUCUUGCGCACUCGAGCUCCAGCGCCCAAGUCCGCACUCCCCACCUCAACCUUCUCCAGCCAUGUCCGGAGUGGGAGGCAAGUGGAUGGUCUCCUCCGUCACGGAGGGACACAUCAAAAGACUAAGGAAGGCCGGAUACUUGUCUAACGACAUUGCGCACCGGCUUCCUGAAGAGGGGCAGCUCAUCCCCACCCCUAGGCCCCAUGAGAGGGUGGUGUUCCUCCCCCAUUUCCUCCACGGACUGGGCUUCCCUCUCCACCCAUUUGUCCGGGGGCUCAUGUUCUACUAUGGCUUGGAUUUCCACGAUCUGGCCCCGAACUUCGUCCUCAACAUCUCGGCGUUUAUCGUCGUGUGCGAGGCUUUUCUCCGCAUCCGCCCCCAUUUCGGUCUAUGGCUCAAGACUUUCAAUGUCAAGCCGAAGGUGGUGCGCGGCAACCAGGCGAAGUGCGGAGGCGCCAUGGUGGGCAAGAUGCCCAACGUCUUAUGGCUCGAGGGCUCCUUUGUGAAGACCCUAAAGGGGUGGCAAUCGGGGUGGUUUUACAUCACCGAGCCGCGCGACCCUGAAUGGGUCGCAGCCCCCGAGUUCCGAUCCGGACCCCCUACGCGGCUCACCUCCUGGAAGGAGACGGGCCUGUCGUGGGGUAAAAAAGGAGAGCUGACCGGACUCCAAACAUGUGUCCAAACCCUGGUGGACAAGAAGCUCAAACUUGUCAACGUAGUCCAGGUUAUGCUCAUCCGCCGGAUCCUCCCGUGUCAACAACGGGCUUUCAACCCGUGGGAGUUCGACCCGGCGCAGCACCGAACUCUGAGCAGGCUCUUCGACACGACGUAUGAAGAUGCUUGGAAGGUGCUUUUCAAGGGCGCCGAGGCCCCCGCAUCCGCUACCGAGGAUCGCGGAUUCAGUACGCAGCGUCACGCUCAUGCGGUAAGCUGUUUUUACCUUUUACAGGGUAUCAGUUUUUCAUAGUUUGACUCCAUGCGGGAUCUAAGCUCCCUUACCUUUGACAGGAUUGGCAGGAGACGUCUGGACAGAUCAACUGUCUGGCUCCCUUGCCCGAAGGCCCAGCGGACGCUCGUUUGGCGAAGCUGCUGGUUCCGGCACCCCAUGUGGUACCGGAGAAGAAGGCCAAGAAGAAGGCCACGGGGACUCGAAAGAGUGCCCGGCGCCUGGAGGUGUCGGAUCCCUCAUCCGACGACUCCAAAACGCACUCCUCCCAUGAAGACGAGGAGGAGGAAGAAGAGACCCCUCCCCCUCCAGCGGGGGAAGGGAAGAUAAGGAAGGCCGCCCCAACUGGGGAAGCCGAAGGGUCCAAGAAGGGGAAAACCCUUCCUCCGGACUACUCCACCGACGCCGACGACAGCAGAGAGGAGUGGCCGCUCAGGGCCAAGCCCCUGGCUAAAUCGUAAGUAUCAGGAUACCAGAGUAAUUCAUAGUAUUCCUUUAUUGCACAGCUUUCCCUUAUGUCGAAUAUGUUUAUGCAGCCCACCCAAAGACCGGCUCGACGCGUCGUUGAGCGUUUCACUGGACUCGUCGGAUGUGAAUUCACUUCCGACGGCUUCCUCCCCCCGCCCUACGAACGACACCGAAGUGUUGUCCCAACAGGUUCCAAGCCGGGAGGAGGUGGUCCUGGAGGCGCGGCAAGGCGACCUCCCGGACUCCAGGAGUAAAGGGGAUGAAACCCCCCAGGGCUCCAAGUUCGGCCCUAGGCCGGACACCGCUCCGGAACCUUCAAAGGUUCCAGAGUCCGGCGGACGACCUCCUUCCAAGAGGAGCAAGCCCACCGUGCCGGUGACCCCCGUCCAACCAGAGGCGCCGGACAAUCUGUUGGAGGUGCUCAAAGGCGCCUCCAUCGACGAGGAGCACCGCACCAUUAUGAGUGCGGUGGUCCAGAAGGUUCAGUUCACCAAGAGCGGACUGAGUGAAGCUUGUACUAGCCUUUUAACAGGCUUUGAGGUAAGUAAAGAAUGUGUAAAUAAUAUUACUGUUGGGUUUCGUAGUAAUUUCAACGGUUUUCCUACGCACACGCAAGAUCAUGGUGAUGCACAGCAACGAGAGGGGAGAGUGUUGUCUACGUACCCACGCAGACCGACUGCGGAAGCGUUAACACAACAUAGAGGAAGUAGUCGUACGUCUUCACGAUCCGACCGAUCCAAGCACCGUUACUCCGGCACCUCCGAGUUCUUAGCACACGUACAGCUCGAUGACGAUCCCCGGGCUCCGAUCCAGCAAAGCGUCGGGGAGGAGUUUCGUCAGCACGACGGCGUGGUGACGAUCUUGAUGUUCUACCGACGCAGGGCUUCGCCUAAGCACUACAACGAUAUGACCGGGGUGGAAUAUGGUGGCAGGGGGCACUGCACACGGCUAAGGAACGAUCUCAAGGAUUAACUUGUGUGUCUAGAGGUGCCCCUUGCCUCCGUAUAUAAAGGAGCCAAGGGGAAGGGGGCCGCCGGCCAAGAGGAGGGCGCAGGAGGAGUCCUACUCCUACCGGGAGUAGGACUCCCCCCCCCCCCCAAUCCUAGUUGAACUAGGAUUCCCCGAGGGGGAAAGAGAGAGAGGGGGGCCGGCCACCUCUCCUAGUCCUAAUAGGACUAGGGGAGGGGGGAGGCGCGCGGCCACCUUGGGCUGCCCCUUUCUCCUUUCCACUAAAGCCCAUUAAGGCCCAUAUGGCUCCCGGGGGGUUCCGGUAACCUCCCAGUACUCCGGUAAAAUCCCGAUUUCACCCAGAACACUUCCGAUGUCCAAAUAUAGGCUUCCAAUAUAUCAUUCUUUAUGUCUCGACCAUUUCGAGACUCCUCGUCAUGUCCGAGAUCACAUCCGGGACUCCGAACUAACUUCGGUACAUCAAAAUGCAUAAACUCAUAAUAACUGUCAUCGUAACGUUAAGCGUGCGGACCCUAUGGUUCGAGAACAAUGUAGACAUGACCGAGACACGUAUCCGGUCAAUAACCAAUAGCGGGACCUGGAUGCCCAUAUUGGCUCCUACAUAUUCUACGAAGAUCUUUAUCGGUCAGACCGCAUAACAACAUACGUUGUUCCCUUUGUCAUCGGUAUGUUACUUGCCCGAGAUUCGAUCGUCGGUAUCCAAUACCUAGUUCAAUCUCGUUUACCGGAAAGUCUCUUUACUCGUUCUGUAAUACAUCAUCCCGCAAAUAACUCAUUAGUUGCAAUGCUUGCAAGGCUUAUGUGAUGUGCAUUACCGAGAGGGCCCAGAGAUACCUCUCCGACAAUCGGAGUGACAAAUCCUAUUCUCGAAAUACGCCAACCCAACAUCUACCAUUGGAGACACCUGUAGAGCUCCUUUAUAAUCACCCAUUUACGUUGUGACGUUUGGUAGCACACAAAGUGUUCCUCCGGCAAACGGGAGUUGCAUAAUCUCAUAGUCAUAGGAACAUGUAUAAGUCAUGAAGAAAGCAAUAGCAAUAUACUAAACGAUCGGGUGCUAAGCUAAUGGAAUGGGUCAUGUCAAUCAGAUCAUUCAACUAAUGAUGUGACCUCGUUAAUCAAAUAACAACUCUUUGUUCAUGGUUAGGAAACAUAACCAUCUUUGAUUAAUGAGCUAGUCAAGUAGAGGCAUACUAGUGACACUCUGUUUGUCUAUGUAUUCACACAUGUAUUAUGUUUCCGGUUAAUACAAUUCUAGCAUGAAUAAUAAACAUUUAUCAUGAUAUAAGGAAAUAAAUAAUAACUUUAUUAUUGCCUCUAGGGCAUAUUUCCUUCAAUUACCGCAUAGACAGUAGCCCCUGAUGCUCUGUUUGGCGUUCGGGAAGAAGAGCCGAAUAGAGGAUCCAAAUGAAAUUCGUAGGAGUCUAACAAAAAGGAGUCAAUAUGCGUAUGCAGGCUUCUCUGCUGGCGUCCGAUGUACUGACUGCGGAAGUGGACACGCUAAAGCAGAACCUCGAGCAGUCCGAGCAAGAGCUCGGGCGUGCCAAGAAGCAGCUCGAGGAGAAGGAAGGUAAGAAAGACCUUGUUUUAAAUAUAUAUAAAAAAGUGCAAUUGCAAAAAAUGACAGGAUCAUCGUGGCUAUUGUAGGGGCCACGUCUGAGGUGGCGAGCCUUAAGAAAGCGCUGGUCGAGGCCGAGAAGAGGGUGGCCACGGAGCGCACCAAGCGGGAGAAGUAUGAGGCUGAGGUUGGCAAGGUGCGGCAAGAGCUCCAUGCUCUCAUGGAAAAACAUGAGAGUUUGGAGCUUGACUCAAAGACGCGGGCGUCCGAGCUCGUGGUGGCUAUUGAAAAUGCCAAGUCUGCCAAGGGCUGAAUCCCAGAAGACCCUCCAGGAGUUGGAUGAGGUGAAAAAGAUAGCGGCGGGUAAGGCAUUCUUUAUGCAAAGCAAACACAUAAACGUCAGUUACUUGUUACUUACCUGAAUCCGGAGCUCUCCAGGAGCAUUCACAGAUCUUCCCCGUAGCGUGUCCGAUGCCGCCGCAUUCUAUCGAGUCGAGGAGGGCAGCUCGACGGAGAAGGUGUUCUGGUCUCGGUAUGCUGAGGCCGGACACCCCGUGCCCCUGGGCGACCAGCUGAAGCAACUGGUCGAGCUCCACAAGGCGGCCGAACAGGCCAUGAAGGGCCUCAUAGUUCAGCUAUGGCCUGGAGAGGCUCUGCCUGGGAGCUAUUUCGGGCUGGUGCGGCGGCUGGUGGGGGCCUGUCCAAGGCUCGAAGUAAUCAAGCGCUCUGAAGGUGCCCGUAGGGCCCUUGCCCGUGCUAAGGUGCACUGGGGCAAGCUGGAUGUUGAGAAGCUUCUGAAGGACGGGCCACCGUCGGGGAAGGAGCAUCACAAGCCUGAGAAUUAUUAUAAGGAUGUUCUGAAGGGUGCCUGCCUUAUGGCGGAUGAGUGUUCCAGGGAUGUAAUUUUUGAGUAAAACUCGCUCGUUUUGUCCUGUGCACUGAAAACUUGUUCAUAUGCGCUAAGCAAUGCUGUUGGAAUUUAAAAUAUUACCUUCUGUGCGGCUGUUUAUCAAUUCUGAGAGAUGGCGAGUCGUCGGCUUCUGCCCCCGUGCCGCUAGUGCUGGGGUGUUCGGAGAUAAACCUGAGCGCUCUUUUUCCCAUGUUUGGGUCCUUCGAGGGAGGCACUCAGCACAACGAACAAGGCAAUCGGACUAUAAUGCUUGAACACUCUCACUUAGCCAUAGAAUUCUAUAAUUUUAAAUUUCGGCGAAGCUCCUGGUAUUCGGAAGACCGAGUCCGGGGCGCUAUCCACGCCUUGGCCGGACAGAGCCGACUCCUCGCUCUAAGCGGCAUAAGUCUUUAAGGACUCGAAAAACCUCUUGAACAGCGACCAGCUCUCGCUUCAUCAUGACAGUCAGUUUUAGCUUUCUCUACUGAGGUGCUCGACCCAGCUCAACUGGGGCACAAUCGUAGUAGUUCUCCUAGUGCUACCUUAGCCGAUAUAGCGGAACGUAAGGCACCAAAACAUAGGAGCCGGGAAAACCCAACUAUUGACCCAAGACAUGAUUCGGAGCCGAUGCAUAUAAUGCUAUAAGUUCGGGGUGCCGCACUUGUUAAAGUGUUCGGACUUCUCACACCAUAUUGAGGGGUACUGAAGCCCCUGGCGUAUUUUGGCCGUACCAAAGUGUACGGGUGCAACAUGUCGUCAAGGAACAUAUAUUUGUAAAAAAAGAGUAAUGCAAAAAUAGAUAGAAGCUAUGCAUUGUUUAUAAAAAGGGCUGCGAUCAAAGCAGAACGAUACAAAUAAUGCGAUAAGCAAAAGGUUGGACUAUUUUAACAUGUCCGUUCCAGGGGCAGGUUGCGGAAUGGUAUGCGAAAUAGGUAUACUGCUCGUGAUAGAGACCACCUGGGAGUUCUGUAAUGCGGCAUGGCUUGUCUGCUUCCCUGGUUCUUGCAUCGUUUGUGCGGCAAUUGAACUGCCGAACAGGCCUUCCGAAGAGUGGAGUCCUGAAAGUAAGAGAAAAUUAAAAAAUCGGCAGCCCCUGGUGUGGUUUAAGCCAUGUUUCGGGCGUGCCGUGAUGGUGCCCCUCCCCCUGUACCCAUGGUAUUUCUAGAGCGUAGUUAUGUACGCGAAGUACUGGUGUCACAUUUUUGCGAGGGCUGGGGUUGGGGCCGCAUUGCUAUGCCUGCUCGGAACGUGCUAGGCGGUCUUGUUGUAGGUUACUCCGGGCGCGCUUGACGGUGUCCGGACGUUUAAUGGCCGGACUGGAGAACUGCCUGGAGAGGCUGCUUUGUACUUCCGCUGCAAGGGCCGCCGUGUGCUCCUCCGUUCGAAGGGAGUGUUCGGUGUUUCCAUUGACCGUAAUUACUCCUCGAGGGCCUGGCAUCUUGAGCUUAAGGUAUGCGUAGUGCGAUACCACACUGAACUUGGCGAAUGCGGUUCGUCCGAGCAGUGUGUGAUAGCCACUGCGGAAUGGGACUAUGUCGAAGAUUAACUCCUCGCUUCGGAAAUUAUCCGGAGAUCCGAAGACCACUUCAAGUGUGACUGAGCCUAUACAGUUGGCCUCUACACCUAGUAUUACGCCUUUAAAGGUCGUUUUGGUGGGCUUAAUCCUCGAGGGAUCUAUGCCCAUUUUCCGCAUUGUAUCCUGGUAAAGCAGGUUCAGGCUACUGCCGCCGUCCAUAAGGACUCUAGUGAGAUGAAAUCCGUCAAUAAUUGGGUCUAGAACUAAUGCGGCGAAUCCGCCAUGACGGGUGCUAGUGGGAUGGUCCCUUCGAUCAAAGGUGAUCGAGCAGGAGGACCAUGGGUUGAACUUUGGGGCGACUGGCUCUAUCACGUAUACGUCCCUUAACGCGCGCUUCCGCUCCCUCUUGGGGAUGUGCGUUGCGUAUAUCAUGUUCACCGUCCGCACUUGUGGGGGAAAUCCCUUCUGUCCACUAUUGUUCGGCGGCCGGGGCUCUUCGUCGUCAUCGCUAUGUAGCCCCUUGUCUGUAUUUUCGGCAUGUAACUUGCCUGCCUACUUGAACACCCAACAAUCCCUGUUGGUGUGAUUGGCCGGCUUUUCGGGGGUGCCAUGUAUCUGGCACAAGCGGUCGAGUAUUCGAUCCAAACUGGACGGGCCCCUAGGAUUUCUUUUGAAUGGCUUUUUCCACUGACCGGAUUUAUAGCCUCUGAAUCCGGCAUUAACUGCCGUAUCCUCAGCAUUGUCGCCGUUAGUGCGGCGCUUCUGCUUGUUGCGACGCGACCUGCCACUACUGUCCCUGGUAUCCGAAUUACCAGGGUUCUUGGUCAUAUUGUUGCGAUGAGCAAGCCAACUGUCUUCUCCCGUGCAAAAGCGGUUCAUGAGUGUCGUGGGUGCUGCCAUAGAUUUCGGCUUUUCCUGUCCAAGGUGCCGGGCAAGCCACUUGUCACGGAUAUUGUGUUUGAAGGCUGCUAGGGCCUCAGCGUCCGGACAAUCGACUAUUUGAUUUUUCUUUGUUAGGAACCGUGUCCAGAAUUACCUGGCCGAUUCCUCUGGCUGCUGAAUUACGUGGCUUAGGUCAUCGGCGUCUGGUGGUCGCACAUAAGUGCCCUGGAAAUUGUCGAGGAAUGCGGCUUCCAGGUCCUCCCAAUAACCGAUUGAUCCUGCUGGCAAGCUAUUAAGCCAGUGUCGAGCUGGUCCUUUAAGCUUGAGUGGGAGGUAUUUGAUGGCGUGGAGAUCAUCGCCACGGGCCAUGUGGAUAUGAAGGAGAUAAUCCUCGAUCCAUACCGCAGGAUCUGUUGUGCCAUCAUAUGAUUCGAUGUUUAUGGGUUUGAAACCCUCAGGGAUUUGAUGAUCCAUUACUUCGUCUGUGAAGCAUAGUGGGUGUGCGGUGCCUCUGUACUGGGCUAUAUCACGAUGUAGCUCCAAUGAGCUUUGUCUACUGUUUUCGUCCCUACCGGAUUUGUGUCCGGCGUGACGGUUACCGUCUCGAGUCAUGGGGCGCCCACGUGAUCCGUAGAUCGAUCUUGUUUGCCUUGCCUUGUCCUCCAACAUAUCUCGCAGGUCUGGCGCAUUUUCCCAUGCCUUGGUACGGGGUGCGGCUUGAGUGGAGGGCCGAGAGGCCUCUCUGUCGCGGCCACGAGGUGGCCGGUCGGUCGUAUCAAGUGCUGGUGAUGUAGGUUUAAGUGCUUCCUCCUCUAAUCGGGGUAGCAACCUGCGCUUUGGGUAGCUCUUGGAGGGGCGUUCGAGUUUAUGCUCUUCGGCCACAAGGACUUCAGUCCAUCUGUCGACUAGCAAAUCUUGAUCAGCUCUAAGUUGUUGCUGUUUUUUCUUGAGGCUUCUUGCCGUGGCCAUAAGCCUGCGUUGAAAAUGCUCUUGUUCAGCGGGAUCCUCUGGCACGACGAAUUCGUCGUCGUCGAGGCUUGCCUCGUCUUCGGAGGGAGGCGUAUAAUUAUCAUCCUCGACCUCUCUGUCUGCCGCUCUCUCAUGAGGGCUGGCUUCUCCAUCCUCUUGUGCUGAAUCUUGCUGGAGGGGAUUCUCUUCGGAAUUCUCUGGAGUAUUAUUAUCUCCCGUGCUGGAAUCACCGUAUUUGCUUUGGCGGGAUUUUGAGCGGCGCCGCUGGCGCCGGCGCUUAGGCUGUUUCUUGGAGGGGUCAUCCUCCGAUGUUCCAUCGCCAUCUCCUUCUUUUGGGGUGUCCACCAUGUAUAUGUCAUACGACGAGGUGGCUUUACAGGGCCUAAUAGGCGCUGGUUCUUCAUCGUCUCCUGCAUCGGUGUCCAUACCGUCGAUGUCUUCGGAGUCGAAGUCGAGCAUGUCGGUUAAAUCGUCGACAGUGGCUACAAAGUGGGUGGUGGGUGGGCCUUGAAUUUAUUCAUUGUCCGUAUCCCAACCUUGCUGGUCGUAGUCCGGCCAGGGCUCUCCUAAUAAAGAGAGAGACUUUAGUGUCUUCAGAAUAUCGCCGAAAGGCGAGUGCUGAAAGAUGUCCGCGGCAGUAAACUCCAUGAUCGGCGCCCAAUCGGAUUCGAUCGGCAGGGGCGCGGAGGGUUCGGAGUCCGGAGGGGGGCCGGCUCCUUGGAGUCACGAGUCUCGCGGAGUGCGGGGCUGGUGUUCGGCUCGAUCACCGUUGAGAUCACAGCCCCCGAAGCGGCGUCCAACCACCCAUCCUCGAUUGGCACAGUUGGCUCCGAAUUAAGGGUCGAAGCCGAUGCGAGUGCGGCCUCCAGGGCACCGUUCGGCGACAGAGCUAGAUCAUGCUCGUCGUGACAGUGCGGCGCGCUCGGCAGUGGCUCGAAUCCAUCGAGGAUCAAGUGCCCGCGGAUGUCGGUCGUGUAGUUUAAACUUCCAAAUCUGGCCUGACGGCCAGGGGCAUAGCUUUCGAUCUGCUCCAGAUGGCUAAGUGAAUUGGCCCGCAGUGCAAAGCCGCCGAAGACGAAGAUCUGUUCGGGGAGGAAGGUCUCACCCUGGACUGCAUCGCUAUUGAUGAUUGUAGGAGCCAUCAAGCCUCACGGCGACGACACAAAGGAACUCUCAAUGAAAGGACCAAUGUCGGUAUCAAAACCGACGGAUCUCGGGUAGGGGGUCCCGAACUGUGCGUCUAGGUCGGAUGGUAACAGGAGGCAAGGGACACAAAGUUUUACCCAGGUUCGGGCCCUCUUGAUGGAGGUAAAACCCUACGUCCUGCUUGAUUAAUAUUGAUCAUAUGGGUAGUACAAGAGUAGAUCUACCAUGAGAUCGGAGAGGCUAAACCCUAGAAGCUAGCCUAUGGUAUGAUUGUUGUUUUGUAUGUUGUCCUACGGACUAAAACCCUCUGGUUUGUAUAGACACCAGAGAGGGUUAGGGUUACACAAAGUCGGUUACAAUGGUAGGAGAUGUACAUAUCCGUAUCGCCAAGCUUGCCUUCCACGCCAAGGAAAGUCCCUUCUGGACACGGGACGAAGUCUUCAAUCUUGUAUCUUCAUAGUCCAGGAGUCCGGCUGAAGGUAUACUCCCGCCAUCCGGACACCCCCUAAUCCAGGACUCCCUCAGGGGGAAAGAGGUAACUCCACUUGGAGAAGAAGACCUUCUUUUAUAAGGGGGGAAGACAAACCAACCGUUAUCCUCGCUCAGCCCCACACAGGGCGGUACUACCACAGGGGUGGGUGGUACUACUGUUGUGGCUAGCGGUACUACCGUUCCACCUCGCGGUACUGCCGCGCAGAAGGACGGGAGCGGGAAGCAGAGCAGGACCUGGACCCAGGGCGGUACUACCGCGGUGGUAAGAACGGUACUACCGCCCUACUGCCGCAGCUAGUGCCGCAAAACCCGACACGAAAGGAGAAACCUCGAGUCGAGGUGGUAGGAGCACGGAGCCAUAAUGGUACUACGGCUGAGAGCUCCAAGCGGUACUACCAUUGGGGUUCGCGGUACUGCUGCUUGUAGCUCUCGAGCGGUACUACCGCUUGGGUUCGCGGUACUACCGCUGGGACCAGACCACAGGGAGAAGGCAGCAAGGGAGCCUUCAACGAAACGGAAAAGCUCAGAGGGUGCACAAGGGAUGUGUACAUGUUGAUUCCACCCUAGCCUCACCAAUGCGGACCCCCUCUUAAUAGUACGGCUUUCCUACGACUCAAAACCACCGAAAAGAAACGUAAACAAACGCCAUCUUCAACAGUCUUUGAGGGGUACAAAAAAUGCCUUGUGCCUAGUGAUGAAACGUCUGAAAUACUCAAGGCACAUGAUUAGUCCGCAAAAGCAUUGUCAUCAAUCACCAAAACACCUUAGGGAUAAAUAUGCCUUUACAAUCUCCCCCUUUUUGGUGGAUUGAUGGCAAUACGGGAUUUGCACAAAGGGGAAAAUAUAGGGCAUAAGAAAACCCCUCAUCUCUAAAAUAUAGACGGGCUCCCCCUAGAUGUGUGUUAUCUAGAUAAGUGCUUUGGACUGCAUGGCGCACAUACUAGGAUCAACACUCCCCCUAUAUUUUAUAGACAAUGCAUAUCUUGCAACAAUAAGGCUAACAAUAAGCAAGAUAGUUCCAUGCCAAUAUUCUACAACUUUCAUAUACUUUUGGCAACUUUUUAUACUAUUCUUGGGACUAACAUAUUGAUCCAGUGCCCAGUGUCAGUUCCUGUUUGUUGCAUGUUUUUUGUUUCACAGAAUAUCCAUAUCAAACAGAGUCCAAAUGGGAUAAAAACUGACGGAGAUUUUUUGGAAUAUAUAUGAUUUUUAGGAAGAAAAUCCACGCGAGACGGUGCCCGAGGGAGGCACGAGGCAGGGGGGGUGCGCCCCACCCCCCUGGGCGCGCCCCUGACCCUCGUGGCGACCCCAUAAGGCGGUUGGUUCCCUUCUUUCACCACAAGAAAGCUAAUAUCUGGAUAGAGAUCGUGUUAAAAUUUCAUCCCAAUCGGAGUUACGGAUCUCUGGGAAUAUAAAAAACGGUGAAAGGGCAGAAUCUGGGAACACAGAAACAGAGAGAGACAGAGAGACAGAUGCAAUCUCGGAGGGGCUCUCGCCCCUCCCACACCAUAGAGGCCAAGGACCAGAGUGGAAACCCUUCUCCCAUCUAGGGAGGAGGUCAAGGAAGAAGAAGACGAAGGGGGCCCCUCUCCCCUUCUCUUCCGGUGGCGCAGGAACGCUGCCAUGGCCAUCAUCAUCACCGCAAUCUUCACCAACAACUUCACCGCCAUCAUCACCAACUCUUCCCCCCUCUAUGCAGUGGUGUAACCUCUCUCUUACCCGCUGUAAUCUCUACUUAAACAUGGUGCUCAACGCUAUAUAUUAUUUCCAAAUGACGUAUGGCUAUCCUAUGACGUUUGAGUAGAUCCGUUUUGUCCUAUGGGCUAUUUGAUGAUCAAGAUUGGUUUGAGUUGCAUGUUUUAUUAUUGGUGUUGUCCUAUGGUGCUCUCUGUGUCGCACAAGCAUGAGGGAUCCCCGCUAUAGGGUGUUGCAAUAUGUUCAUGAUUCGCUUAUAGUGGGUUGCGUAAGUGACUGAAACACAAACCCGAAUAAGGGGGUUGUUGCAUAUGGGAUAAAGAGGACUUGAUACUUUAAUGCUAUGGUUGGGUUUUACCUUAAUGAUCUUUAGUAGUUGCGGAUGCUUGCUAGAGUUCCAAUCAUAAGUGCAUAUGAUCCAAGUAGAGAAAGUAUGUUAGCUUAUGCCUCUCCCUCAUAUAAAAUUGCAAUAAUGAUUACCGGUCUAGUUAUCGAUUGCCUAGGGACAAAUAACUUUCUCGUAACAAAAAGCUCUUUACUAAAACUAACUUAGUUGUUUCUUUAUCUAAACAGCCCCUACUUUUUAGUUACGCGCUCUUUAUUAUCUUGCAAACUUAUCCAAAAACACCUACAAAGUACUUCUAGUUUCAUACUUGUUCUAGGUAAAGCGAACGUUAAGCGUGAAUAGAGUUGUAUCGGUGGUCGAUAGAACUUGAGGGAAUAUUUGUUCUACCUUUAGCUCCUCGUUGGGUUCGACACUCUUACUUAUCAAAAGAGGCUACAAUUUAUCCCCUAUACUUGUGGGUCAUCAAGACCUUUUUCUGGCGCUGUUGCCGGGGAGCAAUAGUGUGGGGUGAAUAUUCUCGUGUGUGCUUGUUUGCUUUAUCACUAAGUAAUUUUUAUUUGUUGUUCUUAGUUGUUCUUUAUCUUUAGUUAUGGAUAUGGAACACGAAAUACCAAAAAAAUUAGGUGUACUUGCUGCUCAUGGAGAUGAGGAACCUCCUAAAACCCUCGAUGCUCGUUAUGUGAUAGAUAUUAUGUACUACUUUGAUAAUCCAGAGAAAACCCCAUUCAAUUUGGUAAUGGGAGACACGUUGGAUCAACGUGAAUACUUUAGGGAUUAUCGCUUGACUCAAAAAGGGAAACUAUUAUGGGAUCAAAUUUAUAUGUUGUAUUGGUAUGCUAGGCAACUAUGCUUGAGAUAUGAUUAUACUUGUUGCUCUAGGAUGAAGUCUCCACACCUUCCCUUUUCAUGCAAAUUUAAUGAUGAUAAAACCUUGGCAUCUUAUGCUAGUGGUAUAUAUGAUUACUAUGAUGUGGAACAAAUAGAAGAAUUUGUUGCUUUUAUGGGUGCUUAUGAAAUUGAAUCUUUGUUUAAAGAGUGUGAAAAUUUUGAUGAUUCAGUUUAUAGACCUGAAAAUUUAGCUAUCCUUAAAUAUUGUUAUGAGAAUUAUGCUUCUAAUGCAUAUGUUAAACCAUAUAUCGAGGUCUCCUCCAUUGUCCAAGAAGAGACUAAUAUUUUGCAGGAGUCUAUGGAAGAAGAAAUUGAUGAAACUGUGAGCUCAUUGGAUGAAAAAGAUGAUGAGGAGAGUGAUGAACAAAAGGAGGAAGAGAGGAUUAGCUACCCGUGCCCACCUUCUAAUGAGAGUAACUCUUCAACUCAUACAUUGUUUAAUUUCCCUUUGUGCUUACCGAAGGAUGAUUGUUAUGAUCUCGUUGAUUCUCUUGAAAUAUCCCCUUUUGAUGAUGCUUGCUAUGCUUGUGGCCAAGAUGCCAGUAUGAAUUAUGCUUAUGGAGAUGAACUUGCUAUAGUUCCUUAUGUUAAACAUGAAAUUGUUGCUAUUGCACCCACGCAUGAUAGUCCUAUUAUCUUUUUGAAUUCUCCCGACUACACUAUAUCGGAGAAGCAUACCUUAUUAAGGAUUAUAUUGAUGGGUUGCGUUUUACUAUUACACAUGAUAAUUUUGAUGAAUAUAAUAUGCAUGUGCUUGCUUCUCCUACUUACAAUUAUUAUGAGAGAGGAACUAUAUCUUCACCUCUCUAUGUUUCCAAUACGAUAAAAUUGCAAGAAACUGUUUAUACUAUGCAUUGGCCUUUACUUUGUGUACAUGAAUUGUUCUUUUAUGACAUGCCGAUGCAUACGAAGAGAGCUAGACUUCGUCAUUGCUUGAUUUAUGUUACUUUGUGCUCACUACUAAAUUACAAAUCAUUGUUAAUUAAAAUUGGCUUUGAUAUACCUUGGGAUUCAGGUGGAUCCAUUACUUGAGCACUAUAUGCCUAGCUUAAUGGCUUUAAAGAAAGCGCUACCAGGGAGACAAACCGGAUGUUUUAGAGAGUCAUUUAUUUCUGUUGUGUGCUUUUAUAUAGUUUAAAAAUAAAAAUAGUGUGCCAAGAUUUGCCUUUAGGAUGUUUACUUUGCUUGUUGGUUUGUAUGGUGCAGGACAGAAACUUUGGCUGUAGUGCGCGAUUUUACAUUUUUUACUGGAAUGUCAAAUAGUUCUGAAACUUUUUGCACUGUAUUUCUAUACAAAUUUUUUAUUUUUCCUAGUUUUUGUAGAAUUUUUGGAGUACCAUAGGUAUGGUGAAUGUUCAGAUUAUUACAGACUGUUCUGUUUUAGACAGAUUCUGUUUUUGAUGCAUAGUUUGCUUGUUUUGAUGAAACUAUCGAUUUAUAUCAGUGGAUUAAGCCAUGGAAAAGUUAUAUUACAGUAGCUAAAAUUCAAAAACAAAAUAUUAAUUGGUUUUCAACAGUACUUAUAGUAGUGAUUUGCUUUAUUAUACUAACGGAUCUUACCGAGUUUUCUGUUGAAGUUUUGUGUGGAUGAAGUGUUCGAUGAUCGAGAAGGUCUCGAUGUGAGAAGAAGGAAGAGAGGCAAGAGAUAAAGCUUGGGGAUGCCCGAGGCACCCCAAGUAAAUAUUCAAGGAGACUCAAGUGUCUAAGCUUGGGGAUGCCCCGGAAGGCAUCCCCUCUUUCUUCAACAAGUAUCGGUAUGUUUUCGGAUUCGUUUCGUUCAUGCGAUAUGUGCAAUCUUGGAGCGUCUUUUGCAUUUAGUUUUCACUUUUCUUUUAUGCACCAUGCUGGUAUGAGAUAGUCCUUGGUUGAUUUAUAGAAUUCUCAUUGCACUUCACUUAUAUCUUUUGAGUAUGGCUUUAUAGAAUGCUUCAUGUGCUUCACUUAUAUCAUUUGAAGUUUGGAUAGCUUGUUUCUCUUUACAUAGAAAACCACCAUUUGUAGAAUGCUCUUUUGCUUCAUUUAUAUUUGUUAGACCGUGGGCAUAUCUUUUGUAGAAAGAAUUAAACUCUAUUGCUUCACUUAUAUCUAUUUAGAGAGAUGACAGGAAUUGGUCAUUCACAUGGUCAGUCAUAAAAUCCUACAUAAAACUUGUAGAUCACUAAAUAUGAUAUGUUUGAUUCCUUGCAAUAGUUUUGCGAUAUAAAGAUGGUGAUAUUAGAGUCAUGCUAGUGUGUAGUUGUGGAUUAGUAGAAAUACUUGUGUUGAGGUUUGUGAUUCCCGUAGCAUGCACGUAUGGUGAACCGUUAUGUGAUGAAGUCGGAGCAUGAUUUAUUUAUUGAUUGUCUUCCUUAUGAGUGGCGGUCGGGGACGAGCACGAUGGUCUUUUCCUACCAAUCUAUCCCCCUAGGAGCAUGCGCGUAGUAUUUUGUUUCGAUAGAUAAUAGACUUUUGCAAUAAGUAUGUGAGUUCUUUAUGACUAAUGUUGAGUCCAUGGAUUAUAUGCACUCUCACCCUUCCACCAUUGCUAGCCUCUCUAGUACCGCGCAACUUUCGCUGGUACCAUAAACCCACCAUAUACCUUCCUCAAAACAGCCACCAUACCUACCUAUCAUGGCAUUUCCAUAGCCAUUCCGAGAUAUAUUUCCACACAACUUCCAUCAUCAUCAUAUACAUGACUUGAGCAUCAUUGUCAUAUUGCUUUGCCUGAUCGUAAGAUAGCUAGCAUGAUGUUUUCAUGGCUUGUCCUUUUUUGAUGUCAUUGCUACUCUAGAUCAUUGCACAUCCCGGUACACCGCCAGAGGCAUUCAUAUAGAGUCAUAUCUUUGUUCUAGUAUCGAGUUGUAAUAUUGAGUUGUAAGUAAAUAAAAGUGUGAUGAUCAUCAUUAUUAGAGCAUUGUCCCAGUGAGGAAAGGAUGAUGGAGACUAUGAUUCCCCCACAAGUCGGGAUGAGACUCCGGACGAAAAAACUAAUAAAAAAUAAAAAAAAUAAAAAAAGAGAAAGGCCAUAAAAAAGAAGGCCUAAAAAAUGAGAGAAAAAGAGAGAAGGGACAAUGCUACUAUCCUUCUUCCACACUCGUGCUUCAAAGUAGCACCAUGUUCUUCAUAUAGAGAGUCUCUUGAGUUAUCACUUUCAUAUACUAGUGGGAAUUUUCAUUAUAGAACUUGGCUUGUAUAUUUCGAUGGUGGGCUUCCUCAGAUGCCCGAGGUCUUCAUGAGCAAGCAAGUUGGAUGCACACCCACUUAGUUUUCAGUCUGAGCUUUCAUACACUUAUAGCUCUUAGUGCAUCCGUUGCAUAGCAAUCCCUACUCACUCACAUUGAUAUCUAUUGAUGGGCAUCUCCAUAGCCCGUUGAUACGCCUAGUUGAUGUGAGACUAUCUUCUCCUUUUUGUCUUCUCCGCAACCACCGUUCUAUUCCACCUAUAGUGCUAUGUCCAUGGCUCACACUCAUGUAUUGCGUGAAGUUGAAAAGGUUUGAGAACGUCAAAAGUAUGAAACAAUUGCUUGGCUUGUCAUCGGGGUUGUGCAUGAUUUGAAUAUUUUGUGUGGUGAAGAUGGAGCAUAGCCAGACUAUAUGAUUUUGUAGGGAUAACUUUCUUUGGCCAUGUUAUUUUGAAAAGACAUGAUUGCUUUAUUAGUAUGCUUGAAGUAUUAUUCUUUAUGUCAAAUGAUAGACUAUUGCUUUGAAUCACUCAUGUCUUAAUAUUCAUACCAUGAUUAGAUAUGUGAUCAAGAUUAUGCUAGGUAGCAUUCCACAUCAAAAAUUUAUCUUUUUUAUCAUUUACCUACUCGAGGACGAGCAGGAAUUAAGCUUGCGGAUGCUGAUAUGUCCCUGUCGUAUCUAUAAUUUUUUAUUGUUCCAUGCCAAUAUUCUACAACUUUCAUAUACUUUUGGAAAGUUUUAUACUAUUUUUGGGACUAACAUAUUGAUCCAGUGCCCAACGCCAGUUCCUGUUUGUUGCAUGUUUUUUGUUUCACAGAAUAUCCAUAUCAAACGGAGUCCAAACGGGAUAAAAACUGACGGAGAUUUUUUUGGAAUAUAUAUGAUUUUUGGGAAGAAAAAUCCACGCGAGACGGUGCCCGAGGGAGGCACGAGGCAGGGGGCGCGCCCCACCCCCCUGGGCGCGCCCCUGACCCUCGUGGCCACCCCAUAAGGCGGUUGGUGUCCUUCUUUCACCGCAAGAAAGCUAAUAUCCAGAUAGAGAUCGUGUUAAAAUUUCAGCCCAAUCAGAGCUACGGAUCUCCGGGAAUAUAAGAAACGGUGAAAGUGCAGAAUCUGGGAACGUAGAAACAGAGAGAGACGGAGAGACAGAUCCAAUCUCGGAGGGGCUCUCACCCCUCCCACGCCAUGGAGGCCAAGGACUAGAGGGGAAACCCUUCUUCCAUCUAGGGAGGAGGUCAAGGAAGAAGAAUACGAAGGGGCCCCCUCUCCCCGUGGCCAUCAUCAUCACCGCAAUCUUCACCAACAACUUCACCGCCAUCAUCACCAACUCUUCCCCCCCCCCUCUAUGCAGUGGCGUAACCUCUCUCUUACCCGUUGUAAUCUCUACUUAAACAUGGUGCUCAAUGCUAUAUAUUAUUUCCCAAUGAUGUAUGGCUAUCCUAUGAUGUUUGAGUAUAUCCGUUUUGUCCUAUGGGCUAUUUGAUGAUCAAGAUUGGUUUGAGUUGCAUGUUUUAUUAUUGGUGUUGUCCUAUGGUGGUCUCCGUGUCGCGCAAGCAUGAGGGAUCCCCAUUGUAGGGUGUUGCAAUACGUUCAUGAUUCGCUUAUAGUGGGUUGCGUGAGUGACUGAAACACAAACCCGAGUAAGGGGGUUGUUGUGUAUGGGAUAAAGAGGACUUGAUACUUUAAUGUUAUGGUUGGAUUUUACCUUAAUGAUCUUUAGUAGUUGCGGACGCUUGCUAGUGUUCCAAUCAUAAGUGCAUAUGAUCCAAGUAGAGAAAGUGUGUUAGCUUAUGCAUCUCCCUCAUAUAAAAUUGCAAUAAUGAUUACCGGUCUAGUUAUCGAUUGCCUGGGGACAAAUAACUUUCUUGUAACAAAAAGCUCUUUACUAAAACUAACUUAGUUGUGUCUUUAUCUAAACAGCCCCUACUAUUUAUUUACGCGCUCUUUAUUAUCUUGCAAACUUAUCCAACAACACCUACAAAGUACUUCUAGUUUCAUACUUGUUCUAGGUAAAGCGAACGUCAAGCGUGCAUAGAGUUGUAUCGGUGGUCGAUAGAACUUGAGGGAAUAUUUGUUCUACUUUUAGCUCCUCGUUGGGUUCGACACUCUUACUUAUCGAAAGAGGCUACGAUUGAUCCCCUAUACUUGUGGGUUAUCACAUAUCCAAGUUGCCAAUGCGAGGGAAGAGGGUCUCCCUGAAGAUGUGAUGGAGAAUAUCCAGAAAUGCUGGCAGCUCAUAGGACUCCUUCUGAGUCACUGGGUUAAUCUUCAAGGUACAGUAUGGCCAGAGAGCUUGCUUGUGAGUGGAAGUUGCAUUGUGAUGAGGGUGAAAGCCAAUUGGGUUCUCAAGACCUUGAUCCUCAACUUCAAGAAGCUCCAUGAAGGCCUUCCACUUGACAGAAAGCAUCCUGCCAUUUGUCAUCCAAGUCAGAGUCCUGUCCUCAUUUGUUCCAAGAUGGACGGUGGCAUAAAACUGAGCCACCAAAUCUGCAUCAAAGUCCUUGUUGAACUACAUGAUCCUGAGGAUGUUCAACUGAGAGCACAUAUGAAGAGCCUCCCUAAAGUAGUCAGGAUCCUUCUCCACAAAGGCAACGUCGAUGGAGCAAACAUCAACAAAAAGAUUCUUCUUGUCUUUGAUCACAUCAAAGUAGAUGCCAUACUGAAAAAGGUUUCAGAACGAGCGGUUGACCAAGGCGGGUUCUUGAGCGACCUCAUAGGGGUUGCGCCGACGCUUCUCCCAGAAUUCCUUGGUAGACAUAUCUGUCAUAGACUUGGUCCUUGGCUUAGGCUUGGACGCACUCAUCUUCUUCAUUUGAGGCAGAGGCGGGACACUUGAUGAGGCCGCCGUUGUCUCAGUGGUGCGAUAGCGCUUGGAAGUUGCACGCCCGGGGUUGACACGGCGCGCAUGCUACUCAGAAGGACCAUCACCUGGAACCAAACACACGGACACACGGAACAACCAGAAAGAACGAGCAUAAGCCACCAAACACAGCAAAAGAGAUCAGAAAAAUGAUAGGAACAGAAAGGAAUUGGGCAAACAGCGGUAGUACCGCGAUCCAUAAGCGGCAGUACCGCCCUAGCGGUAGUACCGCUCCACUGGGAGCGGUAGUACAGCUCAAGACGGGGAAACGGCGGUUCCCUACUGUCGUGGUCAAAUCCGGCACUACCGGACUGCCAAAUUCGAAAAUACUCCUACCAAUUAUCAAUCUCAAAAGUCUAGUCGCCUUCUCCAACCUACUCAAGCCUAGAUUUAGCCAAAAAUCGAGAGAUGCAACCACUAUUGCCCUUAAGACACUAGAUCUGAGAUCUAGACAAAAGGAGAGGAGGAACGGGGGCAAUACCGGUAUCCAUGGCAAGAGGACGGGGUGGGGAUCGACUCCACCGAAGGAAAUGGAGAGGGACGGCCCGGAGACGGCGGCCCGCCGGAGCCCUCCCGCGGUGAGUCGAUAUUGGAGAGAUGAAGAAGAACGAGGGGGCGGUGCGAAUGGGUAUGGGGGAGACAAAACCUCCCCCUGCCCCGACAUAACCCCCUGGUCCCGCCCCUCAAUGGUAGUACCGCUCGGGUGGGCGGUAGUACUGCUUAUCAACAUAAGCGAUAGUACCGUGCACCACCAGCGGCAAUACCGCCCAGCAAGACCCAACGACUAGACACCACACGACUAGCUCAAAAGAAGGGAAAAACAAAAGGCAAGAAGAGGGAACCAAAACACAGCAACGAGAACACUAGCAAGAGGAAAAGAAACACACACCUCUUCAAGAGAGGGCGGUGGCCGAGGCCACCUAUGUAUGAGUCAAGAGGUAUGGCGCCGCGAAAAUUUUAACCUUGGUCCCAUGACCAAAACUCUUCUUUGAAGCACAAGUACCAUCAAAAUGGCUAAUGUGAAAGACUUGAUCAAUUUAUGCAUAAUGGGGGGGAGGGAGAGCUCAUUGAGAGAACAACACUCCCCCUAUGUCCAUGCCUACACCUAAACAAGACAACAAGUUGUAUGGUGGGGUGCGCAAGGGUUCAAGUCACAUUGCUCGAAUCAAUGAUAUUUAGCUCAUGCCUUAACUCGUGAAAUCUUGCUUCAUCCAAAGGCUUCGUGAAAAUAUCUGCAAGGUUAUCAUGAGUGUUGACAUAGUUUAGCUCGAUCUCCCCUCGCCUAAUGUGAUCCCGGAUGAAGUGAUACCGAAUCUCAAUAUGCUUCGUCUUGAAAUGUUGAACCGGGUUGAGAGAAAUUUUGAUGGCACUUUCAUUGUCACACCAAAGAGGCACUUUGUCGCAAAUGACACCAUAAUCCUUUAAAGUUUGCCUCAUCCAAAGAAGUUGUGCACAACAACUACCGGCGGCCACAUACUCCGCCUCGGUGGACGAGAGAGACACACAACUUUGCUUCUUGGAAGACCAACUCACCAAAGAGCAACCAAGAAAUUGGCAUCCUCCGGAAGUGGACUUCCUAUCCACUUUUUCUCCCGCCCAAUCGGAGUCCGAAUAACCUACAAGCUUGAACUUUGCUCCUCUUGGGUACCAUAAGCCAAAGCUUGGGGUAUGAGCCAAAUAUCGAAAGAUUCGCUUGACCGCCACAAAGUGGAUUUCCUUAGGUGCGGAUUGAAACCGUGCACAAAUUCCCACACUCAACAUGAUAUCCGGUCUAGAUGCACAAAGGUAAAGCAAGGAGCCAAUCAUGGAGCGAUAUACCUUUUGAUCCACCGCUUUACCAUUGGGAUCUAAGUCAAGUUGGCAUUUGACAGGCAUUGGAGUGGAAGCCAGCUUGACAUCACUGAGCUUGAAUCUCUUGAGCAUGUAUUGAGUGUAUUUGGAUUGGUUGAUGAAGGUUCCUUCUCUCCGUUGCUUGACUUUGAACCCGAGAAAGAACUUCAAUUCUCCCAUCAUGGACAUCUUAAACUUGGAGGUCAUGAGUGCGGUAAAUUCCUCAUUGAAAGCUUUGUUAGGGGAACCAAAGAUAAUAUCAUCAACAUAUAGUUGGCACAAAAACAACUCCCCUUUGACCUUCUUGGUAAAAAGAGUGGGGUCGAUUUUCCCAAUUUCAAAACCGCGAUCUUGCAACAACUCGGUAAGGUGGUCAUACCACGCACGUGGGGAUUGCUUAAGGCCAUAGAGUGCCUUAUCGAGUUGGUACACAUGAUCGGGAAAAUAGGGAUCCUCGAACCCGGGGGGUUGCUUGACAUACACCAACUCAUUAAUGGGACCAUUAAGAAAAGCACUCUUCACAUCCAUUUGUUGCAACUUAAAGUUAUGAUGAGAAGCCUAAGCAAUCAACAUGUGAAUGGAUUCAAGGCGAGCAACAGGAGCAAAGGUUUCACCGUAGUCGAUACCCUCGACUUGGGAGUAGCCUUGUGCUAUGCUACCUCUUGAGCACUUGCGUUGGUUUUCCCUUGAAGAGGAAAGGGUGGUGCAGCAAAGUAGCAUAAGUAUUUCCCUCAGUUUUUGAGAACCAAGGUAUCAAUCCAGUAGGAAGCUACGCGCGAGUCCCUUGCACCUACACAAAGCAAAUAAAUCCUCGCAACCAACGCGAUAAGGGGUUGUCAAUCCCUACACGGUCACUUACGAGAGUGAGAUCUGAUAGAUAUGAUAAGAUAAUAUUUUUGGUAUUUUUAUGAUAAAAAUGCAAAGUAAAAUAAAAGCAAUGAAAACAACUAAGUAUUGGAAGAUUAAUAUGAUGAAGAUAGACCCGGGGGCCAUAGGUUUCACUAGUGACUUCUCUCAAGAGCAUAAGUAUUUUACGGUGGGUGAACAAAUUACUGUUGAGCAAUUGACAGAAGUGAGCAUAGUUAUGAGAAUAUCUAGGUAUGAUCAUGUAUAUAGGCAUCACGUCCGAGACAAGUAGACCGACUCCUGCCUACAUCUACUACUAUUACUCCACACAUCAGCCACUAUCCAGCAUGCAUCUAGAGUAUUAAGUUCAAGAGAAUAGAGUAAUGCUUUAAGCAAGAUGACAUGAUGUAGAGGGAUAAACUCAUGCAAUAUGAUGAAAACCCCAUCUUGUUAUCCUCGAUGGCAACAAUACAAUAUGUGCCUUGCUGCCCCUACUGUCACUGGGAAAGGACACCGCAAGAUUGAACCCAAAGCUAAGCACUUCUCCCAUUGCAAGAAAGAUCAAUCUAGUAGGCCAAACCAAACUGAUAAUUCAAAGAGGCUUGCAAAGAUAACCAAUCAUACAUAAAAGAAUUCAGAGAAGAUUCAAAUAUUGUUCAUAGAUAAACUUGAUCAUAAACCCAAAAUUCAUCAGUCUCAACAAACACACCGCAAAAGAAGAUUACGUCGAAUAGAUCUCCACAAGAGAGGGGGAGAACUUUGUAUUGAGAUCCAAAAAGAGAGAAGAAGCCAUCUAGCUAAUAACUAUGGACCCGUAGGUCUAAGGUAAACUACUCACACUUCAUCGGAGAGGCCAUGGUGUUGAUGUAGAAGCCCUCCGUGAUCGAUGCCUCCUCCGGUGGAGCUCCGGAAUAGGCCCCAAGAUGGGAUCUCGUGGAUACAGAAAGUUACGGCGGUGGAAUUAGGGUUUUGGCUCCGUAUCUAGUCGUUUGGGGGUACGUAGGUAUAUAUAGGAGGAAGAAGUACGUCGGUGGAGCAACAAGGGGCCCACGAGGGUGGAGGGCGCGCCUGGGGGGGUAGGCGCGCCCCUACCUCGUGGCCUCCCUGUUGGUUGCUUGAUGUAGGGUCCAAGUCUCCUAGAUCUUGUUCGUUCCAAAAAUCACGUUCCCGAAGGUUUCAUUCCAUUUGGACUCCGUUUGAUAUUCCUUUUCUUCGAAACCCUAAAAUAGGCAAAAAAACAGCAAUUCUGGGUUGGGCCUCCGGUUAAUAGGUUAGUCCCAAAAAUAAUAUAAAAGUGGAUAAUAAAGCCCAAUAAUGUCCAAAAAUGUAGACAAUAUAGCAUGGAGCAAUCAAAAGUUAUAGAUACGUUGGAGAUGUAUCAUGCUACCAACCGAGCCUUGUUGCGGAUGAUAAUUCCAUGAGCGUCUUGCUUGUUCUUGAAUAUCCACUUGGUUCCAAUGACAUUGUGGUUCCCCGUUGGCCUUGGCACCAACCUCCACACCUUGUUGUACUCGAAGUUGUUGAGUUCUUCAUGCAUGGCAUUGAGCCAAUCCGGAUCUUCGAGCGCCUCAUAGACCUUUUGGGGUUCAACACAAGAGACAAACACGUGAUGCUCACAAUAGUUUGCCAAUUGUCUACGAGUGCUUACCCCCUUUCGAAUGCUUCCAAGUACAUUUGGCCCUUGGUUGGGAGCUUGGAAGCGAUCUUGGCGGCAAGACACUCCAAUUCCUCCUCAGGGGUGAGUUGAGGAGCGGUGACUUGAUCAUCAUGGGCGCCGUCUUGAGCUUGUUCUUGAUCUUGAGCUUGCUCUUGAUCUUGAACUUGCUUGGAGGAGAGAACUUGACCUUGGGCAUCACUUGGUGAUUCAACACCGUCUUGAGAUUGAUCUUGCCCUUGGUCUUGUUCAUGAUGUUGAGGUCCUUCACUUUGUUCUUCGGAAGCGUGUGGGCUUUGGUUUGGUGAUGGCUCCACUUGAGUGGAGCAUUGUCCUUCUCCUUCGGCCACAAGGGGUUCCUCAAUGGGUAGGAUAAAGCCAACUCCCAUUCUUCUCAUGGCUUGGGGAGGAAUUUCAUCACCUACAUCACAAGUGCCACUUUGCUCCACUUGGGAGCCGUUAUUCUCAUCAAACUCCACAUUACACGUCUCCUCAAUGAGUCCCGUGGACUUAUUGAGGACACGGUAAGCAUGAGAGUUGGUAGCAUGACCAACAAAUAUGCCUUCAUAAGCUCUAGCCUCAAAUUUAGACAAACGAACACCUUUCUUGAGAAUGAAACACUUACACCCGAACACCCGGAAGUACUUGAGGUUGGGCUUGUUACCGGUGAGUAUCUCAUAAGGAGUCUUGUUCAAGCCCUUACAGAGGUAGAGCCGAUUGGAUGCAUGACAAGCGGUGUUGAUGGCUUCGGCCCAAAAGUUGUAUGGAGACUUGAACUCCGCCAUCAUGGUCCUUGCCGCAUCCAUCAACGUCCGAUUCUUCCUCUCCGUUACGCCAUUUUGUUGAGGGGUGUAUGGUGUGGAAUAUUGAUGCUUGAUCCCCUCAUCACUAAGGAACUCAUCCAAGGUGUAGUUCUUGAACUCGGUGCCAUUAUCUCUUCUUAUUGUCAAGAUCUUUGCAUUGUGUUGUCGUUGGGCUUCAUUUGCAAAGUCAAUGACGGUUUGUUGGGUCUCGCUCUUCCUCAUAAAUAAGUAUACCCAAGUGUAUCUUGAAUAAUCGUCCACAAUCACCAAGCAAUACUUUCUACCCCCAAGACUAUCAAAGGAUGGAGGCCCAAAGAGAUCCAAGUGAAGGAGCUCCAAAGGCCUCUUCGAGUAGAUGAUAGUCGUGGGAGGGUGAGCCUUUUCAUGAAGCUUUCCUUCUAUACAAGAACUGCAAGCACGAUCUUUAGCAAAACUAACAUUUGUUAGUCCCCGGGCAUGGUCCCCCUUGAGAAGACUUUGCAAAGAUCUCAUAUUGACAUGGGCUAAACGGCGAUGCCAAAGCCAUCCCACGUCAACUUUAGCCAUUAGGCAUGUCGCAGUCUUAGUGGGUCGCUCCAAAAAGUUAAUCACAUAGAGACCGUUCUCGACAUACCCAACAAAGGCUACUUUAAGAGUCUUGCUCCACAAGAGGUCCACGGUAUCAACAUCAAAGAAAGUGGCAAAGCCCAUGAGUGCAAGUUGACGAACAGAAAGUAAAUUGUAUGCAAGGGACUCAACAAGCAUGACCUUCUCGAUCGUGAGAUCAUGAGAAAUGACAACCUUGCCAAGCCCUAAUACCUUGGAGGACGAGGCAUCACCCCACUCGACAUUGGUGGGCAUAGAUGGAAUCUUGUGAACAUCCACCACCAAAUCCUUGCUUCCAGUCAUAUGAUUAGUGGCUCCACUAUCGAGCAACCAUGAUCCCCCACCGGAAGGAAACACCUACAAGAGAUCAAUGCUUGGUUUUAGGUACCCAUUUAGUAAUGGGUCCUUUGAUGUUAGUAACAAGGGUCUUAGGAACCCAAAUAGACCAUUCAAUGUACUCAUAAGGAGAGCCAACAAAUUUGGCAUAAACAUGUCCAUCACUAGCACGGCACAACACAUAAGAAGGGUUAAAGUCGUCGGCUUGGUUGGGAAGGGAAGUGUUGCCCUUCUUGGCAUCACCACCCUUCACGGUGUUCUUCUUCUUAUCCUUAGUAGCACCCUCUCCCUCCUUCACAAAGGUUUGCUUGAGAGGGGGAGGUCGUUUGGCCUUGUCAUUCUUCUUCUUGUUCUUAGACUUGGGUGCGUACCCAAUCCCUUCCUUGGCCACAACUCCCUUUUGAUUGCUCAAAAGGUCGUUGAGGUUUUUCUUGCCUUGUAUGCAAGAAACAAGGCCUUUCUCAAGUCGCUCCUUCAACUUAGCAUUCUCCUCAACAAGAUGCACAUGCUCACAACAUGGGUUAGUAGCAUUUGCAUUAUCGAUUAACACCAUAUGAGGAAAUGUGGCUUUCUCCUUGAUUAGCUUUACUUGAAGUUGAUCAUGAGACUCUUUGAGGCUAGCAUGAGUACCCUUCAAGACCUUGUGAGCCUUGUCAAGUAGGUCAAACUCCUCUUUGAGUCUAGCAAGAUAAACCCCAAGCUUGGCCUUCUCGGAGUUUAGCACACGAGAAACAACAAUAGCAUGAUCAAGAUCUUUCUUUAACUUAGCAUGAUCAUCGUUGUGUGACUCCUCAAGAGCCAAACGAAGACCACGCUCUUUCUCAAGAGCAUUGGAAAGAUCCAAAAUCUCAUCGGCAUAGUCACGACUAUGCCCCUCCAUAUUAGGGAUGGUAUCUUCGUGAGCCUCGAUCAUGUCAUUGGCUUCACCAAGUUGUUCCAAGAGAGCAAUGAAGUGCUUCUUGGAUUUACCCUUGAGUUUGCCCAUAAAGGACUCAAACUCAUUCUCCUCCACACUAGAUCCAUCAUGUUCAUCAAUGCAGUCUGUCAGACAAGGAUUAUUAAUGAUGGUAGUUUUGAUGUUGGGGGUUACCUUGUUGGUGGCUUUAGCCAUGAGGCACUUGUCGGUGAUGCUCUCAUUGGGUGAGUCGAAGAGUGACACUCGUGGAGUUGUCGCAAUGGCAAUGGAGGCCGUGGCAACCAACUCACCAUCCUCAUCAUCAUCAUCGUCCUCAUUGUACUCUUCUUGUACCACCAACCCUUGGGAGGAGUCUUCUUGGUGAAGUUGCUCUUGUUUGGGAAAGACUUGGCUUUGUCCUUUCGGAUGAGCUUGCCACCAUUGUCUUCCCUCUUCUCAUACGGGCACUCCGCAACAAAAUGGCUCACAUUGCCACAAUUAUAGCAAGUCCUCACACGUUGCUUGCCCUUCGUGCCACUUGAGUUGUUCUUGUUGAAGUUGGGCCUUGAGUUUUUCCUUGCUCCAAAAUUGCCUUGAAGCAAGAGCCAUGUGUUCAUGAUAGGCAUACUUUGUAUCUUCGGGGUUUCUCUCCUCUUCUUCUUCGUCGUCCUCUUCUUCCACACUAACCUUGGCUUUUAAUGCAAGGUUGGGCUUCUUUGCUCUUUGAGAACGUAGCACCGCAUUGUCGGCGGUCUUGUCCAAGAUGCUCAUGGCCACAAACUCAUCCAACACUUCACUUGAGGACAAGGUGUGGAAGUCUGGCCUUUGAUGAAUGACGGAGGACAUGGCCUUGUGGUAAGGCAUCAUUGCCUUGAGGAAUUUGCGCUUGAUCCAAUUGUCAUCCGUGUCCUUGCUCCCAUGAUCUCAGAGUGAGACUGCGAGUUUGGUUACUCUCCGAUAAAGCUCACGAGGUUCUUCAUCUUCUUUCAUUGCAAACUCAUCGGCUUCAACUUGCACCACUUCAUAGUUGGAGCAUUGAAUGCUUGCGCUCCCUUGUAGAGGGAAACAACUUGAUGCCAUGCAUCUUUGGCCAUGGCGAAGGGCCGGAGAUGAGGAAGAUCUUCGGGUGGAAUUGCAUCUUGGAUGAUGAACAGAGCAUUCUCGUUGAAUUGAUUAUCUGCGGCUUCUCUAGGAGUGAAGUUGCUUCAGUCAUGCGGAUAGAAACCUUCUUCAAUGAUUCUCCAAAGAUUAGUAUUCACAUGAUUUAAAUGGCGCUUAAAGCGAUAGACCCAAGAAUCAAAGCCCUCAUUUUUCACAUUCUUGGGGGGAGGACCGGCAUGAUUCAAAUGAGUGGAAGGAAUCGGUCCACCAUAAACAAGUGGAGGUUCCACAUGGGCAAAGAUGUCGGUGCCAUUUUUACCACUAGAAGAAGGAACUUGAUCACUAGUAGCUUCUCCCUUGUCAGAGUUAGCAUCCGUCACCUUGUUAGUGGGAUCACCCACUCUCAACGGUACGGUGGAUAGUUUAAGUCCUUCUAUGAAUUUAUUAAACAUGCUUUCAACCUCGGUCGUCAUGGAGGUUUUCAAUGUGUCCAAGGCCACAUUGAAUUCCUCACGAGAGACCGCGCUUCCCCCAUCGGCCGUAGACGAGAUCAGAUUCACACUGGAGUGCUCCUCCACACUGUCUACGGUGUCAACCAUACUCUUCGGACGACAAAGUCCUUAAUAAAGAGACGAGGCUCUGAUACCAAUUAAAAGGAUCGAUAUAGUUGACUAGAGGGGGGUGAAUAGGCAACUAACAAUUUUUUAGCUUUUCUUUACCAAUUUAAACUUUGCAUCAAAGUAGGUUGUCUAGAUAUGCAACGAGGUGAGCAACCUAUAUGAUGCAACAACAAUAAGAACACAAGCUAGCUAAGGAUACAACACAAAAAGCUUGCACAAGUAAAGGCAGGAGAUAACCAAGAGUGGAGCCAGUGAAGACGAGGAUGUGUUACCGAAGUUCCUCCCUUUUGAGGGGAAGUACGUCUCCGUUGGAGCGGUGUGGAGGCACAAUGCUUCCCCAGAAGCCACUAGGGUCACCGUAUUCUCCUCACGCCCUCGCACAAUGCGAGAUGCCGUGAUUCCACUAUUGGUGCCCUUGGAGGCGGCAAAUGGACCUUUACAGAUAAGGUUGGGGCUCUCUCCACAACCGAAUUGGAGGCUCCCAACAAAACCACGGUGCUUCACCACAAUGGAAUAUGGCUCCGAGGUGACCUCAACCGUCUAGGGUGCUCAAACACCCAAGAGUAACAAGAUCCGCAAGGGAUGAGUGGGGGAAUCAAAUUUCUCUUGGUGGAAGUGUAGAUCUGGGCCUUCUCAACCAAUCCCUAGAAAAUCAACAACUUUGAUUGGGUAGGGAGAGAGAUCGGGCGAAAAUGAGCUUUGGAGCAACAAUGGAGCUUGGGGAAAAGAGGUAAGUCCACUUAGAGAAGAAGACCUCCUUUUAUAAGGGGGCAAGACAAACCAACCGUUAUCCUUGCUCAGCCCCGCACAGGGCGGUACUACCGCAGGGGUGGCGGUACUACUGUUGUGGCCAGCGGUACUACCGUUCCACCUCGCGGUACUGCCGCGCAGAAGGACGGGAGCGGGAAGCGGAGCAAGACCUGGACCCAGGGCGGUACUACCGCAGUGGUAAGAACGGUACUACCGCCCCUACUGCCGCAGCUAGUGCCGCAAAACCCGAUAUGAAAGGAGAAACCUCGAGUCGAGGCGAUAGGAGCACGGAGCCGCAGCGGUACUAUGACUGGGAGCUCCAAGCGGUACUACCGCUCGGGUUCGCGGUACUGCCGCUUGUAGCUCUCGAGCGAUACUACCGUUGGGGUUCGCGGUACUACCGCUGGGACCAGACCACAGGGAGAAGGCAGCAAGGGAGCCUUCAAAGAAACGGAAAAGCUCAGAGGGUGCACAAGGGAUGUGUACGUGUUGAUUCCACCCUAGCCUCACCAAUGCGGACCCCCUCUUAAUAGUAUGGCUUUCCUACGACUCAAAACCACCGAAAAGAAACGUAGACAAACGUUGUCUUCAACAGUCUUCGAGGGGGACAAAAACCAUCUUGUGCCUAGUGAUGAAACAUCUGAAAUACUCAAGGCACACGAUUAGUCCGCAAAAGUAUUGUCAUCAAUCACCAAAACACCUUAGGGAUAAAUAUGCCCUUACAAACUCAUAGUCCACCUAUUUCUAACCCUUGCUUUCGCACAGAGUGCAUAUGUGCCNNNNNNNNNNNNNNNNNNNNNNNNNNNNNNNNNNNNNNNNNNNNNNNNNNNNNNNNNNNNNNNNNNNNNNNNNNNNNNNNNNNNNNNNNNNNNNNNNNNNNNNNNNNNNNNNNNNNNNNNNNNNNNNNNNNNNNNNNNNNNNNNNNNNNNNNNNNNNNNNNNNNNNNNNNNNNNNNNNNNNNNNNNNNNNNNNNNNNNNNNNNNNNNNNNNNNNNNNNNNNNNNNNNNNNNNNNNNNNNNNNNNNNNNNNNNNNNNNNNNNNNNNNNNNNNNNNNNNNNNNNNNNNNNNNNNNNNNNNNNAGCAGAAAACCAGGAAAACUAAAAAACAAAAGAAGAAAAACUCUCGUGAUGGAUGUGUCCUGCACGACACAUGCCGGCGGUUUUAUUACGGCGCAUGAUGACUGCUUGAAGCACCACUUGGCGAUCGUGUGCUCUCACAACACAAAGAAGUGCCCCAUAUGGGGAACACUUGAUUAGUUGCUCCCAGAAACAUGGGAGCACCUACACGACGCAUUAAGCGGCAAACAGUCGGCCUCCCGCAGGGGGGGAGGCUUGAAGCUCAUGGCGCAUUGUAGCAGCUUGGCUACUUUAUCUUGCCCAACUGCUAUAGCGGUGGUUUUUUUAAGUUUCUUUUUGUUUUCAUCAGUUUCUCGGAAAAUGUGGAUUUCUAGUCAUGAGUUUUUUUUCGAAAUUUCCGAACAUUUCUUUGAAACGUGAAUAUUUGAAAUUUUUAAUAUGAUUUUUGAAAAAGAAAAAAUGUAUUGAAAUUGCAAAUGUAUUUUUAAAAUUGUGCACAAUUGUUUAAAAUUUCAAACUAUUAAUGGAAAAAGAUCUUUUUGAACCUUUUUUACAUGCACAUUUUUUAAUUCUGAAAUUUUAGAAAAAUACAAAAAAUAAUAGUUCACAAACCUGUUUUUAAAAAAUCAAAAAAAAACUAUUUCUAAAAGAGCAAACACUUCUUAAUUUUUGAACCACUGAAGGAAAAAAUUCCAUGAAUAAAACAACGAAAAAGUGGAUAAAAAAGAAAAGGCAAACCGGAACCUUUUAGAGGCCUCCCCGGAUCGAAAACCUUCUAGAAGGUUCCUAAAACUGGGACUGUUAGAAGCCUAUAAUUUCACGGUUUUUUUAGGGGCUAAUUUUUGCGUUAAAUGGGCGAUGCGUCCACAUAGGAUUUACUAUCGCGUCCAAAAUAGUUGGACUGGGCCGGGCCGACAUUACAACCGGAAGAGUUAAAAAAUGUUGAAAAGAAAAAACCCAGAUCUGCGCCGUACUGCUGUACAGGCCCCUCUGCUCUGAGAGAGAUGGAAGAAACGGCGGCGCGCAUGGAGGAGCAGCCGCGGGAGAUGGACGCGCAUCCUCCUUCCUCGGCGCCGGCGGCCGCUUCUUCGUCCUCGUCCUCGUCCUCGUCGCCGACGUAAUACCCCCAAGCCCUACCUUGUCCUGUAUUUCUGGUUAAUUUCGUUCGCGGAAAGAGUAGACAGAUUUCAGGGCGCAAAGUUCUUUCUGCAUCCCAUCCUUUUCCGUUCACCUAUAUCUUCCGUAAGAUAUUAAGCAUACUGUACCUCCAUAUGGAACUGAAUUUGGUUGAUAUAACUAUGGCAAAGAUUGAUUCUGCUCAUUGUCAGAGGAAAACAAUCCAGAUUGAAACUAUCCCUGCUUCAGAUCUCCAACAUCGCAGGUGAAGAACAGAGGGUGCCACUGAUUUGCCAUGCCUGUAUCAAUGUGCUAGGAGAAUCAUGUUUCCCUUGGCUGUCAUUUUUUUGGCUGAUUUAGUUUGACAACUAGGUGCUGUCAGUCAGCAUCAAGCACUCGGCACCUGCCAGAUAUUAUUAGUUUGAGAAACAGGUGACUGUGGUGUGCUGCAGUUCAGUAGGCCCAAAGAUUUAUAUGAAACUUCAGCAACCUAUAUCUACCGCGUAUAGCUUCUCUAUAGAACUGAAAUUCAGUGCCCUCGUCGAUGCUGAUCUUAUUCUGAGUUUCUCAGGGGUAACAACUCAGUAUAAUCUGUAUCUUUGUUUAGCUCAGGUCAUGUUUCCUAGAAUCUUGGUGGCUCCUGUUCUUUUUCAUACAAUUAUAUCUAGCUUCGCAUGCCUAACCUUUUGUCCUGAAUUUGUUGUGUCGAACAGGGAAAGCGCCGCCAUGCUAAUCAGGGCUAAGAGAACCUGCUAUGCCUCUGCUUCCUCUGUCUUUGCCGCAUCCAGGCCACGAGGAUGGGCAGAGCUCCGCGAAGAUUUGCUCCAAUGUGUCGUCGCUCUCCUCGGCUCCUCCGCGACCUCCUCGCCUUCGGUGCCACCUGUCGUCCUUGGCGUGAUCUCUUCUCGGUAUGCACGUGCUCUUUGCAGCCUCUCCUCCUACACCCGAGUGCCGACAGCAAACUAUCUCCCCAGUUUAACCGCUGGACGACCUUGCAAGGAUGCACGUGGAGAUUGGCUGAUCCUGCUGCCGCCUCAUCCUAUCCCAGUUUGCUUUCCUUGAGUGACCUCAGAGGCAUGUUCUUUCUUCGCUACUCCUACGGCCACCUCAUCUUCUGCGACAAUGAUGGGUUCUACAUUGUUAAUACGUUCAGCGGCGCUAAGGUUAUGCCUCCUUGCCUCAAGUCAGAUCACUUCACCAGCAUCAGCUAUGCCACCUUGACAGCCCCUGUUGCAUCCGAUGACUCGCAUCUCCUUGUUGGCAGUGGAGCCUAUCUGUUCCAGUGGCGCAUCGGGAGCGACUCUUGGUUGGAACACUAUCCUAAAGUUAAUUUUCUUAAGAUUGAACAAGUCGUGGCCCUGAAGGGCAAAACAUAUG
RNAcentral lists this long non-coding RNA (249406 nucleotides) under Triticum aestivum (bread wheat). Its description in RNAcentral is "long non-coding RNA (TAES_LNC013965)". The stretch from base 29128 to 29199 matches the Rfam family "tRNA". The record is from RNAcentral. Lineage: Eukaryota; Viridiplantae; Streptophyta; Magnoliopsida; Poales; Poaceae.